UCAUGCUUUUAUGAAAUCUUUAAAAUAAUAAGAGCGCCCUUUCAUAAUCAUGAAUUAAACUUUAGUUUCAACUUCUAUCAAAGGCUAAAUGAGAAAAGCUAUCAUAGAGGAGGCCUCAGCCAAUGGGUAAGAUGCACUAUUAUACCAAACAAUAAGUGAAAAAUACAAUUUUAUUAAUACUUGAGACAAAAAAAAAAAGAAAAAAAGAAAUAAAAGGAUGAUUUUACACUCAAACCAAGCAUUUAUUUAUAAUGAAGUGCAGUCUCCAAACGCACAUGUGGACUUAUUGGAAAAUCAUACAAAUUAUUGAAGGACGACCUUAGCUAGGCUAACAGUCUCCUAAAUAGGCCAUCUUUUAUAUAUCUUUGCAUUCAUCCAUCUCCUCAUUGUCUUUGAUUUUAGAUGGUGAGGAUGUGAAAGUAACAGGAAGCAGUGGACGAUUGUUCACAGUGAGGCUUAGCACAUCAGCUCUCGAAUAAUGUCCUACCACAUCGAACUGGAACUUUGCUUUAGGAAUCUCUCCACGAACAUCUACAUAUCAAGUGAUCAUAAAAAUAUUUCAUCAGUCCAUGAUAAAUAUCAUAGAAUAUCAAGCCUUCGAUAAAACUAAGUUUGCAGUCCUCUUAAACCUAAAGAAUCGACUCAUUUGCCUUAUCUGCAUACUGAAAUAUUUGGAUAUAUAAUUGGAGAACUUAGGGCCAUACCAAGAUCAGCUGUGAAGAGGCCUUCUCCUUCAUAAUUCGGUCCUGCUAGAAUUUCGCCAUGGGGCGAAAUGAUGACACUACCUCCAGCCCAAACAAUAGAAUCUGGAGUGACAUCUUCUUCUGUAGGACUGUAAAGAUACUCAGGUGGAGGUGGGUAAUCUUUCCUCCGACAGAACUGGAUGGGUGAAAGAACAUAGCAUCCACCCUCAAUAGCGACGUGUCUCAUUGUAGCUACCCAUGUAUCCCCGGAAUCGGCAGUAGGAGCACAAUAUAUCUCAAUACCUAUAUAGAUGUACAUUCGUAUUUUGUGAUCAAUCAAUCCCAUAUCAAAGCCAUAAUGUAUUUCAAGCCAAAUCAUAUUAGUUAGUGAAGAAAAAGAAAUGGUAAAAGACAUACCUUUGCCAUACAUUGCUGUCCUGAAAAGUGGCAUUCUAUUUUCCCAACAAAUGACCGAACCAAGUUUUCCAUAUGGAGUGUCAUAAACUGGAGUUGUAGAGCAAUCUCCGAAACCCCAGAAGAGCCGCUCCCAAUAUGUUGGCAUGAGUUUCCUAUGUUUUCCAAGGUAAUUACCUUCAGGAUCAAAGAAGAGAACUGUGCAAUACAAUGUGUAUCCAUCUCUCUCAACAACACCUGUCACUAAGUAGACUUUGUAUUUCGCAGCCAUUGAUGCCAAUCUAUCCACUUCAGGUCCUGAAAAUACAUUAAUAUGAGAUCAAAGAUGAAACAUGUAAGCUGAUGGUUCAUCACAAAGCAUAAGUAUAAUUUUUUUCUUGGUUCAUUCAUCAAACGUGUCUUGUUUCAAUAACUAAUUAAGUGGUUCAGUUCUUUAGCUAUUUAAGGGAGAAAGAGAGAGAUAACUGACCCGGCACAUUAAUGGCAGAAGCAUGGUACUUGCGGAAACUUUCUUUCCCUCUUGGCGACUGGUCGGCGAAGUUGUAUCCCCGGGGAUACCCACCGAUAAAUGCUUCAGGAAACACAACCAGUUGGGAUCCUAGUGCAGCUGCUUCUUUCAAAAACCUCUCAGCCUUAUCUGCUCUCAAAAUCACAUUGCAAGAAUUAAUAAUCCACGACUUAGAAAGUAAAUUAAUUGGUUGAAUGGAGAGAAUGAAAAUUAACUUUAAGAGAUCCCGAAUGACUUUUUGGUUGCUGAGAAAACUCAAGGAAAAACAGACCUAGAUGAAACUUGAAACUCUCAUAUUUUCAGCUGUUUUGUAACUAAGAAAAGAGAAACCACCUCAACCCAACUCAUCAAAAUAAUUGUAAAAGCAGUAAUUCCUUGAUUGGCAGCUGAAAAUAUGAUCAGGGUUCAAUCAUCCUUUUCUUUUUUUCAGUCUCUGAGAAACCAAUUAGAUCACAUAUUCCAUUACACAAGUUGCACAAUUGAAAUUAAUGGUACGUUACCUAGAGUGGCAGGAGUAUCAUAAAAGAUACUAGAAGCUUGAACAACGGUGGCUCUGACAGUUGAAGACAUUGCAGAAAUCGUAUGCUUUUUCGUUUCCCUUUUGUUUGAGGAUGCCUUACACAAAGUUCAGUAUAUAUAUUGCCCAUGAACAUGAGGUUCCUCUGCCAUUACUUGAACGAGACGAAGAGGCUGUGAAAAGUCUGCCUUGGUUUUCUAUAUUCAUUAUGAGCUUUUCUCCUCAUCACAAAUUUUUAAGUUAUCCGCAGACAUUGUGGACCAGCGACAUGACUUGUACAAAUUGAAAAUGACUGUCAUCUGUGAAAAGUAAUUUAAGAUAAAAUUCAAUUCAUGGUUUGAUAGUUUUAGACAAACAAAACAAGUCUUUUUUGCCUUAGAAAAAGGCCUCAACCAAUUAACACACAUACCCAAAUUAUUAGGCUUUUAUUUUCAUUUCUUUUAUAUAUAUAAUGCACAAAGAUAAAUUGUCUUUAGUGUUAAAGCUGAGGCCUUUUAUGACCUCAGCCAUAAAAGAAAAAAAGAAUAGUCAUUAAAAGCACAAGAUAUUUGUCAUUUUUUUUUACAAAAACGACUGAGUCGUACAUAGUGUUAUAGUUUUAGACGCCCAAAAGAAGUCUUUUUGUGCCUUGUAAGAAAACCUCAGCCAAUUCAAGAUGAUCAUCUUUGAACGAAAAGAGGGAGCCGCCCACAUGCAUGGAUUCCAUCCAUGACGUGUACUAUAUAUCUAUAAAACCCAGCAUAUAGCUAAAAACUGGGUCUGACCUUAUGUAUUGGUCCCUACCAAAAAUUAAUGAGUGAUUCCGUCACCCCAGAAUGAAAGGGGUGAUCUCAUAGUUCUUGGUCUGUGAAGAUGCGUUGUUAGGUGCUCCAUUUUAUUUUCCCAUUGAGGCAGAACCUAAACGUUACUAACAUGUUUACUUUCAUUGUGGGUAAUGUGUUUGGGUUCAAAGGCAGCUAUGGUAGAAAAAUAAAAAGGAAGAACUAUGCUUACCCUCACGUUGAUUCAAGCAAAUAUAUUUUUUAGGAAUUCUAAUUUUCAUAUUUCACCCCAAACACAUAAUAAAUAAAUUUAUUCUUCAAAUAUGUAUUUUAAUAACAACCAAAAUGAGAAUUCUAUAGUUAUCCCUUUUAAAAUCUUUAAUAUGACAAGUCAUCAUUUGAUCUAUUUGAUAGCUCUCCCACUUUUUUUUUUUCUCCUCUUCAUCACUUUCUCCAUAUAAUGUCUUUGAUAUCCUUUCCAUAUCAUGUCUUUGAUAUCCUAACUUUGACAUUUUUUUAUUUAUAUACGCUGAAGUGAAUACACUUUCAUAUUUCUUUUCAUUCUUUUAAUAUUUUCAUAUUUAUUAACUUAGUCAUUUUUUUGAAACAUUAACAUAAAAUUAUAAUAUAUGAUCAAUAACUAAUGAGAACAAAUUAAACAUAAAUAUAAGUAUGGAAUGGAGAGAAAAUAAAAUUUUAUCCUACAAAUAAUACAUAAAUAGUUUAAAAUAUUAAUUAUAGUAAUAUAUUUGAUACUUUAGGGUUUAGAUUAAAAAAUUAUGUUUUAUUUUUUAGAGGCUAGGAUAUAGGAUUUCCAUUAACCAAAGAUUUUUUGUAUGAAUCCUAAAUAAAAUGUGUAUUUAUUUUGCAAAUUCUUAUCAUAUAUAAAUAAAAUAAAAUAAAUAUAUUUUUAUCAUAUUAUUUUUAAUUUUUAUUAUUUUGUGUCAAAAUCAUAGUCAAUGAUAUUGGUUUUUGUUAUGAUAUUAGCUCUUAAAAGGAUGUUAUGAUGUAAUAAAUAUGAAGUUUAUUAUUUAUUUAAUGGUAUUUUGAUUUCACUUUUAUUAAUCUUUAUUUCAUUCAUUUUACCUUAUGAGUAUUCUAGCCUGACAUUUCUUGCACUAUACAUAACUUGGGUGCAUUAAAAAUUGCAUGAAAGAUCCAAGUUAUAGGUUCCUUGCAAGUGAAUGAUUUGUUCACAACUGCUUUGUGAACUUAAGCAAUCCAUUUGAUGUUGUAGUUCACUAUCUCUUCAUUAGAGGAAUGAUUGAUCUUGACUAUCGAGAUAGAGUUCUCAUGGUGAGUACACUAGUAUGAUGAGUUAUGAUGUAAACUUGUUGGAUAGUCAUAACUUCACUAAGUUGUUAUAUUGUAUUGUUUUCUCAACCUUGAGAGAAUAUUGAACUUGUGCCAAAGUUUGUAAUUAUUUAACCUAUGGGUGAGAUCAUAAAGUGAUUAUAUAUUCCUUACGAAUUGGGACAUAGUAGAUAGAAGUCGGUAGUAAUAAGUAUUUUCAAUAGAGACAUCAUGAUAUCUCAUGGAAUUUGAGAUAGUGUUGGGUGAUAAUAAGGACAUGUAAUCAUGAAGUCUAUGGUUGCAUUAAUUCUUUAAAUGAAGUUUGAUAUAUGCUUUUGUGAGUUAGAGUAUGUUAGUUGAUCAUAUAAUAAGAGAAUAUGUAACUCAAGGAUGGUAUAGGUAAUAUUGAAAGGCAAAUAACUUUCACCUUAUUAGAUUAUAAACACCAAUUCAUGGGGAGACUAUAUGCAAUAGAUAGCAGGUCAUGAAGUUAAGCAUUUUGUGUCUUGUUGUAAUACACAUAGGGCAUUGAAAUGUAAUUGACUUUCUAUAGUAAGAUGUUGAGCCAACUUUAAAAUUGGAUUAUAAAGGAGCCAAUACUAUCUUAUGGGUCUUAGCAGUCCUCGCUCAAGUUCAUUUAUCUCAAUGACAUGGUUUGUGAGGGUUGGAUUGACUCAUGAUUCACUUAUGUGCAAAAAGGCAUUUUGGCAAGUAUGCAUGAAUGCAUAAGAGUUUGUUGGGAUAAAACCUUAUAAAUCAUGACAUGAUGUAAUAGAUUUAGUUUCAUUAAUAAAUAUAUUUAUUUACUAUUCUAGUUCCCUUAUAUUAUCCCAUUGGCAUUAAUUGGUUAUCAAAGUAUUUGCGUCCAUAUCACUUGCAUUGUACAUGACUUAGGUGUAUUAGGAGUUGAACAAAAAAUCCAAGUCAUGGGUUCUUUGCAAGGUGAUAAGUAGUUUAUAGUGGGUUCAUGGAUUUAAGCAAUUUAGUAGAGACUAUAGUGUACUACCUCCUAAUUGGAAAGAUGACUUGUCUUAGUCACCGAGAUGACUUUCCCAUGAUGAGUGAAACAAUGUGUAUGGUUACACAUUGGACAUGACCUAUGAUGAAUUAUGACAUUAAUUGUUGGGUAGUCAUGAUUUACCAUGAUACUAUAUUGUAUAAACUCUCAACCUUGAGAGGAUAUUGAGUUUGUGCUGAAAUCAAUAGGAAACUUUGAUCUAUGGGUGAGAUCCUUGUGUGGUCAUGUAUUCCUUACAAAUUGGGUCACGGUUGAUGAAGAUUGGUGGCAACAAGUAUUCUUAAUAGAGAUACCAUAAUAUCUUAUGAGAUUAAGACAACGUGUCUCUUGGGUGAUCCUAAAGACAUGUGAUUAAGAUGACUACAACCAUAACAAUCCCUUAGUAGAAUUUGACAUAUGCUCUUUGUAAGCUAGAAUAUGUCAAUUGAUCACUUAAUAGGAGGAUUUGUAACUCAAGGAUUGGAGAGAUAAUUUUGAAAGGUUGGCAUCAUUACCUUGUUAUAUUACAAACACCGGUUCAUGGGGAGUCUACAUGCAGUGGAUAGUAGGUCAUAGACCUAAACUUUGCCUUGUUGUAAUUAUAUAGCAUAUUAGAGUGUAGUUGACUCUCUUUAGUAGGGUGUUAAGUUAACCUUAGAAUUGGAUUCAAAGUGAGAUAGUAUUUUCCUAUAGGUUCCAAUGGUCCCUGCUCAAUCUGGUGUCACAUUUGUUUGAGGGAUUUUAGGUUUGUAGUUAACAAGUGUGCAUAAGGGGGAAUUUAAUAAAAAUACAAGGUUGGACUAGAUCUUGUGAAUAGACUUUCUAGAUUGGCAUAAUUUAUUAAUUGGAUUCUAAUAGGGCUAAUUAAUUAAUUAGGACCUAAGUGAGCUAAACCAGGUAACCUAAGCCCAAUUUGGGCUCAAGUCACUAAAGUUCACAAGGAAGCUUAUAAAUAACUAUUUAAAGCCCAUUGGGUUUUAUGAGUAACUUAAGCUUGCCUUGGGUUUGGGUAACUUAUUAUAACCUAAAAAGGUUCUUAAUUGAGGGCUUAGAUUAAUCAAUUAACUUAGUCUAAAAGUACAAUUCACCAAAUUUAUUGGAAACUUUGAAUUACUCCAUUUCAUGACCCAGGAUCAUAUAGGGUGCAUGCAACUAUCCUUACGCUUCUCUAGAUCUAAUGCAAUGGAAAAAUAUGGAUAUAAAAUCCAUAAAAUGUACUAGAUUUAUAGAUUAGAACUCAUACCUAUGAUUUGAAUGUUUCUAAAUUAAAUCCAAUCCCUAAAAGACAUCAAAGAUGUUUUAAAAGUCAUUUAUUGAACAAUUUUCCACCCAAUCUCUCCUUUCACAGAUAGACCCUAGCAUAAAAGAAGGGUAGGCUUAUGUCCCUUCUUUUUUAAGGUAGCUAGGGUUUGCUCAUUCUUUUAGGGCAUCAAACUCUUAGACUUUUACUUUUUCCAUUCUCUCCCACGUGUCUAGAGAGAAUCUAGUCCCCACUCUUCUAAAUAUCUAACAUUUGAGUUCGUAGCUUUAAUGAUGAGCCAUCAAAUAGAAAACCAAUAGGUUUGCAAGAUUUUCGAUGACCCCUACACAUUUGAUAACCUCCUUGACUGCAAAAAUUUGAUUUGGGAAUAUCUAGAUCUUGGUAAAUACUUCUAAUCUAUAGAUUUAGAUCUAAUUUCUAUUUUAAAGGUGAUUUUUUUUUCAUUGCUAGGGUCUAGAUAAGCCUAGGAAAGUUUGCAUGCACUUAACGAGAUCUAGGGAUAGGGAACUUAGUGAUCUAUGCUUUCUUGUAGUUGUAGCUUUUUGCUUUUAAUUUUAACUUGAGUGUACUUUUGGCUUUUUCUUGCUUAAGCUUUUAAUUUUUUUUGAAUGAUGUACAAUGCAUUUAUUUUUUUAGAGGAAUGUAUUUAUUUUUCUUAAUGAUGUACUUUCUUUUUUGAAGGAUAUACUUAAUUUUAUAACAAAUGUAUUUAAUUUUUUCUAAAGAAUGCACUUAUUUUUCUAAGGGAUCUAGUUGUAUGGCAUAAGAUGUCCUCUCAAGCAGAGGUGGAGGUACUAUAGAUUUUGUAAUAGGCACAAUGAUUGCUAAGGUGGUAUGUGAUGGAGGGACUAGUAUAAAAGCCUGAAGUAAGGGUGUGUCCAAUGAUAUAAAUGGCUCAAGUAAGUAAAGAGAAAAUGGUGUGGAAAUUCAAGUAGGGAAGAAAGGGUUGGUAUGGAUUCAUCGGGGGAAGGAAAUGUAGGUUCCAUGAUACAGAUACCUAAAGUAAGGGAAUAGUAGAUAAUGUGUAAGCCCUAAGUGGGGGUUGUUGAUGCUAGGUCAACUGAAGAUGGAAUCCCUUGGUCGUGGCAGCAAAAAGGUUCUGUCCAAAAGUUGGAGACUGGGCUUUCACCUUCCCUGCACAAAGAUGUCUGGACACACUCUCCAAAACCUAAGUCAGACUUUGAAGUGGGCAGGAACCCUUAGAGAUAGAGAGAGAGAGAAGAUGAGAAAGUCCUUAGUAUUGCGUACCUAGGUUCUGGUUCCAAGAGGGUUUUUAUAGUGUCUAGGAUGGAGUCACUAUUGUGCUGAGUUAACAUCUUGACUUUUGUCGUCAUGAUGGCAGCACAGUGGAUGGCAGGGUAAUCAUCACCAUUUAAGCGGUUGGCAGGGGUUGCUGUGGGUAUGUUAUGAUGGUUUGCCUGUCACCUCAACCUAUUGGAGGUAUGAGGCAGUGUGUGAUAGUCGUCUGAUAUGAACGUGGAGACAAGGUAAGAUCCCAUCCCCCAUACUUUUUUUAGAAAAAAAUGAUUUCCUGCAGCAGAGAGAUAGAGUAACCAUCCGGAAUGCGCUGGCAAUUUAAGGGAGCCUAGUACUGCCGGUUGGUAGCAUGUAUAGUCCAGACUAGGACCUUCGAGUCUGAUGAUGAUCGUCCGGACAACAUUGAGAUGAACACCACAUGGGCCAGUAGUGGUUUGCCACAUGGGGGAAGAUCUCCACAGGGGUGACAAGGUUGGAAUGAAGGUAUCAUGGAAGAGGAAAUAUGAGUCUCUGACAGCUUUGACUUAUUUCUUAAAAUGAAGAUAUAAAUUGUUUUUAACUUUAAGUUACAUCAUUAAGUUCUUUUAAUAAAUAUACUUUACUUAAUAACUAAAAUUAAGUUAUUAAGUCACUUUAAGUUAUUAAGUUAAUUUACCAAACGCCUACUAAUUUUCAAAUUCUAAGUUUAGCUUUGCUUUGUAGUGAAUGCAUUUAGGAUUAUCAAAGAGGUCAUCAAGGGUUUCAAACAUAUUCUAUUGCUCAACUUCUCAAAGAGGGACUUCAGAAGAGAAGAUUCCAUAAUUCUAGUUUUGUAUUCGAUUGUAUGUAUCCUACCACAUGGAGACGAUUCCUCAGCAUGCUGAUUUAUUAUUAAGUGCAUGUGAAUUACGUACGGAAUUCCAAUUGAUAUGAACAUAAAAUUAAUUGAAUUAUGUGACAUUUUUUUUACGCAUAAUAAAACAUAUACAGUUGGAAGAUAUCUCGAGAUUCUGAUUUUAUAUCUGGCCCUCAAAAUUCUAUUUCACUGUCAGGUUGUGGAGCAUAUCCCUUGGCAUGCUGAUAUGUCAACUAUUGAAAAAUCUGCAACCAUUUUCUAUAUUCAUGAGCUUUUCUCCUGUUCGAAUUAGUUUUGAAGUUAUCUACAGACAUUGAUUGUGGACUAACUACAUGACUUGUACAAAUUGAAAAUUACUUCAGUCAUGUGUAAAAAAUAAUAAGAGAUAACAUUCAUUAAUUGUGGAUAAAUUGUCUAUAUGACUUUAAAGAAAAAAAGGUCAUAAAAAAACUGAUUGCCUUGUGGAUACGCCUACCAGUAGAUAGCUGAGAACAAGGUCUAACUCUCAACCUUUUGUACUGCCUCUACAAAGGAACACAAAUUUGAGAGAUUCAAAGGCAGCUAUGGUAUAAAUACUGUUUCAUAAAUUACUUUUCAAAUUUAAUUUGGUAGCAAAAAUAAAAAAUAUAAAAGCUUAAAAAAUUUGUUUCAUUCCCAAAAUUUUUGCAAAUAAAAUUUUAAAUAAAUUAAGACCUUGACUCUUUUCACAUCUUAUUCUCAUUUCUAUCAAAGCAAUGAUAGUAAUAAUAUCUUAUGUAUAAAUUUUAAAUGAUGUAAGAUCAUUGAAUUUUUAUUUUCUUUUAACUUCUUGUUAUGUAGUUAUCAAACAUAUUUUUUUUUAAGACAAGAAAAAAAUUAGACCAAACAAAUAUAUUUGAUAUUUAUAACAAUUGAAAACAUAAUUCGUAUCAUUUUAAAAAAUAAUAAAAGCAAAGGUGUAUCAAAACAAUACCUCAUUUGCGUAAUUAGUUAUCACAUUUCCUAAGUACAAAAGUAGGCAAGUAAAUUUUUGCUCAAGUUACAAUAGUGCUCAAAAUCCUUACCCAAGACUUAGAUCCUAUUUCACUUUUUUUCUUCCUUAGAACAAAAAACAAGAAAAUGUGUUUGACAACCGGAAAAUAAGGUUGUGGACCCCGCAUUUUGCUUGAUGCGUUCCCACUCGAUGGUGAAACUCGUUUUUUUUAUUUAUUUGGUGAAAAAUCGAUUUUUAGAAAAAGACUUGAAGUCGCCACUUAUUUUUGUUUUGUUUUUAAAGAGUAAAUAAAAUAAGAAAGAAAACCCUAAGUGUGACUCCUUAUUUUGGAAAAGAUGGUCUGUGAAAAACCAAAUAUGAGCUUGGGGGUCAGGUUACUUAUUGGGAAGGUACGGUAAAAACUGUAACACCCUUCUAAGUCCCUAAAAAUGGAUCUCUACUAAUAAAAUGAAGCAAGUGUGGAAAAUGAUUGAUCAAUUGUGGAUACCAUACAGUAAUCGAGAGUGUGAAAGCAAGACACGCGUGAUAACAAAUAAAUAAAUAAGCACAAUCGGGUACAAAGCGUACCUUAAUCGCAAGCCAAGAGUUAUCAUAAGAGACAAGAUUAGUGCACAAAUAUGGGAUAAUCGCAUGCAUGUCAUAGAGUGAGGCAAACCAAUCAAACAUAGCAAUCAAUCGAUCAAUGGAAAAUCUCAUGUGUUGGGCCCCACGAAAGCCCGAUUUAUCUUAGUGUAGAUUAACUCCGUAAAUUUCAUUAUUCGAAAUUAUAGAAUUAUUCAUGCUUAUUAAAAAUGUGAAAAUUAGAAAACUAUUAAAAAUCAAGGAGAAUUUAUGAAAAAUGUUUACCGGAAAAAAAUGUGGUGACCAAUUUUAUUAAAGAAUGGAAAAUAUUUAAAAUCAAGAAAAAAAAAAAAGAAAAAUAAAAUAAAAUAAAAUAAAAUAAAAAAUAAAAAUAAAAAUAAAAAUAAAAAUAAAUAAAUGAAUAAAAUAAAAGAAAAUAAAAAAUAAAAAAUAAAAAAUAAGAAUGAAAAUAAAAAAAUAAUAAUAAUAAACAAAUAAAAUAAAAGAUGCAUGACCAGUGGAAAGUGGUAGAGAUUGACUUAUUAGAAUUGGAUUUAUUUAAAACCAUGAGAGAAAAAUUGAAGAAUUAAAACCAUUUGAAAAACAAGAUUUUUUUUUUUUUUGAAAAUUGAUUUUUGAAGGCGUGUAUUUUCCUAUAGGAGAUGAGACAUGUGUCUUAAGGAUGGCCUAUCAAAGGUGGCCAUGCAAGGAUCUUGUGCACUGGUGGUCGAAUAUGGGAUACCAACAACUGAGAUGGCCCAGAUGACUACUGUGGGUCCGGAUGGUUCAGAAUGUCUCUUUCCUUGUGAACCCCUGCAUCCCUUUCCAGCCUAAGUCAACCCCCGAAGCUAUGCAAUUCAGCCAUUUGGGUCCCAAAAUCCUCCUUCUUAGUUCUGAUGCUGACAUCACCAUCUUCUUCAACCUCAACUCUUCCAACAUUGGGUAAACCAUAGCCAUGGCAGCGACCUACGGAUAAACGUUACCUCCCCACCCAUCCGGCACCAGAUUAAAGUCUGUAGAAUGCGGCUUCCCCUUCAGCGCCACUGACCGGAGCUCCGGGAGCCGCCUGAUCACUAUCCCAGGGCUCACAGCGUAGUAGUCCUCGACUCCUCGAUGAAGAUCCGUCAUCGGCUCCACCGCUCCACCUCAUACCACGAUUUGCACACCACAGAUAUCACGUUUCGGUCCUUAUCGGUAUGAAUGAAAGAAAAGACAUGCUCCAAAACCUCUUCCGGAAACGAGUACGCCAUUGAAAAUUCUUUCUUGGAGUUCCGAAUUCACAAACAAACCCUAAAUCGAACUUUUCGAAGUCUCAAAUCCGAGAUGUCAUUAACAAGCUCAGUUGCAGAAUACAUCUUUCCGUUCAUUUCCCCACUGGCUUUGUCCCUGAAGUAUUUGUAGUCCGACAGAUUGUAGGGGAACCUCACUGACAUAUUGUGUUCGGUCUUCUCACUCACCACGACAAGGCUAUAAAGAUAGAGUUGAAACGGCGAAUCAAGAGGCAGCUUUAAGUGAUCGAUUUUACAGAAAGAACCCGCUUCCUCCAUUCCUUCAUUGGAUGAAAUUUUGGAUAAUCAUUCACCAAUUCUAACUUUCAUCUUCACCAAGUCUCGAUGCUUCUUCUUUAAUGAGUGCAACGAAUCUGCAUGUCGGGAGACCAAAUUCUCACGACGCAUAAGAAAAGAAUUUGCACCCGCCGUUACCGAUCCUUCUCCUUUGAUACCAACUCAUCCAUAACUAUGUCAUUUAAUCACUUCUCCAUUUGACCAUCCAUUCCGAACAUGCCCAGAAAAUCAUUGCUACUUCCUGUCCAACACUUAAAAGAAAAAUGACGAUGCCGGGUGUGGUGUUGAAUACAGGACGAAAAUGAGGAGCACGAUGGUGAAAGUGACCAUGCAUAGGGGAAAAAGUGUGGUGGAGAAAUGGGAAGAAUGAAAACAGGUAGUGAGAGAAACGGUGUAACAUAAUGUGCCUAUGCUGUGUUAGGUUAUAUAUGUAAAAACAACUUUUUUGUUUUUGUUUUGAGUGGUUGUCAUGCUUCCACGUGGAGAGAUUUACACAAGUUAAAUCUCUUUGCAUCUGGUUUAAAUUCUGGUGUCUGUACAACAAAAAAGUGAAGAACCGAGAAUACAAAGUGAAAAGAAAUAGGGUCCUCUGUUUUUUUGGGACUGUCUUAACUCCUCUGUUCCAGGUCUGUUACAAGGUGUCACUCUUCCAUUUUUUCUUUCUAUAGCCUUUCUCUGUUUUAGGCUGAAACUGCAGCCAACAUAAUUGGUAUUAGAGCAACCCAUUUCACGAAUCCACCUCUCAAUCUAAUCUUCGAUCCACCUUGCUGUUUCCAAUAUGAUCUAAUCCACUUCUUCUUUUCAAGCCCUUUUAUUUCUUAAAACAUGCCUCUUGUGUAUGGAAUUUUAAGAAAUUUCCUCUGUUUUGGAAAGAGAGGAUACUAGGGUUUCUUUUAAUCUGAAGACCAAAAUCCGAACCUACAAUGUAGCUGAAUUGGUGAUGUUGCUGUGCAAUCAGAUUCUGUCUAGAAACCCUCAAUCCUGAAGCAGACGGACCAAGGACUUGAAGGGUAGAUCAAUGGCCAGCACAAGUGUUACAAGUAUGAGUUCUCAACCUUCUUCUAUUCCAUUAUUUGAAGGAGAAAAUUAUGACUUUUGGUGCGUAAAAAUGAAAACUUUAUUUGUCUCAAGAUGUUUGGGAUUUGGUUGAAAAUGGUUUUGAUGAACCUCCGGUUGAAAAAGAUCAGUUGAAAGAAUUGAAAAAAAUGGAUGCAAAAGCUCUCUUAUUUAUUCAACAAGGUGUUGGUAAUAACAUCUUUCCAAGAAUUAUGAGAGCUUCAAAAGCUAAAGAAGCAUGGGACAUCCUUCAACAGGAGUUCCAAGGAGACAAAAGAACCCAGUCAGUAAAGCUUCAAGCUUUAAGAAGAGAGCUGGAAAAUAUGAAAAUGAAGGAGAAUGAAACUCUAAAUGAGUUUUCUUCCAAAUUUAUGGAGUUAGUAAAUCAGAUGAAGUCAUAUGGUGAAGAAAUUAGUGAUAAAAGAAUCGUUGAGAAACUUUUAAUCAGUCUACCUGGCAAAUUUGACCCAAUUGUGGCUAUGAUUGAAGAAACAAAAGAUCUCUCACUGCUCAGUGUACAAGAGCUAUUUGGGUCUUUAAAAACUUAUGAAUAGAGAUUGUUGAGGCAUUCUGAAAAAUCAGUAGAAAGUGCAUUCCAAUAAAAAAUAAGCCUUAACUCCAGAAAUGUUGAAAGGAAACCUAUAAGCAAUGAAAAUAAAAGUGAUUCAUCUAGAGGUGGUAGAACUGGAUGAGGAAGAGCAAAAGGAAGAGAUGGAAGAGGUAGAGGAAGAUUCAGCUAUGGAAGAAAGUUUACUAACGAGGAAGGCUCAUCAUUCUCAAAGUGUAAUAUUUGUAAAAGAAGUAGUCAUGUUGAAAAAGAUUGUUGGUUCAAAGGGAAGCCUCGAUGCUUCAAUUGUAAAAAAUUUGGGCAUGUUAAAAAAGAUUGCAGAUUUAAGAACAAUCAACAAGCAAGUUGUGCUGAGGAGAAAGAGGCUGAUGAAAACAUGUUUUAUGCUUGUCAAAGUGUUGCUGAGCAAAAGAAUAAUGUGUGGUUCCUUGACAGCGGCUGCACAAACCACAUGACUGGUAACAAAAAUAUUUUCCUUGACAUGGAUACAACCAUCAAAUCAUAAGUCAAAAUGGGUAAUGGUGAUUUAGUGAAUGUUAAAGGGAAAGGCACAGUUGGUAUCCAAACUAAAGUGGGAACCAAGUACAUCAGAGACGUUCUUCUUGUACCAGCCUUAGAGCAAAAUUUGUUAAGUGUGGGACAGCUAGUAGAGCAUGGGUAUAAACUUCACUUUGAAAAUAAUGAGUGCACCAUUUAUGAUAAGGAGCAAAGAAGAAAUUUAGUGAAGAAGAUAAAGAUGGAGAAAAAUAGAAGUUUUCCAAUUGUCUUCAAAUAUGUUGAAAAUGUGGCUUUGAGAAUGGAAGAUGUUGAAGAAGCUUGGUUGUGGCAUAGAAGAUUUGGGCAUUUGAACUUCAAUAGCUUGAAGAUGCUUUGUCAAAGGAAGAUGGUACAAGGAUUGCCAAACGCCAUUGAAGAAAAGAAUGAAGUAUGUGACGGUUGUGCUCUUGGGAAGCAUCAUAGACAAUCAUUUCCAAAGGGAGUCGCUUGGAGAGCAAAGAAGGUAUUGGAGUUAGUUCACACUGAUAUAUGUGGACCCAUGUCUACACCUUCUCAAGGCAACAACAAGUACUUUGUAUUGUUUAUUGAUGAUUUUACAAGAAUGACUUGGGUGUUCUUCAUGAAGCAAAAAUCAGAAGUGUUCUCUAUCUUUAAAAAAUUCAAGAGUUUUGUUGAAAAGCAAAGUGGUUGCUACAUAAAGACCUUGAGAAGUGACAAAGGAAUGGAAUAUACUUCAAGCCAAUUUGGUAAUUUUUGUGAAGAUGAAGGGGUUGAGAGACAGCUUACUGUUGCAUAUACUCCUCAACAAAAUGGAGUAGUUGAAAGGAAAAAUCAAACGGUUAUGGAAAUGGCCAAAGCUAUGUUAUAUGAGAAGGGUUUGCCUAAAAUUUUUUGGGCUGAAGCAGUUAACACUGCUGUGUAUCUUUUGAAUAGAUGCCCAACAAAAGCAUUAUUGAACAAAACUCUGAUUGGAGUAUGGAGUGGAAGAAAACCAUCUGUUAGACACUUCAAAGUGUUUGGGUGCUUAUGUUAUUCACAAGUUCCAAAGGAAAGAAGGAGCAAGCUGGAUGAAACAAGUGAAAAGUGCAUCUUCAUGGGUUAUAGUUCACAGUCAAAGGGUUAUAGGUUGUAUAAUUUGAAAACCAACAAGCUGAUCAUAAGUAGAGAUGUUAUUUUUGAUGAAAAAGCUGCUUGGAAUUGGGAAGAAGGUAAAAUUCUGAAGAAAACAAUUCUUGUUGAUGAACUUCAAACAAAAGCACCAGUUGAAACUGGAAAUGGCAGCACUUCAACUUCAUCACCUCAAGAAUCUCCAAGAUCAGUUCCAUUAUCUCCCUCAAUUGAGUCUCCAACUUCAAGCUCGUCGUCACCAUCCUCAACUCCAAGAAAAAUGAGAAGUUUGACUGAUGUUUAUGAGAGAUGCAAUUUGUGCAUUGUUGAACCUCAAAGUUUUGAAGAGGCAAUAAAAGAUGAAGAUUGGAGGAAAGCAAUGGAAAAAAAAAUUGAUGUCAUUGAGAAAAAUGAAACAUGGCAGCUGGUUGAAAAGCCAAAAGACAAAGAAAUCAUUGGGGUGAAAUGGAUUUUUAGGGUGAAAUGGAUUUUUAGGGUGAAAUACCAUUCUGAUGGUAGAGUUCAAAGGCUUAAAGCUAGAUUGGUUGCAAAAGGCUAUUCACAACAGCCGGGUGUUGAUUUCCAUGAGACCUUUGCUCCAGUUGCUCGCCUUGAUACUAUUAGAACUAUUAUUGCAGUGGUUGCUCAAAAAGGUUGGUUGUUGUACCAACUUGACAUAAAAUCUGCAUUUUUGAAUGGAAAGCUGGAAGAAGAGAUCUAUGUUGAACAACCUCAAGGAUUUGUUGUUGAUGGAGAAGAAAACAAAGUUUACAAGUUAAAGAAAGCCUUAUAUGGUUUGAAACAAGCUCCCCGUGCCUGGUACACUCAAAUUGACAGCUACUUCAUUGAAAAUGGUUUCAUUAGAAGCAAAAGUGAGCCUACCCUCUAUGUGAAGAGCAAAGAUAAUUCCCAAAUCCUUAUUGUUGCUCUUUAUGUUGAUGAUUUGAUUUUUACUGGAAAUGGUGAGAAGAUGGUUGAAAAAUUUAGAAAUGAAAUGAUGAAAAAAUAUGAAAUGAGUGAUAUGGGAUUGUUGCAUUAUUUUUUGGGAAUUGAAGUCUAUCAAGAAGAAGAUGGUGUGUUUAUUUGUCAAAAGAGGUAUGUUGAACAUAUCCUCAAAAAGUUUGGCAUGGCUGGUUGUAAUCCUGUAUCUACUCCUUUAGUUGUGAAUGAAAAGUUGAGGAAAGAAGAUGGAGGGAAGAUGGUUGAUGAAACUCACUUUAGAAGUCUUGUUGGAAAUCUGUUGUAUCUCACUGCAACUAGACCUGACAUCAUGUUUGCAGCAAGCUUGCUGUCAAGAUUCAUGCAUUAUCCUAGUCAUUUACAUCUUGGAGCAGCAAAAAGAGUCUUGAGAUAUUUGCAAGGCACGGUUGAACUUGGAAUAAAAUAUUUCAGGAAUAUUGAAGUGAAGCUAAUUGGCCAUUGUGAUAGUGAUUGGGGUGGCUGUAUUGAUGACAUGAAAAGCACAUCAGGCUAUGCAUUCUCCCUUGGUUCAGGUGUUAUGUCUUGGGUCUCAAAAAAGCAAGGUUUAGUGGCUCAAUCCUCUGCUGAAGCAGAGUACAUUUCAGCUUCAUUGGCAACUUCUCAAGCAAUAUGGUUAAGAAGAAUUUUAGAAGACAUUAAGGAGAAGCAAAAUGAAGCAACACAUCUACUUUGUGACAACAAAUCUGCUAUAGCCAUUGCAAAAAACUAUGUUUUUCAUAGUAGGACUAGGCAUAUUGCAGUGAAGUAUCAUUUUAUUAAAGAAGCUAUUUCAGAUGGUGAGGUUCAAUUGAUGUACUGUAAAUCAGAGGAGCAGGUUGCUGAUAUCUUCACUAAAGCAUUGCCUUUGGAGAAGCUUGUUCACUUCCGAAAGCUUUUGGGAGUAGAGGAACAUCACAUUAGGGGGGAGAAUGUAACAUAAUGUGCCUAUGCUGUGUUAGGUUAUAUAUGUAAAAACAACUUUUUUGUUUUUGUUUUUGUUUUGAGUGGUUGUCAUGCUUCCACGUGGAGAGAUUUACACAGGUUAAAUCUCUUUGCAUCUGGUUUAAAUUCUGGUGACUGUACACAAAAAAAGUGAAGCCGAGAAUACAAAGUGAAAAGAAAAAGGGUCCUCUGUUUUGUGUGGGGACUGUCUUAACUCCUCUGUUCCCAGGUCUGUUCCAAGCUGUUACUCUUCCAUUUUUUCUUUUUAUAGCCUUUCUCUGUUUCAGGCUGAAACUGCAGCCAACAAGAAAAAAGGUGUUAAAACCCAUUUACAGAUAAUCCUACUUUUUCAAGCAGAGUAGUAGGAAGCCUAGAGAGUAUCGAUAGGAAACAUGCAAGUGAGAUGGGUUCAGUUACAUAUAACUGCUCAUGCCUUCUGCUCAUGUUCUGUCCACAGUAUUUAUGUUUAGUAAGCCAUCNNNNNNNNNNNNNNNNNNNNNNNNNNNNNNNNNNNNNNNNNNNNNNNNNNNNNNNNNNNNNNNNNNNNNNNNNNNNNNNNNNNNNNNNNNNNNNNNNNNNAUGGCUGGUUGUAAUCCUGUAUCUACUCCUUUAGUUGUGAAUGAAAAGUUGAGGAAAGAAGAUGGAGGGAAGAUGGUUGAUGAAACUCACUUUAGAAGUCUUGUUGGAAAUCUGUUGUAUCUCACUGCAACUAGACCUGACAUCAUGUUUGCAGCAAGCUUGCUGUCAAGAUUCAUGCAUUAUCCUAGUCAUUUACAUCUUAGAGCAGCAAAAAGAGUCUUGAGAUAUUUGCAAGGCACGGUUGAACUUGGAAUAAAAUAUUUCAGGAACAUUGAAGUGAAGCUAAUUGGCCAUUGUGAUAGUGAUUGGGGUGGCUGUAUUGAUGACAUGAAAAGCACAUCAGGCUAUGCAUUCUCCCUUGGUUUAGGUGGUAUAUCUUGGGUCUCAAAAAAGCAAGGCUCAGUGGCUCAAUCAUCUGCUGAAGCAGAGUAUAUUUCAGCUUCAUUGGCAACUUCUCAAGCCAUAUGGUUGAGAAGAAUUUUAGAAGACAUCAAGGAGAAGCAAAAUGAAGCAGCAUAUCUACUUUGUGACAACAAAUCUGCUAUAGCCAUUGCAAAAAACUAUGUUUUUCAUAGUAGGACUAGGCAUAUUGCAAUGAAGUAUCAUUUUAUUAAAGAAGCUAUUUCAGAUGGUGAGGUUCAAUUGAUGUACUGUAAAUCAGAGGAGCAGGUUGCUGAUAUCUUCACUAAAGCAUUGCCUUUGGAGAAGCUUGUUCACUUCCGAAAGCUUUUGGGUGUAGAGGAACAUCACAUUAGGGGGGAGAAUGUAACAUAAUGUGCCUAUGCUGUGUUAGGUUAUAUAUGUAAAAACAACUUUUUUGUUUUUGUUUUGAGUGGUUGUCAUGCUUCCACGUGGAGAGAUUUACACAGGUUAAAUCUCUUUGCAUCUAGUUUAAAUUCUGGUGUCUGUACAACAAAAAAGUGAAGAACCGAGAAUACAAAGUGAAAAGAAACAGGGUCCUCUGUUUUUUUGGGACUGUCUUAACUCCUCUGUUCCAGGUCUGUUACAAGGUGUCACUCUUCCAUUUUUUCUUUCUAUAGCCUUUCUCUGUUUCAGGCUGAAACUGCAGCCAACAAAUGGGAAUGAAAUGUGAUCAUGCAUGCAUGAGGAUAGAUGGAUAGCGGAGGAAGUAGGUUUAUAGGUGCUGAAAGAAAUGGGUGUUUAGGUUGAAUGGAAGGUGGAGAUGUGGGGCGUGGUGACGGGUAUGAUUGAUGGGCUCGGUGGGUAUGAGAAGAAGGAAGAUUGGAUAGUGGGAGAAAUGGGUAUCGAAGAUGGUCGUGUUUGCAUGAUUCCCAUGCAUGCGUGGAGCUUCAGGCACGUGAGAAAUGAUAGAAAUGAGGUCAAGGUUGGUUGGAUGAAUGAUGAGGGUGGAUGUGUUGGUUUUGAAACCAGAUAAAUAAAAGAAAAAACGGAAGCCAAAAAAAUUUUCUCAAAAUUUUUUCUCAAUGAUCAAUACUUGUAUUAAUUUAAUGAAAUAACAAAUAUAGGUAAAUUAGAAUUGUACCUUGCGAUUAGGCUGAUAAAUUUGAACUUCACCAAAAGGAUCUUAGAAUUCCAAAUCCUCUAAAGCACCAUGGAUCUUUCUCUAACGUUCUCCAAAUUAUGAUGAACUCAAAACGAGUGGGCGUUUUUCAUUCUUGGGUUUUUUUCUCACACAACUUAAUAUAUAUUGAAAACUUGUAUUCUCUUCCCAUCAUCCGAGAAACAUUGAGAAAAAAAAAAUUUAAUACCACGAAGAAAAAAAAAUAACUGACAUGUUUUGAAUUUUGAAAAACAUGGGAGAGAAUAUCUCUCCCCAUGAUCCCCACUUAAAAAGUGUUUCUUUGAAUUUUGAAAAACAUGGGAGAGAAUAUCUCUCCCCAUGAUCCCCACUCAAAAGGUGUUUCUUAGGGAAUACAAGUAAGUGUGGUUUUCACCACAUUGUAUCAAAAAAUAUUUUAAAUAAUCAAAUUAUAAAAUAAAUAAAUCAAAUCAAGAUUGUGUGAAAUUAAUUUAGAAUUUAAAAUUCCAAAACUAAUAAAAUCAACCCAACAUAAAAAAAUGUUCAUAUAAUUUUAAUGGAGCCGUUGAGAGGAACUAUGGACAUUAUAAUUUUAAGCUCCAAUAAUUUUGACAAUUAAUUAACAACUUAAUUAAAAAAUCAAAAUUAUUAAUUCCAAAAUUACUCCACUAAAAAUUUGGAAUUGCACUCUUAAAAUUAUAAAAUUAAAUAUAUUCAAAGGAUUUGAAUUGCCCAUUGAUAUAGUCACUACAUAUGAGUCAAUCCUCCAUAAACGGUUCAUAAUUAAAGCUAGGUUUUUCCGUUAACCUCUUUAAUUAUAUCUUUCUCCUUAAGUGCCAUUGGUUCUCUAAUGAAUAAUAUAUUUAUGGUCUAAUCAUAAAUUGAGCGCUCUUAUCAUUCAAGGCCCGAACCAAUACUUAUGGGAACCGUCCAUCUGACUUCUUAACGAAGGAAUGGAUUUCAUCUUGUAUAUUAAUAUUCCCGGCUAUUUAUUUUAUUAUACUUCCAAUACACCAAGAAUUUGACACUAUGUAUUUGUGUCAUUACCCGGUAUGUCAAAAAAUACAAUAGAAUAAAUAGGAGUCUAUUAAUCACUCAGAAUUAAGAUCAAUGCAUAUAUGACCAUCAUUGAUUAAUAUUAAAUGCUCUAUAUUAUAAUGGAAUUUAUCAGAGAUUCAUAAUUAAUCGUGUUCCAGUCCUAUAUAAUCAAAUUAUAUAAAGCGCUUUCAAUCUAAUAAUCUCAUUAUUAACAAUCCGGAUAAGAUCAUUUCAUUCAGAAUGUAAUGAACCGCGCUAGUAAUUUUAAAUUAAAGAUCCCAUCUUUAAUUUUUAAUUACGAACAUAUUAGAUUAUUUUACUUUAAAUAUUAUCCUCUUGUAUAUAACACUUAUAUACAAUAUUUAAAGUUUCAAUUAAAUAAUCUAGGGUUUUCGAUAUUUAUAAAGCAUCUAUAACAUGCAUGCAACAAUAAUAUUGAAAUAAUUCCUUAAAAAAAUAUUAAUAAUCAGCAAAAUAAAAAACAUCUCAUUUGUUUAUGGGCACAUAUUCCAACAGGAUGGUAUAGGAGAAACGAGCAUGGGGUUGGUGAGGUGGGUUAGUGUGGCCGUGUAUGGCCAUGCAAAGGUGGGAGGGAAUGAGAUUGAGAAGAGUGAAAAAGGGUAGAGAGAGAAAUGAGUAUGAAAGAUGAGUGAGUAUGUGAGGAUUGAAAAUGGAACGAGGUGAAGGUGGCCAUGUGCAUGAGAUUUUCAUGUACAUAGAAAAAUGAAGGAAAUGGGUAUUAGUGAGAGAAAUGGGUAUGGUGGAGUGAAGGAUGAAAGGGUGGCGGGAUUAGAUGGGCAUGGAUAGUAAGAGGUUAAAGAUGGGGAGGAUGGGUGUAGUGGUGAAACAGUGUGCAUGAAGGGUACGUGGUGUAGAGGGAUAAAUGGGUUCAUACGUUUCAAGGAAAGGGUGAUAUGCAUGGGAGGUUAUGAAAGAUAAGUAUGGAAAUGGGCAUGAGAAGGUGGGCAAUAUGGGUAGGAUGAGUUCGAUGGGUGUGAAGCGAUGGGUUUGAUGGAGGAUAGGACGGAUGAGAGAUGAAGGAUGAAGUGGGUUAGAGAGUAUUAAAGAAGUGGUGGUGCAUAGAAGGUUAGGGAGAAUGAGGGGAUGAGUUUGGGUGUGAGUAUGGUUACGAGCAUGGUGGAGUGAAGGAUGGAGUACAAAAGUUGCAGGAAUGAUGAGAUGAGGUGGCCAUGUGUAGGAAUUCCAUGCAUGUGGGUAGGAAACAAAUAGCUGGGCAGCAAGGUGAGUGACGACCUGAAAACUCUCAUCAUCAAGAGCAUGGGUGGCAGUGGAACAAAUCUUUUCCUCAAACCUUUCAGCAAUUUUCCAUAUCUCACAUAGUUCCUCGGAAUCAGACCUUAACUGAUCUAGCUGGCAACUCUUUGAAGGGAUGAGUCAUAAGGUUACAUACCAAAGAGAUUCUUAUGGUUCCACACCUCAGAGUAUAGUUCCCGUACCUAAGAACGCCUGAACAUCAGGAGCAGAGGGAAAGUAGCAAAGACGGAGCAUAGAUGAAGAAAAUAAGAUUAACCAUCAAAAGCCACACUUCGUGUCCUAGUCAGUGGGCUUAAAGAUAGGUGGAUUAAAAGAGUUUCUAAAUGGCGCGAAGGAGAUAAAAUGGAGUUGAAACAAUUUUUGAACACAAACAGGAGCAAUAGAGGAACUGUCAACUAUGAAGAAAAAAAAACCAUAAAUCAUCCAAAGAUCAACAGCAACACAUCUAAAUAAUAGUAGAUGAAAAGAAAAGAAAUAUACACAGUGGAAGACUUACUUCUGGGAAAAUGUUGGAGGUCCUUCUUCUCUGCUUCUUCUUUUUCUCUUCUCCCACAACUCAUUUUUCCCUCAACUAUUUUAUUUUUCUCUUCCAGAACCCUCCGGAACCAAAGGUGUCCCCCCCUCCAGAUACUACCCCUCAGUUCAAAAAUAUCUCAUGUCUCUCUGAACACACUCCUCUCUCUCUUCGAUUCCCUCUCAAUCUUCUCUGAAAAAAAAACUCUCGGCCCCCCUCCAAAAAACGCCUUUUUUUCUCUUCCCUAAGCUAUCUAUCCCCUUGUUACAACCCACAAAAAUGUCUUUCUUGUCAUGUAGCCCCAUUUUCUGUUCAGUUCUGUCUCCUCUCUUCAAACGGUUGUGUCUCCCCUUUUUGAAACAACUCACCAUCAGCUGCUUUUCUUCCUACUUUCCAUCCCGUCUAGCCACCCAAAAACAACUCAUUCCCAGUCCUCUUUGGCUGCCCAAGAACGGCUCACCCAUCAUCCGCUUUCUUCACCUUCCGUCUUCUUUGGCUGCCCGAGAACGACUCCUUCUCAGGGUGGCCAGAAAAAUAAAAAAAAAUAAUAUGAAACCCCUCCAUCUCAAGGGUCUACAAAGGUGUUUUCAAAAAACAUAUAUUAGUUGUUUUUAGUUUUCUUCAUUAGCUUGGUUGUUUUAAAAAAAUAAUUAUACAAAAAAAAUGAUUAAAAAUAUAAUAUUAUAUACAAAAAUUAUUUAAAAAUUAUAUGCAUGAGUUUUGGAAAGUCUUGCAAAAUAAGCAAAGCUAUAGGAAAAAUAUGCAAACAAAAAUUUGUAUUAAAAUCAUUGGGGGCGGACAAUAUUUGUGGAAAAAUAUUUUUUGCCAAAGAAUAUUUUUUAAAGAUCAAUUGAAAGCCUAAAGCGACUUGUUCCCAAAUGAAUUUAUUGAAUGGUGAAGAGCAUGUAUGUUGCGAUUUUUUGGAUUUGUAGGGGGUAUUUUAUAAAGCUUUUUUUCUCUUUGUGAAACUUCUUUUCAUAUGUGAAAUUGUUUUAUUUUUUUAUCAUUUUCAUUGAAGGAAGUUGCAGAUAUUUAUAGAUGAAAUUAAAAAAUUAAAUUUAGAAUUUCUAAGAUUUGAUUACUUAAUUAAAAAAAUUGGUUUCUUAAUUUUAGCAACUUGUCUUUUUCAUUAAGGAAGUUUGCUAACAAGAGAUUAUUUACUUCUCAUUUUCUUUUGACUUCAAUUGGAAGAUUUGUUUCAUUUGUUUAGAAAAUUUGCCAACGAGAAAAUAUUGAUUUCUAAUUCUUUUUUAUUUCAAUUUUUUGAUUUGAUUUGAUUUUGCAAGACUUUAUUGUAUAGCCUUCCAAAUUUCGCUACAUGCCAUUUUUUGAAUCAAAUGCCACAUGUUCAAUAUAUAUGACUCAUCACUUAUCAAGCCCAAAUUUUGUUGAGCUAAGGAGUUACAAUUUUGAAGACUAAUUUGGUAGUAUUUUAAUCCACUAAAAUUUUUUAUGUUUACAAAUGCCCUGAAGACAGAUCACACACAUACAUUGCCAUGUAUAAGAGGUGAAUCUUGAAGUUAGCCAUUUGAAUCUUCCAUAUCCUUCUUUGAUUUUAUUUUUUUCGAAGAAAUAUUUUAAUAGGAAAUUUCCUAUUCAAAAUACUUUUCUUCAACUUUUUCCAAACACUACUUUAUUUAUUUAUUUAUUUAUUUAUUUAUUUAUUUAUUUAUUUGCCUGGUAUCAAAGAAAGACCUUGUGUUAAUGGGAAAGCUUCUUAUUUGAAUAUCUAUUUUCUUUUCUCAUGGUAUUUUCACUUCCAAUUUGCCAUCCUACAAUAAGUCCUUCACCCUAGCUUGGUCAAUUGCAUCUUAGACUUGUUCACAUGCCUUUAACUUGUAAUUCAAGUUCCAUUUUUUUUUGUUUAAAAAAUAAUACAAUAUAUUUGAGCAAGACCUUAAGCAAGAGAAGAGAGGUGGAGGAUGGAGCACCAGCUAACCUUAGGGCAAGAUCUUGAGCAAGAGAAGUAAGGUGGAGAAUAGAGCACAAACUUCUUUAGAGUAUGGUAGGCAUGUCGUCACAGAGUUAUCUUCCACAUGGAGCAUGGUAGGGCAUUAUAUAUAUGAUAGGGUGUGCCAUCAUGUAACAAUGAAGAACAACAAUCCAUGGUGUACAAUUGGGAACAACAAUUCAUGCUAUCAAGAUUCACCUGUUUUUAUUUAUUUUUUAUUUUUUAUUUUUAUCCCUAUCUCCACCCUCGACUCCAUUUUUUUUUUUUUCAAGUUUCUAGAUCCCUUUUGAUUCUUUCUCAUUUUCUUUUUUCAACUCUUUUUUUCCCUCCUUUUUUAAGCAUUGUUCUUAAGGAAAAAAUAUAAUUUACGAGUACCUGGAUUCUAUUCGAAUAAAAAAGAGCCAUUCACAUGCAUGGAUUAAAUAUAUAUCUCAUGGAUACAUUGUACUUAGCCACGGCUGAAGCUUUCCACUAUGACUUAGAAACAAAAAAAGAAAGAUAUGAUUAAAAAACUGAUUGGCAUGUGGCUGUGCUUGCCAGUAGAUGGCUGAAAAGUAGUUCUGACCUUUUGUUUUGGCCUCUACUAAGGAACCCAUUAUUGAGAGAUUUAAUGGCAACUAUAUAUGGUAUAAAUAAUGUUUCAUAAAGUACUUACACAUCUUAUUCUCAUUUCUAUCAAUGCAAUAAUGUAGACCCCCAUGUGGGGCUUGAUCUGCUGCAGCACAUUUGGCCACGUGUCACUCUCCGAUUGGCCAUCAUGGAUGCUCUUGAAGGCCAAUCUGGGGUCGACACGUGUCAUCAUGGAAUCAGACAAAAAUCUUUUUUUGGCUGUUAUUUGAGGGAGAAAAGCGGCUGCAUGAAGGUGGUGGUCUGGCCGUUUUGAGGAGUGCUUUUGGGAAGGCUGCAGGGUAGUGGUGCAGGGGGUGUCGUCUGGCAGCUGCAUUGAGAGUGAGAGAAAAAGGAGGGGAGAGACUGAGAGGGCAAGUGUUCACUGUCGUUUUGGCAUUGGGAGAGGGGGGUUUUUUUUUUCUAGAGAGAACAGAGAGCUAGAGGGAGAGUAAGAGUUUUGCUGGAAGGGAUUCCUUGAGCUGAGGCUGCCGGAGAGAUAUUUUGAGAGGGAGAGGUUUUUGGUGGCUGUUUUUCUGCAGGUCGUAAGGAAAACAGCCAGAGAGCUAGAAGGAGAAAGGGAAAAGAAAAAGCUAAGAAAAACAAAGCAGAGAGCUUUAGUGAGAGAGAGGAUUCCAGAGAGCACUGAGAGGAGAGGUUGCAGAGAGGAGUCCAGGGAGAGUUUCCAUUAGAGAGAGAAAAACAAAGGAAGAAGAAGAAAGGCAAACUGAGAGAGAGGGAGGAGAGAAACAGAGUAAGCUACAGGAGGUAUGGAGCAGAAAGAGUGAAGUAGAGCAACUCGAUACCCAUCUGGUCUUGCAAGAAAGAGGUGUGUUCAGGAUUUGAGAGAGGAGCAGGUGGGAUUAGAGAGGGUUCUUUGGCAGCUGCAGGGAAGACAAGGGAGGAUCUCCAAGUAAGUUUAUCAUGGUUUUCCAGUCUUUUUCUUAUUAUGAUAAUUGAUCCAUUAUUCUUCCUGCUAUUUCUGGGUAUUGUUUGAUGGCUUGAGCGUGGAUGCCCCCCAUUGUUUGAUUUCUAUUGGUUUCAUGGUAUGAAUGUGGAUUUAUUGUUAUAGUUUUUUUUGUCUCUCUUUCCUCUUGGGUUUUGCUGGAAAAUAACCUCACUCUAUUUCAAUUCCACUGUGAAAUGCUUGAGAAUCAUGACUUGUUCAUAUUGGCAUGAAUUUUCCCACCUAGUUAGCAGGCUCCCUGAUAACCCAUGAAGUGGAGCCUCAUUUGAUGAUAACUUUAUUUUGUUUUUCUUUUAUGUUCUGUUUUCCAUGGCUUCUUCUUUCUUGUGGCUCUUAUCUAAAUGCAUGGGAUGUGAGGAAAAGACCAGGAUCUUCAAGAUCUCCAAGCUGAAGAUGUUAUCAAGGAGCAAGCAAGUCAGACUUCUGUAUAAGUUCCACGACCCUAGGGAAAUGGUCUGAGAAGGUCUCUCGUGAAGCUAUGUAAGGUUGGCCGGAAGAGUCUUUCUAUGUUUCAACAAGCAGUUUCUGUGGACUUAGUUGGGUGCUGGACUUGGGUUUUAAAUGGUGGCCAGUGGAGAGCUUUUCGAAAAUCUCUUUCUAUUCAGGAUAAAGAGGUGCUCAAAGCCCGGGAUUUUGUUUUGAGUGAGGCAAGGAAGUAUGAAAUCGGGUUCAUAUUGUCAUUAAGUAAUAAUUGGGGAGAAUAUGGUGGCAAAGCAUAGACAACAACAGGCUCCCUCUGGUCACGGUACUGCUGAAAAUAAGGAAAGAGUCUUUCCAUGCUGGCAUGAGUGUUGAUGAAACCACCAUUACCCUACUCUCGCAUGGCUAUCUAUUUGCCCAGUUUCUCAUACCCACUUUCAUAUUAGCCUUCUCAAACCUCCCAGCAUGCUGUUUUUUUUUUUUUUUUUUUUUCUUGAAAUCUCACGGAUCAAUUCAUUCUUCUAUGCCCUUUACCCUUCAUGCAUACUAUUUUACCACCACAACCAUUAUCCCCACUUUCAGCAUAAUACCGAAAAUGCCCAUCAAGCAUUUUUUUUUCAUUUCAUAUUAUCCCUUCCACUAAUUUCCCACUCCCUAUUCCACACCAUACCCCCCGUGGUAAAUAUAGUCAAUGUUCUGACCCAAUUUUUUUUUUUUUUCUUUUAUCCCAUGCACGGAUCCACCUUUAAUAGACCCUACACAAUCAUCCCUUGGGACCCGAACUCACAACCCGUUUUCACUAUCAUCCUUCUCGCUCCUCUGUUUGUAAGUCAUUCAUGCCACUUUCCAGUUUUGAUAGAAAUGGAGCAGUUCCAUUGAUGUUUGCAGGGCUGCAAAUAUUCAUACCAGUAGGUAACCAUGCUAUCUCAGGACUGAAGUCUCGGAUCUUGGAAGGGUUCUCGCAGCGGGGUUACAGCGUUUUGCUCUCUUCACGAUCCGUGACUGCAGCAUAGUCGUGGUUUCCAAGUACAAUAUGGCAAUGGAAGUCAUUCAAGGGCUUUUGAAUGCAUAAUCAGUCGAUGGAGAUAUUCGGAAACAUGCAGAAGAGAGUUUAAAACAGUUCCAGGAGCAAAAUCUUCCAAAUUUCCUACUAUCUCUUUGCUUUGGCAAACUUUACCGAUGGUAUGGAGCGUGAUUAUAUCAUGAGAGUUGUCUGUGAAGCAACUCUGUCUCCUGAAGUCAAGAUAUUAAUAAAAGAGGUAGUGAACAUCCAAAGCAAGGAGAUGAUGAAGACGCUGAUGCUUCAGAUGAGAACUACAAUGGUUGAGGCAGAAAUUGAAGAUUGGACAAGGGAUUAUAGCAUCCGUACCUUGCUGAAGUUGCCAUGGAUAAAGGGCCCCUCUUCCAUCAAUUCAAACAGGGAUUACCUUUUGUUCUUUUCUGAGAGUUACAGAUUUUAUGGGAUGCAAUUGGGGCCCGCCAUGCAGCAUUAUUGACGUCAAAUUCACAGCUACAUGCUGAUAGUUUGGAUGAUAACAUGUGCGGCACAACUGUAAUAACAGUAUUGAUUCGUGGUCGGGCUAUAUAUGUUGCUAACUCAGGGGAUCCCAGAGCUGUUACAGUAGAAAGAAAAGGGAAGGAAAUUGUAGCUGUUGAUUUAUCAAAUGAUCGUUACCAUCCAUGCAGACUCUUGGUGGAUGACAUGUCCAGGGAAGCAUUUCCAGAAUCCUGAUGUGUAAAGGUAUAGCAGGAGGGAUGGUUGGAGAGUUGCAAGGGUUACGUCGCCCACUCAUUUGAGGUUUGAACUUGAUGUGCUAGCAUUCUCUGGUGCUACUUUAAUAAGGGUUUGGGUCACUUUGCUCUUCCCCCAGUGAAGCUGUGAACUGCCAUCUGUCACUUCCUCAAGUCAUUAUAACCCCGGUCGUGGUCUUCUCUCCCGUGCUAGGUCUCUCAGACUUCCUCAGGGCAUGCCUUUUUUUCAUUUUGCCUAUUCCCUAUUAUUGUUACUAUUAUUAUUUUCAUUUCUCUUUUUAUUAUAUUAAAUUUAUUUCACCUUUUAUUAUUAUUAUUAUUUUCUUUAUUAUUAUUAUUAUUUUAUCCUUGUUGUUUUCAAAAUAAUCCAUCAAAUUCCAGCUUUCAAAGGGUUUUCCAAAUUCCAUUUUUAUAAAAUUUAUUUACUUUUAAUUUUCAUCUUUAGUUUUUUUAGAAUCCCUCAAAAAUCUCAUUUCAAAUAAAAUUCACCGCCAUUUUUUGUUUUGGCCAGUGACUUUCACAAUUCCUCUGAUUUUCAAAAUGUUUUAAAUAAGCUAGAAUCGAAUUCCGUAAUUCCUAGUGAUGGAAUUUAUGGAAUUAAUUCAUGCAAAAAUGAAUUGGGCUUUGGUGGGGGCCCUACAUAUGAGAUUUCAUGAUUGAUUGACUGAUUGAUUCAUUCAUUAGCUAUAUGUGAUUGAUUUACUCUGUUUCUUGAUAUACACAUUAUCCUUCUGUGUUUGUUCACUAACCCUGUUUCUGAUAGCGCGUUACGGCUCGCGGCCCAGGUACGCACUCUCUAUACCUAUUCUGUUUUUUUUUAUAAGUGUAAGAUGGAUUUGAGUAUCCAUUGAUUUUUCCAUUGAUUGUCAUGUCAGCUUCAUUUUAUUAGUAGAGACCCGACUUUAGGGACUUAGAGGGGUGCUACGGUCUUUACCGUACCUUCCCGAUAAGUAACCUGACCCCCGAACCCGAUCCGGUUUUUCAUAGACCGCCUUUUCCAAAAUGAGGAGUCACACUUAGGGUUUUUCUUUCUUAUUUUGUUUACCCUUUAAAAAUAAAACAAAAAUAAGUGGCGACUCCAAGUCAUUUUCAAAUAAUCAAUAAAAUCAAUUUUUCAAAAUAAAAAUCGAGUUUCACCAUCGAGUGGGAAACACAUCGAGCUCAGAAUCGAAAAUGCGGGGUCCACAAAUAAUCAUAAUCAUCUUAUCUAUAAACAUGGCCUAGAGCCACAGAGCUGCCUUUUCUUUAGUCCUCGAGCCAUUUCAGCUAAAAGUAGUCUUUCCUUAGCAUUUCCGGUUCUAAGCUCCCAUUUCUUUAGGCCUUGAGGCAUUAAUUUUCAGCCCAGAGCUGCUUUUUCUUUCGGCCUAAGCUGCCUUUCUCUAGCAUUUUCAGCCCAGGGCUACCUUUCCUAGGCAUAUUAGCCCAAAGCUUCUAUUUCUUUAGGCCUGGAGCCAUUUCAACCUAGAACAUUUGUUUCUUUAGGCCUUGAGCCCUUUUCAACCCAGAACUGUCAUUUCUUCUAAAUAACUUCUCUUUUAAAAAAACUUCAAUUUUUCUUUCCAAUCACAAAUUUUAAGGCUUUGUUCCAGGUUUCAAGAAGCUGGUAAAAAUCUUCUAUUUAACAUUUCAGCAGUGAAUCGAAUUCACGAAGGAAAAAAAAAAUCUUGACGGCAUAAAGUAGGACAUGGGAUAGUUUGAAAUGCGUAAUUUUCAUCAUUCAAAUGUAAAACAUAUUAACUCUAUUUAGAUACUUUAACCAUUUCAAAUACUACAUACAUGUUCUCUUCAUUUUUUUUCUCUCUCGCAUUUUCCAUCAAAUUUUUCAACAAUCAAACAUAACCUUUAAAAAACAGAUAAUUUUACUUAUUUUGAAAGUGCUUUACAUAUAGCUUCUAUGAAAAGCUGUUUCAUGUUAAUUUAAUGAUGCACUUAUAAUAUUAAGAUUGCCCUUUCAUAAUCAUGAAUUAACCUUUAGUUUCAACUUCUACAAGAGGCUAAAUGAACAAAGCUAUCACAGAGGAGGCCUCAGCCAAUGAGUCAGAUGCACUGUUGUACCAAACCAAGGAUUUAUUUAUAAUGAAGUGCAGUCUCCAUAUGCACAUGAGACUGCAUUUACAGCAAAAAGACAAGGAAAUUAACAAUGUUGGAAUUACUGGAAAAUCACACAAAUUAUUGAAGGAGGACCUUAGCUAGGUUGUCUCCUAAAUUGCCCAUCUUUUUAUAUCUUUGCAUUCAUCUAUCUCAUCAUCGUCUUUGAUUUUAGAUGGUGAGGAUGUGAAAGUAACAGGAAGCAGUGGACGAUUGUUCACAGUGAGGCUUAGCACAUCAGCUCUCGAAUAAUGUCCUACCACGUCAAACUGGAACUUUGCUUUAGGAAUCUCUCCACGAACAUCUGCAUAUCAAGUGAUCAUAAAAAUAUUUGAUCAGCCCAUGAUAAAUAUCAUAGAGUAUCAAGUCUUCCAUAAAACUAUGUUUGCAGUCCCUUUAAACCUAAAGAAUUGACUCAUUUGCCUUAUCUGCAUACUGAAUUAUUUGGAUAUAUAAUCGGAGAAGUUAGGGCCAUACCAAGAUCAGCUGUGAAGAGGCCUUCUCCUUCAUAAUUCGGUCCUGCUAGAAUUUCGCCAUGGGGCGAAAUGAUGACACUACCUCCAGCCCAAACAAUAGAAUCUGGAGUGACAUCUUCUUCUGUAGGACUGUAAAGAUACUCAGGUGGAGGUGGGUAAUCUUUCCUCCGACAGAACUGGAUGGGUGAAAGAACAUAGCAUCCACCCUCCAUAGCGAUGUGUCUCAUUGUAGCUACCCAUGUAUCCCCGGAAUCGGCAGUAGGAGCACAAUAUAUCUCAAUUCCUAUAUAGAAUCGGUGUUUUGUGAUCAAUCAAUCCCAUAUCAGAGCCAUAAUGUAUUUCAAGCCUAUUUAGGCUAAAACCCUAAUAACUUAAAAAAGAGUACUGAAGUAUUUCAAGCCAAACCAUACUAGUUAGUGAAGAGAAAGAAAUGGUAAAAUAUAUACCUUUGCCAUACAUUGCUGUCCUCAGAAGCGGCAUUCUAUUUUCCCAACAAAUGACUGAACCAAGUUUUCCAUAUGGAGUGUCAUAAACUGGAGUUGUCGAGCAAUCUCCGAAACCCCAGACGAGCCGCUCCCAAUAUGUUGGCAUGAGUUUCCUAUGUUUUCCAAGGUAAUUACCUUCAGGAUCAAAGAAGAGAACAGUGCAAUACAAUGUGUAUCCAUCUCUCUCAAUAACACCUAUCACCAAGUAGACUUUGUAUUUCGCAGCCAUUGAUGCCAAUCUAUCAACUUCAGGUCCUGAAAAGAUAUUAAGUGGUUGAUUCAUCAAACGUGUCUUGUUUCAAUAAUUUAUUAAGUGGUUCAGUUCUUUAGCUAUUUAAGGAAAAGAGAGAGAGGUAACUGACCCGGCACAUUAAUGGCAGAAGCAUGGUACUUGCGGAAACUUUCUUUCCCUCUUGGCGACUGGUCGGCGAAGUUGUAUCCACGGGGAUACCCACCGAUAAAUGAUUCAGGAAACACAACCAGUUGGGAUCCCAGUGCAGCUGCUUCUUUCAAAAACCUCUCAGCCUUAUCUGCUCCCAAAAUCACAUUGCAAGAAUUAAUAAUUCACGACUUAGAAAGUAAAUUAAUUGGUUGAAUAGAGAGAAUCAAAAUUAACCUCCAGACAUCCCAAAUGACUUUUUGGUUGCUGAGAAAACUCAUGGAAAAAGAGACCUAGAUAAAACUCGGAACUUUCAUAUUUUCAGCUGUUUUGUAACUAAGAAAAGAGAAACCACCUCAACCCAACUCAUCCAAGUAAUUAUUCCUUGAUUGGCAGCUGAAAAUAUGUUCAAGCUUCAAUAAUCCUUUUCUUUCCUUCAGUUUCUCAGCAACCAAUCAACUCACAGAUUCUCUUACACAAGUUGCAGAAUUGAGAGAAAUGGUACGUUACCUAGAGUGGCAGGAGUAUCAUAAAAGACACUAGAGGCUUGAACAACGGUGGCUCUAACAGUUGAAGACAUUGCAGAAAUCGUAUGCCUUUUCGUUUCCCUUCUGUUUGAGGAUUCCUCACACAGCGUUCAGUAUUUAUAUAUAGCCCAAAAGGUUCUUCUGCCAUUACUUGAACAAGACGAAAAGGCUGGGAAAAGUCUGCCUUGGUUUUCCAUAUUGAUUUAAGUUAUCCGCAGACAUUGUGGACCAGCCACAUGACUUAAAACAAAUUGAAAAUAACUGAGUCAUCUGUGAAAUAUAUAUAUCUGUGAAAUAUAUAUAUAUAUAGAUUUCAUCUUUUAUACUUGAAUCAUCUCCCCCCUCCUUUUUUUUUUCCUAGUUUUGGCCUUAUUUUUUAAAAAUAUAAUAUUUAUUUUACUUUUAAUCAAUGGCUCAUAUUUCGAACAAGUGCGCCAGAUUUUCUGAAGUUGUAUAUAUAAUAAUCUGAUAGUGAUUAUAUUUGGAUAAAAAGAGGGACCCGCCCACUUGCAUGGAUUCUAUAUAGGACACAGACAAAUUGUCUUUAGUGGCGGCUGAGGAGGCUUUCUAUGACUUAAAAAAUAAAUAAAACAAAAAUAGUCAUUAAGAAAUCAGUGCCAUGUAGUUAGUGUCCGCCACUAUCUACACUUUCUUUAAAAGAACAAAAUUGUCAUUUUUUUUAAUCUCAGAAAUCACUGAAUCGUACAAAAUAAUAUAAGAUAAGAUUCAAUUCAGUCUUUUUUGGCCUCAUAAGAAAACCUUAGCCAACUCAAGGUGACCACUCCAGAAUCAAAAUAGGUUUUCUUUUUCUUCAAAAAAAAAAAAUAUAUAUAUAUAUAUAUAUAGUUGGUGAAAGAGGGUAUAAACAAAUAUAUGCAAAAAAAAAUUAUGAUGAUUAUAUUUGAAUAAAACAGAGGGAGCCCCCACAUGCAUGGAUUCCAUCUAGCACCCAGAGGAAUUGUCUUUAGUGGGGGCUGAGGCUUUCCAUGACUUAAACUAUAUAUAUAGGUAAAAACUAGGUCUAACUUUAUGUAUUGGACCCAACCAAAAAUUGAGUGAUUGAAUGGCAGCUCUAGUAAAAAAAUAAAAAAGGGAGAACCAUGCUUACUGUCACAGAAUGCUUGAAAUGAGCCCCCUUAUGGGUUUAUAUAGAGUUCAAGAAGCUUCUAGAGACUCCUAGAGCCAUCUACACUAAGUCAUUGAUGGGAAGAGUGUGGAAGGUUCUAGAGAUGCCUAGAGAUGUCCACACAUCUCUACACUAUAGUGGAAGGCAUGAGAGGAGUCCAAGGUUUUCUAGAGAAUUCUAGAAAUCUCUUAUAUAUUCUUGUACAUAGGUUUGUAUAGGAUAUUCUAGAAUCUUCUUGAGUUCUAAGGAACCCUCCAAGGUUCCAGAGAGUUCCAUUGGUAUCUAUAAAUAGGUGAGACCCUCAUUUGGCCAAUACACCACCCAAGAACCUAAUCAACCAAGCAAGUGAGUUCUCAAAGCACUUGUAAAGGUUUCCUUUGAGCAAUAAAAGCUUUCAUUCUUUAAGAGUUGCCUACUACGCCUUCUAAAGCUUCCAAGUCAUGAGCAUCUUAGCCUAGCAAGCUAAGCAUUGGGAGUAACGCUAACUUAGCAAGAUCAAGUACCUUGACUUGUCUAAGUGCCACAUGAGCUUAGGAAAAGAUUAAGUCUGUGACAAGUGGUAUCAGAACACGACUACGAAGCGGGCAUAGUAAAGGAAGCAUGUCGGGUUCCAAUGUAGAAGAGACUAGUGAGCAAAUCCGUGGGAGGGAGACCGAGCCUGCUGCACGGGGCAGGGGCGGGGAGGAUAAGUCUCGUGAUGUCGUUGCUAACAUGGAGGCAAGCUUAGUUAAGGUGCAUCUAGACAUGGCGGACACUCGGGAGGGGUUGGACUUGAUCGAGCAAGGCAUGAAGAAGGGCUUAGAGGAUCUAAGGGAGUAGAUCCAAGACGUUUGUGAGGGGAUGUUAGUCUCACAAGUUCAGCCAGUGUCACAUGAGGAGUUUGUGUCCUUCCAAGAAAAGGUCUUGAGCAUGCUUGCUAGCAUGGAGUCAAGGAUAGAGGCCUUGGUCAUUUGAAUGGAGUCCCGAGACCAAGUUAGGCAAGAGUUGGCCAUCUACAAGGAUGCUGUGUUGGCACGGGUCAUGGCCAUCCAGGAGGUAUCUAAGGUGGAGGAGUCGAAACCACAAGAGUUUAGUGGCAAGUGGGAUGCCAAGGAGUUGGACAACUUCUUAUGGCAUAUGGAGAGAUACUUUGAGGCUAUCACACUAAUUGAUGAGGUGGUUAAGGUAAGAACUGCAACCCUUUACCUUACUGACACAACUACUCUAUGGUGGCGUCGGAGGUUUGCCGAUAUGGAGAAAGGCAUUUGCACCAUAGUGACAUGGAGGACUUCAAGAGGGAAAUCAAGAGGCAGUUCUACCCCAAGGACGUGGCAUUUGCACCAUAAAAAUAUUACCAUAUUCAUUUUUAUGUUGAAUUUAAAUGUUUAAUAAUUUGUUAAAAAUAAAAUAACGUAAUUAUGAUAUAUGAUGAUUUUUUUUUUUUGUUAAUAAAUAUGUUUUCAAAUUUUAUAUCAUUUUUAUUUUUAUUUUUUUUCCAAUUCUAUUUUUAUCUCAUAUUUAUUUUCUUUAAACCCAAAAUUGUUGAGAAUGGAGGAAGAAAGAAGGCCACAACCGGUUCUUUCCUUAAGUGGUUAAGUUGAAUUUUUAUUUCAAAUUUAAAAUGGAUGGCCAAGAUGUAAUCUUGGACAUCCAAUGGCUUGAAAAACUUUUUCGGUAUGUACCGAAGAGGUACCGUAGAAUUUUCUAUAUAAUAAUCUACAAGUUACGAUAGUGAUUAUAUUUGGAUAAAAUGAGGGACCCGCCCACUUGCAUGGAUUCUAUAUAGGACACAUAAAUUGUCUUUAGUGGCGGCUGAGGCUUUCUAUGACUUGAAAAAAAAAACUAAAAAUAGUCAAUAAGAAAUCAGUGCCAUGUAGUUAGUGUCCGCCACUAUCUAUACUUUCUUUAAAAGAACAAAAUUGUCAAUUUUUUUUUUUUUAUCUAAAAAAUCACUUAAUCGUACAAAAUAAUAUAAGAUAAGAUUCAAUUCAGCCUUUUUUGGCUUCAUAAGAACACCUUAGCCAACUCAAGGUGACCACUACAGAAUCAAUAGAGGUUUUCUUUUUCUUCACAUAUAUAUAUGGUGAAAGAGGGUAUAAACAAAUAUAUGCAAAAAAAUAAUCUACAGGUAUGUUGAUUAUAUUUGAAUAAAACAAAGGGAGGCCCCCACAUGCAUGGAUUCCAUCUAGCACCCAGAGGAAUUGUCUUUUGUGGGGGCUGAGGCUUUCCAUGACCCAAACUAUAUAUAUAGGUAAAAAUUGAGUGAUUGAAUGGCAGCUCUGGUAAAAAAAAUAAAAAAGGGAGAACCAUGCUUACACUCUCGUUCAUUCCAACAAAUAUAUUGUUUAGGAAUUCUAAUUUUAAUAUUUCACCCCAAAUACAUAAUCAAUAAAAUUAUUCUUCAAAUAUGUAUUUUAAUAGCAACCAAAUUGAGAAUUAUAUAGUUAUCCCUUUCUAAAAUCUUUAAUGUAUUUGAUAUCCUCUCCAUAUCACGUCUUUGAUAUCCUACCUUUGACAUUUUUUUAUUUAUAUAUGUCGAAGUGACGAGACUUUCUCUACUCAACCUUUUUCCUUUCAGAUUUCUUUUCACUCUUUUAAUAAUUUCACAUUUAUUAACUUUAAUAAUUUUUUGGACACAUUAAAUAUAAAAUUAUAAUACAUAAUAAAUAACUAAUUAGAAUAAAUUAAAUGUAAAUACAAGUAUGCAAUGGGUAGAAAAUGAAAAUUUUAUCCUAUAAAUAGUACGCUUGAUAGUUUAAAAUAUUAAUUAUAAUAAUACAUUUGAUAAUUUAGGAUUUAGAUUUAAAAAUUAUGUUUUAUGUUUUAGAGGCCAAGAUAUAAGAUUUCCAUUAACCAAAGAUUUUUUUUAUGUGAAUCUUAAAUAAAAUGUUUGUUUAUUUUGCAAAUUCUUAUCAUUUGUAAAUAAGACAAAUAUAUUUUUAUCAUAUUAUUUUUAAUUUUUAAUAUUUUGUGUCAAAAUCAUCAUCAAUGAUGGUAAUCUUUAUUAGGAUAGAACCCUUAAACGUAUGAUAUGAUGUAACAAAUAUAUAGUUUAUUAUUUAUUUAAUAAUAUUCAAGUUUCACUUUUAUCUAUCCUUAUUCCAUGUAUUAUAUCUCAUGAGUAUUCUAGCCAAACAUUUAUUGCAUUAUACAUGACUUGAAUGCAUUAGGUAUAGACCCCCCAUUUUGUUCUCUUAGCACAUGCAUUAUGAGGUGUUCUUUCAAUACUCCACAACAAUUCCCUAGUGUCCCAUUACUACUCAUACUUUUUGAGCCACCUUGGAGACUCUGGUCGAGGGAUUUAUAUGGCUCCUCAUUGUGACCAUUGGUAACCUUGAGUUAGAUUUAGGUUAUUUUUUUCCUUUUUCUCUCAUGUUAGCCCUUUUAGGUGCACUUUCCGUUUUUAGGAUAGCAUAUUAGGCAUUUCCUAGGACACCAUGCCCCACUUAAGCUCUUAGGCACGUUUUACAUUAGUUCACCCAACCCCCUUAGGUUCACUUAGAUAGAUUUUUUAGGCUUAAUGUACUUAGGUUUGUUUUUUGAGUUGUGAUGGCAUGAUUCUGAGUUUAUGUGAGUAUUUAGUUUGAUUUUUUUUUUUUGUUUUUUUAAUUGCUUCAAUAUUUAGUUAUGAGAUUUUGACAUUUCAUUUUGUUUCAUCAUUAAUUACACUAGAUUAACAUUUGAAUUUUGAUUGCAGUAUUUAGCAUCUAUAUUAUUAUUAUGAAUUAUUUAUUUAUUUUUUGUCUAUUUUUUAUAUUUACUUAUCUAUUUAUUUAUUUGUUAAAAAAAUGCAUGAGGUUGCAUUUUAGUUUUUUUUUUUCCAAAAAUUGCAUGAAUUGAUAUUCAAAUUUCCUUAUAGAUGGAUAUGAGUUAUUUUAUUUUAAUUGGGUUUGGGUUGUCAUUUCUCAUUUUUGGGCUUUGUUUGUUUUGCAUGGGCCCAAGAGUUUUCUUAGGGUGGAAGUCUUGAAAGCUAUAUAAAAAGGGCACAGAAGCCCUAGGCAAUAGGGAGGACAAUCAAAGAGAGAAAAGGUGUUGCUACUUUAUUCUUUUUGUGCGUGUGUGUGUGUGGUUUCUUUCUUUCUUGAUUGUAUAUUGUUGGUGAGAGAGAAUUUUUCCUUACUAUGUAUCUACUAUAGGGCAGUUCAUUUGUUUUUUUAUAUUGUAUUCGUAUGUUGGAGUUGCCUUUGGUUCGGAGAGUCUAGAUCGAUUUAGGGUGGCAUUCAAGUAAGUUAUUUCUUCUUCAUCUCUUUAUUUGUAUUAUGUUUUUGUUCUUUUUAGGAUUUCUUAGAUUUAUCUUGUUUUAUAUUUAUUAUAUUUGUAAGCAUUUUGGUAGUUGAAUAUUUUAGCCAUUUCAUUUAUUCAAUUCUUUGCCUAUUUGAGUUAUAUGUUCAUUAUACUCUAUAUUUUGUAUGUAUGCACAUUUGCUAAACUUUUUCUACCCAUCUAUAUGUUUGUCAUGUUUAUUUAUUAUUUUGUUGAUAUGUGUUGACAUGUGUUUCUAUAUGGUCAUGCGAAAUGAAACAAAAUAGGCUUGGUUGCAGCACACAAGGGAAACGUGAAAAGUGAUUUCGCAUGACCAUGCGAAAUUUUCGCACAGUCAUGCGAAACCCUCCAAGAAGAUGAAAAUGAAGCUGAUGGACUUUCCACUUCGCACCAUCAUGCAAAAUUGCUAGGGGCUCGUGCAAAAUGCAUUUUCUCCAUAUGUUGUUUCAAGUUUUCUAUAUUUGUGCAAUUCCUGUCCUAAAUUUUCUAUAAUUUUGUUUAUGUUAGUCUUGUUGCCUCAUUUUUCAUUUUGUCUUAAUUUUUGUAUAAUUCUAUUAAUAUUAGUCUUGUUGCUUCAUAUUUCAUUGUCUUAAAUUUUUUAUAAUUCUAUUUAUGUUAGUAUUUUUGUCUCAUAUUUCAUUUCAUGCCAUAUUUGGGUUUUGAUUUAUUUUUCUGGCUUGAGUUUUCUUUCUUUUUUUCUUUUUUUUUACUAUGCAAUAAAAAUUUCAGAAAAAUCAGUUUUAAUAAAAUUUCUAGAAAAAUAGUUUUUAAUAAAUUCCAAAACGGUUUUCUUUAAUUAAAAAUCUAGAAUUUUGUUUCCCAUAAAAUGCAAAAAAAAAAUUGUUUUAAUAAAAUAAUAUGGAAGAACCAUUUUUACUAAAUUCAGAAUUUUGGUUUAAUAUAAAAUAAUUCAAAAAAUCAUUUUUUUUUAAUAAGUUCAUAAAAUUCAUUUUUUUAAUAAAAUAAUUCAAGAAUUUCAUUUUUUUUAAUAUAUUCGGUAAAUGGUUUUUAAUUUAAUAAUCCAAAUAUUCAUUUUUUAACAAAUCCAGAAAAUUGGUUUUUUAAUAAAAAUCCUCAAAGUUUGUAAAGUCCUAAAAGUUUGUUUGAUGGAAAUUUUGAAAUUUGUGUUUUAAUAAAUGUUCUUUAGAAAAUCAUUUUUUUAAUAAGUUUGAAAAUUCUAAAAUUUGUGUUUUAAUAAAUGUUCCUUAGAAACUCAUUUUUUUAAUAAGUUUGUUAACUGAAAAAUUGUGUUUUAAUAAAUAUUCUUUAGAAAUUUUUUUUUUAUAAAUAAGUUUGUUAAUUGAAAAUUGUGUUUUAAUAAAUGUUCUCUAGAAAAUCACGUUCUAAUAAAAAUUAUGAAAAUUUGUAAUAUCCUAAAAGUUUGUUUAUUGAAAAUUCUGAAAAUUCUAUCUUAAUAAAUGUUCUUUGGAAAGUCGUUCUUUAAUAAAAUUAUACAUUAUGAAAAUUGUGUUUUAAUAAAUGUUCUUUAAGAAAUCGUUUUUUAAUAAAUUUGUAAAUUCUAAAAAUUGUGUUGUAAUAAAUGUCCCUUAGAAAAUCGUUUUUUUUAAUAAGGUUGAAAUUUUUGAAAUUUGUGUUUCAAUAAAUAUUCUUUAGAAAAUAAUUUUUUUAAUAAGUUUGUUUACUAAAAAUUGCGUUCUAAUAAAUAUUCUUUAGAAAACCAUUUUUUUUAGUAAGUUUAUUUACUAAAAAUUAUAUUUUAAUAAAUGUUCCUUUAAAAAAAAUCAUUUUUUUUAAUAAGGCAUAUUUAAUGAAAAUGCUUAAAAUAAGUGUUUAAAUAAAUAUUUUCAAAGUUUUUCUUCAUAAAAGUCGUGAAAGUCAUAAAAGUCAUAAAAGUUCUCAAAUUUGAUUUAAUUAAAAUUUUCAAAAUAAAUGUUUUAAUAAUUGUUCUCAAAGUUGUGUCUUUUAAAUUUACUUAAAGUUUGUCUCAGUAAAAGUUUUAAAAGUUUUAAUAAGUGUCUUAAUAAAUUCUCAAAAUAAGUGUUUUAAUCCUAAAAAUUCUCAAAUUUUGUUUUUAAUAAAUUCCCAAAGUUUGCCUUAUUAAAUUCUAAAAGUUGCUUAAUAAAAACCCUCAAAGUUAGUCUAAAAAUCCACAAAGUUGUUUUCUCGAAGUUAGUGUUUUAAUCAAUGUCUCUCUUUUCAAAUAAAUUUGAUUUAUAAAUAUUUUUUUCACAAAUAAAAGUUGAAAAAUUUUGUUUUCUUAAUGAAUUGAAAUUUGGUUCCUGUCAUUAAAAUAAAUAAACCAUUUUUCCUUGUAAAAAUAUUUUUUUUCCAAAAGUAGAACUGAUGUUUCUUUAUAAUUAUCGAAUCUUCCUUUUUUUUAAAAAAAAAAAUAAAGUCGAAGCCAAUAUCAUUUCUUUGUAAAUAGAAGAUCAAAUUGAGCUUUUCUUUUUAAUAUAUUUGAAUUCAAUCAAAAUUAUUUUAAUAAAAUCAAGAAAAGUCUUCUUUUUUUUUAAUUAAUUUUGGAUGUGAAUAAAAAUCGAGUCUUUUGUAAAUAAAUUGAAACUUUGUGAGUAAAUAAGUUUGAAAUCUUUAAUUUGGAAUUGUUCCCAAUAUAAAUAAAUUUCUUUUGAACUUCCUUUGAAAUGUUGCAACUUGAACAAAUAAUUAAAUUAUAUUUUGUGCUCUUCACAUUCAUUAAUUGUGUACAUUCUUGUGUAAUCUUUUUCUCAUCUCAUGACUUAUAUGUAUCUUGUUGUCCUGUUAUCAGUAUCCUCAAUAAAUUAAUCAAUUCAUACUGACUCGUUUUGAUUUAUGUUUGCAAUUUUUCAAGAUGAUUGACAUAAUGUGUUUCAAAGGAAAAUCAAAUCCUUCUCACCAAGUAUGUCUUAAAAUAAUUUUUUUUUUUUUAUAACUUCAAAUUAGAAAUGUCUUCUUAGCUUUGAUAAUGAUCUUUUGUAUUUUUUUUUUUAAAUUGCAACGAUUUGAAAACAUUAUAGAAUAGAGUUAUUUAUAAACUUAUUUUUAUGUACAAAUAAAUUAUACAAAUAUGUGAAAUUAAUUUAUUAAUUUAUUAAAUUAAAAUUUAUUUCUUAUUUUUCUAAUUUUUUUUCUUCAAAUGAACUCAAAAUUGUAGCUUUUAACAUGUGAAGCUAGAAAUGUUUGGAAGGUAUAUAAUAAUGAUAAAAUAGGCAAUCAUCAUUUUCCACUUGCAAGAAAAUCAUAAAAUAGGCAAUGGUCAUUUCAAGAUUUGUAUCAUUCAUCAAACUAGUAAAUUUGGAAAUGGAACUCCAUUAGAUUGUGAAAAAAAACUACUAUAAACCAAAAAAUAUAACAAAGAAUAAAGAAAUUAGAAUAUAACUUCCACUUUGAAACUAUUGCUUGUAUGAACUAUUAUCCACUUGCCAACUUAACAGAAUUGACAUAGCCAUAAACCUAAUAUAAAAUAAUCAUUUUAGCAAUCUAGAAUAAUCAAGCAUAAUUUCAAAAUGCGUCUCUCAUGCUUACAAUGUUAUAGACCAAACAAACUAAAACAAUGAUUUUUCUCCACUGAUACAAUCUUAAAUAAAUUUAUUUUAGAAACAACAUAACCUAAUUGCCUAAUGAAACAUCAUUGAUCCAUAGACCAGUAGACAUUUUUCCUGAUUUCAUUUUUUGGCGACAUUAUCAUUUGUGUUAGGAGUUUUUCCUUGUACUUCAUGACCUUGUCCUAUACAAAAGAGUAUAUAAUAGAAUAUUAACGAAAAUUCAUGUUAUUUUAUUGAACAUAAAAAAUAAAAAAUAUUGUAUUCAACACAAUAUAAUACAUUUGCAAUUGUAUGAAAAAAUCCAUUGUUAUCCCAUAAUUGCAUAAACUUGAUUACAAAUAUGCCACAAUCUGUUCUACAAGUAGCAAUUAAGGAAAUUAAAAAUAAAUUAUGCAUCAAAUCAAUAAAUUUAGAACCUCAUUUGCUUUCCAUAGGUAAAGAGGAAUAAAAUUCUUGCAACUUAUGAAUUCAAUUGUUGCAAAACUUCUAAAACAACGAAUUUGAAUUUAGUCAUGUCCAUUGAUGGUCUUCUUUCUUGAAUCCCAAUGACAAUUGAUAGAACGCUUACCUUAACACAAUAUAAAAUUAUAAAUAUGGACAUCCUUAAAAAAUAAUGACAACAAGUCACAUAAGUAAUUGGAUAAUAACUAUAUUUACUAGUUUCUCUGUGAAGACAUCCAUUUGCUUUUUCCUUUCGUCAAUCAAUGAAUCCAACAACUCGAUUCUUUUUCUAAUGAAUAUUCAAAAUGUUUAAAUACCAAUGAUUUCUCCUGCAUAUUGGUAUGAACAGCUGAAAAAGAAAAAUAAAUAAUGAUUUUAUCAAGUUAAUUGUGUUCAUGUAUUUCCUGCACUAUACUUAAAAAUAUCCAACUAUAUAUGACUUUCAUUAAAUUAAAUAAAACAUGUUCAUAUGUGUACAACCGAGUGUUUUUAAAAUAUUUUCAUAAAUUGUCACAUGUAUUUUGGAGAAAAUGUACCCCUCUUAUUUUCCACAUCAAAUUGUAAUAAUAAAAAAAAUACAAAACAUACAUUAGAUUAAAACAAUCUACUUAAAACAAGAAAACCAAUCUAUAAUUCUUACAACAUAUCUUACCUCAAAAUGGGGAGAUAAGAAAUGCUCCCUAUUUCCUUUAUCCUUACCAUUCAAAAUUCGACAAAACAUGGUUACAACCUUCAUGUAAAUGAAUGAAAAUUAGAAAUAUAGUUUUAGAGUAAUUUUAUCUUAACUUCAUAUAACUAAAUAUGAAUACCUUAUUGUUAACUAAUUUGUCGGGUCCCAAGCAUUUUAAGUCGAAUCUUAUCAAGAAGAAAUCGUACAUGGAACACAAUAUUUGGCUACAUAGAAAUAAUUAUGAUGUUAUGAAUUAAAACUAAAUCUUUUAAAUGGUUGUCUUAAUUGUACUUGUUUAUACUGAAUCAAGUUCAACCUGACCUUUCAUCACGUGUAUCGUCCAAUGCAUAUGCUAAAACUUACUUUGCUACAAUGAAGACGUUGAAAAUUUGAUUGAUUGUUGUACCACAUAUGGUGAUUGUAGGGCAGUAGCACAUCGACGUAGCCGACAUAAACAUAAUGGAGGAUGUUCAGUCUAGUAAGGAAUAAUAACAUUCGACUUAACUUCAUCCUCAACUAUAUGUAUAGAAAAUAAGAAAAAAAAUUCAUUAACGAAAAUAACACACAGAGGAAAGACUAGCCAUUAUUAUGAACUCAUUAAUAUUUUGAUAUUAAAAAUUACUAUAAAAAAAUAAAGAUGCAGAAAGUAUAAUGCUAUGUUGCGCUACUGGCUGUGAGGUCGAUGGCCCUGCAUUAUCUUCACCAUGAGCGGAACGAUCAUUCAAUGGUGAUCCAUAUGCUAAUUUAAAAAUGGAUAACAACCAAAUUUUAAAAAAAAAUUAUAGAACAUUUGCAAUUCAAUUAAAAGUAAAAAAAAAAUUUAACAGCUAAUGCUAUAAAAACCUUAUUACCAUGUGGUGGUGAUGGGAAAGAUUCAUUGAUGUCAGGUUGGUUAUGACUUCCGCUUUGAUGAGAAGGUGAUGGGGUUUUGUUUUUAUUAUGCCGCUUUGCUAGUUUAUCAAUUGCUUCUUUCAUUGUUCGAAGCAAUUGGUGAAUUUGUUCCUCCACUACAUUAUACUCUGCUAUAAUUUCCUACAAAAUGGUACAAAGUGUAAAAGAUGUAUAUUAUUAUGCAUAACAUGUUUGGUUUACUCUUUAAAUAAAGGAAUAGAUGUAAAAGGUUCUCACAUCACUAGUCUCUUCUUCAACUUCAUCUACUGGAUUAGUAGGGUCUUCAUGUGCAUCUUCCCCCCUUUCAUCUUCCUGAACCUACAAUAAUAAAAAGAAUAUAUAAUUUUUUUAAAAUUAUUUUUCAAAUAUUAAAAUAAAAAGAAAAUGUAGAAAUAAAAUUUUGUUCCUUACAUCGACUAGUCCAAGGUCAUCAUAAUCCUGCAACUCUACAUGCACCAUUUUCUUCAUCAGGUCAUCACUCUACAAUGCACAUAUGGGGAUGGUGUGUGGCACCAACAUAAUUGGAAUGUAGAAUUUAUUUACAUAAAAAAGCUCAUACACAAAUAUUCCACACAUCAAUACGUUAUUUAGAGAACACUGUUUAAACAUAGAAAAUGAUAUGGAAACCUUGAGCAUUUAAUAAAAAAAGAUAUUUACCUACAAAAAAAAAAAGGUAACCUGUAAACCAUGAGCCUUUACCCAAUCGAAAAUGCCUAAUUCGAGCAACCAAUGUGUCAAGUACAAAUUGGUCCCAAUUAACAUUGAUGUCAAAGUUUCUAGCAAGCAAAGUACACCGCAACUCAUGACUACCAUCCAACUUCAAUGUUGGAGCAAGUAAUGUAGCACAUGAGAAGAAGAUAAACAAUUUUUUAAAGUCACCCAUGUCUUCCAUUGAGAUCAGCCUAUCUCUAAGGAUAGAUAGGUUUUCCAUCCUAUUAUUCCUAUUGGUAGGUGUAGACACUCCAUUUUGUAUAUCUAGUACUUGUCCUAUUAUGUGUUCGUUUGGUACUUUACAACAAUUCCCUGGUAACCCAUUAUUACUCAUGUAACUUAUCUUUUAUGAGCCACCUUGGAGACUCUGAUUGAGAGAUUUAUCUAACCUCAUUACAACCCUUAGCAACCCUAAUUUAGACUUAGGUAGUCAAUACAUGUCUAGCAUAAUACCCUAAGCUCCCAUUUUUACAACUUGGAGGGCUAAAUUGGGUAAAAUAUAAGAAUGUCAAAUAACAUGUAUAUGUGAAAUAUGGACAAAAAAAAAGGAAUAGAUAAAGGUAAUGAUUAAUUAUAUUUAUUAAGAAUAGUGAUUAACUUAAAAAAAAAAAUAGUUAACUUUUGUGAAAAUAUCCCUUAGAAAAGAUCAUGACUUUUAUGACUUCAUUAAGGUAAAUCAAUCAAGCUUCAAGAGCAAUUAUCGAUAAUAUAUUUGGAAAUAUGUAGUAUUAGCAUCCUUUUACAUCUCAUAGAUUGACAUUAUAGAAGAGAAAUGCAAUUAGUAAUUAUAAGGAAUAAAUGUUUUACAUAUGAACAAUUUGAUUAAAGAUGGAUAAAAGAGUAAAGAGUUUAGAUUAGAGAGAGAGAGAGAGAGAGAGAGAGAGAGAGAGAGAGAGGUUGUGCCUUACAAGAAAUGUCUAAACUAAAUAUAGGAUGUAUAUAAGACAUACUAAGGCCAAAAGAAAGAUAUAAAGAACAACUCACACCUAAGUAACAUGAUCAAAGCUAUUUAAAUGAAUCCUCAUUGCUUCCUUACCUAUACAUACAUCUAAAUUGUUGUAAAGGAUUGUAAAUAUUAUGAGUUUGUUCUUUUUUAGUACUACUUCAUUACUAGUGGAAUAAUGGACAAAUGAGUACAUUGUAUUCAUAGCAAUUUAGAUUAUAUUUUCAUAAGGUGGUGAAACAAACAUAUAUGGUAUCCUUCUCAACUCAACUUAGGAAUAGGAAAUAAUAACAAAAACAAUUAUAAGCUAACAAAAUUCAUAUAUAUAGGUAUAUAUUCAUGUGAGAGGAAGCCAUAUAGAAUCUUUACAUUUCAAAAAUCAAGUAAACUUUAAUUCAAGAAAGCAACUUAAAUGUAGGUAAGUCUUCAAAAAGUUUAGAAGAAGAAAAAAAUGUAACCUCAAUAACUAUCCACUUGAGCUAUUUUUUAGAUCAUUUCUUCUUUUGAGAUACAAAAAUUCGAAACCCCCUGCAAAAAAGAAGAUUACAUUAGUGUUUAUUUUGAAACAUGAAAACUAAAAUUAUGGUAGACUUACAUGUUCACAAUAUCUUUUAUAUCUUGGUAUGGUUGUUGUAAUAGCAAGUCUAAAUAGUAAACUGUUUGUAAUUUGAGGUCAAUUACAGCCAAAACCCAAUGAAACCUACAAUAUAUUAACAUAUAAUUUAGAUAAAUAGCAUUUAUAAGGCUAAGAAAUUAAAAACAAUUAUAAUUAACAACUUACCUUGGGUUAUACGGAAGAAAAAUCAGAUCUGCCAAUUUGGAGUCAAUUAGGCGAUCAACAAUGAUCUUUGCUCUUUUUUCAAUUUUUGGGGCUAUUGUUCUAGCCUUAGACACCAGUCCUGGAUGAACAGAUAUAAUUUUCUCAUGUAGUGUAUCAUCUAGAUGUUCAUGCAACCACCUAAUGAAAUAUCACCCAGUUUAGAAUUACUUAAAAAAUAAAAAAAAUAAACGGUUUCUACUUAUUUAUAUCAUGAAUAUAACAUAAAGAUUUACAACAAAAUCUCACCAAAUAUAGAAACAUAUACAAUUCAUAGUCAACUCUUUUGCAAAAAUUACAUCAUUCAUUUCAGUUGUCAAGAGGAAGAUUUGAAAUUUCAUCCCAAAAACAUUGAUUGGAAAGUCAACUUUGGGUGCCAGUUUACCCUCCAACAUUGUUGAAACUGUUUUAAAAAAUAAUUGUAUAUCUCUUGGAUUCUCAUAUUUGAUUUUCUUUGGGGAUGCUUGUAUCUUAUUCAUUUUAUUCUUCCUCUUGCCAAAAUCCUAAACACAUAAAUAGAUGCAUGACAUUAAAAUGAAAAAUAAAUAAACCAAGAGUGUAGGAAAAUAUAACUCAACUUUGAAAGUUUGGGUAUAACGUUAUUCCCCUCAACAUUUUCAUCAUUUAUCACAAAUGCAACAGGCCACAAAACCUCAUAUCCAACACCCUCCCUUAUUGUACUAAUGUUUUCAGAAAGUGGGAAUGAAAGAAGUGCAUUAGGUUGAAGAGGGUAAAGAAUGACCACUAAUAUAUCAGUUCUAUCAAUGGAAAUGUUUGAAUCUCACAAAUAAGUUCCAUAUGCAACAAUGUUUUCUUCAGUUUCAAGAGCUAAUUUGCAUUUAUAAACCUGUAAAAACAUAUUUUCUAAUCCUUCGUCUUUCAUUAUAGUUAUUUUAUAUAUUGUUUUUAUAAAUUUAACUUAGGAAAAGCCAUAUAUACCUGAGUUAGUGGAGAAGCUUUUUGAGUCCUUUCUGCUGAUAGGUUCUCCACAUGAGCACUAUAAUGAGUCUUCUCUCGUAUUUCUUCAUGUUCCAACAAUUGUUUCCUUAUGUUUGUGCUGCUCACUUCAGAGUGGGGUGUGAGGGGUUCUUUUUUUUUUCAGCUUUCAAAGAAAUGAUCUCUUCUUCCAAGCUUUUUACUUUCUCCCUUAGCAUCCUUUGACAUUCCUCUUCUUCAAGAGUUUUUAUGGGUUUUAGUGUGUUGAAUAAUUGUUUGGGAUUUUUUUUCCCACCUUUUCCUCUAACCCGUCCAGGAUGCUCGGAUGUACCCAAUGCUAAAGUGAGGAUAUCCUUUUGGCCAACACAUGUGAUCUUCCCUUCCUCAACAGCCUUUGCCAACUCAUCCUCCAAAAAUAUAUAAGAUGCUUCAAGAGUCAUAUUUAAUAAAAUAAAAAAACAAAUGAAAUUGACUAAAACUAAGUAUAGGUUUGACAACUUACAAUCUUUUCCGCUACAGGCCUCGUAACAUCAUCAUAUUCACCUUUUUUCAAUCUUUCUAGCUUCCACAAGACCCAUCUAUCAAUAGGUUUCCUUGAACCUGUCUUUUGCAUCUAUCAAAAAACAAAAAAGUGAAGCAAUUAAACUUUACAAAAGUAAAUGUCCAACAAAAUAAAAUACACUAAUUCAACUUACCAAUUCUUCUUGAAGUCUUGCAUAUCAUUUCCUACUCACUCAAUGAAUAUAAACGUAUUUUGCCCUCCUUUCUUUUCCUUUUUUUGGUUUAACUUGAAACUCUAUUGACAACCUAUUAGCCACUAACUUUCUCCAGUCUUCAAUUGGAAUGUAAUUAUAUUCAAUUGGUGGCUACAAAAGGUACUCGGGCUUAUCCUUAUAAGGCAGGUGUGGACCCCGCAUUUCGAUGGCUCGAAUGCGUUCCCCACUCGAUGGCGAGCUCGAUUUUUAUUUUGAAAAAUUGAUUUUUAUUGAUUAUUUGAAAAUGACUUGGAGUCGCCACUUAUUUUUGUUUUAUUUUUAAAGGGUAAACAAAAUAAGAAAGAAAAACCCUAAGUGUGACUCCUUAUUUUGGAAAAGGUGAUCUACGAAAAACCGGAUCGGGUUCGGGGGUCAGGUUACUUAUCGGGAAGGUACGGUAAAGACCGUAGCACCCCUCUAAGUCCCUAAAGUCGGGUCUCUACUACUAAAAUGAAGCUGACAUGGCAAUCAAUGAGAAAAUCAAUGAAUACUCAAAUCAAUCAUGCACAUAUAAGUAUCAAAACAUGCGUAUAGCAAGACCAGAAUAAGGACAGAUGCGUACCUGGGCAACGAUCUUCAAUGCGCUAUCAAGAAGUGAGAUUAGUGCACAAUUAAAGGAUGGUCACAUGCAUAUCAUAGAGCAGAAUAAAUCAUGUAUGGCACCCAAAUCAACCAAACAAUCCAUCAAUCAUAAAAUCUCAUAUGUUGGGCCCCCACCAAAGCCCGAUUGAUUUUUGCAUGAAUUAAUUCCAUAAAUUCCCUUGCUUGGAAUUACGGAAUUUUAUUCUAGCUUAUUUUAAAACAUUUUGAAAAUCUGAGGAGUUGUGAAAAUUGCUUGUCAGGGAGAAAAGUGACAGCAAAUUUUUAUUAUAAAGUGGAAACUUUUGGGAACCUAAAGAUUCCAAUGAGGAAACAUGAGAGAAUUGGAAUUAUUUGAAAAACCAGAUUUUUGAGAAAAUGCUUGCAAAAUGGGAUUAGGAACAGUUAUUAAAACAGAGAAUGAGGAAGUAAAAGGUGGUGGCACAUGGUCAAAGGCUGCAUGUCCUAGGUGGUCAUGCAAAGAAGCGGUCUCCUGUAGCUUUUGUAGGGUCCAUUCUCUCCCCACUUCUCAUCCCAUGAGUUCUUUACGAUCCAGUAAGGCCUGCCCUUCAUCCGGAUGGGAUCAUGGCCUGUUGAACCAUGCCCCACCAGUAACACUCCAUGAGCCAUCAUCUCAGAGCAUAUGUAUGGGCGUGACACUUCCCCAAUAUGUGUCUGCAUGAACACUGUAUUGAUGCCCACUACCAUUUGACCAUUUUUCACAAGAUUAGCAGCCAUCUGAUCUUCAUCAAGGAAUGAACCAAAAGCUUUGGCUGCAUCGGGCUUCUGGAGAAGAACUGUUUUGAUUGCAUUCAAUAUCUCAUCCACGGAUCUUCCUGUGCUAAUGUAUUCUGAAAUAACCUCCCAUCUUCAAGACAUUCCUCUGGGAUAUUUCAGCAUCCCUUUUAUCAAGAGCCCAACUUCUUCUCUAUCCCAAGGUUUCUCCUUAUAGUGUGAUCAAAAGAAUGAAGUUGGGGUCACUGAAUUCACCUUCCACUGAAGAGUAGAAAGCAUCAGAAGCCCUAUCCUCUGAAACGUCUUCACUUCAAGCACAUAUUUUAUCUCCUCCACCUGCAGGUCCAAGAGAAGAGGAGCAUCGGUUUUACUGGAGCUUGACUUUCUCUUCUCAGGGGCAUUUUCCUCAUGGGGACUCUCUAUCUGAUCUGUUGAUGCAGCUGCACUUUCUCCCUCAUUCUCAUGGCCAUCUAAUCUGCUUCCGCGGAUGCUGCAUCUGACACCACGGCCUCUUGAACGCGAGUGGAAUCCAGCUGGCAAUGGACCCAAUGGAGGCCUCUCAAUGGGUUUACUUUAAGAGCUUCUUGAGGGCCCAAAGGAUAUUGCAGGACCCGGACUUAGGACGCCAUCUUAUCCGUGUCAUGCUGAGGAAUUCGUUCUUUGUGGUAUCAGAUUGGCUACAGGAGGCCUUAUAGAAGUGAAGCUAGGGAUAUCUUCAGAAAUGGAACUUGGACCCUUCCCUUUGACAGGUUCAUCUCCAUGAGAACCAAAUUUUAUAAGCUCGGUAACUCCAGGUUGUUGAAUGAACUUCCCAGUCUCCUUGUCAUGCAACAAAGCACUUUUUGCUUCAGUUUCAGUCUCCACAGGUGCCGGGGCCGCUUCAAAUCCCACAACCUCCAUGAAUUCACCAUGCUCCUCCAAGAAAUAACCAACAACACUAGGUAGCAUUUCCAAUUCACUUCACGACCUUGGAAUGAGCAGUUGCUUUAUCAGUUUCAUGGCAGAGGGUGAGCACUGGAGCUUUCCUCUUGACAACACUUUACCUGGAAAGCGGAGAGUGGAUACCGGUAAUCCAUGAUAAAUAGAAACUUCCCCACUUUUCCGGACUGGAGGUGAUCUCCUCAUGUUGCUGGCCUAUAGAUCCAUCUUCUGGAGAAAACACCAGUUGAAAAUUAUCCACUGAAGCAACUGUCACUUGUCCACGGAAGUCCGAGCACCAGCAUACCCAGAUUGGUGGUUUUGGAAUAUAGGUUUGAAGAGUUUGAUGGGUGUGCAAGGUGUAGACAUGGGGCAUGAUAGCAAAGUGGUGAGAUGAGGUGAUAAUGAGUGUAAAUAGGCUUAGAGAGAAAGGUGAAUAAAUAUGGUGGGGGAGUAGACUGUUGACAAUGGGUAUGUAUGAGUCCUAUGCCUGUGGGUAUGGUGAGAGAUGAACUGCAAGUGAUGGGCAUGAUGUGGUGUGGGGUGGAUUAGUGGGAUGACAGUAUACAAAGAGAGCGUGGUGUAGAGAGAGAAUGCAAGAUGAUGAGUGCAUGUGUAGAUAUGGGUGUGGGCAUGGUGGUAUGAAGCGUGUGGUGGAUGAUGGACUGAAGGUGAUGGGCAUGACAAUGGGCAUGAACAGGGAUGGAGUCAUGUGGGCACGAGACGAGCAUGAGCGCGGAAUGAGUGUGAUGCAACCAUGCAUGGUAUGAAAAGGGUUUGGUGUAGUGAGAGAAAGUAGAUUAUUGGUGAUGGGUAUGAAUAAUGGCCGGGUUUGCAUGGUCCAUGCACUUGGAUGGGUGAGUUUGGGGAUGCUAGCAGAAGCCUUGGAAGGAAUACGGGCAGCCAUGCACGCGUGGGGUUUCAUGGAUAUCGAGUCAGGGUAUUUUGCUGGAGGAAGAGAGCAUGGGUCUGCACAAUAUGGGGAUUGGGAUCUCCUACGGACUCCCUAGCUAAUGGAGUUGUGAAAGGGAGACCAUCUGCUUUUCCGAUACCAGAUUAUGGGAAGUUCAGUGAUGGCUUCUCAAAAAUGGACCUUGAUGUUAACAAACCACCCUUGGGCAAUUUAGCAAUCCCUUCAUUCUCAGAAGACUCCGUCUCCAACAGACCAUAAUGAUACUGAACUAAUCCAUGUGAAACGGACAAGAAAGGCUCUGCUCGUGAAUGUUCCCUGGCAUAACCUCCUCUAGAAUGUCAUCAGACGAAACAAAACUAGAGAACCAGGUAUCUAGAACAAGUAAGUCUUCUCACUGGGCCAAACCCUCAACAAGCCUGUUGCAUUUCUCUGAUUUCUCCCACUGUUCUGCCAAAGUCUUUAUUUAUAAUAUAAUGGUUUAGAAAUAUCCUCCAUUAAUCACUCUGCCUUUGACCAACCCUGGUUAAGGAUCCAUACAUCAAAUCUGAUUACCACUUCUGGCCCACAACCGCUCGAGUUGAUAAUGAUUUUCCUCCAUAUCUACUCCUGUUCAUCUUCAUAAAAUUCCUUGGAAUCAUCAGUAUACUCACUGCAAUCUGUGGUAAAGACCACCACAUCCUCAUCGACAUCUUACUUUUUUCCUCUACGAAUGGCGCCUCACACUACUCACUAUUCUUUGGAUCUGAACCACUUUUUUUUUUUUUUUUUUUUUUUCAAAUAUUGGAUGUCAAGCCUCAACAGCAUAUAGUAGUCAAUUUGUACCAUCCCCAAUGUAUGGUAUGCAUGAUGCCCCGUGCUCAAAUUGCUCAAAAAGAACAGAGGAAUAUAGCUAAGAAAACAGGGCAUAGGAGAAAGGAACAAAAAAUAAAUCAAGGGCAACUGCAUUUCAGGACAUAUCAAUGUGUUCCCACUGGUGGAUGAAAGAUAUGAACAAAUUCAAAACAAAAAAUACGCCACAUAUGUUCAGGUGCCUAGCAACGAAAUAUGAUGCAAGUCCUCACCCAUUUUCUUAAACCAGGUUAAUGAAACAGCGAAAGGAUUAACAUCACAGAUGGAAACAUGACAAAUACAAACAACAUAUACACCCAGUGAAAUGAUAUUCAGAAUAAUGAAAUCAUACGGCUAAAUAUAAGCAUACCUGAAUGUGAUAGAUGUCCUACCCAGCUUUUCUUACUUUCUCUCUGUUUUCCUUGCCUUUCUAGCUCCGACAAUCGAAUCACCUUCUCUCUUACUCUUCUUUUCUCCCGCUUGAAAAACCUCCCUCUGGAAAUAUAUCUCUCCCCCAGCCAGACGACACCCACCUGCCUUGCAGUUGCAAGCCUCCAUUACCUUCAGAUUUUUCUGCCACCUUCCUCUUCUAGGCCCAUUUCCCCACUACUCUGCACCACUACCUUGCUAAUAACAGAAGACGCUCCUCAAUACAACGGCCUGCAGAUCCUCAUGCCACCUGUCAACCUUCCAUUGGCACUUCAAAAACAACAUACGAUUCUGCAUUGCCCUCUCAAAAGGAGACACGUGAUUGAGCAAGGCUCUUCCACGUGGCCAAAACGGGUAGCUGCAUGAAAGGCCCCAAAUGGGGGUCUACAAAUAUGCCCCUCUUUGGUAGAGUUCAUGAGUGUAAAGAACAUGAACACUGGAGUGAAAAGUAAGUGUGAGUAGUGAGUGAAAUGAAGUGAACUCUACCGAAGAAUCAAAGAGACCCCCAUAGGGAUAUUGGUGAAACGCGAAGUCACCCAGGCUAGUAGACGAACACAAAGGCUCUAAUCCUAAAAGAGAAAGAUGUCACAAAAUGCCUCUGCGGCCAUACUAAGGAUCCAAGCUCCCUCUAAGAUGUCUCCCGAAAGUGACUCGAAAAACCAAAUGCUAGAGGUGAGUAACGGUCGAGUCACCCUAGGGUACGGACAAGAAUGCGUCUAAAGGAGACUGCCCUAUGUGGACUACAUGAUGAAUACACGAUAAGCACAAAGUAACGAAGUGAGGAGGACGAUAAUAAGUGCAAAUCCAAUGAAGGUGAGACACGCAAUGCCACUGAAUAGGAAUGCUAGGAGCUGUGACUCUACAUGACAAGAUUGACUCUAAACACUAAACUAGGAAACAACGGCUCUGGAAGCCAACCAAAAACUAACUCUAAAAACUAAACUGAGAAUAACAGCUCUGGAAGCAAACCAAAAACUAACUCUAAAAACUAAACUAGAAAACAACAGCUCUGGAAGCCAACCAAAAACUAACUCUAAAUGCUAAACUGAGAAUAACAGCUCUGGAAGCAAACCAAAAACUAACUCUAAAAACUAAGCUAGAAAAUAACAGCUUUGUAAGCAAACCAAAAAAACUAACUCUAAAAGCUAAACUAGGAAACAACAGCUCUGGAAGCCAACAAAAACAAAAAAAAAACAAAAAAAAAAAAAAAAAAAAAAAAACUAACUCUAAAAGCUAAACUAGGAAACAACAGCUCUGGAAGCCACACAAAAAAAAAAACUAACUCUAAAAGCUAAACUAGAAAAUAACAGCUCUGGGAGCCUAAACAAGACGACAGUAAUGGCUCUGGAAGCCUAAACAAGAUGACAGUAAUGACUCUGGAAGCCUAAACGAGAUGACGGUAAUGACUCUGGAAGCCUAAACAAGAUGACAGUAAUGACUCUGGAAGCCUAAACGAGAUGACGGUAAUGACUCUGGAAGCCUAAACAAGAUGACAGUAAUGGCUCUGGAAGCCUAAACAAGAUGACAGUAAUGGCUCUGGAAGCCUAAACGAGAUGACGGUAAUGACUCUGGAAGCCUAAACAAGAUGACAGUAACGGCUCUAGAAGCCUAAGCAAGAUGAUAAUAACGACUUUGGAAGCCUAAACAAGAUGACGGUAAUGACUCUGGACGUCGAAACUAAAAAGUGAUGAUGAUGACUCUGAACGUCAAACUGAGAAGUGAUAAUGAUUCUGAACGCCGAAACCGAGGAUGUGACUCUGAAUGUUGAUCUGAAAAUCGAUGAUAGCUCUGAACGCCGAAACUGAGAAGUGAUGAUGAUGACUCUGAACGUCAAACUGAGAAGUGAUAAUGAUUCUGAACGCCGAAACCGAGAACGCGACUCUGAACGUCGAUCUGAAAACCAAUGACGGCUCUGAACGCCGAAACUGAGAGAAGUAGUGAUGAUGGCUCUGAACACCGAAGCUGAGAAGUGAUAACGACUCUGAACGCCGAAACCGAGAACGCGACUCUGAACGUCGAUCUGAAAACCGAUGACGGCUCUGAACGCCGAAACUGAGAGAAGUAGUGAUGAUGGCUCUGAACACCGAAGCUGAGAAGUGAUGAUGAUGACUCUGAACGUCAAACUGAGAAGUGAUAACGACUCUGAACGCCGAAAUCGAGGAUGUGACUCUGAAUGUCGAUCUGAAAACCAAUGAUAGCUCUGAACGCCGAAACUGAGAAGUGAUGAUGAUGACUCUGAACGUCAAACUGAGAAGUGAUAACGACUCUAAACGCCGAAACCGAGGAUGUGACUCUGAAUGUCGAUCUGAAAACUGAUGAUAGCUCUGAACGCCGAAACUGAGAAAUGAUGAUGAUGACUCUGAACGUCAAACUGAGAAGUGAUAACGACUCUGAACGCCGAAACCGAGGAUAUGACUCUGAAUGUCGAUCUGAAAAUCGAUGAUGGCUCUGAACGCCGAAAACGAGGAUGUGACUCUGAAUGUCGAUCUAAAACCCGAUGAUGGCUCUGAACGCUGAAACUAAGAAGCGGUGAUGGCUCUGAACGCCGAAACUAAAAGGUGAUGGUGUCUCUGAACGACGACAAAUGGAAAAGUGGCUCUGAACGCCGAACUGAAAAAUGUGACAUGAUGACUCUAAAUGUCGUAAACCGUGAAUGAACGGCAGCUCUGAACGCUAGACUGCAAGGAAACAAUGAGGGGGAAAUAUGCCCCAGUGUGGCAUGCCGCUGCAAACCUCAAACUACUAGAAAUGGCUAAAAGGGACUCUACGAGUCUCGAACGACGCACCACUGAGAGCUCAUGUCAACGAAGAGCUUAGGAACAAUGGUCAGUGAGGCGAAUACAAUAUAUCUCGGCUGAGUGAUGGAAACUGCGAUGGACAUGUGAGAGAACGAUCGGCUCCAUGGCUAAAUGAGGGAAAUAUGCCCCAGUAUGGCAUCAGAUGUAUCCGAUCUAUCCUGAUAACCCGAGAAUAGCACCGAUGGGACGCGUAACAGAUCUGAUAUGUACCCCACUGAAAUGAUGACGCGGGAAAUCCAGGCACCUAAGAUAACCCCAUCCAGGAAUCACGACUAUAUCAAAGAGUAUGAAUCUGGCUGAACGAAGUCAAGAGAGGCUCCUCGGAGUAUCCGGACAAAAUGAAAUCAAUCAUCAACCUGGCGUGUAUCUCAUGGCCGUGGAUGAUCAUGUAAACCAGUGGGGAUCUAUAAAUCUCGAUCAAGAUGGGGAAUAUGCCCCAGUGUGGCAUCGAAAAUGUAACAUGUCAAAAAAAAUCAGAUGAACUCAAAUCAUCUAUGCCUGCAACUGGCUAGAUGGCUCUCGAUAGACUCCACUAAGGAAUCAUCGUGAGGAUUGCGAAUAUAUCAUCAUCCCUGCAUACAUCUCGCAAAUAAGGAUAAGCACGCAACUCCCUCAUGAUCUGUAAAUCUCAUCCGAACGGAAAUAUGCCCCUGUAUGGCAUCGAAAUGCAGGAUAGGUCGGAGAUCAGAUAGCAUGGAAUCAUCUAUCCUAUAACAUGUGACCUCUGCGAAGAUCCAUAAAAAUCCUCCGAAACGGAAUAUGCCCCAGUAUGGCAUCUGACGUGCGACAAAUCAGGAAAAAACAGGUGACAUCGAAUCAUCCCUCAUCAAACACGUGAUCCUGGUAAUCCAAACACGGUCGAAACGGAUCUAAACAUCUGAGAAGUGUCUCCCAGAAGAAGAUGCAUGGCAAAUAUCUGGAUGUCGACUGAAUCUCAAACACCUGUCCACAUAGAAGCCGUAGAAGACGAUAUCUGAUCCCAUGGCCUCAGGGUGGUCUUAAGACACGGGACGUAAUGUAGGCUAGGGUGAUAGGGUGAUAGAAACGAAGGGAAACUAAGCUCAAAUACCCAAUGAUCAAAACCCAUGCCCUCGUGUGUGAAAUGCAACAUGUACAGAAAAUCCUGUGAGCCCUGGACCUGAGGGUGUCUAAUGUGAAUAUGAUGUCAAUGAGGAAACAAGUGAAGCAAAUCAAACUGAUAAUGAGAUAUGUAAUGGUGAUACGAAGGGAAUAUCAAACCCGAGAUGGGUCGUGGUAAGAAAAGAAUAAGAAGUGAAGUGAGAAUGACGAAUCAGAAGCGAAAACGAGGACGAUGAUAAUGAAGCGAAUAACAUCAAAAGGAGUGAUGAUCAACUCUGAUCAGACAUGGAAUGAUGUCACAUCAACUACGAACAUAAUGAUGGAACGGACAAUAACCCAGAGCUCCCAAAAGAAAGUCACUCAUCUCGCUCACAAAAUAUGCAACAAAAUGAAUACAAAGCCUGAGGGAUCCCGGGAAGCUCACAUACGAACUCCCGUCAACAAACAUACUCGAUCAAGUGGCCCUCGAAUAUCAAUACAUACACUCAGUGAUGGAUAACAAUACAUACCUGGUUUUUAUUUCUUUUUCCAUUUUUUUUUUUCUUUUUUUUUUUUUUUUUUUUUUUUUUUUACCCCCAAAGAUGACAUCAAAAAAGGAUAACAUACUCUCAAAUGUCAAUGUAACAUGAACUCUCUCUGAUGAUGUGACUUUCUCAAACUAAGGAUCCCUGGACCAACGUCCGUAUGAUAGAUAGUGGAAAUGACAUGACUACCCUCCAUGUAGUGAACUGAGGAAGAUCACCCCUCGGGGUGAAAGAAGAUGACGUGAAACGAACAGUAGAUAAGAUAAAGAAAAUAUGAUGAAUAACACGAACAGUGAGAUGAGAUGAAAUGCAAUGAUGUAGUGGCGAGCACAGAUAAUGAGAAGAACGUGCCCCUAGGUCCAAGGCUCAAUGAAACUCUCAAACAAUGCAUGCAUACACUAAAGGGCCCCAAUCCCGGUGUGAAAAUGUGAGCAAGGCUAUAAGAAAUGAAGGUUAUGAUGCGCGUGCGAGGCUCAAAUGGGCUAGCAAUGGACUAUAUAUAUCAGAAACGGGAUAAAGGGAUAUAGCUAACCGAAAUGAUAGCCACCCAUCCUGCGACCAUGGUCUCAAACAUAGUACCUCUUUAGCUGAUCCACAUUAGUCGGCUCUGAGAACUGGUUUCCAUCCAAAUCCAUCAACCAUGCGGCGCCCUCUGGGGACAACUCUCUGAUGAAGUAAGGCCCGCUCCAACUGGGUCUGAACUUCCCUCUAGGAUCUCUGAUCAAUCCUCUGAUGACUCUCAAAACUAAGUCACCUACAUGCAGUGGUCUGGGCUUGACCCGCUUUUUGAAAGCGCGGGCCAUCUUCCUCUGAUAUGCACGAACAUGGUCUGCUGCUCUCAAUCUCCUCUCAUCUAGGAGAUUGAGCUGAUCAAAUCGAGCCUGAGCCCAAUCCGUCUCGGGAAUCUGCUGCUCCAAGGCUACCCUCAAUGAACCCAUCUCGAUCUCAACUGGUAGCACUGCCUCCAUACCGUACACCAAUGAGUAGGGUGUGGCUCCUGUAGAGGUGCGAAAAGAAGUCCUGUAAGCCCAUAGUGCGAAAGGAAGCUUCUCGGACCAAUCCCGAGAAGUCUCAACCAUCUUCCGCAAUAUCCUCUUAAUAUUCUUAUUCGCGGCCUCUACUGCCCCAUUCGUCUGCGGCCUGUACGCAGACGAUCUAUGAUGCCGGAUGCUGUAUCUCUGUACUAAGGUGUCAACCUCUGCUCUGAAAUGCACCCCUCUGUCUGAAAUAAGCUCGUGAGGGACUCCAUAGCGACAAAUGAUGUGCGAUCUAAUGAAACUGGCAACUCCAGAUGAUGUCAAUCUCGCAUACGAGGCGGCCUCCACCCACUUGGUAAAGUAAUCAAUAGCUACCAGGAUGAACUCAUGACCACUGGAAGAUUUCGGCGAAAUCUUCCCGAUGAUAUCGAUACCCCAUACUGAAAACAGCCAUGGUGAAGUCAAUGCAUGCAACUCUGAGGGCGGCACGUGAAUGAGAUCUCCGUGUAUCUGACACUCAGGACAUCUCUGGACGAACUGACAACAAUCCGUCUCCAUAGUCAACCAGAAAUAGCCGGUCCUCAUGAUCUUACGGGCCAACAUAUGCCCUCCCAUAUGUGGUCCACAAACUCCCGCAUGAACCUCUCUCAUCACUCGAUCGGCAGAGGCACGGUCUAAACACAACAAUAGCAUCCCGUCAGCUGAUCGUCUAUACAGCGUCUCGCCGCAAAUGACGAAUCGGGCAGCCAACUGUCUCAAUGCUCUCUUAUCCUUGGCCGUGGCGACCUCAGGAUAUACGCCGAGUCUCAAAAAGUGAUAUAUGUCGUGAUACCAUGGCAAACCAUCAUUUGGCUCUACAUCAUCAAUCAAACAACAAUACGCAGGAGCAGAUCUCGACUCGAUCAACAAUGGUCGAACAGUGGCAUCGGCGGGAAUGUCGAUCAUGGAAGCUAGAGUAGCUAAAGCAUCAGCAAACUGGUUCUGCGCUCUAGGCAGAUGUGUAUAUCUCAUAUCCUCAAAUCUCGCGACCAGUAGCUCCAAAUACGCGUGGUAAGGCCUAAGCUUCACAUCUCUAGUCUUCCACUCGCCCUGUAUCUGUCUCAAUACCAGAUUGGAGUCACCAAACACCUCCAUCUGUCUAAUCCCAAGCUCGAGGGCUGUCUCUAACCCCAAGAUACAUGCCUCAUACUCAACAAUGUUGUUCGUGGCCAGAUGUUGAUUCGAGAAUGCCAAACGAACAGAUCUGGGAAUGUGAUCACCAUGAGGGGAUAUCAACAAAACGCCUAUCCCGUAUCCAGAAUGGUUGGCUGCACCAUCAAAGUACAUGCGCCAACCCGACAGACUAGUCACAGCUGCGACAUCCUCGUCUGGAAAAUCAUCGUCAAUAGCUCUGGCAUCAGAAACUGGUAAUGAGGCUAAGUGAUCUGCGACAAUGCUCCCUCUGAUGGACUUCUGAGUGACAUAAUGAAUGUCAAACUCAGUCAGAAGUACCAGCCAUCUCAUAAGGCGACCAACUAGGUAUAUCAAGACGAGGAAUCAAAGGUCCGAUCCUACAAAGCACGAAGAACGGAAUAAGGAUAUGGCUCGGGGAAUGUAUAGAAGAAAAGAUAAUCUGAACGGGAACAAGCAAAGCAUCCAAGUGAAGAUGAGCGGUCCGACCGUACUCAAAUUCGUCCUGAUCUCAGUGCACUCUCAUCUGGAGACUAAACAGAGGGAAAAUCGGAUCCAAAACUACGGCUACAGAGGCACGGAAAGCCCUCAGAUGCACCCACGUGUAGGGAGGGAAUCCUAAUCGAAGGAUCUAUGGCUCAACCUACAAGGUCAAGGUGGCUCUAAAUGGAUAAGGGUGGACUUUAAAAUAUCCCUAGCAGAAGCGAUCAUACCCUCCGGCGAUACGCAACCCUCUGCACGCCUCCGAAGAGACGGGGCGCUUCCAUGCAAGGUGGUCAUCACCUCCACACAUGCACUACCUCGCAUUCCAGGGGGUUUCCUAUGGUGAAACCUCUCAAACUCUCAACACUCAAUAGUCUACUAGCGUGCACAGUGAUGGUGUGGGUGCAUCCGAAACCCUAAGAAGCUAAAGCAGGAUAUGAAACACACUGGCCACAUAAAUAUCCAUGAAACCUAGCUCCGGGCUAUACAGGUCUUCAAUGAUCGGACUCCAAUCGACAUCAAAGUGUCGCUCUCCUCCAGAANNNNNNNNNNNNNNNNNNNNNNNNNNNNNNNNNNNNNNNNNNNNNNNNNNNNNNNNNNNNNNNNNNNNNNNNNNNNNNNNNNNNNNNNNNNNNNNNNNNNAGGCAUGUCAAGAAUGGCUCUAAUCUUGUCCGGAUCCACCUCUAUGCCUCGCUCACUGACUAUGUAUCCCAAGAGUUUCCCAGAAGUCACUCCAAAAGUGCACUUCUUGGGAUUCAGUCUCAAUCUGAACUGUCUGAUCCUCUCAAAGAACCUCUCAAGAGCUGCCAAGUGAUCUGAUCUAUCUCGGGAUUUCACUAUCAUGUCGUCUACAUAAACCUCGACAUCCCGAUGCAUCAUGUCAUGGAAGAGUGUGGUCGCUGCCCUCUGAUAGGUGGCUCCUGCGUUCUUCAAUCCGAAUGGCAUGACUCUAUAGCAAUAAGUACCCCACUCGGUAAUGAAGGACGUCUUCUCCAUGUCCUCUGGAGCCAUCAAGAUCUGACUGUACCCGAAAAAUCCGUCCAUAAAGGACAACAUCGAGUGACCUGCUGUACUGUCAACUAGCAUGUCGAUGUGUGGGAGAGGGAAAUCAUCCUUAGGACUGGCCUUGUUGAGAUCUCGGAAAUCAACACAGACUCUCACCUUGCCAUCCUUUUUAGGAACAGGGACGACAUUGGCCAGCCACUCCGGGUACUCGACCACUGAUAGAAACCCCACACUGAGUUGCUUCUGAAUCUCCUCUUUCACCUGCAAGCUCCAACGAGGGUGCAAUCGUCUCAACUUCUGCUUAACCGGUCUGGCAUGGGGCAGAAGUGGCAAACGAUGCUGGACGAUGGAUGGAUCAAGGCCCGGCAUGUCCUCAUAGGACCAUGCGAAAACGUCCAAGUAGGAUCUGAGCAACUGGAUGAGACUAUCUCUCUCAUCUGAGGAUAAAUCUGACCCGAUCCUCAACUCCCUAGGCUGAUCUGCGGUGCCGAAAUCAACAAUCUCUAUGUCUCCUAUAGCAGGUGAAACCCUCUGAUCAACGGGAUCCGAAUCGGAAACAGAAGAUGAGUCAUCAUCUGAGUCGUGCUGUGCAAUCUCAUCAUCAAUAUCAAAAAUCUGUGGUGUGGGUGAAGAUGGUGCAGAUAAAUCAAUAUCCCAAGAGACAGGCAGAUACUCAAAAAUGCUCAAAUCCAUAGAUGAAACAUCGGAAACAAUGUCAGAACAGGAGACGAACCCCGACAGAAUGUCAAAUGAAAGAGGUGGGUCCACAAAGUCGGACGCUCCCUCAACAAUGCCAACAUGGCUAUCAAUCAAAUCAUCAAAAACUAUAGCAUCCUCAACAAUCUCCAGAGUAGGGGUUGUCUGGAUCUCCUCAACGAUCUCGAUGAAAGACACCCCGAAAAGAUCGAAUGGUGAAGUGAGCCCAGGAUGAACUCUCUCCUCGAUCGGGCUCAAGCUCAGGGCGAGCAUCUCGUCGAUGUACUCGUCGUGUGGGACGGCUCCGUCCACUAUGUCUUCGACCCCAGCAAAGGUCCCAUGCUCAUCGGUCUCGUCCGGGAAGCAAAGCGUCAUAAGGCUCGUGCGAUCUGGAGACGAAGGAGCAAUCAACACAGAAGUCGAAGAGCCAGGAGCUCCGUCUCUCAAUCGUAACUGCUGGACAAGGCGCUGAAGCUCGACCUCCUGAGUGGUGCUAAGUCCUCCAAUGAUCAUGUCCGAACGGGUCAAUGGCUCUGAUGCCCUCACAAAAUAAUCAGAUAAGCUCCUGGUGUAUGGACGAAGAGGAUAGUAGAAAGGUGUGUGGGUCAGUCGAGCUCUCACUCUCUCCUUGCGCAAACGCGCCAUGUAGAGAUAAUCGGCCUCAGUGGGGAUGAACCCAAGUCCGAACGGUACGUCGUGAUCAGGGAUGGCUAUGAACUCGCUCGGUCCAUGCUGACGUCGACCCAACCCCAUGCCGGGUAGAUAGGACAUACUCCGCAUGAUAUCGAGCACCACUGUGCUCCCAUGCCGGUCAAAGGACAUGGCCACAAAAUCCCGGCAGAAAUCCUCUAUCUCCACAGUCUGCACCUCAUCGAAGGUGAAUCCAGUCAGAAAAAGAUCGUCAUCAGUGUGACUAAUCUCGAGCACAAGCUCGGCAGCAAUGAACAUGUCUCCCACAGACUGCACCACGACGACCUGACCAUCGUGAAUAAACUUCACCUUCUGAUGAAGGGAAGAAGGAAUGGCCCCGACUCUGUGGAUCCAUGGUCGGCCCAGAAGCAGGUUAAAGGAUGUAGGAAUCCUCAAAACCUGGAAUACAGCGACAAAAGUGGCCGGACCGAUCAGCAACUCGAUCUCCAAUGUACCCAUGACCUCCCUCCGAGUACUGUCAUAUGCGCGAACGGUCUGAGUAGUGGGACCAAAAUCAGAAGGAGCGUAUCCAAGGGCGAUGGCAGUGGCAAGAGGACAUACGUUCAGGGCCGAGCCAUUGUCCAAGAGGACAGAUGGGACUCGGCGGCCUGAACAGCCAACAGAUAUGUAGAGUGGGCGAGUGUGGUCUGAGCCCUCCGGUGGCAAGUCAUCAUCGGAAAAGACGAUACAAGUGGCUCUGCCAACCGUCAUCAUAUGAAUGAGUCCCUCGGGAGUGGUCGUGGUAUCAACUCUGAUCUGGCUCAGAGCUCGAGUCAGUGCAUCCCGAUGAGUACUGGAGGACGCUAAAAGGCUCCAGAUAGAAAUACGAGCCUGAGUGCUCUGCAACUGCCUCAAAAUCUCAUCAUUCUCUGCUCUGACCUCCUCCUGGGAUGACGUAUCCCCUAAGGGUCUAGCGGCAGCGGCUGGAGGUGGCUGUCUCACUACUCUCCCUCCCCGGAGGAUAUACUGAACGUCCGGAGUCUGAGGAUCAUCACUGUGUGGAGCCUGAACCUCCUCAACAUCUGGGAUCAGAAUGUACGGCGCCUGAACGCUAUAGCGCGUGAAUGUCAGAGGCUCGGAAGUGGCUGCCUGUACAGAUGCUGCCUCAGGAACUAAUCGGAAUGGAGCAGGAAUCUGUGGCUCUAGGGUCACCCCACUCGUCUCAUAAAUCCCAGCUGGCAUGAUAGGCUCCGGGUCUGAAUCAUCCCAACUCAACAUAUGGACAUGAUCAUCAGUCUCAUCGAAGUCCAAGAAAUGAAUACCACCGGCUGGUGGAGGAACUGCAUGUGUGGUGUGGGUCGGCAACGGGUUUGUGGUCACACUCGGCUGACCCAAGUGUACCAAACCCUGGUCUAUCAGAUCCUGAAUAGCAUGCCUCAGAGCGGUGCAUCGAUCGGUCUCAUGUCCAGGCCCCUGAUGAUAAGCACAGUGUAAGUCCAUCCUAAACUGAGCUGGAAUCGGCUGAGGUAGUGGUCGAGGAGUGAGAGCAGUCAAUAAACCAGCCUCCGUAAGCUUCCGAAGAGCCUGGCUCAACGGCAUGCCUAUCUGCGAGAACUGCCUCUGCGUCCUCAAAGCGAACGGAGCAGAAGUCUGCUGGGCUCCAGGUCGGGGAUAAGGCGCCGCAGGUCUCGCGGUGAACUGAGCAGCGUAGCAUGGCUGCCCUGUGGCUGUGUAGGAGACCGCGGGUCUCUCAAUGCCCUGAGUGGCAUAAGAAGGUAAAACCAAUGUCUGUGGCAUGUGCGUCUGAUCGUAAGCCGGCCGAGGUGCCCGUGGCCUGUACUGAUGAGAUGCGUAGGAAGAAUGAGGCUCGGAAAACUGUGGGAUCGGCUGAUGGCGUCUGAGAGGCCUCUGACUGGAUGAACUGAUAGCACCAACCUCUGUCGGUCUCGGUCCUACGAAUGGUUUCUUCCCCUUAACAUCACUAGGGGAAGAAUCUGCCCAUAAACCUCUCGUGAUGCCGUCCUCGACAUCAUACAAAGCCAUAACCAGAGACCCAAAAUCUGUGAACGGGACCCCGACCACAUGUCUGGCGAUCCCCGGCUGUAGGCUCCUCAAAACCAUCUGAAUCUGGUCUCUCUCUGAUGGUCUAUCCACUAUCUCAGCUAUCUUCCCGCGCCAGCGGGAAAUGAAAGAAGAAACGGACUCCUCUGUCCUCUGCCUCAGAGCCUCGAGCUCUCUCCUCGAUACGUCUACAACAGUGUUAAACGAAAACUGUCGUAGGAACUCCUGGGCCAAGUCAUCCCAUGUACGGCGUCUCGAGGACUCUAGAGACGCAAACCAGCGCUGAGCCGCCCCACUCAAAGAUAGGGGGAAAAGAGUGAUCAUCUGAGGCUCGUCCAGUCCAUGAGCCCUCAUCACGGUGCUAUAAAGUCUGAGGUGGAGGCGCGGACAACCAAUACCAGUGUACCUCUCAAUAUCUGGCAUCCUGAACUUAGCCGGCAAGCUGGCUACCGGCAUAGCCCCAAAAUCAUCCCAAACAACGGAUCCAUCUGACACUCUCAUCUGUCUCAUACACUGCUCGAUGCGGUUCAUGCGCGCAUGCGUGUCAUCAGCGACAACGGCCUGGGCGACUGCAAGUGGAGCGAUCCCAGAAUGCCCGUGUAAUACAUAUGGUGAUGUCUGAUGCACUGAAGGAACUGGUGGGGGUGGUGGAGGUGGCACCGGGUCAUAGGAUACCUCGUCCUGAGCGAUAUGUGGCCUGCUCUGCUGGUCAUUGAUCUCCUGCCUAAGGCCAGCCAGAGCCUCCUGGAUAGAAGCCAUGGCAGUCGUGAACUGAUCGACCGUGACAACCUGCUGAUCCAUAUCUGGUGUAUCUGAAACCCGAACUAAUCUGCCCUCUACUCUGAUCCACGAAACUAUACCCAGACUGAGAGUAAAAAUCCUGAUCCUGAAAGUACUCCUCCUCUGCUCUGAUCCACAAAAGGUAUAUCAAGACGAGGAAUCAAAGGUCCGAUCCUACAAAGCACGAAGAACGGAAUAAGGAUAUGGCUCGGGGAAUGUAUAGAAGAAAAGAUAAUCUGAACGGGAACAAGCAAAGCAUCCAAGUGAAGAUGAGCGGUCCGACCGUACUCAAAUUCGUCCUGAUCUCAGUGCACUCUCAUCUAGAGACUAAACAGAGGGAAAAUCGGAUCCAAAACUACGGCUACAGAGGCACGGAAAGCCCUCAGAUGCACCCACGUGUAGGGAGGGAAUCCUAAUCGAAGGAUCUAUGGCUCAACCUACAAGGUCAAGGUGGCUCUAAAUGGAUAAGGGUGGACUUUAAAAUAUCCCUAGCAGAAGCGAUCAUACCCUCCGGCGAUACGCAACCCUCUGCACGCCUCCGAAGAGACGGGGCGCUUCCAUGCAAGGUGGUCAUCACCUCCACACAUGCACUACCUCGCAUUCCAGGGGGUUUCCUAUGGUGAAACCUCUCAAACUCUCAACACUCAAUAGUCUACUAGCGUGCACAGUGAUGGUGUGGGUGCAUCCGAAACCCUAAGAAGCUAAAGCAGGAUAUGAAACACACUGGCCACAUAAAUAUCCAUGAAACCUAGCUCCGGGCUAUACAGGUCUUCAAUGAUCGGACUCCAAUCGACAUCAAAGUGUCGCUCUCCUCCAGAAUGCUCCCGUACAUCGAUAUAGCCCGUUGCUAGACCCUACUCCUAAUCUCUGGCUCGGUCAGAGAGCAAACACACAGAAGGUCUCACACUUGCAAUAGUGAGAACCGGGAUGAAAGGAAUGACCGAAACCAAGAGAGUUGGAGGUAAGGGGAUAUAUGUGCGGCCCACAUAGACAGGCAACAUGCAAUCAUGCAGAAGGAAGGCAGUCACGUGUCAUACAGUCAAGCAAAGUACAGGAUAUAUCACUCAUGUCCACACAAAAAGCUACAACUAUCAGGAUGAAUAGCUAUAUGAACAUCAUGCUCAAAAGACGAUCAAGAUAAUAUGCAAGUCAGAGAAAACAACACAGCAAGUCAAAUGAUAUACACCAGUGAAUCCAUGCAUGUGAGGUGAGCAGAAUAAUCAGGAAGAAACAGAAUCGCUAUACCAAGCAAAACAAGGUGAGCAACCUAUGAUAAUCGGCAUGUCAAUGUACCAAACUAAUAUAGCAAUGAAGUACAGAAAAAACGACAUCCGAAGCCCCAAAUCAAGAUGAUCAAUCAUAUCAAUGUCACAACACAAUAUCCAAGCAUACAUCAAAAACUCCCAAUGUGCAAUCAAGAGACAAGUACUCGCUGAUCGACUCAUCAAAUGCCAUGUUUGCUUCAUCUUAAGUUCAAGUUUGACCCUCUAUAGUUCCCCAGCGGAGUCGCCAUUUUGUGGACCCCGCAUUUCGAUGGCUCGAAUGCGUUCCCCACUCGAUGGCGAGCUCGAUUUUUAUUUUGAAAAAUUGAUUUUUAUUGAUUAUUUGAAAAUGACUUGGAGUCGCCACUUAUUUUUGUUUUAUUUUUAAAGGGUAAACAAAAUAAGAAAGAAAAACCCUAAGUGUGACUCCUUAUUUUGGAAAAGGUGAUCUACGAAAAACCGGAUCGGGUUCGGGGGUCAGGUUACUUAUCGGGAAGGUACGGUAAAGACCGUAGCACCCCUCUAAGUCCCUAAAGUCGGGUCUCUACUACUAAAAUGAAGCUGACAUGGCAAUCAAUGAGAAAAUCAAUGAAUACUCAAAUCAAUCAUGCACAUAUAAGUAUCAAAACAUGCGUAUAGCAAGACCAGAAUAAGGACAGAUGCGUACCUGGGCAACGAUCUUCAAUGCGCUAUCAAGAAGUGAGAUUAGUGCACAAUUAAAGGAUGGUCACAUGCAUAUCAUAGAGCAGAAUAAAUCAUGUAUGGCACCCAAAUCAACCAAACAAUCCAUCAAUCAUAAAAUCUCAUAUGUUGGGCCCCCACCAAAGCCCGAUUGAUUUUUGCAUGAAUUAAUUCCAUAAAUUCCCUUGCUUGGAAUUACGGAAUUUUAUUCUAGCUUAUUUUAAAACAUUUUGAAAAUCUGAGGAGUUGUGAAAAUUGCUUGUCAGGGAGAAAAGUGACAGCAAAUUUUUAUUAUNNNNNNNNNNNNNNNNNNNNNNNNNNNNNNNNNNNNNNNNNNNNNNNNNNNNNNNNNNNNNNNNNNNNNNNNNNNNNNNNNNNNNNNNNNNNNNNNNNNNNNNNNNNNNNNNNNNNNNNNNNNNNNNNNNNNNNNNNNNNNNNNNNNNNNNNNNNNNNNNNNNNNNNNNNNNNNNNNNNNNNNNNNNNNNNNNNNNNNNNNNNNNNNNNNNNNNNNNNNNNNNNNNNNNNNNNNNNNNNNNNNNNNNNNNNNNNNNNNNNNNNNNNNNNNNNNNNNNNNNNNNNNNNNNNNNNNNNNNNNNNNNNNNNNNNNNNNNNNNNNNNNNNNNNNNNNNNNNNNNNNNNNNNNNNNNNNNNNNNNNNNNNNNNNNNNNNNNNNNNNNNNNNNNNNNNNNNNNNNNNNNNNNNNNNNNNNNNNNNNNNNNNNNNNNNNNNNNNNNNNNNNNNNNNNNNNNNNNNNNNNNNNNNNNNNNNNNNNNNNNNNNNNNNNNNNNNNNNNNNNNNNNNNNNNNNNNNNNNNNNNNNNNNNNNNNNNNNNNNNNNNNNNNNNNNNNNNNNNNNNNNNNNNNNNNNNNNNNNNNNNNNNNNNNNNNNNNNNNNNNNNNNNNNNNNNNNNNNNNNNNNNNNNNNNNNNNNNNNNNNNNNNNNNNNNNNNNNNNNNNNNNNNNNNNNNNNNNNNNNNNNNNNNNNNNNNNNNNNNNNNNNNNNNNNNNNNNNNNNNNNNNNNNNNNNNNNNNNNNNNNNNNNNNNNNNNNNNNNNNNNNNNNNNNNNNNNNNNNNNNNNNNNNNNNNNNNNNNNNNNNNNNNNNNNNNNNNNNNNNNNNNNNNNNNNNNNNNNNNNNNNNNNNNNNNNNNNNNNNNNNNNNNNNNNNNNNNNNNNNNNNNNNNNNNNNNNNNNNNNNNNNNNNNNNNNNNNNNNNNNNNNNNNNNNNNNNNNNNNNNNNNNNNNNNNNNNNNNNNNNNNNNNNNNNNNNNNNNNNNNNNNNNNNNNNNNNNNNNNNNNNNNNNNNNNNNNNNNNNNNNNNNNNNNNNNNNNNNNNNNNNNNNNNNNNNNNNNNNNNNNNNNNNNNNNNNNNNNNNNNNNNNNNNNNNNNNNNNNNNNNNNNNNNNNNNNNNNNNNNNNNNNNNNNNNNNNNNNNNNNNNNNNNNNNNNNNNNNNNNNNNNNNNNNNAGAAAGGUGAAUAAAUAUGGUGGGGGAGUAGACUGUUGACAAUGGGUAUGUAUGAGUCAUAUGCCUGGGGGUAUGGUGAGAGAUGAACUGCAAGUGAUGGGCAUGAUGUGGUGUGGGGUGGAUUAGUGGGAUGACAGUAUACAAAGAGAGCGUGGUGUAGAGAGAGAAUGCAAGAUGAUGAGUGCAUGUGUAGAUAUGGGUGUGGGCAUGGUGGUAUGAAGCGUGUGGUGGAUGAUGGACUGAAGGUGAUGGGCAUGACAAUGGGCAUGAACAGGGAUGGAGUCAUGUGGGCACGAGACGAGCAUGAGCGCGGAAUGAGUGUGAUGCAACCAUGCAUGGUAUGAAAAGGGUUUGGUGUAGUGAGAGAAAGUAGAUUAUUGGUGAUGGGUAUGAAUAAUGGCCGGGUUUGCAUGGUCCAUGCACUUGGAUGGGUGAGUUUGGGGAUGCUAGCAGAAGCCUUGGAAGGAAUACGGGCAGCCAUGCACGCGUGGGGUUUCAUGGAUAUCGAGUCAGGGUAUUUUGUUGGAGGAAGAGAGCAUGGGUCUGCACAAUAUGGGGAUUGGGAUCUCCUACGGACUCCCUAGCUAAUGGAGUUGUGAAAGGGAGACCAUCUGCUUUUCCGAUACCAGAUUAUGGGAAGUUCAGUGAUGGCUUCUCAAAAAAUAUUGGUCCACCUUGAUGUUAACAAACCACCCUUGGGCAAUUUAGCAAUCCCUUCAUUCUCAGAAGACUCCGUCUCCAACAGACCAUAAUGAUACUGAACUAAUCCAUGUGAAACGGACAAGAAAGGCUCUGCUCGUGAAUGUUCCCUGGCAUAACCUCCUCUAGAAUGUCAUCAGACGAAACAAAACUAGAGAACCAGGUAUCUGGAACAAGUAAGUCUUCUCUCUGGGCCAAACCCUCAACAAGCCUGUUGCAUUUCUCUGAUUUCUCCCACUGUUCUGCCAAAGUCUUUAUUUAUAAUAUAAUGGUUUAGAAAUAUCCUCCAUUAAUCACUCUACCUUUGACCAACCCUGGUUAAGGAUCCAUACAUCAAAUCUGAUUACCACUUCUGGCCCACAACCGCUCGAGUUGAUAAUGAUUUUCCUCCAUAUCUACUCCUGUUCAUCUUCAUAAAAUUCCUUGGAAUCAUCAGUAUACUCACUGCAAUCUGUGGUAAAGACCACCACAUCCUCAUCGACAUCUUACUUUUUUCCUCUACGAAUGGCGCCUCACACUACUCACUAUUCUUUGGAUCUGAACCACUUUUUUUUUUUUUUUGUUUUUUCAAAUAUUGGAUGUCAAGCCUCAACAGCAUAUAGUAGUCAAUUUGUACCAUCCCCAAUGUAUGGUAUGCAUGAUGCCCCGUGCUCAAAUUGCUCAAAAAGAACAGAGGAAUAUAGCCAAGAAAACAGGGCAUAGGAGAAAGGAACAAAAAAUAAAUCAAGGGCAACUGCAUUUCAGGACAUAUCAAUGUGUUCCCACUGGUGGAUGAAAGAUAUGAACAAAUUCAAAACAAAAAAUACGCCACAUAUGUUCAGGUGCCUAGCAACAAAAUAUGAUGCAAGUCCUCACCCAUUUUCUUAAACCAGGUUAAUGAAACAGCGAAAGGAUUAACAUCACAGAUGGAAACAUGACAAAUACAAACAACAUAUACACCCAGUGAAAUGAUAUUCAGAAUAAUGAAAUCAUACGGCUAAAUAUAAGCAUACCUGAAUGUGAUAGAUGUCCUACCCAGCUUUUCUUACUUUCUCUCUGUUUUCCUUGCCUUUCUAGCUCCGACAAUCGAAUCACCUUCUCUCUUACUCUUCUUUUCUCCCGCUUGAAAAACCUCCCUCUGGAAAUAUAUCUCUCCCCCAGCCAGACGACACCCACCUGCCUUGCAGUUGCAAGCCUCCAUUACCUUCAGAUUUUUCUGCCACCUUCCUCUUCUAGGCCCAUUUCCCCACUACUCUGCACCACUACCUUGCUAAUAACAGAAGACGCUCCUCAAUACAACGGCCUGCAGAUCCUCAUGCCACCUGUCAACCUUCCAUUGGCACUUCAAAAACAACAUACGAUUCUGCAUUGCCCUCUCAAAAGGAGACACGUGAUUGAGCAAGGCUCUUCCACGUGGCCAAAACGGGUAGCUGCAUGAAAGGCCCCAAAUGGGGGUCUACAGCAGGAUAUACUUUUUCGUCAAUGUGUGCCUGAAUGACCUAAAACUAGUCCCAAUUAAUGAUAUGACAUUGUAUUUGCUAUUCUCAUCAACCAAGAAUACACCCGAAAAUAUAAGAUCUUGAUUAUUUAAUAAGCAUGUAAGGUAUACACAAAAUAUAGGAAAAUAAUUUAAGUACAUUACUAUAUACCUUAUAAGAAGAUCUUGAUUAUUUAAUAAUCAUGUAAGGUCUACACAAAAUAUAGGAAAAUAAUUUCAAUAGAUUACUAUAUACCUUAAUGCAAUCCCAUAAUUUCUCCUUCAAUUCCACAGGCAUUACUCUCCAAUCAAUAUGAUAUACUGGCACCAUGGUUUGUGUUAGCACCCCCAAGUAUGAUACAAGUUGUACAUAUCCCUCACCCACUCCCUCACCAUCAUCAUUAUAUUGAAUGUCAAUUUUCACUCAUUCACUUCUCUUUUUAGCAAUUUCAGGUUUUACAGUUGGGCCUCUAAACAUUUUUGGUGAAGUAAUCUUCUGUUUUCCUUCCUUUCCAUCCAUCUACAUGACAAUCAAAAGAAUAUGAUCAAUCUCAUAAUACAUAUAUAUAUAUAUCUUACAUUCAAAAGUAAAGCAUGAUAUUUUAAUAGUUACCUACUCUUUAUCUCUUCUUGGUUGAGACAUCUGUAAAGAUGUUGCACUUUUUGGCCAAGUUCCAAAUAAUUAAGAAUUAUGCACUACUAAACAACACUUGAAAAUGUAUCUCAACUAAAUCUAAAGAAAUUAGUUACAAAAUGAUUUCAUAAGUAGGAAUAAAUCAUUGUUGUACAAAACUUGCAAUACAUGAAAAUUAAUCUUAAAUCUCAAUAUAUAUAAAUAUGAUACUAACUGAAUUUAUUUAAAAUAGCUUAGCAAGUAUAUAAUAGUAAAAAUAUAUUUGAGAAUAAUAAAAUAAAAACAUAACAUUGUUGAGCAUCACAUUGUAGAUUAACAAUAACUCAAAAAUCACAUAAUACACUUAGUAGUCACAAAGCAUAACCCCAAAAAACAAAAACAAAAAACAAGAAAAUUGUAGACCCUCAAUUUUGUCCCUUUAGCACAUGUCUUUAAGUUCACUUCCAAUGCUCCAUAGUAAUUCCUUGGUGGCCCAUUGCUACUCAUACUACUUACCUUUUUUUUAGCCACCUUGGAGACCUUGGUUGAGGGGUUUAUCCAACUCCACAUUAUGACCUUGGCAGCCCUAAUUUAGACUUAGCCACUUUCCUGAACGCCUUAGGCCCACUUAGGUACACUUGGCCCACUAGGCGUCACCUUAAGCCCACUUAAGCACUUUUAAACCCAUUUUUUAUAUGACUUGCAUGAUUGCAUGGCCUACAUGACUUGUGUGGCUUAUAUGGAUUUCUUUAUUAUUUAAUUUCAUUUUAUUUUAUUUUAUUAUAAGUUUUCUUGGCUUUUUGGGCAUGAGGAAAGGGUCUGUCAUCUAUUUUGAAGGAGAAUCAACAGAAUUUUGAAAAAGAGGAGAUUUUGUUUUUAUAGGGAUAGCACAUAUAUUAUUUUCAUGGGGAAAUCGGUUACAAAAGGGAAAAAACUAAGAAAGGAAAGUGGAUUUCCUUUUUGGAUCACAAAAGUUUUUUUGGAGGGAGAUUUUUUUAUUGUCUUUGUAGAGAGACACAAAAAGGAAAAAAGGAGGGGAUUUUCCUCUAACAUAUUUGGGGGGGUUCUUUGGGAAGGCUGAUCUACGCAAAAAAUGAGAGGAAAAAAAAGCCACAGAUUAAGGGGGAAGGGACUCACGGAUUUGGAGGAGGAUUUUCUCCAUGGAUGAAGGGGGAAGGGACUCCCGGAGGAUUUUCUCCAUGGAUGAAGAGGGAAGGGACUCACAGAUUUGAUGAGGAGGAUUUUCUCCAUGGAUGGAGGGGAUGGGUAGCAGAAGAUGAGAGGCUGCUUCGAUAGUGUGAAUUUUUCUGGAAAGGGCCAAGGACCAUAGGAGAGGAUCAGGGACAGAGGCACUAUUACUUUGAGAAGCCCAUGAGUUCUUGAAGUCUCCAACAUAUCCCUUGAGGUAAGCUCUUUAGUGUGAAAUCCAAUUUAUUUUAUUUUCUCUGUUUCUUUUCCUCUUUCUUCUAUUGUCAUUAAGAUUUGCUACUGUUGAUUUUAAGUGUUUCAUAAAUUUGCCUGACUUCUGAUCCCAUUGUUGCUUCUUUGUUUGUGUUCAAGAAUCGUUCAAUUCUUCUUUGUGAUAUUUCAAAACCCUUUUAUUCCACCUGCAUUUAAGCCCACCGAUUCAGACAUGAAGUGUGGCUUUUUGAUAGUUCUUAUUUUCUUCAUUUAUGUUCUUUCUUUCUUUAUUAUUUUUUUGGCUAUUUUCUCCUUGCUCUUGGUGUUUGCACAUUCUUGGGCAUGGGACUACACACUUGGACGUCAAACCAUGGGAUGAUGAAACUGACAUGAAAGAGCUUGAGGCAACAUUAAUCAAAUCAAGAUUCGUGGCAAGACUAUGGCUGCUAUAUUGAGUUAGAUGUUUUCCAUAUGGGUUUGGUUCUCUUUCAUGAAUUUGCGGUUGGUUUAAAGUCUCCAAUUUUCUAUAUGGGAGAAGCAAUAUUAAGUAUUUUGGAUAUCUAAGUUUGUCUCUACUUCUGCAUUGAUUAUAUGUUGUGAGCAUGGUGGGUUUGUGAGGAAGGAAAUGUGUAUCAUUGGGGAAUUUUAAUCUUCAUAGAAUUACCACCACAGAGGACUACAGUGGACUAGGACAUGGUUAUAAAGAAUCCAGGCUAGUUCCCCAGUCUGUAAUUGCAUUGAUCAAUGAUAUUUUUGUCCAGUGGUUCAGUCAUCAGUAGUCACAAUUGCUUGUCCAAUGGUUCAGUCAUCAGUAGUCACGGCCGCUAAAAGGGGGAGGUUAACAACCAAAAAAAAAGAAGUGGCAAUUCCUGAACUAGAGCCUCCGAGAUGGUUUGUUAUAGACCUGCACUAUGUGAACUGGGGAACUGUUGUCUUUCUUCUGUUUAGUGUGGAAGUUGUACUACUUAAGCAAAUGAGAAAAAAGGGGUUUGAUAAUGGGUGUAUGGAAUGCUCCUACAUCGGUAAGAAUAUUUCAGGGUCUUCUCUCGCUGCUGAUGUUCUGGACUAAGGCAAGGAAGAGUGUUUUCUCAUCUAUGAUACUAUUCCCAAUGGAAGCUUGCUGCAAUAUCUGGAUGUGAUUGAUAACAAUGGGAAGGUCCUUGAAUAGUCUACUAGAGUUUCUAUCAUCAACGACAUUGCCAAAGGUGCCAGGUAUUUACAUGAGAAGAAAGUGAUUUAUCAAACACAACAUGGGCCCUACAAAUACUAGAAUGAAGAUGCAUCCAGAAUGAAGACCUCCUAGAAUCCAUACAAUGUUCCAUUGAAACAGUCGAAGUCCACUCCUUCAUUGAUGUUGGUAACACAACACGCAAAGCCUGUACUCAAGCUUCUCUAGUCUCUCCUCAAAUCCUAAUGCCCAACCUCAGUGGCUUAAUACAUCUGAAACUGAUGCCAAACGGAUCCCUGAUGAAGGAAAUUAUGGAUACAUACAAAAGAUUUAAGAAUCAGCUUCAUCAGUACAAGCCCCAGAAGCAGUUUGCUGGAAAUGUACUUAAGCUCCAUGAGCAGACCCGUAAGUUGCAGUCGUGUCUUUGAUCGAGUUAGUAAGCUGCUCUCCCUCAAGGUUCGAACCAGAUAAAGGCAACUGGAGUUACUGCUGGUUACACUUUAACUUCUUCAUGGCCUAUACAGUUGGAAUUGCAGAUGAUAUGCAAGUGCUCAUAUUGAUGGUAUCGCUACAAAAUACUCCGAAAUUGUCGAAACAAAAGUUAUUCAAGCAAAGAUGGCAAACUGCAAUGAGAGUCUAUUGAAGAUCUCAGAGAUGAGAGGUUUGCUGAGUUCAAUAAAGAUGGCAAGUAACUUGAUGCCGAUGUUCACCUCAAGCACGUUCCGCGAUGGUCAUGCUGCUGCAUAUGUAGUGAUUUUGAUGGAAGACAGUAAGCCCAUUGGUGAGAAAUCGUUUUAUAACUUCCCAGAAUGCUUGGGAAGCAUCCCUGCUGUUUAAAUGAACUUCCCGAGAAGUGCUUGUGUAACUUGCUAAGCUGGCUACCUGAGUUGAACCACUGUGAUAUCAGUGGGGGAAAGAAACAACAAAGGCUCAACGAAGAGAUUGUACCCCGGGAGUUCAGAACUGGUGGUUAUGCGUGACGUUAUUCGGGAUUUAUAAUCGAAAAGGCUUCCUACAUGGCCAGAAUACAGAGGAUGAUUGGUUUGGGAUUGAAAAGAAGAUGAUCAUUAUUCAUCAGCUUCAUCCAAUUUUGGAGACUUUCAUGACAAGAUUGUGGGUUGAAGCUGGUCAUGUCUUUUCUUCAAAACAAAUCUUGUUGCCUGCCAAAAGAGGGCUCAUUUCUCAUGUCAUAAAAAAUGCUCAUGUCCUUGGAGAAAUUUGUGAGAUAAAAUGCGAUUAUAGUUUGCUAGCUAAAACUCAUUUCCAAGGUGCCAAUUAAAUCAACUGCCAAAAAGUUCACAGAGCACUACUCUUUGGGAUUUCAAUUCCUAGUGAUAUUGGAUAUAGGGAGUUUGUUUGUGAUAUUUUGUUCGAGAUAGAGUCUAAAAACGCAGGUUCUUCUGACAUGAAAGCCAUUGAAAACUGACGUGAGCCACCGAACAUUUCUGCUCAUGACAAGAAGAGUUGUAGGAAAAGUUGGCCAGGUUGUCUGAUGACCAUUGAUGUCCAAUCAGUUCAACAUUUUCGGCUACAGUAGCACCAGUUGUGAGUGGCUUUCUCAAGACAUCGUUCCUGAUUCCUGAAAGCAUUUCAGAUCAGUAUGAGACUUCAAGAUGGAAAUUAAAGAAUUUCCCAUGACUGCCAGAUUCGGUAGUUUGAUUUGAACAGAAUGGCGUCUCGUGAUUUUUGGAAUCAUGCAAACGAAUACACCCAACAUUGCAAAUGGAUCAAUUUCCUAUGACCUGGAAUCUCAACUAACUCUCUGGGUUAGAGAAUUCCAGUCGUAGCCAUGUCAUGAUACUACAAGACACCAGAAUUUAAAUUCAAGCAGCCAUACAAGGUUUCUUCCAAGCUGAUAGCACCACCUAGCACAGGUUUUGAUACCUUAACCUGUGGACAGAGUUUGCUUUUGGGAACAUUCCAUAUACUCGAAAUGGCAUCAAUGUCUUCUAAGUCACUACUUUUGGAUCAGUAUUUAGAGCUAGAUCUUAAUAUCGUCAUGCUAAAUUGUUGCUUUUGGUUUCAGAGACAUGAAUUGCUUGGAUAAUGCAUCCGGCUUGGCAAUUAUAAUUGUAAUGUCAGUCAUCACCUGCCUAAUGUCUCUAGUUACUGGAUUGUGUUGGCACCAGAACAUCUCCUCUAUAAUUGGCUUCAUAUUCUUCUCUGGCGUAAUUGAAGCUUUCUACUUCUUGGCUUUUCUCAUCAAGUUCCUGGAAGGAGCAUGGAUUUCUAAGCCACUCCUGAACAUGCAUAUAGGAAUGGAUGACGAGUCCAAUAAUCGUGACAUGGUGAAUUCUAGUUUAGAAAUCCCUAAUGCAGGUGAUGGUCAUGCUAAUGCCUUUCAUGCUAGCGUUGAUAUUGAUAUGAAUGGUGCCAGCGCUGAAGAUCAAACUGAGUAAAUUGGGUCUACUGCUGAAUAUGGUACGGAUGAACGACAAUCAAGGCAAAACACUAGUUUUCUUGCUACUGAGAUCCACUACUCAUCAAAAAAACCUAUCCCAAAUCAGUCCAACAAAAGGUGGGAUCUCUUUUUCCUUAAUUUUGCCUUUUUUUAAUAGGCAAAAUGAGCAUAAACAAUACUUUAUAAGGUGUCAAUGAAAAUAAACGUUCUUUGCCAUCUCAAAACCUUUUUAUAAGAUGAAAAUUAAUGUAUCCAUCUAACCUCUUAAGUUGUUCCUUCAUUGCAGGAUCUAAAUCAUCAUCAAUAUCUCCAUCUUCCAAACUAUGAUUAUGGUGGUUUUGAAAAGUGUGAACCUGAACAAUGUUCGAUUCCCCAAUUGCAUGAGCUAUGACUUUCCAAGGACAUUCAUUAACUGUGCAAACAACUGUCAUGUGUUUCCUACUAUUCCUCUUGAAGCAAUAACGGAAUCUACCAGUAAUUAACAUCAAAUAAACGGCAUCACGGAACUCGACAGCAUUGGGGAAGGUAUGUCCACUACCCAUAAUGGAAUUUUCAAACCGCCUUGAGUCACGUUCGAGUAUAUUUGAUUCCGCACAUCUUUGGGAAAACCCAUAUGACUCAAUUGUAAGAGAGUUAUUACAGAUAUCAAUUGGCGGAUCACCACCGGAGGAAAGUAGGUGUGCCAAAUUCGAACCAACAAUAGGAGUAGGGGCACUACAAAUUUAAAAAAAAAAAAAAUAUAUAUAUAUAUAUAUAUAUAUAUUCAUCUGUCUACAUAUAUUUCAAAAGUUGAUAGACAAAGUGAAUGUGAUGUUGGUAAGGCUAUAAGUACCUAUUCGAUACUAUACAGGCUUCAACAACUUCACUUGAUGAUGAGACAUAGGCUCGACAAAACAUUUCGUUGAAUUGAAUAGUGCAGGCAUGUGAUAUUCUAUAUAGGAUUGGUGAAUAGUCUCAUAGUCUAAGAUCAUGUUUGGUAGAGAGACAAAUGGAACACAGAUUUAUGAGAGGACAAGAUUGAAAGUUUGCAUAAAGCAAUUCUCUAAAUUAAGGACAUUUUGAAUAGUUCACUAGGAGAUUACAAGAGGAAAGAGAGAAGUAUGGCUUACAAGCCCACCAUGCUUAUCUCGAUGUAUUUGGAAGUGAAGCAAUAAAAGAAUCUUUGAUGAUGUUGAUCAAUCAGAAUUGUAGCUGAACAAUGUUUUCCUAAAUUUUUUGUUGAAUGGUCUGCUAGAUCAAUAGGAAAUAGAAGCCUUUCUUUUGUAGAUUUCAUUUGAUAUUUCAGCUAGUACUUUAAGGAUCAAGGAGUUUUAUUUUCCCCCUUUUUUUUCUUUUAAAAUCCUUAUGAACAUCACAAGUACAAAGGAAGUGCCCUCUUCUUAGCAAUUGUUUCACAACAUUUUACGUAUCAAAACAUUUUUUUUCAUUCUCCAAAAUGCCAAAAAAAUAAUGUCCAAAACAUUGAUUUUUAUUUUUUUAUUAAUCAAUUAAAUAUAAUUUAAAAUAAAAUAAUUAGAAUUAUAUUUUUUUAAUGAUGAACCUUAACUAAUUUAAAUUAAAUAUAUAUUAUCAAAGAGUACCAUAGUCCAAUGGUAGCAGGGAUUGAACCCAAGCCACAAUUUUGAUUUAAUAAAAAUUAAGAUGGCUAAUUAAUAAUUAAUAAUUAUUUAUAUGGAGCAAAUUGUUCUCAUGAUUUGUUUCCCCUUUUGUUUUUUUUAUCAUACUAAAUCUAAAGCUCAAAAGGGUCAUCCACUUCUCUCACUCGGGCAUCAAGGAGCCCUUUUCUGAAGUUGCCCUCCAAACGAGAGAAUCCCUAAAAAGGCCCUAUUUUCCUCUGCAACUCUCAAUCCUUGUAGGUACUAAUCUAAUCACAUUAUUAAUUUUUUUUUAAACCCUCAUUUGAUUCCCAAGAAAAUCCAUCCCCCAUUUGAUUUCCGGGAAAAUUCAUCCUUGUUUGAUUUUCGAGAAAAUCCAUGCAAAACCCCAAGGAAAACAAAAAAAAAAUGCUUUUUUUUCCUCCCUAUGUUUUCUAGAUCUGUUCUAGGGGUCUCUUUGCUUUUGUGCCAUUGGGUUUAAAUUUCACAAACCCUAAAUCCACGAUUUUUGAGCUAGGUUGAAAAAUAUAACCUUUGCCUGCAAAUCGUGAUCAGAUUACCAAAUAGCAUCUUAUGUUUUUUUUUAUAUAUAAAAAAAAAAUUUGGAUAGAUUUUGCAUCAUGCAUGGGCUAUGCUGGUAGGAAAUAUCGGGAAAUUUCCCGAAAAUACGAUAAAAAAUACCGAUAAAUACCAAAAUAUUUCUCGAUAUUUCAAACACUAGUGGUUCUCAAAUUUUUUUUCCUCAAUGAUUCCCCACAAACAACCGUCUUGUAAACAUAAAUAUUUAAGAUAUAACAAAAAAAAAUCCCCAAAUAUUCUAAAUCACGGGGUCGUGAACAAUGCAAAACAACCUUCAGCCCAAAUAUUUUCUCAACAGCCAAACAAAUCCUUAAAUGGAAAACUCACAUGCGAUUAAUCCAAAAGAAAGAGGAAACUCCACUUCGGUUUCCAGAAACCUGAAAAAUAUUCACCUUUGAUGAAGAAAUAUGAAGAUAUGACUCAACUUUGGCUUCGUUGAAGGUUUUUGGAAGAUGGCUAUUGGGUUUGGGUGGUCAGCUCGUGAAGAGAGACACUAGGGUUAGGCCAAAAUGAGACGAAAUGAGAGGAAGUGAAGAGUCAUGAAAAUGCAGAGCAAACGAGCCAUGAAAAUGUAGAUUGGGUUAGGGCAAAAUGAGAGGAAGUGACAGAGAGUUUCCCCAAAUUUCAAAGUUUAUCGAGUCGGGUGUUCUAUGGGUUUUGCAAAUUUGAUAACUUUUAAGUUUUUGAUUUUCGUGUUUAUUAAAGGCACAACUCUCGGGUGACAUGGACACGAGUGAUGGUUGCUGAUAGGGAUGCAUGGAGGGGUAAUUUCGAAAAUCCAAUUAUAAAUUGUAUAUAAUGCAUGAAAAGGAAAAAAUUUCUUGAAAUAGUGGACAUAUCUUGGGUUAUGCAAACUUGGGUUUUGAAAACAAUAUUAUUAGGAAAUGGGGCUCUCGAAACACAACUUUCCCUAUUUUUUAUAUUCCAAAUAUAAUAGUUCAUGUUAAUUAAACUAAUUAAAUAAUUUAAUUAAGUUAAUUUUUUGAAUCUAAAUCUAACGAGAUUGAAAUUAACUAGUUGAAUCUAAUUCUUACUAGUUUGAAUGUGAAAAUAAAAUUAAAUAAUCAUCUAAAAUAUAACAUAUCCAUCUAUAAUUAAAUAAUCAAAUUAACCUAAGCUUAUUCAAUAAAAAUAUACAAAUUAAUUACAAUUGAAUGUAAAAAUAAUAUUAAAUCAUCCAUAUUGAAAAUAUACUAAUUAAUUGAAAAUACAUUAAUUAAUUACAAUUGAAAACAAAAUUAAUUACAAUUUAAAACAAACAUACCUUAAAAUAAUUGAAUAAUUGAGCAACCUUAGAAAAUUUUUGAGCAAUAAGAGAUCAAAUAAAGAAUGAAAUUAAAUGUGGAUGAAAUGGAUGCAAAAUGAGUUAUUUAUAGGAAAAUUUUGGGCCAAAAUAGCUAUUGAUAGAUGAUUUCACUAUUGAAAAACAGUUUUGGCCGUUGGAUCAAAAUCAGGGCGACAUAUGACCAUUGGAUCAUGAAAUAACCAUUGGAAUAUCAUCCCAACGUUGGACCAAACCCAAAUUCAAUCUGGGGAGUUAGAUCAAUGCAGGCAUGAUGUAGGCCGUUAGAUCACGCUGAAAAGAGGAGGCAAAUUUUCUUUAAAAAAUCGACGAUUUAUCACCGAUAUAUAGACGUUUUUCCAACAUCAGUGAUGAUUGAUUGAUAAAACCGUCAAUUUAUCGCUGAUCAGCGAUAUAUCGACUAGAUUUUGGCAAUUUUUUGUUUUUUUGCCUCUUCGAUAAAUCCCCACAAAAUAUCGUGUUGAAACUCUCCGAUACACGAUAUAUCGAUGACAUACCGCCGAUAUAUCUUUGUGUUCCUAGUGAGGUUGAUGAUUUACUAAUAUGUUUCAAGUGCACAAUGAGGGAUUAAUUCUUAUUGCACACUAGGGCAUAGCCAUUUUAAAUAUCUUUAUCAAAGUUAGUGGUUUGAUUUUUAGAGAACACUUCUUAUUUGUUGAUAUUGCUAUCACCUACAAAGUAUGGUUUUAUACAUCCCUAAUUCGAAACAACAACUAUCCAUUGCAUUUGAGCAAGGUGGAGAUGUUGUUGGUUAUUAUUGCAUGCUAGGGCAUAGCCAUCAUCAUGGUUUUCUAAUCAAGUUAAUGAUGCAUUGACAUUAUGACGGAUUGAUCUAGUUUGGUUGUCUUCAUAGUUUAUUUUUGUCAAUGAAUGGCAUUGUCAUGGAUGAUUUAAAUACAUUAAUUCGAACACAUUCAUUUUGAAAACAAUCCAUGAACACAUUCCAAAAAAAGAAAAAGGGUAUCUAGGGAAUGGAUCAAUGCAUGUAUACUGAUUAUGUUCUAUAUCAUUGCACUGAGAAUAAUGAAUAGGUCUCUUAUGACUGCAUUAUGAUUCGAUAAGACAUUGUCAUAGUCUCCUAAUAGAUGUUUUACUUUAGGGCUUUAAGAGAAGGAAAUGAUCAAGCUUCUUUAUCAUGCAUGCAUGCUCUCAUCAACACAAAGUUGAGGCAUGUCAUUCAUCAAUAUAGAUCAGAAUGAGCCUAAAUAAAUCAAAGUUCUAAGUGGAAAAUGUUCAAUAUAGGGUUAUACAUCUAAGUGUAACAUGAUCGAAUUUUAUUCAAAUGUAUAAACUAUAAAUGAUUACAUACCUUUUUUUUUUUCCGAAUUCGCUCAUACCAUUAAGAUUUUUCAUCCACAAGAUACAACCUAUAUUGCAAAAAAUUAAAAAUUAAAAUAAAAGUGAAAAAAAAUUGUAUUAGAAUAUUAAGAAAACUCUACUUAUAAAUAUAAAAGAAUCCAAUUGUUUAAUAUUAAAAAAUCUCAAAUUUAAAAUCUAAAUAUUGAGGGUAAUUUUCUAUUUUUCCAUCUCAUAAUGAAUGAAACUCUAAUAUCUCCCUGCUAACUUACUAAAAGGGUCAUUAUCAACAUUUUUCACCUUAGAGCGAAUGUAAAAUUAUAAAAUUAUUAUCUGAGAACACCCACUUUACAAAUUAGAGAAAAAAACCUAAAAUAAAAAGGAAAAGUAUACCAUAAGGAAUAUUUAUUUCAAGCUCUUUAAAGUACUGAGAGCACCCAUUUUACAAAAUUGUACUCAAGUCAUGUAACAUUUGAAUCCAACUCAUUGAAACUCAUCAUUUUGUCUCAAAAAAGGUUUUUCAUUUUUUUAUUAUUAAAAAAAACCAUAAGCAGCUGAUUGUAUUCAAGUAAUUCAAUGGAUAGCCCUCAAAGGUAGGCAUCAAUUUAUCAGACAUUCAAACUAAACCACGGCAUCAAAAGAUUAUAACGAUAAGAAUAUAUAUACCUCCAGGCGAAGGAGCCAUUGAUGCUAUUAAAAGUUUGUUCUUCAAAAGAGCUUUAAGAAGUGAUCGAUUGUUCUUCAAGAGAGCUUCCAAAGAGCUUAGGGGGCUUUUUCUGUAUCCAAUUUGUUGAUCUCACUCUCAACCAACAGUAAAAGAAUAAACCUAAUCAGGAAAGAUUAAAGCUAACCAUAAAAGAACCAAACUCACCUCAGUAUAUAUGAGUUGGAUUUUUUUCAAGAGACAAUGAAAUAGAGAUGCUUCUGAGAGGAGAGGGUGAGGACAUGCAAAUGAGGAUUUGUGUGAAGAAAGAAUCGUUUACUUUCCAAAGGGACAUGCGGGCUUCUUCACUAGGAGGAUUUAAGUCAACUGGGAAUGGAUUUAAACAGCUCCAUGGUAACAAAAAUAAAUAAAAAAAUAAAGAAAAAUGUGUCCUCCAACAGUUUAUUGAUACAGUAAAGUGGACAUAUUACACUACCAUUAUGAGAAAUGACACAUUUGAAGGAGAGAGUCUUUUGAUAUAAUUGAGGCAUUAAAGUUUAAGCACUCUAUCUAACUUAUAAUCUUUAUAAAAAAGAAUUUCACGGAGACCAACUCAAAUGUAUAAAUAGCUUAUACAUUCCAACAUAAAGCAACAGCUGAUGGGAAACUGUGACUUCAAGGAGUUUUGGGCUGAAAGAAGGGGAAAGUCCCAUUAUGGUUUUUAGUCGAAUAAACAUGUUGACAGAUUCACACAAAAUCGGGCGGUUCGUCUGAUUCGACGGUCUAACUCUCUGGUUAGAUGAUUCAAUGGCGAUUCAAACUCAGAACAGUCCAUUCCGGCGAAUCAGACCGAAGGUCGGACCGAUUUUAAAACUAUGCAUUCACCAACGAAUCUGAGAAAAUCAAAAUUAAUUUUUACAAGCCGAAUUCAUAAGAAGACGAGAAAGGGAGUCAUCUCUGAACAGUAGACACAGAAGAACUUUAUUGAAAUUGGUGUUGCUUUUUGAAAGAGACGAAGUCGGCCAGCUACUUGGAAAGUUUGACUGGACAAGACUUUGAGUUGAUUUGAUGGGAGGUGGAGCAGUUUAUUGGGACUUCAAAAAUAUUUUUCUCUUCCAACCGUCCUUAGAUUUAAAAUAUUUUUUAUCAAAAUAUUUAUUUAGAAUUUUUUUCUUAAUGGAAUCACUUAUUAAAUACUUAAAAAAAAUUAAUAAAAUUUCCUUAAAAGUUUAAACAUCAUAAGAUAUUUAAAUUUUUGAAUGACCAUGUUUCGUAUUUAUGCCCAUAAUAAUUUCAUAUUAAAUUAAAAUAAAAUAUUUUUAUUUUAGUUAUUAAAUAAUAAAUGAUAUUUAAAUUGAAUUUAUAAUUAAAUGAUUAGUAUCAAAUUUAUUUCUUUUUAAGAUAAACAAAACAAACUCUACUAAUACUAAUAGUAUUUUGAUCAAACCUGAAGCAAUGGUCAUUGUAAGUAUAUUUCCCACCAAAAUAAUAUAAAAGUAAACAAUAAUACCCUUAUUAACUAAGGACAAAAUAAAUUGGAGUUCAACUAUUUUUUUAUUUUAUCCAAAUUUACCAAAAGACAUAAUAACUCCAUUUUUUUUUCGAAUUUAAAGAUUCAAAUAUGACAAAUAUAUAAGAAUUUAUAUAAUUUAAAAUAAGAUAUAAAAAACAAUUUUUAAAAUUUUCUAUUAAUUUUUUUUACCUCAAAUAAGCACUUAAUUUUUUUUUAGAGCAUUUACUAUAAAAGAAUUUAAUUCUCACCUAAAUAGAAGUAAAAAAUAAUUAUUAUUAUUAUAAAUUAUUUAUCUAAAAUUAUAGUAUGAAAAUCUUAAUAAUUUUUUAUAUUGAUAUUAUUAUUUUAAAUUUUUAUUAUUAUUAUUAUUAUUAUUAUUAUUAUUAUUAUUAUUAUUAAUUUUAAUUCAAUUAAUUAAUUUAUAAAUUCCUAACUUAUGUGAAACUUUUAUUUUCUAAAUUUAUUUUUACGAAUCUUCUAUUUUCUUUAUUUAAUUAAACUAAAUUUCUUGGAAACCUAUUUCUUUUAUUAGUAGAACUAAACUUAUUACUAUUAUAAAUUUUAUUACAAUCAUUCAACAUGCUUAAUCCUAUUAGUAUUUUUAUUAUUCUUUAUUAUUACUAUUUCUAACACAUUCUUACUCACGCACAUUAUCAUGUAUCAAUCACUUUCCAUCCACUGUAAUUACGUAUCUCUUUCACUUUUCCUAUAGCUAUUUUUUUUUCUUUUUACUUUUUUUUUCUUAUUUUCAUAUUAAAUCCACCGCCAUUUUUUUGUCUAAACACCUACAAGCACGCGCAGAGUGGCCACCCAACCCAACUCAUUCCUUGCAUCAUCAUAUCAUAUGCACAUAAUGCAACGUCUCCUCAGAGGAUGAUGUUAAUUGUCAGUUGUCACUCAUCAUUUCAUACUUAAAUGCCAUUACAAAUAGAAUUAGUCCAAGAUCUUAUUGAAAAUCUAGUCUCUUCUAAAAGGGAGAAUUGUGUUUUGGGUCCAGCUGAGCCCAAAAAUUAAGAUAAGGUCUAUGUAAUUGACCUAAUUAAUGAUAAGGAUAUUAGAUGUUAACAGACGAAAAGACCCUUUACUUUUUCAACUCAAAUGGUUGUAAAUUAAUGGGUUUCACAACUGGUAAACUUGAAAUGUCAUGUCACCAGAGUGAAAAUUUUGAAUCUUCCUACCCCUUUCUCUCCCUUCGUAAACAACAUAUGCACAAACGAUGUCGACUAUGACUGUCCCCCAAUCGCUUUCUUCAACAGCCGAGGAUUGUGAGCAUUUCAGAAAAGCUUUUGUAAGUAUUUUAUCAUGAUCAUUCCCAAAUCCAAAUGACGGGGGUCUGAAUUAUUUGCUGAUAUUUUGAUUUGAUUAGGUUGAGGCGUUUAUAGGUAUUUUAUCAUCAUCGUCCAGAGUGAAUAAAUGGGUUUCGUCCAAACGGUGAGCUUUGGGGAAGAAUAUUGUUCGGUGAUGAUGCAAUUAAUCUGGAAUAGCUAUCCUUCGGAUCAAAAAUAUUUUGAAAGCAAAGAAGUUGGUCAACCUAACGAAACAGAGAAAAUGAAGAACUCCAAUGAAGAUAUAAACCGGCCACAACUGUGGUCGUGAUGAUGGCAGUGGCCCAACAACCUCGUGUGAAUAUGGAAAUAUGUUAAAUAGGGUAUAUGCCUUAUUGUUGGGUAAGUUUCCAUUUUAUAAAUUGAUGGCUUCCACCAACUGCUAUGUCCACCAAUUGACUACUCAUUGUUAGCAUAUCAAACAUCUAUGUAGUCCAUCAGCUUCAGUUUUAGUGGGUUGUGGGCCAUAUGGUGCACCAGUUGGACAAUGCAAAACCUCCGUUCUCUUUGAUGAGUCCAGACCUCUAAAAAGCCUCGAAUGUAACUAUUGUUCUGUGGCUGACAAACACUGGGCAAGGUGUAUAUGCAUAAGGUGUUGUGUUCCUUUGGAACAUUCUAGGUUAUUCCAUUUUUUACAUUUUUCCUUUUCGUUUUGUAUACCUUGACCUGGUUACAUGAUGCAUGCACAGUUAAUGCUACUUUUGGUCUUAUUGUCUUUCUAUGUGGCUGGAGACUUUUGUAAUCAGGCUUUAUAAGCUCUAGAGGCUUGGGGCUCAUAGAAACUAAUAUCAUGAGAUUAAUUUAGGAUCCACUCUCUCAGAAUCUCUCUUGCUCUUUGUGUUAGCUGUAAGUUCAUGACUAUUUCACAUUCUAUUAAAAAUUCUAUUAGCUAUCUUGAUUUUAUCAAAAUCAUUCUGCUUGAAUUCCUAAAUUUUCUUUUUGAAGAUUUUUCUUGUCUUAGCCCACUCCACCCAACUUUUCCUUUCUUGUUCUUUUGAUUAGUAUCUGAAACAAUUUUUAUUUCGUUGAUCAAUGUAUAUUCUUGCAACAAAUGAAUUAAAAAUUUAAUUUGUGCCCAAUUAGUUUGGUGUAAAUUUCAUCCACAUUUAUCUCAUGUAAUUUUAAUUGGAAAUAUUUGGUGUUUAUGGGAAUAAACAGGAAGCUUGAAAUUGCUAAUCAUUGGCAUUAAAUUGAAGCAGGUUUAGAAAUGAAAGUUCUGGAUCAGGAAAGAAUGGAUGAGAAGGAGAAUUGCGGACAGAAGAAAAUAAUGUCUCCCUGUUUGGCUCUGAAGAAUUGCUUGGAGGAGAAAAGGGUGACUACUCUAAAAGUCAGCCACAGUUAGAAGCAUUUUGGUCUUCUUUAGAGUUUCCUCGUAAAUUAUAGACAAUUGUUAAGCCUGGUGCCACAUGUGAUGUUUAAAAAGUUGUUCACUAGUUGAAUGGAACCCAUCUUUAGGCAUGUUUUUUAUUGAAUAAAAUAUAUGUUUGAAUAAUAAUUUGCCAUGCUUAACAUAUAAUCUUCUUCUGAAUUCUAGUUGGAAAGUUGGAAUUAGCUUCGAAUAGUUUCACAUUAAUGGACAAAUUGCUGUUUUUUUAAUUUUCUUGUAUUGUUAAAAAAGUAUAGGGAACAAAUUGAUACUUCAAUUUUUCCUUAUUUUAUUAACCAAAAGAUUGCAAACAUGAUUAACCUAUGCAUGAGCAGACAUUCAAUAGUGGUUGUAUGGAAUUUUUGUCUGUGUACAAGACAUUUACACUAAGUGUACAAGAUAUAUGUGCUUAAUGUACAAGGGUGUACAAAGGUACCUAUGUUGAAGUAUUUGCAAUCGUUUUAAAAUCAUGUCCAUUUUGAAAGGAUGAGGAACAUUCCCUCACACACAUUCCUUGAUCACGCACUCAUCCUGUUCAAUUUUAUUACUUCAUACAUGUUGAUUGGAUGACCAACCACAGUAAUGAUGAAUAGGAACCUAUAUUGGGUUUUACUUCCCCCUUUUCCCUUAGGCAUCACAUUGGAACAUGAUAGCUCACCCAUAUGCACGCUUUUAGUUUUAGGUAUGUCAAAUUUUUUCCAUUGUAUAAGACAUUUAAACUAAGUGUACAAUGCAAAUGUGCUAACUGUACAAGUGUGUACAAUGCUACCUAUGUUGAAGGAUUUCAAAUGGUUUUGAAUAAAUUGCUUGCUCAUUUAUUUUUUUUAAGGGGGACAUUCCUCAUAGUCAUUCCUCAUUUCCCUUCGUACACAUUCAUUGGAUGAGAUAACACACUUAUGAUGAAUAGGAACCUAAAUUGGGUUUCAUUUUCCCCCUUUUAAUUGAGCCAUGACAUUGGAAUGUGGUUAACCCGCCAAUAUGCACUAGUUCUAUUCUAGCUAGGUUGAAUUUUUGCAAUUGUACAAGGCAGUUACACCAAGUGUACAAGACCAAUUUACUAAAUGUACAUAGGUAUACAAGGGUGUCUAUCUUAGGGGAUUUCAAGUGAUUCUGAAGAACUUCCUAUCUUACUAUUUCCAAUCGUGGGGGACAUUUCUCGCACAUAUUGCUUGACAACACACUUAGUGCAUGCAUUUUAUUUGAUGUCUACUAUGUUAAUUCCUUCUAUUAGCUUCCCUAGUAAUGAUGAAUAUGAACCGAAAUUAGGGUAAAGUUUUUUUUCAUUUUCCUUAAUCCAUGAGAAUGGAAACAUUGGUUACCCACCCAUAUGCACUCGUUCGGUUGUGCCUAUGUGGGAUUUUGUGACUGUACAAGGCAUUUACACUAAGUGUACAGUGCAAAUGUGCUAACUGUACAACUGUGUACAAUGCUACCUAUGUUGAAGGAUUUCAAAUGCUUUUGAAAAAAUUGUUUGCUCAUUUUUUUUUCUAAGGGGGACAUUCCUCAUUUCCAUUUCUACACAUUCAUUGGAUGAGAUAGCGCGCUUGUGAUGAAUAGGAACCUAAAUUGUGUGUCAUUUUUCCCCUUUUCAAUGAGCCAUGACAUUGGAACGUGCUUAACCUGGCCAUAUGCACUAGUUCUGUUGUAUCUAGGUGGAAUUUCUGCAACUGUACAAGGCAUUUACACUAAGUGUACAAGGCCAAUGUACUAAAAGUACAAGGGUGUACAAAGGUGUCUAUCUUACUUUUUCAAAUCGUGGGGAACAUUUCUCACACAUAUUGCUUGAUAACACAUUCAUUACAUGCAUUUUAUUUGAUGUCUACCAUGUUAAUUCAUUCUAUUAGCUUCCUUAGUGAUGAUGAAUAUGAACCGAAAUUAGGGUAAACUUUUUUUGUCAUUUUCCCUAGUCCAUAGUAAUGGAAACAUUGGUUACCCACCCAUAUUCACUUGAAAAUAUGUACCUAUUAGGGAUUUGGUGACUGGACAAGGCAUUUACACUAAGUGUACAAAGCAAAUGUGCUAACUGUACAAGUGUGUACAAGGCUGCCUAUCUUGAAGGAUUUGAAAUGCUUUUGAAAAAAUUGCUUGCUCAUUUAUUUUUUCUAAGGGGGACAUUCCUCAUUUUCCUUUGUACACAUUCGUUGGAUGAGAUAGCACGCUUAUGAUGAAUAGGAACCUAAAUUUGGUGUCAUUUUUCCCCAACUCAGUGAGCCAUGACAUUGGAACGUGGUUAACUCGGCCAUAUGCACUAGUUCUGUUGUAUCGAGGUCAAAUUUCUACAACUGUACAAGGCAUUUACACUAAGUGUACAAGGUCAAUGUACUAAAAGUACAAGGGUGUACAUGGGUGUCUAUCUUACUUUUUCCAAUCGUGGGGAACAAUCCUCACACAUGUUGCUUGAUAACACACAAUUGCAUGCAUUUUAUUUAAUGUCUACCAUGUUCAUUCAUCCUAUUAGCUUCCCUAGUAAUGAUGCAUAUGAACCGAAAUUAGGGUAAAAUUUUUUUUCAUUUUCCCUAGUCCAUGGUAAUGGAAACAUUGGUUACCCACCCAUAUUCACUUGAAAAUAUGUACCUAUUAGGGAUUUGGUGAUUGGACAAGGCAUUUACACUAAGUGUACAAAGCAAAUGUGCUAACUGUACAAGUGUGUACAAGGCUGCCUAUCUUGAAGGAUUUGAAAUGCUUUUGAAAAAAUUGCUUGCUCAUUCCUCAACUGAAAUGAUAAUAACCUUUCAUUGAUUGAUAUCCACGUGGGCCCUCCUCAUGAUUGUCUUCAACCUGAUAAAGGGUAUGUGUUUUUUUUUUCCCUUAGUGAGAAAGCAAAUAAAGGCAUAAUAGAUAUAUGAGUGUGUUGGCUACUAAGUAGGUACUGGUUGGUGUUUGAUGAUGUUAAAAGCCUUUAUAAAGCAGCCUCUAGUAAGCACUGAUUUUGAGAUUUAAGUUCUUUUGAAUUUGAUCAUUUUUCCCUUUCUUUUCCAAGGUUUUUCUUUCCACCUUGGUUUUGUGAAGAAAGCUUGCAUUAUUGGAAUGAUUGUUAUUUAAUGUCGUUGCAGUUGCAAAUGACACAGCUAUUCACCAAAUCCCAACCUCUGUUUUGAAUCUGAGACAAGGUUAACAAUUCGUAUAGUUCAAGUUCUUCAUGGCCUUCUAGAGAGUGAGCAUGCAGCACAUGCAUAAGCAAACAAUAGGGCAAAAGCUCUUUCUGUUCAACUACAAUCCACACAAGGAAAACUUGAUUUACUUCAGCAACAAUUAACAUCAGUUUCUUUGAAUAAAACAGCAAUGGACGGUAAGCUCAACACUGCUUCCCAUGGAAAAUGUUUGAGAGUAGAUGACUUUGACCUGACUAUUGAAUCUGUUGAAGAUAUGGAUGGUAAUGAAAGAAUAACAAGAGAAAAUAAGAUGUCAACGAUCACAACUAGCCCUCUGAAGUUCACGCAGUCAGAAGAUGGUGUUUAAAUAUUUAAGGCCAACGAGGACAACAACAGCCAACAUACGAACCUAGAGGACUAUACAAAAUUCAUUGUGCUGAAACUUAUGAAAGAACUCACAAAACAUCAUUAUGGGGCUGAGCUGCUUCAGUUCAGGAAUCCCAACAAGAGAAACAUCUUGCUUUGUAUGAGAAACACGUGCUUUAAAAAUUGUAACCUGUCUAUAAUCUAACAAGAAUUGACUUGAUAGAUUAGCUUUUUAACCAAGUACUUAGUGCUGAAGAAGGUGUUUUGUGCUUGAACGGUGUCAUUCCCAUUAGUCCAAAAUUUUGGGAUGAUGAUCGCCAUUUUUCGAUGUGCUGAAUGAUUACUUUUAAGGUGUGGAGCUACUGCAUUCUGAGAAUGGUUAAUAAUAAUUUUUAAAAUCAUACAUAAUAAAUUUGAAAAUAAAGACUAAUAAUUUUCAAGUGAUUAUGGAUUAUUCUUGAGUUCCCCUUUUCUCUUGUCUGAACUUGCUAGUUCCCAAUACUAAAGUAGGAGUCCAGGGAUAAUUUCAACACAAAUAUUAACUAUAAGUCUCUGACAAACCUUAUUCUUAUUACCACCCAACUAACCUAAGGGCAAAGUGGGUUCUUAUUACCAAGCCAUGAGCAAUUUUGCCCACCAAAAAACCUAGGACAAAAAAGGGAAAAAGCCACACCAACAUGUAUGAUAACAAAUAAGAGCAACCAUACACUCUAUUAGGCAUAGACAUCUAGGUUAGUGUGGAGGUACUCUUCCACAACCUUGUACAUCCCCAUGGCCUUGUCUUUGCCGGUCUUGAUGUCCUCGUCCUUGAGCUCAAUAUUUGAGUGAUAAUGGCUAGUCAUCUUGCACAUAGAGCCUGAGCCCGAUGCCUUGAACUUUACCUCGUUUGAAAUGGCCUUGUUUUUACACUCUUAAUUGCCUAAAUUUCCUUUCUAAGAGGCUUCAUUUUCCAAUUCUAUUUCCUUUCACACCUUCAAUGGGAAUUUAGGAGACAACUUUUAGUAUUGUGUCUUAGUUUGAUUGAAGGUAAAAUUGAAACCCAUAACAACCCUGACUUGUUUGAACCCCAUGUCAGAAAAAGUAAAAAGAAAAACAACAAAGUGUAUAGAUUCUUCAAAUAGAUGUAUCUGUAAUUGAAACAAAACAGGUGGAACACACCCGUGAACUCACCAUUAACAUUACAAGCAACUAGAAUUAUUGCUGCCUUGAACUAGAUAUCAUAGAGAACACCAAAAGAAAAUAUCUAUAUAUAAAACAUAAAAUCUUUGAGUAAUCACAAUGCUACUUUCUAUUCCUAAUUUUCCGCUUCCCAUCUGUGGGAACUGGGUGCCUUCCAUUCCUGUGCUGUAGGGUCCCAACCCCAUUUGAUAGUUUCCAUGAUGGUGAAGGGCCCACGGUAGAAUUCAAAUUCCUGCAGGAAAAUUUUGAGAACAUUUUGUCAGUAUACAUGGGAACUUACUAGGUAACAAUAGUUGAAAUGAGAAAUAAAUCAGUUUGCAUUACCUUAGUUCUGGACUAUUUGCUGGCUUUGUAUUAGGUUUCUUGAUUUUUGACUCAAUCCCAUUAAUCAUGCAAAUUAUAUUUGCAUUAUUGAAUUGCCAAAGCAAAACGGCAUCAGAAGAAGCACUGAUGGCAGCAUCCUCAUGCAAAUCAUCAUUAUUAGCAAUGUCAUAACGAUUGUUUUCCAUGAAUAUGUUAUAUGAUUGAUCCGGGAAUAGCUUUGAAGAAUUUGAAAUAAGUUUUUGGUAGAAAGCAUCAGGCAAGUUCCUAUUCUCUGUUUCCCAACAUCCUAAAGGGUUUGGAACUCUAGGUACAACAUCUUGCUUAUUCACCAUAACCAUAUAUACCCACUAACUAGAGCCAAUGUCUUUGUCGUCCUCCAAAUAAUUUUGCACAUUACUAUUGACUGGAGGCCAAGGAGGUGAUUUCCCUAGUAACUCCUUAAGAUCAAAGCUUUGGUUCUUUUGCCUCAUCAUGGAAUUGCUGCGUGCCUACAUAAUCAGAACAUCAAACUUGAAUUCUGGUUUCACAAAGACUUGGAUGCAUAAUAAUCAGUCAACUAAAAUAAAGCCAUUGUUUGACAUCUACCUAGACCACAUCUAUGUGGAACCUAAUCAUACAUGAACUAGAAAUUACUUUUUAUGAAAAUUUCCAAUGAAUGUGAUAUAAUACAUAGUUUAUGAUCAUCUUCAAACUUAGGCAUGGCGUGUCAUGAUUAUCAAGAAAUAAAGGUUCCCUCACCAUCAUCAAUUUGCUAUCAUUCAAGUUUAAAUACACUUAUGUUAUUAUUCAAAGCUAAAUAUCAAUGAUUGGGGUAAAGAAAGAGGAAUAUCUCAUCAUGAUUAAAAAAAUAUUUACCUCGAUGUUGCUUGCAUCCCACAUUGGUUGCCUGCAACUAUUUUGAUCAUCUAACAUAUCUCCAGCCCGCUUGUUACAAUGAAAAGGUGAUAAAUCACUGGUUUUUGUUAUGUAUCUUUCAGAACUGUUUGUUUUGGUUCUCCUUUUUCCUUGCCAGAGCUGCCUUUAGAGUAGCAAUCUGAAAUAAUAGUUCAAAGUUUUCAGAAGAAUAAAUAAGAAUUGAGAAGAAUGAUAAAUAAUGAGAGCAUUCAGAACCUGUUCUUUCAGCUCUUUCACAUCUACACUAUCCUUGUUUACACGAGUAGCACUAAGUUCUACCGUGGCAAAUUGCUCUGCAAAUUUAACUGUGCUAAUUGUUUCUCCAUCCGCAUCCAGUUCAGGGCUAAUGUGAACAAACAUUAGUGUCUUAGCUUGCCCCCUUAAAGAGAAUUACAAUCUAAAAGCCAUAUUAUAAUUUUAAAAAUAAAAUUAAAGAAAACAGAAUCAAAUAUGAAGUUCAUACUCUGAAAAUACAUUAGUUUAUUCUUACCAAGUGAGUCUUGAAGAAGUUCUGUUAGUUUACUAUUCCUAUAAGGGACAUGUGGACUCUUCUGGGCAAGGGAAGAGAUGACAUCCCCUAGAGCAGAGAGAGAUCUGUUAAUAUGAUGUUCCUCCUUUAGUCUAUCUCCAGUGACCUCAGAUUUGUCUACUCUCCCACUGUCGGCCAGAUCAACAAGAUGCAUACAGCCAUGAAGAAUAGUUCCUGACAUCAAGUCUCUUCCCUGAACAUGAACAGUUAGGCAUAUGCAAGUUGAUUGAAAAUCAAGUGAGCAAAACCAAUAGAGAUUACUAAAAGAGUAUUCCUAGAUAAAUAUAUAAAGGAAUAUGAUCAUACCUAUGAGAGCAACUAUUAUGGUUUCAUAUGUUCACAAGUGGUAGAGAACCAGGGUUUUAAUUUCUAUGCAAUUUUGAAAAUUCAUUCUAAUAAUAUUUAAUUCUCCCUGUUUACUUACAAUGCAAUGACAAUCAACUUAAGUCAAAAAGCAGUCAAACUCCUACUAAUCCCAUAAUCCCAGUGUUCAUUUCCGCAUGUGGCACCAUAAAAAAACAUUUAAAGAAGUACGUUUGUCCACCAUAAAUUACAUACAAAUGUGCUAACUUUAUACAGUCUCGUCACAAAUUACAAUCCCCAUUAAUCCAUUCAGACACGGUCUUGGUGUGCAUUUUGUGCUGAAAACAACAUACUCCCCAUAAUCUUCAACCUAUAAUGUUUCAAUUUCCCCUGCAUUCAUUCAAGUUGAUAGCAACAAAUCAGCAAAUUAAUUAAUUAGGCUUUUGUAACUAUUUUAACAUUAAUGAGAUAGUCAUAGAUAAUUCCUCCUAUGUACCACAUCGAUUGAUUUGGAGAACCUGCCCAUUGACCACAACUCCAUGAAUUUCAUUACAAAAACUCCGCAAUCGUGCCUACGUCAAUAUCAUUAUCAAAACGUUAUUAAGUAUGGAAUUAUAAAUAAGAGAGGAACUUAAAAUAAGUUGCAAUCCAUUUUAACAUCAUCCCGGACUGCAAGGUCAAUACUCACUCAUUAGGUUGGAGAGGUACAUCAGGUGUUAGGAAAUUGAAUGUCCUCAAAUCAUAAGGUGAUACCUCUUUUUUUUUUGUGCAGCCAACCAUAGGACAACCUUAGCCUGAAACAUUUAUUAACACAACAAUUGAAAUUUUUAUGGGAAGACAUACUUAACAAAUUAUUAGUUGUUACUUGUUACUUUACCAAAUUUUGUUGAAUUCCACUCAAAGUUGUCUUCUUCCUACCAGGACAAGAAUCUAGCAAUUGGAUUCUCUUGUUUGAUAGGUCAUAUAUGCACAGUGUCCAAUGGUUCUUUAUGAGAACCGGUAAGAAGACCUACACCAAUAGACUGCCAUUAAACAUACAUUUAAAUAUUGUACCUUCAUGCAAUAAAAAUACAAAUCCAAGCAUUAAACACAGGAAUCCACCUUGUUAACAUUGACAUAUGGAAUAUCCAUCUGAUACACAUGUGGUUCAAAGCGUCCUAUAACUGCCUCCCUCACUAAGUGUUUUGCCUAGGAGUGGAUUACCAUUUCCUGCAUAUCAAAUAGGGGAUAACAUCAGGUUUGUCAUUGUAGGUAAUGCCUGGUUCAAGACAUGAAAUAAAGUUAAGCAAUGAUUUAAUGGAAUAGUCAUCAUUACAGCUAUGUAGGGGGAUAGAAACAGUUUCGUCUUCGGUUUAUGUUCAUACUGCAACAAUCUACAGUAGGCAUCGACGACCUGAUUUUGUAGAUCAUAAAAGUGUAAGCAACUAAUUAUAUUAAAGCCACACUUUCACUUUCAAACUUAAAAUAAUGCAUAAAGAGGGAUAAGAAGUCAUAUGCACGUCGUUCCCUAUCCAACCAUUCCCUUCGAAACAGCCCAAAUUGCCUCUGGUUAGGAUAGUGUCAUGCAUAGACACUAGUUCCUCACUAUUGCAAACACAUACAAUUUAGUUUUUGUGUUAUCACUAUCAUACAAUGAGAUGAGUGUCUCUGAAGUAUGUUACCUAGCAUCCAAAUCCUCUCUAAAUACCAGUGCAGCUGCUUGUUUUAAGUCCAUUCUGAUGGCAGAUUGUUUAGUUUGUGGUUGGGAUAUGUAUGGGGACAACAGGUUUGGAGCCAUUCAACGCACUCGUCGUCUCUAGACGUUCCUAUUUGUGGGGACAACAUUACCUUUUGGUUCUUCUUCACCAUCUGCAAUACGAGAUUUAGAACUAGUCAGCAAAGGUAUACAUUAUGAUUGAGUACUUGAGUUGUUAACCAUAUGGGUGUUUGCAUAAAUUUUAUCACUUACCGCUUACUACAUUAAUGGGUACACUGGGCUGCAACUCAAACUCAGGGGCAACAACGCGAUCUGGUGUGUCUAUCACAUGGUCUGCAGCAUGUGAAGCCAUGUACUCAUCACCAAGAAAUGCAUGGUCAUCGACUGUGGGAGUGUUGGCUGGUGCAUCGCCAGAGUGACCACCAGCAUCUGAAUUUACCCCACUAUGUCUUCGAGCCCCUAACUUAUGCAUAAGGCCACGCAUUAUUCUCAGCUGCUACUGAAUGCCCCAUUGAUAUUGGUCGAUUGCUCGUUCCGCAUCAUGAUAUUGAUGUCAUUUUUCCUAUCACAUGAUAUUGAUGUCAAUCUUUGAGCACAAAAUAUCACAACAACAUAUUUCUUUAUAGUUAAGAAUCAAAAAUAAAUUACAAUGACAAUGAAAUGAACAUUUAUUAAUUUUUUUAAAAAUUAACAGCUUACAUCACUAUUUUCAGCAUCAACAUUUGUGUCAUGGUCCACAUUAGUCUCUACCUCCAUAGUUCUUUCUACAGUUGGAGAUCUCUAGGACGCCUAUAAUUAGCAUUGAAGAUUAGUAAUUAAAUAAUGAGUGUUAUGCUAGUAAUGACAAUAUAUUUAUGCAUGCAUCACUUACAAAAUCAACCUCAGCAUGUCCGAAUGCUCCAAACUCCUUUAUCUUAACGACUAGUCGCCGCUUAAUCAAAUCAUCAGUCCAUGUCAAUGCUAGGGGCACUAUAAUGGGGACUUGAACUGAAGGAAUUUGGAAUUUAAUGACAUAAUGCAGCUGCAUAAUAAAUACAAACAUCAGUAGGCAAAUGUUACUUAGUUGUGCAAUAAAAUUAUAUAAAAAAAUGGAAGACAAAUACUGAAUAAGUUCAUUACCUGUAGAAAUAAAACACAGCCAUGUACCCAAGAGGUGUUAGACUGUUGGUAUCGCCUAAUUCCCUUAACCAGUUGGUCAAGCACAAACUAGGCCCAAUUAACGUCAUUUCAGAAUCCAUCCUCAUGGAUGGUAUGCCACAAGUUACGGCAACCAUUGAGCCUAGACGUGGGGGCCAACAAUGUGGCACAUGCGUAGUAAAUGAAUGCUCUACGAAACUCCUCGCCUACAGGUAAGUUCAGGAGUUUCUCCUUGCAUGCCCGAAUAGUCCUAAAUGGAUGCUCUGAUGAUGUAAAGGUCACCUGCAGAAUCCGCCCUUCUGUUGGGAGGCCGAAAAUGAGGCCAACAUUGAUGGCUGUAACAGGAUAGUGUUUCUAAGCUGAGAACUCUAUCCGUCUAAAUCCAACAUUGAAAUGUUGGAUUAGAAAGAUACAGAUGUUGUGGCGCACCUCUGUGCAAUUUAAGUUUAAGAGACCUCCAAAUUGGAGGUCUCUUAUGGCUUGUAUUUUUUCCUCUGGUAAACGGUUGCAGAGUUUCUUAAAUCGUGCAGUUGAGCAUCGUGUAAACAUUGAUGGGCCCUGCAUGCAAUGUUUGACAACAUGGCCAUGUUAGGAAUAGCAACAUCAUUGCAGUUGGUAAUGCAAAAAAUAAGUGAAAAAGUAAAGAUGUCAUUUCUCAUAGUUACAAAGACUUGUUUGCUUGUAUUUAGAAAUAAUAUACAGCAGGGUAAGACAUGAGAUGGGGUUAGGUGCUAUUGACAGUGAGAUAUCCUAUAAGAGAGAGGAUUGUUAGUUUAUGAAUAAGCUUAUAUAGAAUAGACAAUAACAGUAAAACUGUACAGAAUAGACUAUAAAAGUACAAAAAUAAAUAUGGGAAUAUUACAUGAUAUAUAAAAGAAGGAAAUCAAGUCAAUUUAUGGAAAUAAAUUGACUAAUUCUAUUAGAGAAAGAAACCAUAAACAAAUCAAUGAAUAAUCCUAUUUAAUUCCCAUUUAGAUUGUAAGACAACUUGAUAGAACCAAAAUCAUUGGUAAUGAAUUUGUGAUCUUCAACAACAAUGAACAAAUGGAGUAAACAGAAAAUGCUAUGGAAAAGUAGAUUUCUUUCAUUGCCUUAACAUGGUUACAAUAAAAUGCUUGAGAAGGUGGAAAUAAAAGCUCACUAACUCAAAGGCCUUUUCUUCGUAUUCCCUCGCACACACUAGGUUUUGUGUCAGGAAUAAUCUUUGCAAUAAUUGUAUUCCCCCAAGUGUUUUCCACUAUACCUAACAACAUACUGGUUGCUAAGGGCCUUGCAUUCAUGGAUGUGAGCAAGGAAAAAAACUUAAAGAGAUCUCUUUGUUUUCCCUGUUCUUUUCAUUCUUCUGGCUAUUUAAAAGGGGUCUAACCUGCUCCUUUUGAUACUUCUGACAGACACAAAAUCUUGAGGAACUACUAGAGCAAGCACUUUGCUAUUGCCAUUGAACAUGGACAAGGUUUGGAAUCCAAGCUUCCGUUGAGAGUAUUCCCACAUGGUAAUUACUAUCAUUGAAUAAUUGUACACUAUCUUCUAAUACCAUGAAUCAUGUGUUCGGCCGAAGUUAAUUCAUACCUAAGUUGUUAGCUGAGUGAGGAUCCAUGGGAAAAUAAAUGAAAACUAGGACUCUAAAUCUAAACUUCUGAAAGUUUUGAGGCUUGAAUCUGAUUCACUGGGCAUAAUAAUCUAAAAUUUGCAAAAUAGAGGAAGUGGUCAUUUCAAAUUAGGUACUGAUACAAUAUGAACUGCUACUACAUAAUUUUUUGUAGAAUAGUAAACAAAGAGUAUCUUUGCCCUUGAAAACAAGAAUAAAUAAGGUGAAUCCAUGAGUCUUGGAGAAUUAAAUGAAUGAAGAGGAGUUUGGAAACCAUAAACUCCAACUGGUAGAUGGCCAAUACAACAAGAACAUCAACUAAGGUAAUAAACAUCAAACAUAGUUUCAAGUAGAGGUUAUGACACUGCUUGUUACACUUGAAACUUCAUCAGCAGUUCUCCUUCAUUACCACAACAGUUUAACUAGCAUUAAGUUAUGUUUUAUGCCAAUGCAUCAGUCUUAAAACCAAAACAUAGUUCACAACAUACACUUAUAAUAUCCUGCUUAAUUACAAGUUUUUUGUUUGCCUAAGAAAUCAAAAUUUUAAUAUCAGGCAGGACUCGACUAGAGUUUCAACAGCUUGGUUGCAUACCCAUUUACAGAUGCCAAAUUAUUAGAUAUUUGAGAAUAUUCUGAGGCUUUAAUUUCAAGACUUAAACUUCAAGAAUUACAAAAAUCUUUAGAGAGAGAGGACUUAAUUAUUUGGACAAUAUUUACAACAACAAUAAUAAUCAUCAUCAUCAUGAAGAUUGAUGUUUCAGUUCUAAUGUUUCAGUCAGUUCAUGCACCAAAUCUUCUAUCAAUUUCACAUGGAGCCGACCUAUUCAUCCACAUUCACAUUUGGUUGAGCGAGAUAUUGGUCCAACACAUUAAAAUACUGCCCCAAAAGGAGAAUUUCUGCCUUAUCGCCCUGGAAUCCCAACUAUUUAAUUGAAUUUUUUUUGAGGUACAAGUCAAGAAAACUUCUGCAAGGGAUUACAAUCAUAUGUGCCAGAUUUUCACAGAGAGCACCAUUUCAUAUGUUUUAAAGGCUGGAUAUACAGUUGAGAGAAUUAGAGUGCGUUUGGAAAUGUUUUUUCUCGAAGUGUAAUUAAAUAAAAAGUUUUCCUUUCUCAUAGAUUAAAAACAUAAAAUAUGAAAUUUUUGAUAAAAUGGAAACCACUAUUUGGGGUGGGUAAGAAUAGCUAAGAGAUUGUAUGCAACAAAAAUCAUGAAGUUAGCUCAAAAUGGGAAUGAAAUUUUUAUUCCAUUAUAGAGUAUUAAGUGCAACCAAAUAUUGAAAUGAAUCUUUGUUAAGAUUUUCUAGAUACCAUUCCAUUCUUAGCAAAGGAACAGUCUUAUUAAUUCUAAAGUAAGUGUUAAGUACCUAAAGGAGAACAAAAAUAAUAUAAAAGAAAAAAAUUUUAAGAAAAUAAAUUGUAAACAUUUAUUUAUCUUCUUUUCCUUGAUUUUCUUAGCAAUCAAAUAAGAAAACAAUUUUAUAAAGUUAGAAAUAGAAAAUAUGAAAUUAAUAAAAUUGAAAACAUUAUUUAGAGGUGGAAUGAGAAAAACUUAGAGAUGUUGAUGAAAUAAAAAUAAUGAAUUAAAUUAACAUAAAAUUGGAAUGAAAUGUUCAUUGCAAUUCAACUUAUUAAAGUACAACAAAUAUUAGAAUGAAUAUUCAUUACCAUUCUAUAACUAGGAAACAAACACAAGACGAACUGAAUGCCUCAAGCAACAUCAACUAUCCAUUAGUUUGAUUUCCAGAAACUAGAAAUCCAAGAUUCACCUAGGAAAGUGUAAGAAGUGAUCUGAAGUAAAUAGAAAUCUUUAGUGCCAGUUAGAAAGUGAGGCUACUAGAUUAGCAGUAAUCUCUAUAUCUGAGCAGCUCUUGACAGUGAACCGAAGUUGAGCGUAAAAAAUAACUCUUGGUCCGUAUAGAAAAUCAAAUUUCAUUUUUUCACUCAAAUAAGCUAAACAAAGGCCAAAGAGGAAAAUAAACACAAUCAAAUUUCAUUCAUUUGGAGAUUUAAAAUUUGGGGAAAGAGACUCACUUCCUAGGGUUAUUUAUCAUUAGUCUCUGACAUGCAAUUUUGAUUCGAGUAUGGCAAGGAUUUCGGUGAGCGAGUUGGUUGUUCAUCAGCAAUCUAGUUGCUGACUCAGCUCCUAAGGUUUUAUGCCUUUGGAAGAAGAGUUCAAUGGCCAUCACUAGCAACGUCUCUCAACAUUGAGGGUUGAAAAGAGUGAAUAGAAGAAAAAUGUCAAACAAUUAGUAAGAAAACAAAAUCACAAGUCAUUUGAAGAUUCUCACCAGUGGGUUCUUAAUAGUUUAAAGUAAGGAAGUGGCUCUUAGUGGGUUAUUGGCUAAAACUGGGGCUACCUAGUAAAACCUGUUGAACCGAUUCCAAACCGGUUCAACCGAUUGAGAAAAAUUCUAAAAUUUAACAAAAGAUUCCUCGAAGAAUAAGGAAUCCAACAAAACAAAAAAAACAGCGCUCAAUUUCGAGCUUGGAUGAGGGAGAACCGGUCAAAACAAUGCAAUGUGUUUAUAAAACGGGGCUGCUUAGCAAAACCUGUUUAACCGGUUCCCAAACGGUCCAACCGAUUGAGAAAAAUUCUAAAAAUUUACCAGAAGAUUCCUCGAAGAAUAAAUAAUCCAACAAAAAAACGACACUCAAUUCUGAGCUCGAAUGAGGGAGAAUCGACUAAAACAAUGCAAUGUGUUUAUAAAACGAGGCUGCCUAGCAGAACCUAUUGAACUGGCUCCCAACCGAUUCAACUGAUUGAGAAAAUUUUUGAAACUUUACUAGAAGAUUCCUCGAAGAAUAAGGAAUCCAAAAAAAAAUGAAUCUCAAUUCCGAGCCUGGAUGGGGGAGAACCGGCCGAAACAAUGCAAUGUGUUUAUAAAAUGGGGUUGCCUAGCAGAACCUGCUGAAUCGGUUCCCAACCAGUACAAUCAAUUAAGAAAAAUUAUGAAACUUUACCAAUAGAUUCCUAAAAAGAAUAAGGAAUCCAACAAAAAAAACGACGCUCAAUUCCAAGCCCGGAUGAGGGAGAAUCGGCUGAAACAAUGCAAUGUGUUUAUAAAAUGGGGUUGCCUAGCAGAACCUAUUGAACCGGUUCCUAACCGGUACAACCGAUUGAGAAAAAUUCUGAAACUUUACAAGUAGAUUCUCAACCGACAAAACAGCCUCCAUACCAUACACUAAAGAGUAAGGUGUAGCUCCUAUGGAGGUGCGAAAAGAGGUACAGUAUGCCCACAAUGCAAAAGGAAGUUUCUCUGACUAAUCUCGAGAAGUUUCAGUCAUCAUCCUGAAAAUUCUCUUAAUAUUCUUAUUCGCAGCCUCUACUGCCCUGUUGGUCUGUGGCCUAUAUGCUGAAGAUCUAUGAUGUCGGAUGUCAUACUUUUGCAACAAAGUAUCUACCUCAACUGGGAAGUGCACCCCUCUAUCUGAAAUUAAUUCAUGGGGAACCCCAUAGCGGCAAAUGAUGUGUGACCUGAUGAAACUAGCAACCCUAGCAAAUGUCAAAGAAUAAGGAAUCCAAAAAAAAAAAAAAAAAAACGGCGCUCAAUUCCGAGCUCGGAUGAGGGAGAACCGGCCAAAACAAUGCAAUGUGUUCCUUGUAGAAGGCCAAACCCGAACCACCCAACCUUAUUAAAACUAAGGCCACGGAUCUCAUUAAACAACCAACAAUGCAGCCUCCCUGAACUCAAGAAACCCAACUGGAAAUUCAGCCACACAGACAUCCACAUGCGGCCACCUAAAUCUCCUGAAACCAAACUGAAAUUUCAUUCACUUGAAGCCUUCCACCUACAGCUACUUAAAUCCCAUGGAACAAACUGAAAUUUCAGCCUCCUAUAGCCUAUGAAUCCAGUUGAAAUUCAGCCACCUAUAGCCCCCUCUCCCCAAUACAACUACUGGAAUCACCAAGAAGCAAACCGAAAUUUCAGCCACAUGGGGCCUCUACAUAUAGCCACAAGACCCAGGGUUUAAGUCCAGAUUAUUGAUGGGUAGCCCCAAAUUUAAAAAACAGAGAAGGUCAUGGAGACCCUUUCUCAAUACAAAGCAAAGGAGGUUUCAAGAAAAACCAAGUGGCAGAAAUGCCCAUACCAACAUAGCCACCUGAAUCUAGCAUUUAAGAAGUUCCUCAAUCCAAAGCUACAAGGCCAUAAGAAUCCUUCCCUUAACAAUCAAAAGGUCACAAUGACCUUCAACCAAAACCAAAACUAAUGAAGGCAGUGACCCUAUUACUCACACAUCAAAAGUAGGUCACACACCCCCCAAUUCUUUAUCAGAACCAACCCAAAAUGAGACAUCCACAACUAACAUAAAAAAUGAAACAUGCAAUAGUUACAUAUCAAGAGCAUCCAUAAAGCUUACCAGAUUGUUCUCCCCUCAAGCAGAAAUUUGCUUGGCUUCAAGGCCGUCUUUCCUUCAAGUUCUCACCAAUCAAGAGCUCCUUACUCUCUUCCCUCUUUGCUCACUUCACGUGCACCCAAAACUUUCUUAAAUGCUCAAAACCUUCUCCACACUCUGUUCUUUUCCCUCACCAAACUUGGACAAAGUUUUGUCCCUUAGAAAAAAAUGCAAAGGAAAAGGUCCUUCUCUAUUUCCAUUUUGCCUUUUUAUACCAGAACCCCUGCUCCUCCCACUUCCACCUUCGUUUUUCCCUCUUUUAGCUCUGGAAAGUGCCCCCAUCAACCUCGGAAUCCAUCUCCAUAAACACUCCUCACAGUCACGAGGUGAGCUGUUCUCUCCACAUUUACUCCAUUGCUUCACCACCAAGAAUCCAUAUGGAUUCAUGGUGGGCUAUAAGGAACCUAAACCAAGGCUCAAAAUGGACCCAAAAUAUUUCCCAAGACCGAUUUGGAGCUUAUGGGCCCUAGUCAUGUAGGAUUUGGGCCCCAAAAUCAGUGCUCUAUACAAGUUGGCCCAACGAAUUGGUUGAACCAGUUGAUAAAAAAAUUGAAAUUUUGACAGAAUAUUCCUUGAAGAACAAGGAGUCCAUAAAAAAAAUGGUGUGUGAUUCUGAGUUCGGAUGAGGAAGAUAUGAUCGAAACAAGCUCAAGUGCUCCGUAUUCGAACCUGCUCCUAUGAACUCUGGCUAAACUAAAGAUUUGGGGAGAUCUCACUUCCUUCUUUUAGCAUGAUGUGAAAAACUAAGGAAUUGGUCAUGACAACACUCCAAAAUGAACUACACACUCACACUACAUUGGANNNNNNNNNNNNNNNNNNNNNNNNNNNNNNNNNNNNNNNNNNNNNNNNNNNNNNNNNNNNNNNNNNNNNNNNNNNNNNNNNNNNNNNNNNNNNNNNNNNNUGACAACACUCCAAAAUGAACUACACACUCACACUACAUUGGACCGCAGAUGAACCUACACAAGGCUCGAAAAUCGAUCAAGCCCAAAAGGGGGUCAUGGUGGUGCCAUAAGGAAAAAAUUGGGUGCAUGUGACAUCCCUAAGAUAAAUGCAAGUGUCGAAGGACAAAAUUGAGGGUCUACAGUAUUACAUUUUUCAAAGAGAUUAUGGAUGUCAUGGAAAACUCUUUAAAGAUCUCAAAUUUAUCAAAUAAUCAAUGGCUCGAUGAUAAUACACUGUUGUUGAUUCCAAGAUUUUCAAAUCCGAGUGGGCUGAUGGUGACUCACAAAACUGUUCUUCAAUUCUGUGGUUCAAAUUAGUGGACUUCUUUAAACCACCUUUCAAAUUGGACAGUUGCAUAGAGGACAAAACUGCUUUUGAUGGAUUUAAAGCUCUUCAAAUCCAUGAACUUCAAAGGUUUUUAGAUUCGUCCUCAAAGCCUAUAUAAGGCCCCUAUUUCUCUUUAGAAGGCAUCAACAUUUUAGUAGGAAAAUUGAGAGCAAACAAGUGAGAUAUCCUCUUGAGUGAAUGACCUUGUAAUUGAGAAAACUCAAAACUCUCAAAGUGUUUGUAAGGCAAUGUUUGGGCCUCAAAUGAAAUGGUAGCAAGGGAGAAAAUCAGGAAAGAGAAAAACAACCAAUGUCUAGGGCUAAAACCAAAUGCUUUGGAGGUAGUAAAAUUAGGGUAGGAUACGUGGAAUUCCAACUUAGAUUUUUGUGAUUUUGUUUUUUCAUAAUCAGUAAAGGCCAUUUUCGAAAAUAUUAAAAAUUCAUAUUCUUCUUCUCAAUUUUGACACUUCCUUUAGGUCUUAGGCUUAAAUGACGAGAACUUAUAUGGACCAAAGAUUAAUUUUUGGGCCUAGCUGGAUCCAAAACACAAUUCUCCCUAUAUUAUGUACACCUGAAACAUUUUUCAAAUUAAUUUUAUGAACUAAUUUUGAAAUAUAUCUUCAUAGCAUCUACACAAAGCAUAUAUAUUGUGUAUGUACUAUUAAUAAAAAUUUGUUUACAUGAAAUUAAAAAUAAUCAUGUUUUAAAAUAAAUAAAAAAAUUAUAUAUGAAAACCUAAGAAUAUACUAUUAUUUCAAUAGAGAUAAAAUUGUUAAAAUACUAAUAAAUUAAAUAUCUUAAAUUGAUAAAUUAUAUGAAUAAAUAAGAAAAGAAAAAAAAAAUAUAAAAAAACAACAUGCAAACAUGUGAAACUAAAAAGUUCAAAGGCAUGAAAUUCAAUAUGGCAAAAAUUCAAAAAAAUGGAACCACAUUUGCAUUUUUAACUUCAUACAUUUACAUUUAUUUUAUUUUAUUUUAAGUUUGUCUUAUUUAUAUGUUAUACAACUCUAUUAUUUUUAAAUUAUUAAUUUAUUGAUAAAUAAAAUAGUAAUUAUUAUUAUUAUCAAUUUAUUUUUGUUUAAGUAAUACUAGAUCCUUAAGUUUACAUGUAUAAUAUUUUUAUCAUUAAAGUAUAUAUUUUUAAUUUCAAUAAUAAUUUUUAAAAGCACUGAAACUUCAAUAGUGAAGUCUUAUUUGGCAAUUACAACAUUAUAAAAAUGAAUUCACAUCUGGCAAUUGAGGUUUUAACUUAAAUUUUUUUUAUAAAAAUGAUAACAUGGGUCCUCCAUGUCAACAAAAGGGGCAUUUUAGACAAAAGUUUAGGAAAGUGGUUAAAAUAAAAUUUUCCCCAUAAUAGGGCUAUUUUGGCCCAAAACACUUCAGAAAAAAAAAAAAAACUCCUAAAGUUUUUGUUCCUUUCUCAUUCUCAUUAAUGUCUAAUAUUGGAGCGAAAACAAAUGAUUAUUAAAACCUUAUAGUCCUAGGUACAUUCAAGCACAAGAAUCAAAAUCAUCAAAUCCAUUCCUAUUAAAAAAAAAUUGGGAUGAAAACAUAAUAUUGAUUCUCUUUCCCCAUUUUUAUGUACCAAACAUGGCCUAAACAUGUGAGAUAAAGAAAAUGAUCAAGCUUCUUUAUUAUACAUGCUUUCUUAAAAGAAAAAAAAAAAGUAGGCAUUAAUUUUAUGCAUUGGUAAUGAUCAAAUUGAACCUAAAUAAAUCAAGUUUUAGGCAAACAUCUAAAUAAACUUGACUUUAUUAGCACAAACAUGAAAAUAUUUAAUAUGGGUUUAUAUAUCCAUGUGUAACAUGAUUGAAUUCUAUUCAAAUGUGUAAAAAUAAAUAAUUAAAUAAUUACAUACCUUUUUUUCCGACUUUGCUCAUGCCAUUAAGAUUUUUCACCCACGAAAAACAACCUAUAUUACAAAAAAUGAAACAAGAUGAGCAACAUUUUUAAUGCUAAAGCAAAUGUUAAAAUUAUAAAAUUAUUAUCAUUGGACACAUACUUUUUUAAACAUAUGAGCAAGCUAAUUGAAAAUAAUAAAUAUAAAAAACAAAGAUUUUUUAUAAUGCUUAUAAAUAAGUUAAAACAACAAAUAAAAAAAAUAUUAAUAUACUAAAAAAUCCAAGUUUAUGAAAGGUAUUAAGAAUCCAGUGUAUAAGUUGAACAAUUAAAUAGGAAUUUAAAAUUAAAAUAUUAUACCUUAAAUUGGAAAUAGCUAGAUACUUGGUGUUUAUCAGAAUCUUAUCUCUACCCUAUACAGAUCAUAAACAAAUUAAAGAAAAAAAAUAAAAUUAGAAGGAAAAAUAUACUAUAAGGCAUAUUUAUUUCGAGCCCAUCGAAAUACUGAGAGCAACCACUUUACAAAAUUGUAUUCAUGUCAUGUAACUCACUGUUUUUUCUCAAAAAAAGUUUUUUUUUUUUAUGAAAAAAAAAAAAAACAUACCUAAACUGUUGAUUGUCUUGAAGUAAUUCAAAGAAUAGCCCUCGAUGUAUCAUAAAUUCACAUUAAACCACAAAAUCAAAAGAUUGUAAAGCUAAGAAUAUAUAUACCUCCAGGGGAAGGAGCCAUUGAUGUUGAAAGCUUGUUCUUCAAAAGAGCUUUAAGAUGUGAUUGUAAAGCUAAGAAUAUAAAUUCACACUAAACGACCUUUCUCUGCAUCCAAUGUUUUGAUCCCCUCUCAAACAUUAACGCUAACCACUACCUCGGUAUAUGCUUCGGAUUUUUUCCAAGAAAGAAUGAAAGAGAGAUGCUUCUGAGAGGAGAGAGAGAGGACACAUUUGUAAAGUGGACGUAAUACAACCUCUACCAUUAUGGGAAAUGACACAUUUGUAGUAUCGGGGUUUGUGGUAUUGGAACUUUCAGAUAAGGAAUUUGAAAAUUUUUAAAUAUAUAAUUAAAAAAAAAAUAGUCGAAUAAGAAAGUCCUUUCAAUAUGAUCUUUAUGAAUAAUAAAGAAAUGUUUGCAUGAAGAUCAACUCAAUAUGAUCCGUAUGUUCUAAUUAAUUUUCUUUUUCUUUUUUUUUUUUCAUAUUAAUUUUAUUAUUAAUUCUACCACCAAUCCUGAGAAGAUCAAAAUUAAUUCCUACAAGCCUAAAUCAUUGAAAGACCUUUUCUCGAGAAAAGAGAGUUCAGAGAUAUUUAUGAACCGAGAGUGGAUACAGAAGACCCUUAUUGAAUGUAGGGUUUCUUUGAAAAGAGACGAAGUCGGUCAACAUCUCUGAAAAGUCUGAAUGGAGAGGACUCUGAGUUGAGUUGAUGGGGCAGCGGACCAGUUUAUUGGGACUUUAACAGAGAUAUUUUCUCUCUAUGACGCUGCCCUUUGAGCUGUCUCCACUUGCAACUUUUCUUUUGUACCAGACCAUCCUAACAAACAAAAAUUUAAAUUUAUAAAAUAUAACUAUUUAAAAUUAAUUAAUAAUUUACAUUUUUUAAUUAAAAUUACUACUUUUAAUGUUUAAUAACAGUUUUUUAAUGAUAUAAGUAUUAUUUUUUAUUAUAAUAAAUACUAUUUUUAAUUGAGGAGUAUAUAAAAUUUGAAUUAUUUAAAAAAAUUUUCUAUUUUAUAAAUAUUUUUAUAUAAAUACAUCAAAACUUUUUUUUAUUUUUUCAAAUGAAUAUAUAUACAUAUAUAUAUAUAUUUUUUAUUUUUUCAAAUGAAUAUAUAUACAUAUAUAUAUAUAUAUAUAUAUAUAUAUAUAUAUAUAUAUAUAUAUAUAUAUAUAUAUAAUUGAUUCUUUAAAAUAUUUUAGACAUUUUAAAAUUUUAUCCAAUUCCUUUUUAUAAAAAACCAUUUUUUAACAUUGAGGUCAUUUCCAAAACUACCCUCAAAUGUUAUUUCAUAUGUAAAACCAAUUCAAUCUUAUUUUAUGUAUUAAUUUUAUUUUAUGAGUUCAAAUAAUAAUAGCAUAAUAAUAUAUAUUAAGCUACAAUACUAAAAUAUUUUAAUUAACAUUAAUAUUUUAACAUUUUGGAUUGGAAAUGCUCUAAUGAAAGAUAUUUUGCUGCCCAUUGCAUUAAAACAAGCAUUUGACAAAACAUUUUAUCUUACAUAUUGGCACAACAAAAUUUCAUUAUAAAUCUACAAAAUAAUCCAUCACAAUGAAUAUGCAAACAUUUUCACCAUGAUUUCCAACCAUGUUUCCCUAUGAUCACUACUAUUUACGAGGAAAGAUUUAAAACUUGUUUGUCAAAAUUGAUUUAUUAAUUAUAGUUUUAAUUAAUAAUUAAUCAAUUAUUAAUUUAUUUUUUUUGUUAUAAAAAUUAUACUUCAAGGAUUUUAUUACAUGUUCAUGGUUUUACACUAUUCUAAAUAAAUCAAAAUUUAGGUAAAAUAAAUUCAUUUUUCUUAAGAUUUAAAUUAAAUACAAAUGCAGCUUAAAAUUCCACCCAUUACCUCCCUUAAAAUACUAUAACUAUUCAAGUUAUACACUACAAUCAAACAUAUUACAAAAAAAAAAAAAAAUCAUUAGUCAGAUUAAUUCAAGAGGUAGUGUAAAGCAUAGUAUGUUAAUUUUGACCAAGUGUUGCAUCCAAUUCUUAUACAAAAGUCUAUAUAUUACAAGAAAUUAAAGUGAGAAAAGGAUUAAAAGUUUAAAAACAUGGGAAUGAUAAACCCCAAGUAAAUAUCUAUUUGAAACCUUGUCAAAAUUUGCCUCAAGUUGACUUUUGAAUUAACUUUACUAUUAUAAUCACUACUACAAAAAUAAUAUAUGAUGUUACUAUUUAUGGUGUCGCAUUUAAAAUAAUGACACCAUUGAACUUAAAAUUUAUAAAGGUGACACAUCAUAUAAAAAAUCUUCAAUUAGGAUAGUUAGAUGAUGCUAAUUUCAGAUUUACGGUGUCAUUUUUUGGAAGUGACACCAUAUGAAAUAAAAAGUUUUAAAUUUUAUAACUCAAUGGGCCCUUUUUAAAAAUAGUGAGUAGGAACAAUUUAUGAAAAGUCCAUUGUUUCCAUAUAUACAUUAACUAAUAUAAAAGAUCUUGUUGCUUAACCCUAACCAUCGUUUUCUUCUCUUUCUUCUCACACCCAUGGUCGGCACACCCAUAAUUGAUAUUCUUUGCUUCGUAAAAUCUCGUGUAAGUCAAAUCUCUUAUCUAUCAUCUUCAUUUUUUUUUAUUAAUGCAAAAACUUUGUAGUAUAANNNNNNNNNNNNNNNNNNNNNNNNNNNNNNNNNNNNNNNNNNNNNNNNNNNNNNNNNNNNNNNNNNNNNNNNNNNNNNNNNNNNNNNNNNNNNNNNNNNNNNNNNNNNNNNNNNNNNNNNNNNNNNNNNNNNNNNNNNNNNNNNNNNNNNNNNNNNNNNNNNNNNNNNNNNNNNNNNNNNNNNNNNNNNNNNNNNNNNNNNNNNNNNNNNNNNNNNNNNNNNNNNNNNNNNNNNNNNNNNNNNNNNNNNNNNNNNNNNNNNNNNNNNNNNNNNNNNNNNNNNNNNNNNNNNNNNNNNNNNNNNNNNNNNNNNNNNNNNNNNNNNNNNNNNNNNNNNNNNNNNNNNNNNNNNNNNNNNNNNNNNNNNNNNNNNNNNNNNNNNNNNNNNNNNNNNNNNNNNNNNNNNNNNNNNNNNNNNNNNNNNNNNNNNNNNNNNNNNNNNNNNNNNNNNNNNNNNNNNNNNNNNNNNNNNNNNNNNNNNNNNNNNNNNNNNNNNNNNNNNNNNNNNNNNNNNNNNNNNNNNNNNNNNNNNNNNNNNNNNNNNNNNNNNNNNNNNNNNNNNNNNNNNNNNNNNNNNNNNNNNNNNNNNNNNNNNNNNNNNNNNNNNNNNNNNNNNNNNNNNNNNNNNNNNNNNNNNNNNNNNNNNNNNNNNNNNNNNNNNNNNNNNNNNNNNNNNNNNNNNNNNNNNNNNNNNNNNNNNNNNNNNNNNNNNNNNNNNNNNNNNNNNNNNNNNNNNNNNNNNNNNNNNNNNNNNNNNNNNNNNNNNNNNNNNNNNNNNNNNNNNNNNNNNNNNNNNNNNNNNNNNNNNNNNNNNNNNNNNNNNNNNNNNNNNNNNNNNNNNNNNNNNNNNNNNNNNNNNNNNNNNNNNNNNNNNNNNNNNNNNNNNNNNNNNNNNNNNNNNNNNNNNNNNNNNNNNNNNNNNNNNNNNNNNNNNNNNNNNNNNNNNNNNNNNNNNNNNNNNNNNNNNNNNNNNNNNNNNNNNNNNNNNNNNNNNNNNNNNNNNNNNNNNNNNNNNNNNNNNNNNNNNNNNNNNNNNNNNNNNNNNNNNNNNNNNNNNNNNNNNNNNNNNNNNNNNNNNNNNNNNNNNNNNNNNNNNNNNNNNNNNNNNNNNNNNNNNNNNNNNNNNNNNNNNNNNNNNNNNNNNNNNNNNNNNNNNNNNNNNNNNNNNNNNNNNNNNNNNNNNNNNNNNNNNNNNNNNNNNNNNNNNNNNNNNNNNNNNNNNNNNNNNNNNNNNNNNNNNNNNNNNNNNNNNNNNNNNNNNNNNNNNNNNNNNNNNNNNNNNNNNNNNNNNNNNNNNNNNNNNNNNNNNNNNNNNNNNNNNNNNNNNNNNNNNNNNNNNNNNNNNNNNNNNNNNNNNNNNNNNNNNNNNNNNNNNNNNNNNNNNNNNNNNNNNNNNNNNNNNNNNNNNNNNNNNNNNNNNNNNNNNNNNNNNNNNNNNNNNNNNNNNNNNNNNNNNNNNNNNNNNNNNNNNNNNNNNNNNNNNNNNNNNNNNNNNNNNNNNNNNNNNNNNNNNNNNNNNNNNNNNNNNNNNNNNNNNNNNNNNNNNNNNNNNNNNNNNNNNNNNNNNNNNNNNNNNNNNNNNNNNNNNNNNNNNNNNNNNNNNNNNNNNNNNNNNNNNNNNNNNNNNNNNNNNNNNNNNNNNNNNNNNNNNNNNNNNNNNNNNNNNNNNNNNNNNNNNNNNNNNNNNNNNNNNNNNNNNNNNNNNNNNNNNNNNNNNNNNNNNNNNNNNNNNNNNNNNNNNNNNNNNNNNNNNNNNNNNNNNNNNNNNNNNNNNNNNNNNNNNNNNNNNNNNNNNNNNNNNNNNNNNNNNNNNNNNNNNNNNNNNNNNNNNNNNNNNNNNNNNNNNNNNNNNNNNNNNNNNNNNNNNNNNNNNNNNNNNNNNNNNNNNNNNNNNNNNNNNNNNNNNNNNNNNNNNNNNNNNNNNNNNNNNNNNNNNNNNNNNNNNNNNNNNNNNNNNNNNNNNNNNNNNNNNNNNNNNNNNNNNNNNNNNNNNNNNNNNNNNNNNNNNNNNNNNNNNNNNNNNNNNNNNNNNNNNNNNNNNNNNNNNNNNNNNNNNNNNNNNNNNNNNNNNNNNNNNNNNNNNNNNNNNNNNNNNNNNNNNNNNNNNNNNNNNNNNNNNNNNNNNNNNNNNNNNNNNNNNNNNNNNNNNNNNNNNNNNNNNNNNNNNNNNNNNNNNNNNNNNNNNNNNNNNNNNNNNNNNNNNNNNNNNNNNNNNNNNNNNNNNNNNNNNNNNNNNNNNNNNNNNNNNNNNNNNNNNNNNNNNNNNNNNNNNNNNNNNNNNNNNNNNNNNNNNNNNNNNNNNNNNNNNNNNNNNNNNNNNNNNNNNNNNNNNNNNNNNNNNNNNNNNNNNNNNNNNNNNNNNNNNNNNNNNNNNNNNNNNNNNNNNNNNNNNNNNNNNNNNNNNNNNNNNNNNNNNNNNNNNNNNNNNNNNNNNNNNNNNNNNNNNNNNNNNNNNNNNNNNNNNNNNNNNNNNNNNNNNNNNNNNNNNNNNNNNNNNNNNNNNNNNNNNNNNNNNNNNNNNNNNNNNNNNNNNNNNNNNNNNNNNNNNNNNNNNNNNNNNNNNNNNNNNNNNNNNNNNNNNNNNNNNNNNNNNNNNNNNNNNNNNNNNNNNNNNNNNNNNNNNNNNNNNNNNNNNNNNNNNNNNNNNNNNNNNNNNNNNNNNNNNNNNNNNNNNNNNNNNNNNNNNNNNNNNNNNNNNNNNNNNNNNNNNNNNNNNNNNNNNNNNNNNNNNNNNNNNNNNNNNNNNNNNNNNNNNNNNNNNNNNNNNNNNNNNNNNNNNNNNNNNNNNNNNNNNNNNNNNNNNNNNNNNNNNNNNNNNNNNNNNNNNNNNNNNNNNNNNNNNNNNNNNNNNNNNNNNNNNNNNNNNNNNNNNNNNNNNNNNNNNNNNNNNNNNNNNNNNNNNNNNNNNNNNNNNNNNNNNNNNNNNNNNNNNNNNNNNNNNNNNNNNNNNNNNNNNNNNNNNNNNNNNNNNNNNNNNNNNNNNNNNNNNNNNNNNNNNNNNNNNNNNNNNNNNNNNNNNNNNNNNNNNNNNNNNNNNNNNNNNNNNNNNNNNNNNNNNNNNNNNNNNNNNNNNNNNNNNNNNNNNNNNNNNNNNNNNNNNNNNNNNNNNNNNNNNNNNNNNNNNNNNNNNNNNNNNNNNNNNNNNNNNNNNNNNNNNNNNNNNNNNNNNNNNNNNNNNNNNNNNNNNNNNNNNNNNNNNNNNNNNNNNNNNNNNNNNNNNNNNNNNNNNNNNNNNNNNNNNNNNNNNNNNNNNNNNNNNNNNNNNNNNNNNNNNNNNNNNNNNNNNNNNNNNNNNNNNNNNNNNNNNNNNNNNNNNNNNNNNNNNNNNNNNNNNNNNNNNNNNNNNNNNNNNNNNNNNNNNNNNNNNNNNNNNNNNNNNNNNNNNNNNNNNNNNNNNNNNNNNNNNNNNNNNNNNNNNNNNNNNNNNNNNNNNNNNNNNNNNNNNNNNNNNNNNNNNNNNNNNNNNNNNNNNNNNNNNNNNNNNNNNNNNNNNNNNNNNNNNNNNNNNNNNNNNNNNNNNNNNNNNNNNNNNNNNNNNNNNNNNNNNNNNNNNNNNNNNNNNNNNNNNNNNNNNNNNNNNNNNNNNNNNNNNNNNNNNNNNNNNNNNNNNNNNNNNNNNNNNNNNNNNNNNNNNNNNNNNNNNNNNNNNNNNNNNNNNNNNNNNNNNNNNNNNNNNNNNNNNNNNNNNNNNNNNNNNNNNNNNNNNNNNNNNNNNNNNNNNNNNNNNNNNNNNNNNNNNNNNNNNNNNNNNNNNNNNNNNNNNNNNNNNNNNNNNNNNNNNNNNNNNNNNNNNNNNNNNNNNNNNNNNNNNNNNNNNNNNNNNNNNNNNNNNNNNNNNNNNNNNNNNNNNNNNNNNNNNNNNNNNNNNNNNNNNNNNNNNNNNNNNNNNNNNNNNNNNNNNNNNNNNNNNNNNNNNNNNNNNNNNNNNNNNNNNNNNNNNNNNNNNNNNNNNNNNNNNNNNNNNNNNNNNNNNNNNNNNNNNNNNNNNUUGAUAUACAAAUAUUAUUGGAUGAUGUAAUAUGUUACAAAUUAAUUCAUAAGCAUUAUGAAAAUAUAAGUUAAAUGUAAUAUGAUUAUUAUAUUUAUGGACAAUUUACACAGGUUAGUCUUAUUUAUUAAUAAGCAUUACAAAAAUCUACAAACUAAUCAACAAAAAACAACCAUAUCUUCCAUAAUCAUUUACAAUGAUGUGACACCAUAAAUUAAAGGUGAUACAUUUAACGUGACACCAUAACUCAAAGAUGAUGCAUUUAAUAUGACACCUUAUAUAUUUCAUACAACUCUAUAUCAAAUUAAGCAUCACUAAAAAUAUAUGGUGUCUCUUCUAAAUGUGUCACCAUUUAUUUGCUUUGGUGUUGCUUCCAAAUACAUCACCAAUUGAUACCCUCUAUGGUGUCAGUGGAUAAGGUGACGCUAUGUUGUAGUGACACCCUAUGUUUAUAGUGACUUAUUAUAAAUGUCACCAUAUAUCUUUUUCCUUGUAGUGAAUGGAAGUAUAAAUUUUAAAAGGAUUCUCUGUGAUUAUAGGAUUUAAUUCUAAUACUCUUAUACGUAGCCAAGGGUCAUUGGACUCAUGGCAGCACACAAACAUAUCCCCUUGUAUCUAUGGAAAUUGACAUGCAAAAUACAAAUAUUUCCUCUUACAUCCCUAUUGUGUUAUAGCAUGAGUAUGAAUGUGUAUUGUCAUCUUAAGCAAACUAAUGUUGUUGCCAAUUUUUCUUGGACGCUUUUUUUAAAAAUAAAAAUAAAAUAAUGUAAGGCUAUAUAGCAGAUUCAAUUGAUAUUUUUUUCAUCUUGUCCUACAUAUGAAAAUUACAAGUAGUUCAAGAAUCCUUGUUGAAUGAAAUUGACUGAAAACAAAUCUUAUUUAUGUAAAUUCUCAAAUACUUACAACAAGAAGCCCAAACCCCCACCCCAUCUUCAUGAACUUCAUAACAAAAUACUAUAAUCCUCCCUAUGAAAUAGAACUAAUUAAUUUAAUAUCAAUAAAUCCAAAUUGCUUUCAACAUCAGGCACAAGGAGGGAUUUGAAAGUUUGUGGUUUUAUACAAUAGAACCAUCUAGAGGGAGGUUGAAUAGAUAAUCUUUUAUUAUUAGCUCAAAAACUUCAAUUUUUAUUUUAUUGUAUUGAGUUAUAUAAUUGUUAAUGUUUAAACAUCUUAUAUCGUAAAACUACUUGGAGGUGAUUUAGUGUCUUUAUGUAUUGGCAAUUCUAGGUUGAAAUUUUCAUUGUAUUCGCCUAACUCAGUUACUUCAAAUCCUUCUUCAAACUCUUGUCAUUCCUAAAUUGCUCAUAAUUGAAGAUUGUUAAAGGAGAUAGUUGGUGUUCUUGAGGCAAUUGAUGAUAUUAAACAUUGAUCAACCGAGUUUUAAACUUUUAUUCUUUUGCUGAAAAUUGGAGUUGAAGUUUAAGGAUAUCAAAUUUUGUAUUUAAAUUAUUUGGAUCAAUUACUAAUUGAUCAUGCUAAAAGGUAACAAUUUAUGUUGUAACAUGAAUUUUACAAUCUCAUCUUAUCUAUUAGAAUUUGAUCAAAUCUAUAAAAUCUUUAUUUUUUCCAAACAAAUCUGAGUUAUUAGAUGGAGAUUAAAACCUUAGUAUUUAAGCCCCUUUUUUUUAGAAAAGGCUUUAACAAUUGUAAGAGCUAGGUGGCUUUCUUGAGCUUCAAAUUCUUUAUCUAUUUUGGGAUGUUUGGUUUGAUUUUUUUUUUUAUUUUUUUUUUAUGGGUUUUAAGUUAAAAAUCUUUCAAAAUGAGUUGAUUCAAUAUAGGUUUCAUUCACACUCUUGCAUUUGUCAUCUUUAGGAUAAAAUCUAAAUUUCUUCUUAUGUAGGUUCAAGAAAAGGUCGAAAGUUUGGUGUGAACUUUAAGUAUGCUUUAAAAGAAGAAAGUGGGUAACUUAAGUUUGAAGGUACUAGGCAAACAAUUCCAAAGAGGAUUGAAGGUUUGAGUUAAGUAAAUCCUUGUAUUCAGUUUUUUUUUUCAUAGUGUUUGUUUUUUUUUAUCAUCUAUAGGCCUGUGAUAGUUUACCUAUUCAAAGGUUUUGUAUAUUAAAUCUUGUUGUUAUUAUCUCUUUAUUUCUAUCUUAUAUUUUCAUUAGUCUAUGUUGUGUCUAUGAAAGUUCCAUUGAUUUGUUAUAUAUGUUGGUUGAUUGAGAAAAUGAACUAAAAAAUGAUCAUUUAACCUUUGGCAUAGUAUGAAAUAAUUUAUGAUUUAGUAUUAAUGAGAAUUAAAACUUUGUAAAUUAUCAAAACUAUGUAGAUUUGAGCUCAGAUGUUGAAGCAUCUCUUAAAGGCAGUUGAGGUGCUCUCAACACUUGACUAUCACUUGAGCAUCUUUUUAAGACUCUAGGGUAUGCUUGAAGCUCAACUUCAAAAUUUUAUUUUUUGAUUAAAAUAAACACCUACUUUUUCAAUUUUCAUAUUGUCUACUUCAUGUAUUCUUAAAUCAUCAUUAUCCUUUUUGUAACUCCCAAUAUUUAUUAGCAUCUUUCUGAGUUGAUUCUACAACAAUCUUGCAUCUUCAAAAGAAGUGGAAGUCAAUGGAACCAAAUUGUCAACCUAAUCUAAAUAGAUUAAUGUACCAUCACUUUAAUUAGGAUAUAAUUAAUCAAUUAAAAAAAUAGCAUUUAAUCAUAUAAAGAAAUAUAUGAUUUAUGUGAAAAAACCACCAAUAAAGCAUCCUAGAGACCUUACAUAUAUAAAAGUCAUAGGGUUCAUAGAUUGUCAAGUUAAAUUCACUAAAUAUGAAGAAUAAGUACAUAGAUUUAGCUAGUAAUUAUUACUCUCCCUCAAACUUAUAUUGGUAGUCACCAAUUCUCAAUUCCAUAACAUAGUUACUUCCAUGCUGCUUAGUGGAUUGCUCAUGACCUUAAGGGAAUGUGAUAGACAAUGUGAACUAAAAACAAGGCAAGCUCAUUAAGAUGUUCCUUUUUAAUGCAUAAGGUGUGCAAUAAAAUGAGAUCGAGAAUCCUAUGCUUUGAGAGAAGGAUACUACAGUAAAAAAUGGUACCCAAAUACUAUUGAAUGACAACAUAGCUCUUGUUGCUCCUUUAUUUUUAUUUAUUUUAUUUUUUUAUUUUUGUAAUUAUCUCUUUUUUUGUUUUGAUAUCAACAUUAGAAAUAUAGAAGUCCAGAAAUUUUUUUUAGUGCUUGCAUAUUGAAGGUUCAUGCUAUAAGAGUUGGAAAAACUUGAAUAGAAACUCCCUUGAAUGAUGUAUCAAAGCUCAAUGUAUCAAUGUUAACAUAAACAUUUGAGUAGAGUAGGAUAACAUUUCUAUGUCAUAUGAAGAAAUAUACUAAAAGGGAACCAUGAAUACGAUUGGAGAAAUAUAUAUUAUAAUUUAGAGGAUUAUUAUGGUCUAUUGGUCAUAUUCAAAUGGAAGUAAUAUGGUAAUCAAUAUUUCCAUGUCAUUUGAAGAAACAUAAUAAGAGGGAACCAUGCAUGGAUAUGAUUUGAGAAAUAUAUAUUAUAAUUUAGAGGAUUACUACCUUAUAUUGGUUAUAUUCAAAUGAAAGUAAUAUGGUAAUCAAUAUGUAAUCGGUAAGAAAAUAGGUUAUGAACAAGUCAUAUUAUAACUACCUCAAAAAUCAAUAAUACAAGGAUGAAAGAGGUAUACUGAGGAAGGGUCACACCUAAAGGAUCACUUUAUUAGCACAAGUAGGAAAAUGUUAACAUAGGGUUAUGCAUUUAAGUGUAACAUGAUUGAAUUUUAUUACAAUGUCUAAAAUUUAAAUAAUUGCAUACCUCUUUUCUGAUUUUGCUCAUGCCAUUAAGAUUUUUUAUCCACAAGAAACAACCUAUAUUACAAAAAAUGGAAAAAUUAUUUUAGAAUAGUAAGAAAUUUAGGGUUCUUAUAAAUAAAAAAGAAUAUAAUUUUUUAAUACUUAAAAAAAAAAUUCCAAAGGUAAGAAUCUAAAAGCCUAUUUGAUUGUGUGAUUUAAAAACAAUUUUCUGUUUUUAAAAAUAGAAAAUUGUUUUUAAAAAUUUCUAAUUAACAUUGUUGGGUUGUCAUUCUCUAAAAACAAUUUUUAAAAACAAAGUGAAAUAGAUAAUAAUUUUUAGAGAAUAAAUAUGAAUUGUUUUCACUAGUUUUUACAAAUAAAAGAAAAAUGUGGAUUCAUUUGGGUUAUGUUUUUUUAAACUUGUUUUUUAUUCUUCAACUUAAAAAUAAUUUUUAAAAACAAAUUUAAGAAAAUAUGGCCAAAAAAACCCUAAAUGUUUACAGUAAUUUUCUAAUUUUUCAUCUCAUAAGCAAUCAAACUCUAACAUCUCACUAUUAACGUAUUAGAAAUGCAUUAUCAACUUUUUAAGUGAUACAACAUUUUGCAUAUUAAAGGGAAUGUAUAAUUAUAAAAUUAUUUUCAUAGGACAAAUACCUUUUUAAACAUAUGAGCAACCUAAUUCUGAAAAAGAGAAAAAAAGAAUGAUAAAGAGCACAAUAUUUUUUUUUUGUAUAGUGCUUAAAAAUUAGUUAAAACAACAAAUAAAAAAUAUUAAUUUACUGAAAGAUCUAAGUUUUUGAAACAUAUUAAGAAUCCAUUGUGUAAGUUGAACAAUUAAACAAGAAUUCAAAAUUAUCCUAUUGUAUUUUAAACUGGAAGUAGCUAGAUACUCACGAGGUUUAUCAAAAUCUUGUCUCUAUUCUCCAUAGAUCAUAAAUAAGUUAAAGAAAAAAUAAAACCAAGAAGAAAAAAAUACUAUAAGAUAUAUUUAUUCCAAGCUCGUCGAAAUACUGAGAGCACCCAUUUACAAAAUUGUAUUCCCGUCAUGUAACAAUUGAAUCCAACUCAUGUGACUCAUUGUUUUUUUUUUCUCAAAAACAAGUUUUUUUAAUUGCAAAAGAAAAAAGACUUAUCUGUUGAUGGUCUUGAAGUAAUUCAAAGGAUAGCCCUCAGAGGUAGGUACCAAAAACCACAAUAUCAAAAGAUGGUAAAACUAAUAAUAUAUGAAGAGUCGGUACAUUAAGUGAGAUUUUUUUAUAAGAGUACUGUAGUUUUAGAAAAUAAUUCUCAAACUACCGUAGUAGGAAAAAUAAUUCCAAAUCCACCGUAAUUUUUGUCAGGUAUGAAAGAUGAAUUUUUUUUUUAAAUCGUCUCUUCAAAAUACUAUUUAUAACAUUUUAAAAAAAAAUUUUAAAUCAUCUUUCUAAAAUAUGAGAAAUUGUCUCUUGAAAAUACAACUUUGGAAAAAAAAAAGAAGAUGAUUUUCAGAAGAAAGAAAAACUAAGAAGUAAUAAAUCAUCUCUUGAAAAGACGAUUUUUCACCAACAAUUUUCACAAAAAAAAAUUCAUAAAAAAAAGAAAAAGAGAAAACUUCAAAAAUCCAUUUUUCCAUUCCCUACUAUACUUAUACAAUAAUACAAUUAUUAUAAAUAUAUAUUAUAAAAUUAAUUAAUUUUAUUUACUAAAUUUAAUAUUUUUUCUAUUAUUUUUUUCUAAAAAAAAAAUUAUUAUUAAUUUAUUAAAAAAAUAAAAAAUUGAGAAAUUGUCUCUUGAAGAGACGAUUUUCACCAAAAAAUAAAAAAAAAGAAUAAAAAUAAAAAUUCAAAAAUCAAUUUUUCCAUUCUCUGUCAUACUUAUACAAUAAUAAAAUUAUUAUAAAUAUAUAUUAUAAAAUUAAUUAAUUUAUUUACUAAAUUUAAUAUAAGAUAAAUAAUAUUUAUCUAUUAUUCUUUUUUCUUUCAUUUUGGAAAAAAAAUAUUAUCAAUUUAUGUGAAAAAUGAGUUUAAAAAAUAAAUUUAUUAUUAAUUUAUUAAAUAAUUAUUUACAAAAUAAUUAAUUUUGUUUUUUUAUUUUAAAAUUAAUUUUAUUAUAUAAAUUUUAAAUUUUAAAAUAUUAAUCUUUAAGUUAAAAUUUUACUAUAAAAAAUGAAUAAUUUCACAUAUUUUUAGGCGAAUUUUACUUAUCAUAAGGCCUCCACUACACACAUCAUUUCCCCUAAUCCAAUAAUGCACUACACCCAUAGACCAUAGGAGAAUCUUACCUAGUACACUCUAUCACUUCAUACACUAUUACACUACAAUUCCAUUACAACACUCAACCAAUUUGACAAGAGUUUGAAGUAUUGUCAUUUCUUUUUAAAUGUUUAAAUACUCCACCAAUUUGAUCGUUUCAAGUAUUGUCAUUUCUUUUAAAACAUUCAAACGUGUGUAUAUAUAUAUAUAUACACACACCCCAUAUCCUACACACUAUACCCAUUCUACCUCUUCCCAACUUCACUUACAAUAUAAAUCAAUUUCAAACUUCUUCAUCCUCAUUUUCUCUUUCUUCCCCAUUUGAAACCAAGUUUUUCACUUUCCAUCGCUUUUAUCCAAAUCUCCCAUUUCUCUUUGUGGAACUUCUGGGUAUAUCUCCUAUUUUUUCUUCAAACACUCACACUGUUUAUCUUGAAAGGUAAUAUUUUUGCUUUAUUUUUAUUUCAAAUUAUUUUGUAAUAUAUGGUUUUUAUUAUUAUAUAAGUUUUAAAAUUUAUUUGGAUUAUGCAAUAUUUGUUUGAAUAAUAUUUAUUGGAAAUUAUUAUUUUAAAUAGAUUAAAUCAUUAAAAAAUAAAUAAAAGUUAUAUUAUUUUAUUUUUAGAUAAUAUUUUUGCCCUUGUUUCAUAUUUAUUUUGUAAUGCAUGAUGGAUAUUUAUUGUUAUACAUAUAUUAAUUUAUUGGAUUUAUGUUAAUUUUUUUAGAAUAUUAUUUGUUGUAAAUUAUCAUUAUAUAAUUCAAAAAAUAAAAGUGGUAUUAGUUUAUUUAAUUAAUAUGGAAUAAUAGGAUUAUUGAUUAUGUUUAUCAAUCAAAUAAUAUGUUUUAUAAAAUAAUAAAAUUAAAAAUUAAAAAGAAAAUAAAAUAUUAGUAAAAUGAGAAUGGAAAAUAAUAAUAAUAAAAUAAUUAUAUAUCUAUGUAUUUGCAUAAAAUAUUAUUUUAAAAAUAUUAAAGUCUAAAAAAUAGAAAUACAACAUUAUCUGACAUUAUGAAUUUAUUCUAUAUAUUUUUUUAAAAUUAAUGUUAGCCUUAAAUCAUUGAAAAAAUUGUUGUAAAAAUAAAAAUAUAAAUAAAAGUAGAAGUAAAACUAAAAUGUUAUUUGAUAUAUUUAAAUGAAUAUUUAAAUGUAUAGAAUAUAAAAUAAAAAAGUAAUGGUGUAUAAUAUAAAAUAGUAACCGUGCGUAUUAAAUGUAUAUAAUAUGUAAAUUUAUAUUUAAAAUGUUAAAUAAUAGCCAUAUUGUGGAUCCCGCAUUUCGGCUCAUGCGAUUUCCACUCGAUGACAAGUUCGAUUUUUAUUCGAAAAUGAUUUUAUUUAUUAAAAAAAAAUAUGACUUGAAGUCGCUACUUAUUUUUGUUUUAUUUUUAAAAGGGUAAACAAAAUAAGAAAGAAAACCCUAAGCGUGACUCCUUAUUUUGGAAAAUGUGGUCUGUGAAAAACCGGAUCAGGCUCGGGGGUCAGGUUACUUAUUGGGAAGGUACGGUAAAGACCGUAGCACCCCUCUAAGUCCCUAAAGUCGGGUCUCUACUAAUAAAAUGAAGCUGACGUGGCAAUCAAUAGGAAAAUCAAUGGAUACUCAAAUUAAUCAUGCACAUAUGGGAAUCAAAAGCAUGCAUAGAGAAUGAACAGAACGGGAGUGGAUGCGUACUUGGAACAUGAACGAGCGAUACGUUAUCAUAAAAAUAGAGUCGGUGUACAAUAAAGAAUACAAAACAUGUCACAUGCAUUACCAAACAAUGAUUAAGCUGUUCGAGGGAGGAUUGAAAUUUAUUCGAGGAUUGGAGUCUUAGAGAUUAUUUAAAAAUCGAAUUUUUAGGAAUUAAAUAUAAGAAUGAGAAUUUUAGAAAUUAAAUUAGAAAUAAAUUGGGACUUCGAGAUUUAUUCGAGAAUUGGAGAUUUGCAAAAUAAAUUUAAGGACUGGAAUUUCUAAAAUUAAAUUUGAAAGAAAUUGGAACUUUGGAAAUUAUUUGGGAGUUUGGGAUUUUUAAGAAUUAUUUGAGAAUGAAUGAAAAUUCGAUUUGAAAGAAAUUAGAGUUUCAAAAUUUACUUGAAAGUGAAAUUUUAGAAAUUAAAUUCGGAAUUAUGGAAUUUUUGGAAAAUUAAGUCUUAAAAAUUUGAAUCUUGGAAAGUUAAAUUUAAAAUUAGAAUUUGAAAAUUAUUCCGAGAAUUGAAUUUUGAAGAAUUAAAUCUAAAAAUUGGAGCUUUGGAAAAUUAAAUUAAGAAUUUGAGUUUUGAAAAUCAACUUUAGAAAUUGAGGAUUCGAAAAAACAUUCAAAAGUGGAGACCUUGAAAAUUAGAUUUAAGAAAAGAAUUUUGAGAAAUUAAACUUUGGGAAUAAAGAUUUUGAAAGUUAAAUUCGAAAAUUAAAAAAAAAAAAUGGAAAGUUAAACCUUGAUAUCAAAGAGGAAGAAUUUGAAUAAAUGAAUAAAUAAACAAAUAUAUAUAUAUAUAUAUAUAUAUAUAUAUAAAAGAAUAAAAUGGAGGUGGUCGUUGGGGGUGCGGGCCAAGGGUGGCCCCGUGAAGUGACAUGAUCACCUCAUGAUUACCAUCUCCCUAAACUUUAAGCUCCGCCAUACCAAAUAACCGCAAUCAGUCCAACGGUCUCUGAUGAUCGAGAGUUGUUUCAUCAAGAGAGGGUAUUUCUCCAUUGAUUUUAGGAACAUGAGGAAUAGAGACCAUCUGAUUUAAUAUUUUGCCUACUUCACCAUCGAGUGCAUUCUCAUCUGUCAGAUCUAGAGAAUAUGACCAACCCUCCCCAUUGUGUGACUUUUCGUCAGGACUAGAACAUGAACUAGAAAGUCCCAUACCAUCUAUAUCUUUCUGGCCGCUCUCAUGCCUAAAUCCAUAAUUUUCCAUAGAUUGAUCGGGCCAUUCUUUUGGAAGAAUAGAUACUUGCAAAUCCUCUACCACUUCAUGUGAAAAUCUAGCUGUUUCGUCAAUAGCAAGUUGUGAUAGUUCUUCUUAAAGAGCAUGUUCGAUAAUCUCACCAUUCUCCGCAUUGCCACAUUCAUUAUCAUAACGAUCUUCCUUUAAAUGUUAUCCAUCAUAAUAACUUACAUCAUUUUGCACAAUGGUGCCACCAUACCCGCACUUAGAAAACGGAUCAUCAUCAGAAGCCGGAGACCCCACCGAACAACAAUAGGAUCUUGCCCACAUGCGAUCAUUUGCAAUGAUAUCAAUGUCGGCUGCAUUGAUCUUGACAGCAGCUAAUUCUUUCUCCUUCAUUCUCAUGGCAUUCUCGUUAGCAUCGGUCGACAUAAUGACAAUAAGCAGUUUUUGAGGUUCUUCUUGAAUUUUAUCAAGGAGAUAUCGUCCAUCCAUGCAGCUGCCCCAUUAUUUUACUUUGACCGGGACCUGAAAAACUUGCCUCACUAUUCAUUCCCGCAUNNNNNNNNNNNNNNNNNNNNNNNNNNNNNNNNNNNNNNNNNNNNNNNNNNNNNNNNNNNNNNNNNNNNNNNNNNNNNNNNNNNNNNNNNNNNNNNNNNNNCAAGCAUGACAAUAUUAAGAUCCAACUCUAGGUAUUGAUUCAAAAGUAGUGGCUUAGGAGGCAUCGAUAUUAUUUUGAGUGUAUGGAACGUUCUCAAAAGUGAACUAUGCCCACAGAUCGGAGUAACAAAACCUGUAUUAGGCAAUGCUGUCAGCUUGCAGGGAGUCUUUCAUGACUGCUUAAACUCGAAUUCGGGCAUCUUAAAGUACCACAACAUGGCCAUAGUUGAAACUCCCAAACCCGAAGAGAGUUAGUUGAGGUUCCAGAUAAAGAAAAUUGGUGCGCUUGAGCUCAUCAGGUGCAGAAGGUAUGACCUUAACCGAUUCGGUGGGUUUGGGGUUGUAAGGUUUAGUGGUUGGAAUGUUUUGGUAAGAAGAAUAGGAUGAGAGACUAGUUGAGCUAAGGGAUCAAAGUUGAGUUGUAUCUGAUGGGUGAUCCAGAUGACGGUUUUCUUCUUGUUAAGUGCAACAGAUGAAAAGUUGGAUGGGGUAUGAGGAGUAUUUGGCUUUUGGUUUAUGCUCGGUAUAGAACAAAUGUCAUGGGAAUGCGUUGAAAGGAUGCUAGGGAAUCGUACGUACGUGUACACAGCAUCUGCGUGGGAGGCUAGAGAAAUAAUGGGUGGGAAAAGAAAACGGGUCAAACGUAAGGGGUGAUUUGAAGAUAGUGAGAGAAUGAAAUAAGUGUGUAUGCUUGUGGUGGUUAUCGAAAAUGUGAGGGGUGGGGAGUGUGAUAGCUUCAAUGGGUAUGAGAAUAGGGAUAAGCCGACAGGGAGCACGAUAGAGGGUGGAUUUUGCAAAAGGUCUUGUGGGCCAUGCAAAGGUGGAAGAGAUGGGGUACAUGGUAGGUAUUGAAAAAUGGUGUGUGGUGUAGAGAGAUGAAACGGGAGGUGAGCAGUGAGUGGGAUGUAGGGGUAAAAGGGUGGCCAUGCACACAUGUGGAGUAAACCCAUCAAUAUUGCACUUCCCAAUUCAUCCCGUGGCCGAUGAAUACAACAUCCCGGUGCUACUUCUCAUACCCAUUUUGCAUUUUCUGAAUGUCAACACCUGAAUAUAGCUUUGAAUGCUGAAAAGGUGGCGACAAACACCCGAUCAUGAUAGGAUGAUGGCUCUGAAUGUCAAGCUGGGAAGGAAUGGUGGCUUUGAAGGCCCAAACCGAGAAGAUAUGGUGGCUUUGAAUGUCAAACUGCGGAGAAUGAUGGCUCUGAACGCCCGAAUGUGAGAACGACGGCUCCUUGAACGCCUGAAACUGUGAAGAGGUAGUGGCUCUGAACGUUGAACUAAAAAGAGAUGAUGGCUCUGAAUGUCGAAACUGAAGAUGCAAUGAUGAUGGCUCUGAACGCCGAAACUGAAAAUGUGACUCUUAACAUCAAAUUGAAAAUGCGAUGAUGGCUCUGAACGCCGAAACUGAGAAGCGACGAUGAUGGCUCUGAACGCCAAAACCAAAAAUGCGAUGAUGAUGGCUUAGAGUGCCGAAACUAAAAAUGCGACUCUGAACGUCAAGUUGAAAAUGUGAUGAUGAUGACUCUGAACACCAAAACUAAGAGGCGAUAAUGAUGGAUCUGAAUGCCGAAACCAAAAAUGCGAUGAUGAUGGCUCUGAACGCCGAAACUGAAAAUGCGACUCUGAACGUCAAGCUGAAAAUGUGAUGAUGAUGGCUCUGAACGCCGAAACUGAGAAGCGAUAAUGAUGGCUCCGAACGCUGAAAGAAAAAAUGAGAUGAUGAUGGCUCUGAACGCUGAAACUGAGAAGCGGUGAUGAUGGCUCUGAAUGCCAAAACGGAAAAUGAUAUAAUGACCCUGAAUGCCGAACUAUGAACAUGGCUUUGAAUGCCAAACUGCGAAUAAAUGGUGGCUUUGAACGCCAAACUAAAAAUAAUAGCCAUGAAUGCUAAGCAAAAACAACGGCUGUGAACGCCAAUGAUAACUAUGAAUGUCAAGCUGAGAAANNNNNNNNNNNNNNNNNNNNNNNNNNNNNNNNNNNNNNNNNNNNNNNNNNNNNNNNNNNNNNNNNNNNNNNNNNNNNNNNNNNNNNNNNNNNNNNNNNNNCAAAAACAACUGGCUGUGAACGCCAAUGAUAACUAUGAAUGUCAAGCUGAGAAAGACAACUUUAAACGUCGUAAUUGAGAGGACAUGGUGGCUUUGAACACCAGGCUGAAAAUGGAUGACUUUGAACAUCAUAACCGAUAAUGGAUGGUGGCUCUAAAUGCCAAACUGUAAGGAAAUGAUUAGGGGGGGGGGGGGGGGGGNNNNNNNNNNNNNNNNNNNNNNNNNNNNNNNNNNNNNNNNNNNNNNNNNNNNNNNNNNNNNNNNNNNNNNNNNNNNNNNNNNNNNNNNNNNNNNNNNNNNAGUCUCAUGACCCGCUCGAUGAAAUCACGAGGUUUGUCGGAGUGUCGCAAUAAGCCGAACUCCUCUAACUCAUAAUGCUCUGCCGAAAGAAUCUAUCGUCACCCCGAACGGAUAAUCCGAUAGUCUUAGGGAGUAGUCUGGUAAGAGACAUACCACGAUCUUGACAUAACAAUCUACUGAAUAGUCUUGGCUAGUGAGGCUAUCAAAACCCGAAUAUCGUGCUCCACUGAAAGCUCAUCUCGACGAAAAGCACAGGAAUAGUGACCAGUGAAGCAAAUGCAAUAUCUCUUGACUGAGUAAUGAAAACUAUAAUAGAUCUGUGAGAGAAUGAUCAUCUCCAUAGCUAAAGGAGGGAAAUAUGCCCCAGUAUGGCAUCAGAUAUAUCCAAUCUGUCCUAAUAACUCAAGAAUAACUCUAUGGGGACAUACAAAGGAUCUAACAUGUACUCCACUGAAAUAGUGACGCAGGCAUCCACGCGCCUGAGAUAACUCCUUCUAAGAAUCACGACUAUAUCAGAAAACGUGAAUCUGGCUGAAAGACUCAAGAGAGGCUCCAUGGAGUAUCAGGACACAAUGAAAUCGAAUCAUCAACCCGAUGUGUAUCUCAAAAUCGAGGGUGAUCAUGCGAAUCAGUGGGGGAUGUACAAAUCUCGACUGAAAUGGGGAAUACACCCCAGUGUGGCAUCAUAAAUGUGACAAGUCGGAAAGUCAGAUGAGCUCAAAUCAUCCAUCAUCGAAUUCGUGAUCCAAGUCAUCCAUGUCUAUAACUGAAUCAGACCCACAGAUCAAAGGGGCGUCUCCCAGAAGGAAAGCAUGAUGACAUCUAAGUGUCGAGAAGUGCAGGCCUAACUGGGCAAUUCCCAAGAGGCUCCAUUGAGGAAUCAUCAUAAAGAUACCGAAUAGAUCAUCGUCUCGAUGUACGUCUUGCAAAUGGGGAUAAGCGCGUAACUCCACCAAGAUCUAUAAAUCUCAUCCUGAAUGGUAAUAUGCCCCAGUAUGGCAUCAAACAUAUGAUAGGUCGGAGACCGGGCAACAUGAAAUCAUCUAUCAUCGAACAUGCGACAUCUGUGAAGAUCCAUAAAUCUCAUCUAAAAUGGAAAAUAUGCCCUCGUAUGGCAUCAGGUGCAUAAUAGGUCAAAAGAACAAGUGACAUGAAACCAUCUCUCAUCAAACAUGUGACCUCUGUGAAGAUCCGUAAAUCUCAUCUGAAACGGAAAUAUGCCCCAGUAUGGCAUCGGAUGUGUGACAGGUCAGAAGAACAAGUGACAUGAAACCAUCUCUCAUCAAACAUGUAAUCCUGGUCAUCCGAAUCCAUAACUGAAUCAUGCCCACAGAUCUAAGAUGUACCUCCCGGAUGGAGAAGCAUGAUGGCAUCUAAGUGCCGAGAAGUGCGGGCCUAGCUAGAUGGCUCUCGGCAGGCUCCACUGAGGAAUCAUGAUAAGGUAACGAUCAUGUCCACGUCUUAGUGAGCAUCUAGUAAGUGAUGAUGAUCGUGCAAGUCCAUGAGGAUCCAUAAACCUCUAAAUGAAAUGGGAUAUGCCCUAGUGUGGCAUCAGAGGUACGAUAGGUCAAAAAUCGGGUGACACCAAAUCAUCCAUCGUCAAACACAUAAUCCCGGUAAUUCGAACACAACUGAAUCGGACCUACACAUCAAAGAGGCGACUCCUAGAAGAAGGAAGCACGACGAUAUCUAAAUAUCAACCAGAUCUCAAACACUCGUCCAAGUAGAGGCUGUCAAAGAUGACAUCUGAUCCCAUGACCUCAGGGUGGUCUUAAGACAUGGGACGUAACGUAGGCCAAGGUGAUAAGGUGAUAGAAAUGAAGGAAAACUAGACUCAAAUACCCAAUGAUCAAAAACCCACGCCCUCAUAUAUGAAAUGCAACAUGUAUAAUGAAUCUCGUGAGCCAUGGACCUAAGGAUGCCUAACAUGAAUAUGAUGUCGAUAAGGAGACAAAUAAAGCAAAAUGAACUGAUAGUGAUAUGUGUAAUGAUGAUGUGAAGAGAGUAUCAAACCCGAGAUGGGUUGCUGUAAGAAAAGAAUAAGACGUGAAGUGAAAAUGAUGAAUCCAAAGCGAAAACGAGGAUGAUGAUGAAACAAAUAACACAAAGAGGAGUAGUGAUCAACUCAAAUCAGACAUGGAGUGAAGUCACAUCAACAAUGAACGUAAUGAUGGAAGGGACAAUGACCCAGAGCUCCUAAGAGAAGGUCACUCAUCUCGCUCUCAAAAUAUACAAUAAAAAUGAAUACAAAGCAUAGAGGGUCUCAGAAAGCUCACAUACGAACUCCCAUCAACAAACAUACUCAAUCAAGUCACCCUCGAACAUCAACAUACACACUCAAUGAUAGAAAAUAAUACACAUGCGUUUUGUUUUUUUUUUUUUUACAUAUAUACAAAUGUACACACCUUGAACAUGAACAAAAUAAGCCUAAAUAUGAUAUCAAUAAUGGAUAGACGCUAUCUCGAAAGCUAAGGUAACAAAAACCCUCUUUGACAAGAUAACCUUUUCAAACUAAGAAUCUCUGAACCAGUGUCCGUUGGAUAGAUAGUGGUAAUGAUAUGACUACCCUCCAUGUAAUGAACUGAGGAAGAUCACCACUCGGGGUGGAAAGAAUAUGAAGCAAAACAAGUAGUAGAUAGAAUAAAGAAGAAUAGAUGAAGAACACAACCAAUGAGAUACAAUGGAAUGCAGUGAUGCAAUGAUGAGAAGAGAUAAUGAGAAGAAUGUGCCCCUCGGUCCAAGGCUCAUGAAACUUCCAAACAAUGAAUGCAUACACCAAAAGGGCCCCUAUCCCGGUGUGAAAAUGUGAGCAAGGCGAUAAGAAAGAAAUGCUAUAAUGCUCAUGCGAGGCUCAAUGGGCUAGCAACAGACUAUAUAUCAAAAGGGAAUAACAAGGUAUAUGGCUAACUGAAAUGACGGCCACCAUCCUACGACCAUGGUGUCAAACAUAGUACCUCUUUAGCUGAUCCAUAUUGGUCGGCUUUGAGAAUCGGUUUCCAUCUAAAUCCAUCAACCAUGCAACAUCCUCUGGGGUCAACUCCCUGAUGAAGUAAGGUUCGCUCCAGUUGGGUCUGAACUUCUUUCUAGGAUCUCUGAUCAAUCCCCUGAUGAUCUUCAGAACCAAGUCACCUAUCCGUAGUGGUCAGAGCUUGACCUGCUUUUUGAAAGUGCGGGCCAUCUUCCUCUGAUAUGCACGAAUGUGGUCGGCUGCUCUCAAUCUCCUCUCAUCUUGGAGAUUGAGCUGAUCAAAUCGAGACUGAGCCCAAUCUGCCUCGAGCAUCUGUUGCUCUAAUGCUACCCUCAAUGAACCCAACUCUAUCUCGACUGGUAGCACUACCUCCAUAUUGUAUACCAAAGAGUAGGGUGUGGCUCCUGUAGAGGUGUGAAAAGAAGUCCGGUAAGCCCACAAUGCGAAAGGAAGCUUCUCAAACCAAUCCCGAGAAGUCUUGAUCAUCCUCCGCAAGAUCCUCUUAAUAUUCUUAUUCACGGUCUCUACUGCCCCGUUCGUCUGCGGCCUGUACGCAGACGACCUAUGGUGUCGGAUGCCAUAUUACCGCACUAAAGUGUCAACCUCUGCCCUGAAAUGUACCCUUCUAUCCGAAAUCAGCUCAUGAGGGACUCCACAGCAACAGAUAAUGUGUGACCUGAUGAAACUAGCCACUCCAGAUGAUGUCAAUCUCGCAUACGAAGCGGCCUCCACCCACUUGGUGAAGUAAUCGAUGGCGACCAGGAUGAACUCAUGACCACUGGAAGAUUUCGGCGAAAUCUUUCCGAUGAUGUCAAUACCCCAUACAGAAAAUGGUCAUGGUGAAGUCAGUGCAUGCAACUCCGAGGACGGCACGUGAAUGAGAUCUCCAUGUAUCUGACACUCGGGACAUCUCUGAACAAACUGGAAACAAUCUAUCUCCAUGGUCAACCAGAAAUAGCCAAUCCUCAUGAUCUUACGGGCCAACAUAUGUCCUCCCAUAUGUGGUCUGCAGACUCUUGCAUGAACCUCUCUUAUCACUCUAUUGGCAGAGGCUCGGUCCAAGUACAAUAAUAGCAUCUCGUCAGCCGAUCGUCUAUACAAUGUCUUGCCACAAAUCACCAAUCCGGUGGCUAACUGUCUCAAUGAUCUCCUAUCCUUGGCCAUGGCAGUCUCAAGAUACACGCCAAGUCUCAGAAAGUGAUAUAUGUCAUGGUACCAGGGCAAACCAUCAUCUAUCUCCGUAUCAUCAAUUAGACAACAGUACGCAAGAGCAGAUCUCGACUCGAUCAACAAUGGGCGAACGGUGACAUCAGUAGGAAUGUCAAUCAUGGAAGCUAGAGUAGCUAAGGCAUCAGCAAACUGGUUCUGCGCUCUAGGCAGAUGGGUAUAUAUCAAAUCAUCGAAUCUCCCAACCAGUAGCUUUAAAUAUGCGUGGUAAGGCCUAAGCUUCACAUUUCUAGUCUUCCAUUUGCCUUGAAUCUGUCUCAAUACUAAAUUGGAGUCACCAAACACCUCUAUCUGUCUAAUCCCGAGCUCUAGGGCCGUUUCUAAUCCCAAGAUACAAGCCUUAUAUUCAACAAUGUUGUUCGUGGCAGGAUGUCGAUCCCAGAAUGCCAAACGAACAGAUCUGGGAAUGUGAUCACCAUGAGGGGAUAUCAACAAGACGCCUAUCCCGUAUCCAGAAUGGUUGGCUGCACCAUCAAAGUACAUGCGCCAACCUGAUAAACUGGUCACAACAGCCACAUCCUCGUCCGGGAAGUCAUCAUCAAUGGCUCUGCCGUCGGAAACUGGUAAAGAAACUAGGUGAUCCACGACAAUGCUCCCUUUGAUGGACUUCUGAGUGACAUAAUGGAUGUCAAACUCGAUUGGAAGUACCAACCAUCUUAUGAGGCGACCAACUAAGGCGGGUUUGUCAAACAAAUAUCUCAGAGGAUCUAAAUGGGAUAUCAAGUGCACUAAAUACUCUAUCAUAUAAUGUCUCAGUUGGCGUGUGGCCCAAACCAAUGCCAAACAGUAACACUCAAUCAUGACAUAUCUUGUCUCAUAGUCUAGCAUCCUCUUACUCAUAUAAUAAAUAGCUCGGUCCUUGCCUGAAUCAUCAAGCUGAGCUAACAUACACCCCAAUGCUACGUCUGAAACUGAUAGGUAUAGGAGUAAGGGACGACCUGGUGUAGGAGGCGCCAAGACUGGAGGUGACAACAAGUACUCUCUGAUCCUCUCAAAUGCACGCUGACACUGAUCAUCCCAAAUAGUAGGUUGACUCUUCCUCAAGAGUCGAAAAAUGGGCUCACAGAUGUCUGUCAAUCUGGCAAGGAAUCUGCUGAUGUACUGAAGUCUACCUAGGAAGCCUCUGACCUCUCUCUCUAUCCUCGGUGCAGGCAUGUCAAGAAUAGCUUUGAUCUUAUCCGGAUCUACCUUUAUGCCUCUUUCAUUGACCAUAUAUCCAAGGAGUUUCCCAGAAGUCACUCCGAAAGUGCACUUCUUGGGAUUGAGUCUCAAUCUGAAUUGUCUAAUCCUCUCAAAGAACCUCUCCAGAGCUGUCAGGUGAUCUGGUCUAUCUUGGGAUUUCACUAUCAUGUUGCCUACAUAAACCUCGACAUCCCGAUGCAUCAUGUCAUGGAAGAGGGUGGUCACCGCUCUUUGAUAAGUGGCUCCUGCGUUCUUCAAUCCGAAUGACAUGACUCUAUAGCAAUAAGUACCCCACUCGGUAAUGAAAGACAUUUUCUCCAUGUCCUCUAAAGUCAUUAAGAUCUGAUUGCAUCCGGAAAAUCCGUCCAUAAAGGACAACAUCGAAUGACCUGCCGUACUGUCAAUUAGCAUGUCGAUGUGUGGAAGAGGAAAAUCAUCCUUAGGAUUGACCUUGCUGAGGUCUCGAAAAUCAACACAGACUUUCACCUUGCCGUCCUUUUUGGGAAUAAGGACGACAUUGGCCAACCACUCCGGGUACUCGACCAUUGAAAAAAAUCCUACACUAAGUUGCUUCUGAAUCUCCUUAUUUACCUGCAAGCUCCAACGAGGAUGCAAUCGUGUCAACUUCUGCUUAACCGGUCUGAUAUGGGGCAGAAGUGGCAAACGAUGCUGGAUGAUAGAUGGAUCAAGGCUUGGCAUAUCCUCAUAGGACCAUGCGAAAAUGUCCAAGUAUGCUAUGAGCAACUGGAUGAGGCUAUCCCUUUCAUCAACAGAUAAAUCUGAUCCGAUCCUUAACUCCCUAGGCUGAUCUGCUGUGCCGAAAUAAAAAAUCUCUAUGUCCCCUACAACAUGUGAAACUCUCUGAUCAAUGGGAUCCGAAUCGGAAAUAGAAGAUGAGUCAUCGUCUGAAUCAUGCUGUGCAAUCUCAUCAUCAAUGUCAAAAAUCUAUGAUGUGGGUGAGGAUGGUGCGGGUAAAGCAAUAACAUGAGAGACAGACAAAUACUAAAAAAUGCUCAAAUCCAUAGAUGAAGAGUCAGAAACAUCGUCAUGACGGGAGACAAAUCCCGAUAAGACAUUAAAGGAAAGAGGUGGGUCCACAAAGUUGGACGCUCUCUUAACUAAGCCAACAAGGCCAUCAAACAAGCCAUCAACAACUAUAACAUCCUCAGCAAUCUCCAGAACGGGGGCGACCUGGAUCUCCUCGACAAUCUCGAGGAUGGACACCCCGAAGAGAUCGAAUGGUGAAGCGAGCUCAAAUGGGGCUAUCUCCUUGAUUUGGCUCAAGCUCAUCGCGAUCAUCUCAUCAACAUACUCGUCAUGUGGCACGACUUUGUCUAAUAUGUUGCUGCUCUCGAAAAAUGUCCAGUAAUCAUCGAUCUCAUCCGAGAAGCAAAGCGUCAUAAGGCUCGUGCGAUCUGGGGAGGAAGGAGUGAUCAACGCAGAAGUUGAAGGGCCAGGGGCUCCGUCACUCAAUCGUAACUGUCGGACGAGGCGCUGAAGCUCGGCCUCCUGGGUGGUGCUAAGUCCUCCGAUGAUCCCAUCAGAUAGUGCAUGUGGCUCCGACGCCCUCACAAAGUAAUCUGUUAGGCUCAUGGUAUAUGGGUGAACAGGAUAAUAAAAUGGAAUAUGGGUCAGUCGAGCCCUCACCCUCUCCUUCGGCAAUCGCUCCAUAUUACGAUAAUCAGCCUCAGUGGGGAUGAACCUGAGUCCGAAUGCUACGUCGUGAUCAAGGAAGGUCAUGAACUCACUAGGCCCGUACUGACGCUGCCCUAACCCCAUGCCGGGAAGAUAAGACAUACCCCUCAUCAUGUCAAGCACUAGAUACUGUGCUGGUCGAAAGAUAUGGCUACAAAGUCUCGACAGAAAUCCUCUAUCUCCAAAGUCUGCACCUCGUCGAAGGUGAAUCCGAUCAAAAAAAGAUAGUCAUCAGUGUGACUAAUCUGAAGUACAGGCUUGGCAGAAAUGAACACAUCUCCUAUAGACUGCACCACAACGGCCUGGCCAUCAUGAAUAAACUUCACCUUCUAAUGAAGGGAAUAAGGAAUGGCCCCAACUCUAUGGAUCCAUGGUCGGCUCAGAAGUAGGUUAAAGGAUGUAGGAAUCCUCAAAACCUGAAACACGACAACAAAAGUGGUCGGACCAAUCAAUAGCUCAAUCUCCAAUGUACCCAUGACCUUCCUCUGAGUACUAUCAUAUGCGCGAAUGGUCUGAGUGGAGGGACCGAAGUCAGAUGGUGCGUAGCCGAGGGCAAUGGCAGUGGAAAGAGGACAGACGUUCAGGACCAAGCCAUUGUCCAGAAAGAUAGAUGGGACUCGGCGGCCUGAACAAUCGACAGAUAUAUAAAGUGGACUUGUGUGGUCCGAGCCCUCCGUGGCAAGUCAUCAUCGAAGAAUACAAUGCAUGUGGCUCUGCUGGCCGUCAUCAUAUGAAUCAAUCUCUUAGGAGAAGUGGUAGUAUCGACUCUGAUCUGGUUCAAGGCUCGAAUCAGAGCAUCACGGUGAGUGCUCAAGGAUGCCAACAGGCUCUAGAUGGAAAUACGAGCUUGGGUGCUCUGUAGCUGUCUCAAAAUCUCGUCAUCCUUUACUCUGACCUCCUCGAGAGCAGAUAUACCCUCAACUAACCUAGCUGCUACGGGAGGUGGCUGUCGCAACACUCUACCUCAUUGGAGAAUAUAAUGAACAUCUAGAGUCUGAGAAUCAUCAACACGCGGAGCCUGAACCUCCUCAACAUCCGGGAUCAAGAUGAAUGAAGUCUGGACGCUGUAAUGUGGAAAAAUCAAUGGCUCAACAAUGGUAGUCUGUACCGAUGCCGCCCUGGGAACUAAUUCGAAUGAAACGGGCAUCCAAGGCCCCAAAGUCGCUUUGUCCAUCUCAUAAAUACCAUUUGACACAAUAGGCUCUGGGUUUGAAUCAUCCGAACUAAGCAUAUGAACGUGAUCAUCAAGCUCAACGAAGUCCAAGAAAUGUAUGCCAUCGGCCGGUGGAGGAACGACAUGUGUAGUGUGGGCAGGUAAUGGGUUUGUGGUCACAUUCAGCUGACCCUGACCCAAGUGCACCAAACCUUGGUUGAUCAAAUCCUGAACGACAUGCCUCAAAGCAGUUCAUCGAUCGGUCUCACGUCCAGGCCCUUGAUGGUAUGCACAGUGCAAAUCCAUCCUGAACUGAGGUGGAAUAGGCUGAGGAGGUGGCCUAGGGGUGAGAGCAGUCAAUAACCCGGCCUCUGUAAGCUUCCGAAGAGCCUGGCUCAAUGGCAUGCCUAAUUGUGAGAACUACCUCUGCGUCCUCAAAGCAAAUGGAGCAGAAGCCUGCUGAGCUCUGGGUCGGGGAUAAGAAGUUAUGGGUCUCGUAGUGAACUGAGCAGCAUAGCACGAUUGUCCUAUGGCCUUGUAUGAGACAGGUGACCUCUCGAUGCCUUGGGUGGCAUAGUAAGGCAAAGCCAAAGUCUGUGGCAUAUAGGACUAAUCAUGAGUCGGACGAGGCGCCCGUGGCCUAUACUGCUGAAGUGGAUAUGAAGGAUGAGUCUCUAGAAGCUGUGGGACCGACUGAUGGCGCCUGAGAGGUCUUUGACUAGAAGAACCGAUAGCGCUCACAUCAACUGACCUCUGUCCUCCAAAGGGUUUCUUCCCCUUAACAUCACUAGGGGAAGAAUCAGUUCACAAUUAUCUCAAGAUGCCGUCCUCGACAUCGUACAAAGCCAAAACCAACGAACCAAAAUCUAUGAAGAGUACCCCAAUCACGUGUCUGGCAAUCCUGGGCUGUAGGCUCCUCAAAACCAUCUGUAUCUGAUCUCUCUCUAGAGGCCUGUCAAUGGUCUCGGCAAUCUUCCUACGCCAACGGGAGAUGAAGGAUGAAACUGACUCAUCUAUCCUCUACCUCAGAGCCUCGAGCUCUCUCCUUGAUACAUCCAUCAUAGUGUUAAACGAAAACUAUCAUAAGAACUCCUAGGCCAAGUCGUCCCAUGUCCGGCAUCGUGAAGACUCUAGGAAUGCGAACCAGCGCUGGGCUGCCCCACUUAGAGAUAGCGGGAACAAAGUGAUCAUCUAUGACUCAUCCAAUCCGUGUGCUCUCAUCACUGUGCUAUAGAGUCUGAGGUGGAUGCGAGGACAACCAAUGCCCGUAUACCUCUCAAUGUCCAGCAUCCUGAACUGAGCCGACAAACUGGCCACCAGCAUACCCUCAAGAUCAUCCCAAAUAGCUGAUCCAUCUGACACUCUCAUCUACCUCAUAUGCUGCUCGAUACGGUCCAUAUGUGCAUGAGCGUCAUUAGUGACUGUGGUCUGAACGAUUGCAGGUGGGGCAACCUCAGAAUGCCCAUGCAAUACAUAAGGUGAGGCCUGAGGCACCAUUGGAACAGGUGGUGGCAGUGGCUGUGGCAACGAAUCAUGAAGAGUCUCAUCAUGAACUACGAGUGGUCUGCUCUACUGGCUGCCAAUCUCCUGCCUGAGGCUAGCCAAAGCCUCUUGGAUAGAAGCCAUGACGGUCGUAAACUGAUCCACUGUAACAACCUAUUGAUCCAUACUCAAUCUCUCGGAAUACCGGACUAAUCUCCCCUCUACUCUAACCCAAGAAGACGUAUCCAGACUACGAACAAAGAUUUGAUCCUAAAAGCGCGAAGAAAUGAAUAAGGAUAUGGGACGAAGAAAGCACAGAAGAAAUGAUAAUCUGAAUGGAAACAAGCAAGACAUCUAAGUGAAGGUAGACUUUCUGACCAUACUCAAACUCAUACUAAUCUCUGUACACUUUCAAUUGAAGACUAAAAAAGGAGUAUCGGAAUCCAAACUGUGGCUACAGAGGCUUUGAAAGUUCUCAGAUGCACCCACAUGUAGGGAGUGAACCCUAAUCGAAUGAUCUACGGCUCAACCUACGAGGUCAAGGUGGCUCUAAAUGGAUAUGAGUGGGCUUUAAAAGAUCCCUUAAGCAGAGGCGAUCAUACUGAUUACUACUCAAAAAGUGCUAUUUGAUAGCUUAUAAUUAAUCCUUUUAAACACUUUUGAGUAGUAGUUUAGGCCUUUUAACUCAAUUGGCAUGUUAAGGACCCUUGAAAGGAAUUUUAAUCACUUUGUGUAAGUUUUGGUGUUUUUGUUAGUAAUUUGAUCAUCAAAGCAAGUCAAGACUGAGGAGAGCUAUGAGGAAUCUUGGGCAAAGCUUAGAAGUCAUUUGCCAAGAGUAAAUCCGGAUUGCAAGGAGAAAAAGUAAAGAGAAUCUGCCAAGAAGCAUAUUCUUGAUGACAGUCGUAUCAGCCACUUUUGGAGCCUCUUAUGAGGUCCAAUUGAUGCAUGCUAUAUACCAUUUCAAAGCUCAGGAAGUCAACAAUCCAAUGCUACAAACGGUGUAUAAUUCAGAGUUGAAACGAAGAAGUUGCAGCCAUUGCAAGCCAAUCACUCCGAGCUGAAGGAAGCAUUUUGCAAAGUGCUGCGAAAUCACCCUUUUGUUGCGAAGUGAUUCCGCAGCCUUUUUGUACAGUAGGGUGUAUUUCCUUCUGAAGUUGCCCGACAUAUACCGCGAGAGGGAAGUUGGGAACCUCAAGGUGGAAGCCAACUUCGCAGCCCUGCGAAGAUAGCAUGUUGUUGCGAAAUGAUUUCGCAGCCCUCUUGAGUGUCUGAGAAAUCUCGCAGACACCAUUUUCUCUUGCGAAAUGGUUCCUGGAGCCUCCCGAUAUUUGCUACCGACAUUGGGAGAUAUUUUACAUCAGAUUUUUGUUGUCUAAAUCCCAAAAUACUCCUUGUAAGCCACCAAUUACAAGAUUCCUUAGCUUUUAAGUUAGUAAAAAGAGAAAAUAUCUAUGUAAUAAUUAGUUUUAUAUUAUGUUCAUAUAUAUACCUCUCGGGAGCCUGUUCUCAGGGAGGAGAUCCUUUUGUAAAGUUUUGGGUAAGCAAGUAAAGUUUAUUUUUUUCUACUGCCUUACCUUCUCACUUUGUAUUUUUUAGUUAAUACUAAGUUAUGAACUCUCUGAGGAGUUUUCCCCAGAGAAUGAGUAACUAAACCUCUAAUUCCUUGGAGCUAAGGUUGCCGGGGAAGGUUCCAAGUGCAAGAAUGCAAAGCUUUGUGGUUUUAGCUAGUAAUGAAGAGGAAGUGAAAUCCUUUAGUGAUUUCUAUGUUUUUAGUUAACUUAAAACACCUUAGAGUCACCUGGGCCAACACUUGGUAAGGCAAGUGAUUUCCAACCAUGGAAAUGCACUAGUUUACCCCUUGCAAGCCUCUGGUAGGUGACUUCAGGGUAGGAUUUUCUAGAAUAGCCAACACUUGAUAAGCUUUUGGACUCCAAGGAGACAUCCAUUAGUUAUCUCUUGCGAGCUUUUGACGGGUAAUCCAAGGUUAAGGAUCACCUUGAAUGGUUAAGGCUUAGUGAGAGGCUUAAACCAUUGCAAGUUGCAUCAGUGAGAGAAUUAAAGUGAAAUCUAAUUGAAGGAUGAAUCUGUACAACACCAGCUAGAGAAUUGACUAUAUGUUGAAUCUCUAACGCGAGGAAAGGAACCAUCUGACCGGAGCUAGGUCUUUUGCAUAAGGAACCACCCCAGUGAACCUAACUCUCCAAGGAAUGCUUUUCUUCCUAAGUUAUUCCGAGUACUUGUUAUGUUAGUUAGUUUAAAUCUUUACCAAUCAAAGUUUGUGUUUUAUGUCUUAAGCUAACCUUGAAAUGAAACAAGACCAAUUCACUUGGAAUUGGUAUCAUUGAUAGCUUGCUAAUCCUUCCCAGUGAACGAUCCUAGAGCCGCUAUACUAUAGUAGCUUUUUCUUUGCUACCCUAGUAUAUGGUGUUAUAGGUUAUAAAUUUUGUUGAUUACUCCCUCAAUCAAGGAGCACCAGCUGGACACGAAUCAGCUGAGACACCAAUUGGGCACGAAUCACAUACCCUCCGACAGUAUGCAACCCUCUGUACGUCUCCGAAGAGACGGGGCGCUUCCAUGCAAGGUGGUCAUCACCUCCACACAUGCACUAUCUCGACAUCCCAAGGGGGUUUCCUAUGGUGAAAACCUCUCAAACUCGCAACGCUCAAUGGUCAACUAGAGUGCACAGUGAAUGGUGCGGGUGCAUCCAAAAACCCUAGGAAGCUAAAACAGAAAGAUGAAACACACUGGCCGCACAAAUAUCCAUGAGACCUAGCUCCGAGCUAUACGAGUCUUCAAUGAUCGGACUCCAAUCGACAUCAAAGUGUCGCUCUCCUCCAGAAUGCUCCCAUACAUUGAUAUAGCCUGUCGCUAAACCCUACUCCUAAUCUCUGGCUCGGUCAGAGAAUAAGCACACAGAGGGCCUCACACUUGCAAUAGUGAGGACCAGAAUGAAGGGAAUGACCGAGACCAAGAGAUUUGGAGGUAGGGGGAUAGAUGUGCGGCCCACAUAGACAGGCGACAUGCAAUCAAGCAGAGGAAGGGUAGUCAUGCGACAUGCAGUUAAGCAGUAGACAGAAUACAUCACUUAUGCACACACACAAACUAUGACGAUCAGGAUGAAUAGCGACACGAACAUCAUGCUCAAAGACAAUCAAGAUAGUAUACAAGCCAAAGAAAACAACAUGGCAAGUCAAGCGAUGUGCAAUAGUGAGUCUAUAUAUGUGAAGUAAGUAGAACAAUCAGGAAGAAUCAGAAUCGCUAUACCAAGCAAAACAAGAUGAGCAGUCUAUGAUAAUCAGCAUGUUAAUGUACUAAACUAAUAUAGCAAUGAAGCACAGAAAAAGUGACAUCCGAAACCCCAAUCAAGAUAAUUGAUAUAUCAAUGUCCCAAUACAAUAUCCAAGCAUGCAUAAAAAAACUCUCAAUGUGCAAUCAAGAGACAAGUACUCAUUGAUUGACUCAUCAAAUACCACAUUUGCUUCAUCCUAAGUUCAAGCUUGACCCUCUAAAUGAUCCCCAACGGAGUCGCCAUUUUGUGGACCCUGUAUUUCGGCUCAUGCGAUUUCCACUCAAUGGCGAGCUCGAUUUUUAUUUGAAAAUGAUUUUAUUUAUUAAAAAAAAAAUAUGACUUGGAGUCACCACUUAUUUUUGUUUUAUUUUUAAAAGGGUAAACAAAAUAAGAAAGAAAACCCUAAGUGUGACUCCUUAUUUUGGAAAAUAUGAUAUGUGAAAAACCGGAUCGGGCUCGGGGGUCAGGCUACUUAUCGAGAAGGUACAGUAAAAACCAUAGCACCCCUCUAAGUCCCUAAAGUUGGGUCUCUACUAACAAAAUGAAGUUGAUGUGGUGAUCAAUAGGAAAAUCAAUGGAUACUCAAAUCGACCAUGCACAUAUGGGAUCAAAACAUGCAUAAAGAAUGACCAGAAUGGGAGUUGAUGCGUACCUGGGCCACGAACGAGCAAUGCGCUAUCAUAAAAAUGGGGUCGGUGUACAAUAAAGAGCACAAAACAUAUCACACGCGUCACCAAAUAGAACUUAAAAUUGUUCAAGGGAAAACUAGAUUUUUUAAAUUUUAUUUGAAAAUUGGAGUCUUAGAGAUUAUUUGAAAAUUGGAGUUUUAGAGAUUAUUUGAAAAUUGGAUUUUUAGAAAUUAAAUAUAAGAAUGAGAAUUUUAGAAAUUAAAUUUGAAAAAAAUUGGAAUUUUGAAAAUUAUUUGAGAGGUUGGGGGUUUUUUUUUUUAAAAAAAAAUUAAAUUACGGAAAUUGGGACUUUAGAAAUAAAAUUUUGAAAGAAAUUAGAAUCGAAAAUUGUUUGAGAAGCAGAAACUAUGAAAAUUGAAUAAAAAAAUUGGAAAUCUUGAAAAUCAUUUUAAAGCAUAAUUUUUAGAAAUAAAUGAAUAAAAUGAUAAUAAUAAAUAAGUAACGGAAUAAAUGCGAGAAUUGGAACAUUGGAAACUGAAAAAAAUUAAGUUCGGAAAUUGAAAAAUUGGAAUUUCAAAUAACUAAAUUUGGAAAUCGAAAUUUUAAAGAAUUAUUUAAAGACGGAAUUUCAAAUAAAUGAAUAAGUGAUUAAAUAAAUUAAUGAAAUAAUAAUAAUGACGAAAUAAUAAAGAUUAGGUAAAUAAUUGCGAAAAAUAGAAUUUUAGAGAUUGAAGAUUGAAUUUAGAGAUUGAAAAUUUGAGAAAUUAUUUAGAGAUGAGAUUUUAAAUAUAUGAAUAAGUGAAUAAAUAAAUGAACAUGAUAAUAAUAAUAACGAAAAUAAUCAUUUAACAACUGAAUGUGAAUAGUGAAAUUUUUUAGAUUGGAAAUUAAAUUUGAAAAACGGAAUAUUGAAAAAUUGAACUUUAAUUAUUAGAAUUUCUAAAAUAAAUGAAUGGAAUAAUAAUAAUAAUAAUGAAAAUAAUAUUUAAAUGAAUGAAAGUGAAUAGUGGAAUUUUUUAGAUUGAAAAUUAAAUUUGAACGUCAGAUUUUUCAAGAAUUGGACUUUAGUGAUUGAAAUUUUUAAAAGAAAUAAAUAAAUAAAUAUGGAAUAACAAUAAUAAUUAACAAAAAUAAUAUUUAAACGGAUGAAAGUGAAUAGUGAAAUUUUUUAGAUUGAAAAUUAAAUUUGAAAGUUAGAUUUUUGAAGAAUUGAACUUUAAUGAUUGAAAUUUUUUAAAGAAAGAAAGAAAUAAAUAUGGAAUAAUAAUAAUAAUAAUGAAAAUAAUAUUUAAACGAAUGAACGUGAAUAGUGGAAUUUUUUAGAUUGAAAAUUAAAUUCGGAAGUCAGAUUUUUGAAGAAUUGAACUUUAAUGAUUUGAAUUUUUAAAAGAAAUAAAUAAAUAAAUAUGGAAUAAUAAUAAUAAUAACAAAAGUGAUGUUUAAACGAAUGAACGUGAAUAGUGGAAUUUUUUUAGAUUGAAAAUUAAAUUCGGAAGUCAGAUUUUUGAAAAAUUGAACUUUAAUGAUUGGAAUUUUUUUAAAGAAAUAAAUAAAUAAAUAUAGAAUAAUAAUAAUAAUUAACAAAAAUAAUAUUUAAAUGAAUGAAAGUGAAUAGUGGAAUUUUUUAGAUUGAAAAUUAAAUUUGAAAGUCAGAUUCUUGAAGAAUUGAACUUUAAUGAUUAGAAUUUUUUUAAAGAAAUAAGUAAAUAAAUAUGGAAUAAUAAUAAUGAUUAACAAAAACAAUGUUUAAAUGAAUGAACGUGAAUAGUGAAAUUUUUUUAGAUUGAAAAUUAAAUUCGAAAGUCAAAUUUUUGAAGAAUUGAACUUUAAUGAUUGGAAUUUUUUAAAGAAAUAAAUAAAUAAAUAUGGAAUAAUAAUAAUAAUUAACAAAAAUAAUAUUUAAAUGAAUGAAAGUGAAUAGUGGAAUUUUUGAGAUUGAAAAUUAAAUUUGAAAGUUAGAUUUUUAAAGAAUUGAACUUUAAUGAUUGGAAUUUUUUAAAUAAAUAAAUAAAUAAAUAAAUAAAUAUGGAAUAAUAAUAAUAAUUAACAAAAAUAAUAUUUAAAUGAAUGAAAGUGAAUAGUGAAAUUUUUGAGAUUGAAAAUUAAACUUGGACCUUGGAGAACUAGACCUAAAAUUAGAACCUUAGAAAAUUAUUUCAUGAAUGGAAACUUGGAAAACCGAUUUUUUUUUUUGUUUUUUUAAAAAGAAAACAAAGUUUAGGUAAAUUGAAUUUUCGAGAAUCAAAAUUUUAUAAAUCGAAUUUAAAAUUAAAUUUUAGAAAAUUAUUUCGAAAAUGAUAUUUUGUAUAAUUAAAUUUAAAAUCUUCAUAAAAAUCAUAUUUGUAUCAUUAGAAAAAGGACUUAAGAGGGCCAAAUACUUGGCCCAUUAGGGCCUACACUAAUCUGGCCUAAACUUAGAGGAUGGGGCUUAAGGCCCACCUGAACCAAUCUAGGCCCACAACUUAAAGCUUUGGGAGCCCACCAACAAAAUGGCUACCAUGAAGAUCAAAGGGUGCCACCUCCUCAUUUUUUAAAAGCUAGAGGGAUGGCUAAUGGGUAGCAGGUUAGCGGUGAAGAAUAGGGCCUGCAUGUCGAUGAUGGCUGUGAUGAAAUAGAGGAAUGGAGUGGGAGUUGCUGCCCAUGAACUACCGCGCGGGCAAGCGGACAAGAGCAUGGGUGCGGUGGAGGGCUUCGUCGUCUUCACCGCCAAGCGCCACUACCUUACCGCCACAAGUGCCGGAGGAGGUGAAACAGAAAGCGGAGAAGGGGACAACUGCUCCCCCGCCGACGCUAUCGUCCAUUUUAAUGACGACUCUUGGAGGCGAACCCAGCGGCACCUCUCUCGGCCAUUUUCACGAACCCUUCACGCUCUGCUCGGAGCUUCUUGAUGCUGCCUUUGAUGCGACUUUGGAGCUACGUCGGCGUGGCUGCGGGAGUGAGGAAGACUGCCACCUUAGGAUCUUUUGGAUCGAGCGGCCCAACCUUGGCUGUUAGGCGGUAGUUGUGUGGCUGUCCAUGAAGGAUGGGAACGUGGCAAUGGAGGAAAAUGGGUACAUAAAAAAAAAGGUGGGUAUGAAAGGUAGUGAAGGCAUGAAGGGUGUUUAACUUUGGAUUUGGGUCCAUGCGCGUGGAUAAAGUUGAUGGUGAGCAUAUGUUGGAGGGGGUUCUCGGUAGACAAGAGUCUAAGAUUUUCAUGGAAGUUUCAAAUGGAUCCUCAGGAACAGAGCAGGUUCCAAAGUCAUGCUAAAUUCAUUUUCUUGCUAUACCCGGUGGGUGAGGCGAACAACGAGCAUCCAUGCUAUUAAAUGAAUAUCAAAAUAAAUAAAAAAAUUUGAUACCUUACUCAUUUAUAAGAGAAAACGAAGAAGCGAAAAAGAAGAACAAAACAGAGCAAGUGAAGCGAGCUUAGGCUCAACAAGGUCCAAUCCUCAACAAGUGACGUUCAAGACCAGCAAUGGCAAAUGAGGAAGAAUAAAAAAUAAAAAUGAAAUGAAAUAAAAGAAAUCUGAAAGCAAAGGCAUCCAAUAUGGCCAUACCUGAGUUUCCCUAGUGAAGCUUUGUCUCGCUUCCUUUGACUGGUUUUUUUCUCCAGCUGCUUUCCCCCCUUCUGAAAAGUCCUUCGUUCGAGCUCACCCUUUUUUCUCUCUCCUCUCGUCUGGCUUCUCCUCCAAGCUAUUACCCACUCCCUUGUUCACCGAUCAGCAAGCAUGUCAUCUUCAACCACCACCAUGGCUAGCAAUGCUCCUUACCACCCAUCUAUGCAAUUGGUUCUCGGCAUAAGGAAGGGUUCCCCCACUCGUCUAAGGUGCUGCCCGCUCCUCCAGGUGGUGAGAAAGCAUCCUCCUAAUGCUAUAAAAUCCCUCAAAAAAACUAAUAGCCUUUAGUUUUUAAAAAGGGGUCUACACAUUUAUAAUUACUAAAUAAAUUAUUUUAAUAUACAAAUUAUUACUCUUUCUUUUUAAAUUGAUUAAUACUAAAAAAAAAUAUAUCUCUUAAUGUUGAAAUUUUUAUUGAAAUUUAAUUUUUUUUUUUAUUUUAUUCCUUUUACAAUGAAAUUUUAAAUUAAAUAUUAAUAUUUUUAAUUUUAAAAUUUAUAUAAUAAAAUUAAUUUAAAAAUUAAAAUAAAAUAUUUAGUAGUAUUUGGGCUUUGUAGUAUUGAAACUUUGGUAUAAGAAAUUUGAAAAUACUUCUAUAAUUAUUAAAAAAAAUUAGUAGAAUAAGAUAGUCCUUUCAACAUAAUUGAGACAUUAAAUUUUAAGCACUCUAAAAUUAUAAUCUUUACAAAUAAUAAAGAAGUUUUUGCAUCGAGACCAACUGAAUAUGAUUUGUAUGUUCUUAAUUUUCAUUUUCUUAUCUUUUAUCUUCCUAUACCUACAAGCCUAUUUAGAGAAAGACCUUUUAUUGAAAAAUGAGAGUUCAGAGUUAUUUCCCUUUGAAAAUAGAGUGGAUCGGAAGGUCUUUAUUAAAUAUAGGGUUUCUUCUAAAACGAGAUGAAGUAAAUUAGCAACUCUGAACAAUCUGAAGGAAAAGGAAUUUGAGUUAAGUUGAUGGGGCGUGCGACACUUUAUUAGGACUUUAAGAGAUAUUUUCUCUUUCACGCUAUCCUUUGAAAUUGAGUUGUGUCCGUUUUCAACUUAAUUUUUUGCUCUCUGUUUUUCUAAUGAAAAUAUAUCUUUUGUUGGGAGAAAAUAUUUUGUUGAAUAUAUAUAUUCAAAUGGAAGGUAAGCAAAAAAAAAUGAUAAAAAAUGGGUGUGAUGAAAUUUCAAAUUAUUGAUCAUCAUAUGUAUUUAACCUAAAUCUUAAAAAAGUGAAUGAAAUUAACUCGUUAAAUUUGUUCAAUACCACUUUUUAUAAAUAAUUUUUUAAUCAUGUAGCAUUCAAAACAAAAAACAUAUAAUUAACGAUAACAUGAAAUUAUUAAAAUAUUUAAAAUUAAAUAAUAUAAAGAAACAAUAAAAUGGUUCAUUUAUAUUGUUAGAACCAUUGUUUUAAAAACUGGUCACUCCGAUCGGUCGGAUGGUCCAUCAAUGCCCUUUCCAGUCUGAUCUAGGGAAAUGGACAGAGACAACUGACAAUCAGACCAUCGACCAUUCUUCAUGGACCAGUCAAGGUCAAAACCUAAAUGGCCUUGCCCAAAUCCAUUAAUUCCUAACCCGUUUGCUUGUUCCCAAGGUUAACUGACAUACCAUCGACCAUUCUUCAUGGACCGGUCAAGGUCAAAACCUAAAUGGGCUUUGCCCAAAUCCAUUCAUUCCCAACCUAUGUGCUUGUUCCCAAGGUUUGUAAGUAUAAAUACCCAUCUAUUGGCCCAAAUUCAUUAUUUCAAGCCCAUUUGCUUGUUCUCAAGUUCUACAGGUAUAAAUACCCUAUAAGUGGUUUAUAGAUUUCCAAUGUGGGAUGAGUUUUGAUAAUAAUGAAAGGAGCUUUGCAUGGUGGGGAAUUGAACCUAGGACUUAUUUUUAACAAAAUGUUAGCACACCACUAUGUUACAAAGCUAUUUGAUUAAUAAUUUGAUAAAUAUCUAUAUAUCUGUUUUUUAAUUUCUAUCAUAUAAAACAUUUAAACAAAUAUAAAUAUUUAUAUCUACUAUUAUUUUUAUAAUAAUUAUACAUAUCCUAUUUAAUAAAAUUUAAUAUAUUAAUACAUUUAUAUUUAUAUUUAUCAUUUAAUUUGACAAAUUGAACAUAAAAAAUAAAAUAUUAUUAAAAUUUUUAAUAAAAUAUAUUUUAAUUUAUUUUAAUUUUAUUAAAAUAUAAAUUAUAUAUUUAUAAUGUCAUCGAUUUGAUCGCGGUUUGACCACUGGUUCAACUAGUGAACCAUGAACUGGUAACUUUUUCGGUUCAAUAUUCGAUCCAAUUUUGAAAACAUUAGUUAAAACUUUUUUAUUUAUAGAAAAUGGUAAUAUGCUUUAAAGUUGUAGGAUGUUAAAAGCCCAAAUACAUGCCUACAUAUUUUCUUAUUUAUCUCCUAGUAUUUUUACCAAGUGAUAGAUAUAUUGGUGGCCAAGCAUUAUCAUCAUCAUUAUUUAUCUCCUAACAUCUUUAUGAAGUGAUAGGUGUAGGAAGAGUGUAAAUAAUUUUUAUUUUUAUUUUAUUUUAUUCUAUUAGUUUUAUAUUUUUUGGGAAGAGUCCUAUUGGGAAUUAUUUUUAUUUUAUUUUAUUCUAUUAGUCUUAUAUUUUUGGGAAGAGUCCUAUUGGGAUUGUGCUAGUGGAGUCCCAUUCCUUUUAUAAGUAGAAUCCUCUUCCACUUUGAGUUAUCUUUUGAUUACAAGCAGAUUCCCAUUAGGAUUGUGUUAAUGACCUAUAAAAGCAGGUCACCUUUUGCUCUCUAUAUGCCAAUACCAAUUUUUCAAAGAAUUUUUCAGAGCGUUUUUCAACCAUCUAUUUGGAUGAAUUUUUUCAAAAACCCGAACUGUAUACAUCUCACUUACAGAAUGCACCCAAGGCGACAUCUAGGUGUUGAAUCCCGGAGAUAGACCAUUGGUACCCUAGUGUACCGAAUUUGUCUUCGAGUAGGAUGAAUCUAUUUCAAGGACAGUGUUUGUCAUGCCUCAUUCGAUAAGUUUUUCUUCUUAUUAAUUAUGUUCUUUGUUUGUGUCUUUUGGGCUAGUCAUUUGUUUCCAUACCCUUAAUCCAACAAUCUUGAAAUAUAUCCAAAUGUAAGCUUCUCUAGUUCACACCCAUCCUAACACCUCUAAAAUUGAUCCCUUCAAUGGGACAUUCUUUAAGAGAUGGCAGGAAAAGGUUUUCUCUACAAUUGAUGUAGUGAACUUAGGACACAUUUUGACUGACCGAAUACCAAAAGAUAGUUCUCAUUUGUUACCAACCUGGGAAAUUGGAAAUAAACAAGUUAGGCAUGCUAUUCUAAGUACCCUUUCUAAUGAACUUUUUGAUAUUUAUUGUCAAUUUAAAGUUGUAAAAGAAAUUUGGGAUGCAAUGAAUAAAAAAUAUAGUUUGGAAGAUACAGGAACUCAAAAAUAUGCCAUAGAGAAUUUUAAAAAUUUCCAAAUGACUGAGGAUAGAGAUGUAUCAUCUCAAAUCCAUGACUACCACUUGUUGAUUAAUGACUUAGCUAUUGAAGACAUUAAAUUACCCGAACCUUUUGUAGCUGGUUAUUUAGUAGAGACUUUUCCAGAGUCUUGGAAAGACUACAAAAAUAACAUGAAACAUAAAAGGAAACAAAUGUCCCUAGAGGAUGUCAUAAUCUAUAUUAAGAUUGAGGAACAAAACCGAAAUAGGGAUAAUGCUGAGAAAGUUAAGGACUUGUCUUCUAAGGCUAAUGUAGUAGAAGAAAAACCUAAACCCAAAAACAAUAGGUCCAGGAAACAAAACUCUAGGAACAAACCCAAUGCAUCAAACAAGAUCCAAAACCCAAUUAUUAAAAAGAAAAAGAAAAAGUAAGGAUCUUGUUUGACUCUAAUAAAAUAGUUUUAACCAAGAAUGAUGCAUUUGUGGGGAAGGGCUAUUGUAAUAAGGGUUUAUUUAUGUUGAAUGUUUAUGAUAUUAUCAAUAAUAAUGCAUCUUCUUCUUUUUCUGCUUACAUAGUUGAUUCUUGUGAUAUUUGGCAUGGUAGACUAGGACAUGUGAACUUUUCAUAUAUGAAGAAAAUGGUUGAAUUGAGUUUAAUCCCUAAAUUGUCCUUAGAAAACCAUGGAAAAUGUGAAUCUUGUGUAGAAUCUAAAACCACAAAGAAAUCUUGCAAAUCAGUUGAAAGAGAAUCAAAUGUACUAAGUUUAAUACACAGUGACUUAGGAGACCUAAAAAAUACAAUGACUAGAGGUGGUAAACGAUUCUACAUAACUUUCAUAGAUGACUACUCAAGGUAUACAAGGGUAUAUCUUUUGAGAAACAAAGAUGAAGCAAGAUAUGCUUUCAUCAAGUACAAAAAUGAAGUGGAAAAUCAACUAAGUAAGAAAAUUAAAAGACUUAGAACUGAUAGGGGAAGAUAGUAUGAGUCCAACCUCUUUAAUUCUUUUUGUGAAGAUCAUGAGAUCAUUCACAAAAAUACUCCUCCUUAUUCUCUUGAGUCUAAUGGAGUAGCAGAAAGGAAAAAUAAGACCUUAAAAGAAAUUAUGAAUGCAAUGUUGGUAAGUUCAGGAGCACCCUUGAACUUAGGGGGGAAGCUAUCCUAUCUGCAUGUCAUAUUCAAAAUAGAAUACCUUAUAAGAAAACUGGAAAAACUCCUUAUGAGUUGUGGAAGGGUUAUGCACCUAAUAUAGCAUACCUGAAAGUGUGGGGGUGUUUAGCUAAAGUUCUUUUCCCUGAACCUAAAAAAUGAAAACUAGGUCUUAAAACCUUUGAUGCAAUGUUCAUUAGCUAUGCUGAGAAUAGUGCGACAUAUAAGUUUCUUGUUACUAAGUCAGAAAACAGUCUUGUAGAUGUCAAUACUAUUAUGGAAACAAAGAAUGCAGAUUUCUUUGAAAACAUCUUUCCUAUGAAACUAAAUGGUGAACAACAAGUUUAGAAAACAAGUAGAGACAAGUCUAUUGAACCUUCUGAAUUUGAACCUAGAAGGAGUAAAAGUGAUAGGAAAGAAACAAACCUUGGAGAUGGUUUCUACACCUUCCUAAUAGAUGAGGACCUUAAUCCUACAAAGAAGCUAUAACUUUUCCUAAUGCGCCAUUUUGGAAAGAGGCCAUUAACAGUGAAAUCGAAUCAAUCAUGUAUAACCAUACGGGGAGUUAGUAGAUUUACCUCCUGGUACAAAGACUAUUGGUUGUAAGUGGAUCUUUAAAAGAAAGUUAAAAUAAGAUGGGUCCAUAGAGAAGUAUAAAGCUCAUUUAGUUGCCAAAGGCUUUAAACAAAGGAAAGAUGUAGAUUACUUUGACAACUUUGCCCUUGUGAAUACAAUAGCAUCAAGUAGAGUAUUGAUCACUCUAGCUUCCAUUCAUAAUUUGGUUAUACACCAAAUGGAUGUUAAGAUUGCAUUCUUGAAUGGGGAUUUGGAAGUGGAAAUUUAUAUGGAACAACUUGAGGGUCGUGUAGUUCCAGCGAAGGAGAAAAAGGUGUGUAAGUUGGUUAAAUCACUAUAUGGGUUAAAACAAGCUCCCAAACAGUGGCACAACAAGUUUGAUCAUGUGUUAGUAACUAAUGGAUAUUCCAUUAAUGAUGCUUAUAAGUGUAUCUACAGUAAGUAUGAGGAUAACACAUGUGUAGUCAUCUGCCUUUAUGUUGAUGACAUGCUGAUCUUUGGAACUAGCCUAGAGGUUGUGUGUGAGACCAAGAAAUUCCUAGGUCCUAAGUUUGAUAUGAAAGACCUAGGAGAGGCAGAGGUGAUUUUAGGAAUUAAAAUAACUAGAACACCUAAUGAGCUUAAACUUUCUCAAGAGCACUAUGUAGAAAAGAUCCUAAGGAAGUUUGAACGCUUUGAUUGUAAACUAGUGUCAACUCCUUAUGAUCCCAGCUCACUACUGAAGAAAAAUAAAGAACAUAGUGUUGCCCAAAUAGAGCAUGCUCAGAUCAUAGGGGACCUAAUGUACUUGAUGAACUGUACUAGACCUAACAUUGCUUAUGCAAUAGGUAGAUUGAGUCGAUACACCCAAAGUCCUAAUCAGGACCAUUGGACUAUUGUUCGUAGAGUCCUUAAGUAUUUGAGAGGCACCAUUAGUGAUUUAGUGGAUUUCCAAGUGUCCUUGAAGGAUUUAGUGAUGCAAAUUAGAUCUCGGAUUCAGAUGUGAUGAAAUCCACUAGUGGAUAUGUUUUCAUAUUUGGUGGAAGUAUAGUUUCUUGGAAGUUUACCAAGCAAACUUGCAUUACUCGGUAUACUAUGGAGGUUAAGUUAAUUGCCUUAGAAAAGACAAGUUUUGAGGCUGAGUGGCUUGAAAACCUCUUAGCAGAUAUCCCUUUAUGGACGAGACAAACCUCGCCUGUGUCUAUGCGUUGUGAUAGCCAAGCUACAAUUGCUAAGGCUAAGAGUAAAAUAUUUAAUGGGAAGAAUAGGCAUAUAUGGCUAAGGCACAAUAUUGUGCGGUAGCUUCUUGAAACGAAUUUGUGAGGUCAGAGUUGAAUUUGGUCGAUCCUUUGACCAAACCACUAAAUAAGAAACUAGUGGAAGAAACAUUGAGGGGGAUGGGGCUUAUGCCUAUUACAGAAGUUAAGAGUGGUGGUAACCCAACCUAUUAGAAUGGAAAUUCCAUGAAGUAGGUUCAUAUGGGUAAUAACAAAUCACUUGUUGACUUGAGGUGCUAUAUCAACUCUAAUUGUAUGAGGGUCUAUCCCUAUGGUGUAGAUAGAGCGUAUUUUGCAUUGAUUAAGGUUGAGUGUUUACUCUUAAUGAAUACCAUAUUCCUUAUGGAUGGUAUGUUUAAAUGCAUAACAUACUUGAUGGAUUCACCUAUAUGAGAGUGGAGCCGGGGCCGCUUCCUAUGAGAACUUAGGUAGUUUCUCUAGAACUCUCAUGAAUAUCCAGGUAGGGCGCAUGGCCUAUUUGUGCCAACCCAUUUUGUACAACUCGUAGUGUAAUUGAGAAAACCAAUGUGGAUAAAAGUUCAUUGAGUUACAUCAAGAAACACUGGUUCAUAGAAAUUUAUUUUCACCCUGUUUUGUGAUUCAAUACCUAUUUGUCUUAAGACUAGUUCAUAGCCUUUGGGUACCAGUACUAAUGCAUUGGAUUUUUUUUCCUCAAAAAAUAAAUAAAUAAAUAAAUAAUCACGUUUACACUUUGUGGGGGAUUGUAGGAAAAGUGUAAAUAAUUUUUAUUUUUAUUUUAUUUUAUUCUAUUAGUCUUAUAUUUUUGGGAAGAGUCCUAUUGGGAUUGUACUAGUGGAGUCCCAUUCCUUUUAUAAGUAGAAUCCCCUUCCACUCUGAGUCAUGCUCUGAUUACAAGUAGAUUCCCAUUGGGACUAUGUUAGUGGCCUAUAAAAGCAGGUCACCCCUCGCUCUCUAUAUACCAAUACCAAUUUUUUAGAGAAUUUUUUUAGAGAGUUUUUCAAAUAUUCUUUUCAUACAUCUAUCUAGACGAAUUUUUUCAAAAACCCGAGCUGUACACAUCUCGCUUACAAAGUGCACCCAAGGCAAGAGCUGGGUGUUGAAUCCUGGAGGUAGACCACUGGUACCUUAGUGCACCGAAUUUGUCUUCGAGGAGGGUGGAUCUAUUUCAAAGACAAUGUUUGCCACACCUCAACCGACAAGGCGGCACAACGUGCACAACCAUUUUUUGAUUUUUCUUUGGGAAUUUUGCUUUGUUUAGGAACUUUGCUAAAAUGGGCACUUGACCUUGAUGAACAUUUUUCCUAGAUGGACACUCGGCCUUGGUGGGCAUUUUACCUAGAUGGGUGCUUGGCCUUGAUGGACAUUUUGCCUGGAUAGGCACUUGUUCUUGAUAGGUAUUUGCUUAGAUGGGCAUGUCACCUUGUUGGGCACUUGGCCUUGAUAGACAUAUCAUCUAGAUGGGCAUUUUGCCUUGAUGGGCACUUGGCUUUUAUGAGCAUUUUGCCUAGAUGGGUAUUUUACCUUCUUUGAUCUUUCAUAGGUUGGAACUCUAUAGGUGGUGGGGUUGUGUUUUGGGUUGUAUUUUCCAGGCACACAUGUGUAGGGGUAGGGAAAUGCUGCAUUUCCUCCUGGUUUUAGCUCUAGAUGUGCUUAUUGCCAUGCACACAUGUAAGUAUUGUUCUGCUUCUUCUUCUUGUGUUUAAGGGUAAGUUGAGUUUUUUUUCGUACUCUUACAUUUUCUCUCCAUCUUUCUUUGUCUUUAUUUUGUUGUGCAGAUGAAGUGUGGCAUCAAGGAUUUUAGUAGGCGGAAAGGUGAGCUUCACUACCACGUUGCUGAAACUGACCAACUGAGGUAAGUCAGGUACUUUUUUUGCAGCUAAAGCUUUUGGUUGGGUGCUUUCUUGGCACUUGACGAUUUGACCGAGUGCUUCUUGGAACCUAAGGCUAUGGUCGGGUGCUGUUCGGCACCUAAGACUUUUUGGUUGAGUGCUUUUUUGGCACUUAAGGCUUUGUUGGGCUCUAUGCUUGGCUGGGUACUACUUAGGCACCCUAGGCUUUGUUGGGCACUAGGCCCAACUGGAUGCCACUUAGGCACCUUAGGCUUUAUUGGGCUUUAAGCCUGGUUAGGUGCUACUUGGGCACCGUAGGCUUUGUUGAGUGCUAGGCCUAGCUAAGUGCUACUUGGGCACCCUAGGCUUUAUUGGGCUUUAAGGUUGGUCAGGUGCUACUUGGGAACCUUAGGCUUUGUUGUGCUCUAGGCCCAACUAGGUGCCACUUUGACACCUUAGGCUUUAUUGGGCUCUAAGCCUGGUUAAGUGCGACUUGGGCACCUUAGGCUUUAUUGGGCACCCUAGGCUUUAUUGGGCUCUAAGCUUGGUCGGGUGAUAUUGGGCACCUUAGGCUUUAUUGGGCUUUGGACUUAGCCAGGUGCUACUUAGGCACCUUAGGCUUUGUUGGGCUCUAGGUCUGGUCGGGUGCUACUUGGGCACCCUAGGCUUUAUUGGGCUUUAGCCUUGGCUGGGUGCUACUUGUGCACCUUUGACUUUGUUAUGCUCUGGCCCUGAUCAGGUGCUACUUGGGCACUUUAGGCUUUGUUAAGCUCUAGGCUUGGCCGGGUGCUACUUAGACACCUUAGGCUUUUAAAGUCUAAUGCUUCUUUAUACCUAAGGUUUUUUUUUUUUUUUUUUUUUUUUUUUUUUUUUUUUUUUUGCGGUCAUGCGAUGCGUAACAUAUUUGAUUUGAAAAAUACAACAGUUGACGAUAUUGCUUCCCCAUUUGGGGAUCUUUGCUUUUAGAUGGAUUAGGCCAUUUGGUAAGAGUAGGAAGUUCUUCUUUGGUAGAUCCACCAGCGCCUCUUUGUCCACUGAUAGUGUCUAGGCAGUUGCAUUGAGUCAGGCCACCAAGAUCUAGUUCUCCCUUUUGAUUCGGUUAACAAGUCUUCUCAGUUUGUCCAACUACCUUCGAUACUUGUUAGCUACGGUUCAGUUGUUUGUUGUGGCCACUCAUAAGUUGUUGGGAUGACACUCUCACCAUCAACAUAGUUAGCUGCCAAUGUAGUCACCAUGGUUGGCUUUUGUUUCAUUCCCAUAGAUGAUGCCAAUUGUUGGUGCACAAUCUUUCUAGAUGUGAUGAUUUGGUGACUAUCCGGGUCGCUAUCCAAUCUUCUAUUGUCACCUCCUCUAUUGGUGGGUGUCUUGGUUCUCUAGGAAAAUGAUAUUUUUUUUCCUUGUUCUUCUUUCUCCUUUAUAGGUUAGAGUUAGACGUUGGAGGUUGUGUGGAGUACACGAUUAGCUUGGCAGGUUUGUGUUAGGCAGUGUGUGGUCGACUAUCCCUAACGCUUCAUGUUGAUGUGACAAGAUGAUGUUUUCCUUAGAGAUUUGUUCCUCAUACAUGUCUUGUUGUUGCCUUUGGUAUUCAUGCCACAUGAUCCAUGUUGGCAGCCUAAAAACUUCUUCCCAGUGACCAAUUUUUUAGUUCUUCUAGGAUCAGUUGGAGUGGGCUCUCGGAUCACUAUAGGUUUAAAUAGAGUCGGGAUGACUUCUCGAUCGGGAGACAAUAUUCAGCCGAUACAACAUCCGGGUACCCCUUCUUGGCAAAAUUCGGCACCCUCAGGAGGCAGCUUUUAUAGCGAAAUCUGCCACCCCCGACCCGAGUAAGCAGGUAGACCCACAGGUUGGCUGGCUUCUAUGGUUUGUACCUCCAAUUAUAAUGGAAGUAUAAAUUUUAAAAAGAUUCAGUGAUUGUAGGAUUCAAUUCUAAUGCUCUUAUAGUAGCCAAGGGUCCUCGGACUCAUGGUAGCACACAGACAUGUCCUCUUCUAUCUAUGCAAAUAGUCAUGCAAAAUACAAAUAUUCCCUCAUACAUUCUUAUAGUUUUACAUGUAUAUGAAUUUAAUUAUUUUAUGUUCUGACUAGUGAGUAGAAAGUGAGUUAAGGUCUCCGACAACAAGGUCUCCAAGCAACCAUAUUUCCCCAUUUUAACCUCGCUACUGCCAUUGAUGCGGUAGUAGAGUAUAACUGGCACAUAUAGAUAUGCCAGAAGAGCAAUCGAGAGCAGAUAGCUUCAAAUUCUGAAUGUGAGGUUCAGUUGGAGACUGGUUUUAUUAGCCUUUUAGAUAUGAUUUGAACCUCUAUUUUAGACAAGAACUUGGAGCUUCUGAAUAUAUGUAGUACAACUCCUUUGGUCAUGUAUAUAUGUGCAUAUUGCGUUGAGAUAGACAACAUACAAUCACUUGGCAACACAAUAUUAAAACUUUCAGAAUAUCACAAAAUUUGAUUGAUGUCAAAGACUCAUUCUGGACAUUUAGGAUAGGAGGUUACAAUAAAGCCAUUAACUGUACACAUAAGUUCAUUUGCAAGAAUUGGGAACCAAUUUAGAAGGUCAAGUAUAUUCGCUGUCAACAAGAAUGACGCCCUCCGAUUUAAGAUCUCUACUGAGGAGGAACCCAGUUUGAUCAAGAUUCUAGGAUCAAACAACAGAGUCAAAGUCAAAUCAAGAGCAACGUUCCAACUUGUCAUGAAGACCAAGAAUAGUAAUUGCUUUUGAGCAAGCAGUGAAAUUAUUUGCAAUCAGACAAUCAUCUUCUUCUUCAAGAAAUGCUGUAAUGAAAUUCUUACCAGUUGUGUCUGAUUCUUCGAAACAUGAAGUUAGCAAACAGAUUGUUCAUAUAUAAUGUCAGUUGGCAUAAAUGUAGUGUUCAAUCACCAAGCCACAAAGAUGAUACAACAGAACAGUUGCAGCAGGAAAACUUGGUUGUUUAUUCAAAAUCAAGUAAAUCUCUAGGUCCCUCAUACCACGAUUGCUCCCAAUAUUUAGGUCUUGGCGUAGACAAUUCCUUUCGUGUCUAUGUGGACAGAACAAUGCUUGGUGUUCUAGUUGUUGUCUUUCACCAUGGUCUAUAGAAAAAAUGUCCAGAAAAACAACUAAUGAUCAGUAGAAGUGUAAAAGGGAAGAAAGAAAACUACUGAUAGAUUGGAUCAUGACAGAUAUUUAUUUUUCCUAAAAGAAUGUAAAUGUAUGGUUGCUCUUUGAGUACAGCUCUCUACAGCACAAAAAUAAGGCAAUCAAAUGAAACAAACCAAGAAAACAACAAUAUUAAAAGAGUUAUGAAAUAUCACCAGAUGAGAUCCAACAGUAAAUUAAGAAACUUUAUAUAAUCUUGUUUACCUUAGGGCCAUGUCUGGAGGAGUUCCAAUUGUAGGCCUAGGGCCAAUGUUGAUAGGCACAUGCCCAGAUCUUAGACACCCUCAAGAUGAACAGUAGCAGCUACUCUAGGCGCUCCUACUGCACAGGCAAAAAACAAGUUAGUCAAUGUUUCUUGGCUAUUGGCUUUGGCUUGGACCUUGGUGGUUAUGUCAAUUUUAGAUAAAUAUGUUAAUAAUCCAAUGACUAUACUCCAAGAUUGAUGAUAUAUAUGCAAUAUAUCAAUUUGGAAAUGUCGAUAUAAACAUUUAAGGAAUUUAAAUUAGUCAAUUUUCAACAAUCUAGCAUUCAAAAGUGUACAAAAUGGUUAUAACUUGAAAGUUUGAAUAUAAACUGAGGUACAAUAUUCCUAUAGGCUCAAGUCUCCCUAGAACAAGGCAUCACAUCACAUAUUUAUGUGGCCUUAUGUUUGAGGUAAGCACCUUAUCUAUUGGCGAGUUCAUCAAUAAUAAGCUUUUUGCAAGAAAUUGGAGACCUAAAAUUACUCUAAUACUUCUUUUAUUGAACAUUAAAUUUUCUUAAAAGUGUUAUCGAUUAUCAAACAUUUAUAUCAAUGGUGGAAACUAGUUUGCUACCAAAGUGAAGGUCAAAGUCCUAAUUAUCAUUUCACUAAACAAUGUAAUAUAGUAUUAUACAAUUAUUGCUUUUAAAAGAAAAUUUACAAGCUAACUAGCGAAAUUUAUGAUUAUACCUUUUUCCGACUUCACUCACGCCAUUGAGCUUUAUAAUUUGAUGAAACAAGCCUAAAUCAAAAUUAUACAAAAAAAAAUAAAGAAUUGGAGAAAACAAACUUGUAAGCACUAAAUUUUGUACUUUAAAAGAGGAAAUAGGAUGCCAAUUGUAGGUUUAAUUUAAAGAAACCUUAAAAAAAUAUUUUUAAAAUUAUAGGAAAACCCCCAUACCUUAGAAAAGAUUGGGGCGAACAGUCUACCUUUUGGCGAUGUUCACAUCUUGAGAGGAAUGACUUCUUUCUUAGUAGAUCUGAUGAUGGUGUUGAUCUUUGGGAAGAGAUGAUUAGAAGGCUACGUUGAAUUUUAGUGAGUGAGAGAGAAAGCAACACCCAAAACCCUAAAGCAAAAAAGGAAUUAAUAACUUAAAUAGAUUCCAUUUUUUCCUUAUGACAUGUCUACCUUAGUAAGGUUUUUAUGGCAGUGAUACCAUUUGGAUAAUUAAGUCAUUGAUUUUGAUGGAUCUUUUCCAUUUGAAUUUUUAAUAUAUAAACUUAAUCUUUUUACUUGGGGUAAUAUAUUUGGUAUUUUAGGAUUUCCUUUUUAAUAAUAUGCUUUUAGUAGAUGGUUUAACUAUGUCCUAGUGUAAUAAGUAGUCUUGCAUUACAUUAUCUACUAUGGAGUAGGAGUGUGUUGCUUGUUCAAGGGAUGUAUGGGAAGUUGUUUAUUUGAUGAUAUACUUUCAACACUUAGAGUCACGACUUGAGCUAAUAAGUUUAUCAAGAUCUAAGCAUUGAUGGUGUUGCUACUCUAUUGUAUAGCAAGGAUCCAAUUAGUCACAUUGUAGGACAAAACACUUAUAGACAAUUGAUUCUACUACAUUCAAGAUAUUGUUGCUUAAGGGGAGGUAGAGUCAAAACAAGUAGACAAUUGAUACAACUACACACACAACAUAGAGACAAAACACAUGAAUAAUACUAUGGUUGAAUAAAUUAAUUGGAUGACAUCAAGCUAACAUUGAUCUAGUAUAAUUAUUUGGAGCCUAAAUGAGGGUAUGAUGAGAUGAUAAUUAUUUUGUCAUCAACAUAGUGAACAACAUAAAUUAAAAUCUUGAAAUGUCACCUUAGCCAACCUAGUAGAAAUGAUUCAUCAAAAUAUUUGAAUGUGAGAUCUUAAAUUGGUGUUUGACAAAUAAAUAUGGUAAUAAACAUAUAUUAAGUAUAUAUGAAGUGACCAAGCUGAGAUUUGUAUCAUGUUAUUAUAGGGAAUCCCGAAUCUCUUUGUUCCUUAUCCUAUGAUUAGGCUAGGUACAUGCGAAUCUUUCUAAGUUUUUCUAAAUCGUAUGAACAAUGGAAAAAUUGUGUUUUAAAAUAAUAACAAGAUUUAGAAUUUGCAUUAGAAAACAUUACCUUAGAUUUGGAUGUUCCCAAAUCUAAUUCACGUAGUAAAGGAGAAGAUUGAAGUUUUCAGAGGUCUUGAACACCCAAGAUCUUCCACCAGAUGACUUUUCCUUGAUUUUAGAUCUUAAUUGGUGAAGAGGAAGGAAGACUAAAAAGGCUAUGGUUCUCUCUCUCUUUGAAUAGUGAAAAAUGGCUCACUUCAAAAAAGUAAUGAAAACCUUAUUAUUUAAGGGGUAUUUAUUGGGUUCCCUAAUUGGGUGUAAGUGACUUAAGCGUACUAAAGGUUUGAAUCAUUUAAUUUAGCUCAAAAUGAGUCUUAAUUGAUUAAUUAACCUAACAUAGUUAUCUAAUUAAUUAAUUAGCUAAAUUUGGAGACUUUGUUCACUUACCCCUAUGCAACCUUGCAUAAUUACCAAAACACCCUUAUACGUAAAAGUGAACCAAGAGUUGUGUCAUCAAGGUAUAUGAGCUUAGGUGGAGACCAUUGAGACUUAUAGGACAGUACUAGCUACCCCAAAAUCUAAUUUUGAAGUUGAUUUAACAUUUCACUAUAGAGAAUCAAUUGCACUAUAAUACCUUAUGUAAAUAACAAUGAGAUGCUAAGUGGUCGAGCCCAUGACUUAUUAUCCAUUGCAUUCAGUCUCCCUAUGAACUGGUGUUUGUAGUCUAAUAAGGUGAAAACUAUCAACCUUUCAAGACUACCUCUACUAUCUUUGAAUUACAAAUCCUCUUAUUAUGUAUUUAAUUGAUAUAUCUUAAGUCUCCAAGAGUCUAUGUCAAGUUCCAUUUAAGAAACUACUAUGACCAUAGUUUACAUGAACAUACCUCCUUAGGAUCACUUAAGGGGACACUCUGUCUCAAUCCUCUUAGAUUUCAUGGUACUUCUGUUACAAAUACUCAUUGUCAUAGACUUGGAUCAAUAGUGAACCAAUCCAUAAGGAACAUAUCUUACGAUUUCAUUAGUAGGUCAAAGUCACUACUAACUUUAACACAAAUUCUAUAUUCUCUCAAGGUUAAGAGAUAAAACAAUGAAGCAACUUGGUGAAAUCAUGACUAUUUAAUAGCUUUAUGUCAUGAUUCACCAUAAGUCUUGUCUAAUGUGUAACCAUAUGCACUAGUAUACUCACCAUGGAAAACCCAUCCUGAUAACCAAGACCAACCAUUCCUCUAAAUAUGAAGUAGCAUACUAUAACCUCUAAUGGGUUACCUAGGCCUAUGAAUCGGUUGUGAACAAGUCAUUUACUUACAAUGAAUCCAUUUCUUAAAUUUUUUUUGCAACUCUUAAUGCACUCAAGUCCUGUACAAUACAAGAUAUAUAUAUUAAAAUGCUUACAAGGUAUAAUGUAUAGGAUUAGGAUAAAUAAAAGUGAACUAAAAGUUUAUUAAUAAAUAAUAAAAUUUUAAAUUUAUUACAUCGUGUCAUGCUUUUAUGAAACCUUUAAAAUACUAAGAGCAACCUUUCAUAAUCAUGAAUUAAACUUUAGUUUCAACUUCUAUCAAAGGCUAAAUGAGAAAAGCUAUCAUAGAGGAGGCCUCAGCCAAUGGGUAAGAUGCACUGUUAUACCAAACAAUAAGUGGAAAAUACAAUUUUAUUAAUACUUGAGAAAAAAAAAAAGAAAGAAAUAAAAGGAAGAUUUUACACUCAAACCAAGCAUUUAUUUAUAAUGAAGUGCAGUCUCCGUACGCACAUGUGGACUUAUUGGAAAAUCAUACAAAUUAUUGAAGGACGACCUUAGCUAGGCUAACAGUCUCCUAAAUAGGCUAUCUUUUAUAUAUCUUUGCAUUCAUCCAUCUCCUCAUUGUCUUUGAUUUUAGAUGGUGAGGAUGUGAAAGUAACAGGAAGCAGUGGACAAUUGUUCACAGUGAGGCUUAGCACAUCAGCUCUCGAAUAAUGUCCUACCACAUCGAACUGGAACUUUGCUUUAGGAAUCUCUCCACGAACAUCUACAUAUCAAGUGAUCACAAAAAUAUUUCAUCGGUCCAUGAUAAAUAUCAUAGAAUAUCAAGUCUUCGAUAAAACUAAGUUUGCAGUCCUCUUAAACCUAAAGAAUCAACUCAUUUGCCUUAUCUGCAUACUGAAAUAUUUGGAUAUAUAAUUGGAGAAGUUAGGGCCAUACCAAGAUCAGCUGUGAAGAGGCCUUCUCCUUCAUAAUUCGGUCCUGCUAGAAUUUCGCCAUGGGGCGAAAUGAUGACACUACCUCCAGCCCAAACAAUAGAAUCUGGAGUGACAUCUUCUUCUGUAGGACUGUAAAGAUACUCAGGUGGAGGUGGGUAAUCUUUCCUCCGACAGAACUGGAUGGGUGAAAGAACAUAGCAUCCACCCUCAAUAGCGACGUGUCUCAUUGUAGCUACCCAUGUAUCCCCGGAAUCGGCAGUAGGAGCACAAUAUAUCUCAAUACCUAUAGAGAUGUACAUUCGUAUUUUGUGAUCAAUCAAUCCCAUAUCAAAGCCAUAAUGUAUUUCAAGCCUAUUUAUAGGCUAAAACCCUAACAACUUAAAAAAGAGUACUGAAGUAUUUCAAGCCAAACCAUAUUAGUUAGUGAAGAAAAAGACAUACCUUUGCCAUACAUUGAUGUCCUGAAAAGCGGCAUUCUAUUUUCCCAACAAAUGACCGAACCAAGUUUUCCAUAUGGAGUAUCAUAAACUGGAGUAGUCGAGCAAUCUCCGAAACCCCAGAACAGCCGCUCCCAAUAUGUUGGCAUGAGUUUCCUAUGUUUUCCAAGGUAAUUACCUUCAGGAUCAAAGAAGAGAACAGUGCAAUACAAUGUGUAUCCAUCUCUCUCAACAACACCUGUCACUAAGUAGACUUUGUAUUUCGCAGCCAUUGAUGCCAAUCUAUCCACUUCAGGUCCUGAAAAUACAUUAAUAUGAGAUCAAAGAUGAAAUAUGUAAGCUGAUGGCUCAUCACAAAGCAUAAGUAGAUUUUUUUUUUCUUGGUUCAUUCAUCAAACGUGUCUUGUUUCAAUAACUAAUUAAGUGGUUCAGUUCUUUGGCUAUUUAAGGGAGAAAGAGAGAGGUAACUGACCCGGCACAUUAAUGGCAGAAGCAUGGUACUUGCGGAAACUUUCUUUCCCUCUUGGCGACUGGUCGGCGAAAUUGUAUCCCCGGGGAUACCCACCGAUAAAUGCUUCAGGAAACACAACCAGUUGGGAUCCUAGUGCAGCUGCUUCUUUCAAAAACCUCUCAGCCUUAUCUGCUCUCAAAAUCACAUUGCAAGAAUUAAUAAUCCACGACUUAGUAAAUUAAUUGGUUGAAUGGACAGAAUGAAAAUUAACUUCAAGAGAUCCCGAAUGACUUUUUGGUUGCUGAGAAAACUCAAGGAAAAAGAGACCUAGAUGAAACUUGAAACUCUCAUAUUUUCAGCUGUUUUGUAACUAAGAAAAGAGAAACCACCUCAACCCAACUCAUUAAAAUAAUUGUAAAAGCAGUAAUUCCUUGAUUGGCAGCUGAAAAUAUGAUCAGGGUUCAAUCAUCCUUUUCUUUUUUUCAGUCUCUGAGCAACCAAUUAGAUCACAUAUUCCAUUACACAAGUUGAACAAUUGAAAGAAAUGGUACGUUACCUAGAGUGGCAGGAGUAUCAUAAAAGAUACUAGAAGCUUGAACAACGGUGGCUCUAACAGUUGAAGACAUUGCAGAAAUCGUAUGCUUUUUCGUUUCCCUUUUGUUUGAGGAUUCCUUACACAACGUUCAGUAUAUAUAUUGCCCAUGAACAUGAGGUUCUUCUGCCAUUACUUGAACGAGACGAAGAGGCUGUGAAAAGUCUACCUUGGUUUUCUAUAUUCAUUGUGAGCUUUUCUCCUCAUCACAAAUUUUGAAGUUAUCCGCAGACAUUGUGGACCAGCCACAUGACUUGUACAAAUUGAAAAUGACUGUAAGAAAAUGACUCAGCCAAUUCAAGAUAUUUGUCAUUAAAAGAAUAGUCAUUAAAAGCACAAGAUAUUUGUCAUUUUUUUUUUUACAAAAACGACUGAGUCGUACAUAGUGUUAUGGUUAUAGACGCCCAAAAGAAGUCUUUUUGUGCCUUGUAAGAAAACCUUAGCCAAUUCAAGAUGACCACAGAAUCAAAAUAAGUUUUAUCGCUUUCUUUUUUUUCUACAGGUACGAUGAUUAUCUUUGAACGAAAAGAGGGAGCCGCCCACAUGCACAUAAAAAGGGAGUAAUGAGUGAUUCAAUGGCAGCUAUGGUAGAAAAAUAAAAAGGGAACUAUGCUUACCCUCACGUUGAUUCAAGCAAAUAUAUUUUUUAGGAAUUCUAAUUUUCAUAUUUCACCCCAAACACAUAAUCAAUAAAUUUAUUCUUCAAAUAUGUAUUUUAAUAACAACCAAAAUGAGAAUUCUAUAGUUAUCCCUUUUAAAAUCUUUAAUAUGACAAGUCAUCAUUUGAUCUGUUUGAUAUCCUCUCCAUAUCAUGUCUUUGAUAUCCUAACUUUGACAUUUUUUUAUUUAUAUACGCUGAAGUGAAUACACUUUCAUAUUUCUUUUUAUUCUUUUAAUAUUUUCAUAUUUAUUAACUUAGUCAUUUUUUUGAAACAUUAACAUAAAAUUAUAAUAUAUGAUCAAUAACUAAUAAGAACAAAUUAAACAUAAAUAUAAGUACGGAAUGGACAGAAAAUAAAAAAUUUAUCCUACAAAUAAUACACUAUAUAGUUUAAAAUAUUAAUUAUAAUAAUAUAUUUGAUACUUUAGGGUUUAGAUUAAAAAAUUAUGUUUUAUUUUUUAGAGGCUAGGAUAUAGGAUUUCCAUUAACCAAAGAUUUUUUGUAUGAAUCCUAAAUAAAAUGUGUAUUUAUUUUGCAAAUUCUUAUCAUAUAUAAAUAAAAUAAAAUAAAUAUAUUUUUAUCAUAUUAUUUUUAAUUUUUAUUAUUUUGUGUCAAAAUCACAGUCAAUGAUGGUGGUUUUUGUUAUGAUAUAGCUCUUAAAAGGAUGUUAUGAUGCAAUAAAUAUGAAGUUUAUUAUUUAUUUAAUGGUAUUUUGAUUUUACUUUUAUUAAUCUUUAUUUCAUGCAUUUUACCUUAUGAGUAUUCUAGCUUGACAUUUCUUGCACUAUACAUAACUUGGGUGCAUUAAAAAUUGCAUGAAAGAUCCAAGUUAUAGGUUCCUUGCAAGUAAAUGAUUUGUUCACAACCGCUUUGUGAACUUAAGCAAUCCAUUUGAUGUCGUAGUUCACUACCUCUUCAUUAGAGGAAUGAUUUAUCUUGACUACCAAGAUAGAGUUCUCAUGGUGAGUACACUAGUAUGAUGAGUUAUAAUUUAUAAUGUAAGGUUGUUGGGUAGUCAUAACUCACUAAGUUGUUAUAUUGUAUUAUCUUCUCAACCUUGAGAGGAUACUGAACUUGUGCCAAAGUCUAUAAUUGUUUGACCUAUGGGUGAGAUUCUAAAGUGAUUAUAUAUUCCUUACAGAUUGGUCACAGUAGAUAGAAGUCAGUAGUAAUAAGUAUUCUCAAUACAAACAUCACGAUAUCUCAUGGAAUUUGAGAUAGUGUUGGGUCAUAAUAAGGACAUGUGAUCAUGAAAUCUAUGGUCGCAUUAAUUCUUUAAAUGAAAUUUGAUAUAUGCUUUUGUGAGUUAGAGUAUGCUAGUUGAUCAUAUAAUAAGAGAAUAUGUGACUCAAGAAUGGUAUAGGUAAUCUUGAAAGGCAAAUAUCUUUCACCUUAUUAGAUUAUAAACACUAAUUCCUGGGGAGACUAUAUGCAAUAGAUAGCAGGUCACGAACUUAAGCACUUUGUGUCUUGUUGUAAUACACAUAGGGUAUUGAAGUGUAGUUGACUUUCUAUAGUAAGAUGUUGAGUCAAUUUUAAAAUUUGAUUAUAAGGGAGCUAGUACUAUCCUAUGGGUCUUAGCAGUCCUUGCUCAAGUUCAUAUAUCUCAAUGGCAUGGUUUAUGAGGGUUGGAUUAACUCAUGAUUCACUUAUGUGCAUAAGGCUGUUUUGGCAAGUAUGCAUGAUUACAUAGGAGUUUGUUGGGACAAAACCUUAUAAAGUAUGACAUGAUGUAAUAGAUUUAGUUUCAUUAAUAAAUUUAUUUAUUUACUAUUCUAGUUCCCUUGUAUUAUCCCAUUGGCAUUAAUUGGUUAUCAAAGUAUUUACACCCAUAUCACUUGCAUUGUACAUGACUUAGGUGUAUUUAGAGUUGACCAAAAAAUCCAAGUCAUGGGUUCUUUGCAAGGUAAUAAAUAGUUUAUAGUAGGUUCAUGGAUUUGAGCAAUUUAAUAGAGACUAUAGUGUACUACUUCCCAAUUGGAGAGAUGACUAGUCUUAGUCACCGAGAUGACUUUCCCAUGAUGAGUGCAAUAAUGUGUAUAGUUACACAUUGGACAUGACCUAUGGUGAAUCAUGACAUUAAUUGUUGGGUAGUCAUGAUUCACCAUGAUACUAGAUUGUAUAAACUCUCAACCUUGAGAAAAUAUUGAGUUUAUGCUAAAAUCAACAAGAAGCUUUUAUCUAUGGGUGAGAUCCUAAUGUGGUCAUAUAUUCCUUACAAAUUAGGUUACAGUUGAUGAAGGUUGGUGGCAACAGGUAUUCUUAAUAGAGACAACAUAAUAUCUUAUGAGAUUAAGACAACGUGUCUCUUGGGUGAUCCUAAAGACAUGUGAUCAAGAUGACUAUGACCAUAGUAAUUCCUUUAGUAGAAUUUGACAUAUGCUCUUUGUAAGCUAAAGUAUGUAAAUUGAUCAUUAAUAAGAGGAUUUGUAACUCAAGGAUUGGAGAGAUAAUUUUGAAAGGUUGCCAUCACUACCUUGUUAGAUUACAGACACCAGUUCACGGGGAGUUUACAUGCAGUAGAUAGUAGGUCAUAGACCUAAACUUUUCCUUAUUGUAAUUAUAUAGGAUAUUGGAGUGUAGUUGACUUUCUUUAGUAAGGUGUUAAGUUAACCUUAGAAUUGGAUUCAAAGCGAGCUAGCAUUUUCCUAUAGGUUCCAAUGGUCCCUGCUCAAUCUCUCAUUUAAUGGUGUCACAUUUGUUUAAGGUAUUUUAGGUUUGUAGUUAACAAGUGUGCAUUAGGGGGAAUUUAAUAAAAAUACAAGGUUGGACUAGAUAUUGUGAAUAGACUUUCUAGAUUGGCCUAAUUUAUUAAUGGAUUCCAAUAUGGCUAAUUAAUUAAUUAGGAUCUAAGUGAGUUAAAUUAGGUAACCUAAGCCCACUUUAGGCUUAAGUCACUAAAGUUCACAAGGAAGCUUAUAAAUAACUAUUUAAAGCUUAUUGGGUUUUAUGAGUAACUUAAGCUUGCCUUGGGUUUGGGUAAGUUAUCAUAACCUAAAAAAGUUCUUAAUUGAGCGCUUAGAUUAAUCAAUUAGCUUAGUCCAGAAAUACCUUUCACCAACUCUAUUGGAAACUUUGAAUUACUCCAUUUCAUGAUCUAGGAUCAAAUAGGGUGCAUGCAACUAUCUUUAGGUUUUUCUAGAUCUAAUGCACUAGAAAAAUAUGGAUAUAAAAUCCAUAAAAUGUACUAGAUUUAUAGAUUAAAACUCAUACCUAUGAUUUCAAUGUUUCUAAAUUAAAUCCAAUCCCUAAAAGAUAUCAAAGAUGUUUUAAAAGUCAUCUAUCAAACAAUUUUCCACCCAAUCUCUCCCUCCACAAAUAGACCCUAGCACAAAAAAAGGUGAAUGCUGGAAUUUUCGUCAAUUAUUGGAUCAAAACAAAAUUUAUAACCUAAUUCACUAUUCUAUAGCAGCUUGUACCCGAUCAAAAAGUGGUUUUAGUACAAACUAUUGUAGUAUAGUGGUUUUUAGGUGUCGUCCACUAGGAUGGAUUGUUCUCGGUAAUUAAGGCUUGAAUGAGAUGAUAAGAAAUUAUUGCAAUCAAGUGAAAAUGAUUUGACAAUUCAUGAUAAAAGUUCAACAUAACAAUGAUUUCAAAUUUAGAGGAAAAUGAAGGGUAAAAGAGAAGAAAAUUAAUAGAAGAUGAAAUUCUUGGAGGUAGGAUUUUCUAGAAAAAAAUUUCCACGGUGAAUAGAUGUUGAGAUCUAAUUUUCAUCAAGUUAGAUUGAAAACCUAAAUUUUCAUCUAAACCAAUUUUUGAUUUAGCUUUAGGUCUAGAUCUAAUUUCUCUUCAAAUUAGGUCAUUUAAUCCAAGAGAUCAAUUCAAAUUAUAUAUUCAAUUCAUCUUAAACUAUCUUCCAAUGAUUCACAUAAUGCAACUAUUCAAUCUCAUCAAAUCUAGCUUUAAGAAUUUGAUGAAUCUACCUAGCUUGCAUUGUAGUAAUCAUCCAAGACAAUUUGAAGAGAAAAAUCCUCAAAUUUCAAUUAAUCAAUCAAUUGGAUCAAAUUACCUUUUCAAUUCAAGCUCAUUUCUCUAAUUCACCAUAGAUUUUGCCUCUAGAUCCUCCCUCCUUUGAGAAAAAUGAGAUUUAGCCACUCAUGCUUGGAGAUUUUGCCUCACAAAACAUUUUUGGCUAGCGAGAAAAUGAAGGAAAGUGGAAAAUUCUAGAGAAAGAGAAAAUAUGGAAAAUUCUACAAUUAGAAAAUGUCUAAUUUUUUUUGAAAAUGAGUAAAUCAAGUUUCUAUUUAUAGGCCAAGGUCAAGAGGACACUUGGCAUCAUCUAAGAGGUCUUUUAAAGGCUUCUUCAUCAAGAAAUUUGGAGUUUAGUAAUAAAAUGUCCAUUUCGCAAGAGAUCCAGCACUUUCACACGAGCUCCAUCAAUUUCGCAUGAGUGUGCGAAGUGGAAAAUGCAUCAGCACCAAUUUCGCCUUCUUAGAGCAUUUCGCAUGACUGUGCGAAAUUUUCGCAUGGUCGUGCAAAAUCAGCUUCAAGAUUUCCCUUUGAGCUGUAGCCAAAAUUGCCUUCUGGUCCAUUUCAAUUUUAUACUCUGUGUUUUUGGGAUGAAUGACAUGUGAAAGUUGGAAUUUGCUAAAAAAAUAUACAUAUAUUUUUUUGAGUUAAUGUUUGUAAGCAUAAUUCUCCCAAAAACCGGUCAUGCUUCAUCAUAUUGUAUGUUUGUUUUUUUUUAUAAUGUGUGGUUAUUCAUCUUUAUAUUUGUGUAAUGGAUUGAUAUCUAUAAAUUAAGAGUAUCAAUUGAUAGGUAGAUGAAUCAAUUGAUUGGGCAUCUAAGAGUCUUAUGUGUAGAAGACUAAAAUUAUAAAUGGGGAGUUAGAAAACUUUUCAUUUAUAUGAAUAGGGUGUUACAAUUUUUGUAAUCCUAUCAUUAUGAGAUUUAAUUUGUAUAUAAAGUUUAUGAGUAAUGGAGGAAGAUGGAAAAGUAUAACCUAUGCAAUUAUAUAAAUGCAUUCAAGUUGGUAACCCACAAUUAUCCAUUAAUUUGUACAUAAUGUUUGUAAAUAAUGAAUAUAACUCCCGUGUAGUCUUUGAUGCAUGAGAAGACUAAGAGAUAUAAAUCUCUUUUAUAAGAUCAAGAUCCUAAGUCAUACUCUCAUUCUUAUGUCUUUUUGUUAUUUUACUUAUAACAACAUAUAACACACAAGUGACCCGUCUACUAUAUGAGAGUAGUGAGUUGAAGAUCUUGAGCAAAACAAUUCACAAGAUGACUCAAGCUCACUUCAAAAGUAUUAUCAAUAUCAUGGAUGAAGGUAAAAAUAUGAUCAUUAUAUUAUCAUUGCUUUAGCAUUUAUAUCUAUUAUGUUUUAUGCAUCCAAAAUUGAUUUUCCAAAAUAAUUGUUUUCACAUAAAGUUUAGUUAACAUGUACUUCUAUUUUAAAAUUUUAAAAUUUUAAAAUAAAUUUGCAGAAAUCACUUUUAAAUGUUUUUUUAUAAAAAAAAAUUUAAAAUAUGAAAGAAUCACAUAUUUUUUCAACUUUGAAAAAUAGACCUAAUAAACAUAUUUAACAUUUAUAGCAAUUAAAAAUUAAUUAAUAUUUUUUAAAAAAAAAUUAAAUAAAAGCAAUGGUGUAUCCAAAUAAUACCUUAUUCACCCAAUUUAGUUAUCAUAUGCCUUUAGUACCGAAGUGGCUGACUAAAUUUUUUCUCAAGGUAUAAUAAUGCUAAAAGAUCUUUAACCAAAACAUGGACUUCACUCUUAUUUCUUCCUACCACUUUAAUUUCACCCAACUUCACCUAUAGAAGCUCAUUCAUGUCUUAUCUUGUUUGUCUAGUUUGAACCUCAUGUUGCUCAAGUCCCAAAAGGAAUAAAAUUUCAUUCAGAAUAUAAUUAUGCACAAAAUCCUCAUUAGGGUUAGAGUUUGCUCCUUCAUUAAUUAAUUAUAAUGGUUUAGGGUCAGAAUAACAUACUUUAUUAUGUUAAAGUAUCCUAAACUUUGUUAGCAAACACAUAUGGCUGAAAGCGAAGAAUGAUCAAGAGUCCAAGUACUAACAAAGGGCACUUAUGAACCAUAGGUUGAGGAAAGUGGCUUGAGCCCAAGCUUGGGGCUUAGGUUAUUUUUUGUUUAUGCAAUACUUAAAUCCAAACUUAAAGGUGACAUUAGAAACAUAUUUCAAUCUCAUAUUUUAUCCUCUUAACUAUUGGACCUAAUUGCACUCGACAUGGAACUUGUUUAUGCAUUUUGGGAAUCACAUGCAUUUUAGUCCCAAAAUAGCUAUGCAACUUUUUUUUCCACCUAAUUAAGUUCAAAAUUAAGGGGGUGUUUGGUAAAACUUAAUACCUUUUACUAAUGACUUAAAUUGACUUUAAGUUAAAUUAUAUUUAACUUGCUAACUUAAAACUUAUUAUUUAAUUCUUACUUCAAGUAUUAAGGUUGUUUAAUAAAAUUAAUUUAAAACAUAUUUUAAAUCAUCAAAUUGAUAUAUUAUCCUCAUAAAUUAUAACUAGAGUAUAAGAGGUUGAGUGACAAUGAAGGUCGUGGAGUAGUAAAGAAAAUUGUGGAGGUAACUAGGAUAAAUGAGAAUAAAAAAGUAGAAUGAAAAUAUAAAUUUUAAAAUAAGUUAAUUGGUUUUACUUUUUCUUAAAAUUAUUUUUGAUUUUAAGUCAUACCAUUAAAUUAUUUUAAUAAACAUAAUUUACUUAAUAACUUAAAUUAAAUUAUUAAGUUGUUAAUUUACCAAACACCUACUAAUUUUCAAAUUCUAAGUUUAGCUUUGCUUUGCAGUGAAUGCAUUUAGGAUUAUCAAAGAGGUCAUCAAGGGUUUCAAACAUAUUUUAUUGCUCAACUUCUCGAAGAGGGACUUCAGAAGAGAAGAUUCCAUAAUUCUAGUUUUGUAUGCGAUUGUAUGUAUCCUACCACAUGGAGACGAUUCCUCAGCAUGCUGAUUUAUUAUUAAGUUCAUGUGAAUUACGUAUGGAAUUCCAAUUGAUGUGAACAUAAAAUUAAUUGAAUUAUGUGACAUUUUUUUUACGCAGAAUAAAACAUAUACAGUUGGAAGAUAUCUCGAGAUUCUGAUUUUAUAUCUGGCCCUCAAAAUUCUAUUUCACUGUCAGGUUGUGGACGUUCCACCCAGCUGGAGCAGAUCCCUUGGCAUGCUGAUAUGCCAACUAUUGAAAAGUCUGCACCCAUUUUCUAUAUUCAUGAGCUUUUCUCCUGUUCGAAUUAGUUUUGAAGUUAUCUACAGACAUGACUUGUACAAAUUGAAAAGUUUUAAUUAGGGCAGCAAAAGUAAUCCCUUCAAUUUUAUUAUUAUUGUUAUUAUUAUUACCUUAUAAAAAGAAUUUACCCAAUCAAAAGUGAUCGCAUAGUCAAAAUAGAUUUUAUUUUUUCUUAUCUUACAAUAAUAUAAAAAAAUAUAUAUAUACUUUCAAUCAAUGUCUCAUAUUUCUAACACGUACGCGCUCUAGAAUUUCUCGAAUUGUAGUCUAGAGUGUCAACUUUUAGUGUUUGAUCAAAAAGGCCAUAAACAAAUAUAUGAAAAAAGUAAUCAACAAGCAGAGGAUUCUUUUUGAAUAAAAAAGACCCACUUACAAGCAUGGAUUAUAAAUUGUCUUCAGUUGCGGCUGAAACUUUCUAUAUGACUUUAAAGAAAAAAGAGGUCAUAAAUAGAUAGCUGAGAACAAGUUGAGGGAUUCAAAGGCAGCUAUGGUAUAAAUAUUGUUUUAUAAAUUAAACCUUUUGUACCGCCUCUACAAAGGAACACAAAAUUGAGAGAUUCAAAGGCAGCUAUGGUAUAAAUAUUGUUUCAUAAAUUACUUUUCAAAUUUAAUUUGAUAGCAAAAAUUUAAAAUAUAAAAGUAUAAAAAAUUUGUUUCAUUCCCAAAAUUUUUGCAAAUAAAAUUUAAAGUAAUAAAUUAACACCAUGACUCUUUUCACAUCUUAUUCUCAUUUCUAUCAAAGCAAUGAUAGUAAUUGUCUUAUCUAUAAAUUUUAAAUGAUGUAAGAUCAUUGAAUUUUUAUUUUCUUUUAAACUUCUUGUUAUGUAAUUAUCAAACAUAUUUUUUUAAGACAAGAAAAAAAUUACACCGAACAAAUAGAUUUGAUACUUAGAAUAAUUGAAAACAUAAUUCGUAUUUUCCAUUUUUAAAAAUAAUAAAAGCAAAGGUGUUUCAAAACAAUACCUCAUUUGCUCAAUUAAUUAUCACAUUUCCUAAGUACAAAAGUAGGCAAGUAAAUUUUUGCUCAAGUUACAAUAGUGCUCCAAAUCCUUAUCCAAGAUUUUGAUCCUAUUUCACAAUUGUUUUUUAAAACAGUUUUUUUCUUCUCUACAACAAAAAAAAAAAAAAAACAAGAAAAUGUGUUUGAGAAUUGGAAAAUAAAGUGUUUUCAAAAAAACAUAUGUUAGUUGUUUUUAGUUUUUCUUCAUUAGCUUUUUUGAAGGUUGUUUUUAAAAAUAAUUAUACAAAUAUGAAGAAUUAUUAAAAAUAUAAUUUUAUAGACAAAAGUUAUUUUAAAAUUAUAUGCACGAGUUUUGGAAAGUCUUGCAAAAUAAGCAAAACUAUAGGAAAAAUAUGCAAAUAAAAUUUGUAUUAAAAUCAUUGGGGGCCCCCGCAUUUCGGCUCAUGCGCUUCCACUCGAUGGUGAGCUCGAUUUUUAUUUUGAAAAAUGAUUUAUUAUUUGAAAAAUGACUUGAAGUCGCCACUUAUUUUUGUUUUAUUUUUAAAGGGUAAACAAAAUAAGAAAGAAAACUCUAAAUGUGACUCCUUAUUUGGAAAAGGUGGUCUGUGAAAAACCGGAUCGGGCUCGGGGGUUAGGUUACUUAUUGGGAAGGUACGGUAAAAACCGUAGCACCCCUCUAAGUCCCCAAAAACGGGUCUUUACUAAUGAAAUGAAGCAAUCAUGACAAUUGAUAAGUAAAUCAAUGGAUACCGAAUGAAAAUCGAAACAAAAUACCCAAAUGAAUUUGAGAGACAAAGAACGUACCUGAGUGACGAGCUGAUUUAUUUCAUUGGAAACAAAGGUUAGUGAACAAACACAAAUGAUCGUGUGCAUAUCAUAGAAUAGAACAAAUCAAUCACAUAUAGCAAUCAAAUCAAUCAAUCAUAAAAUCGCAUAUGUUGGGCCCCCACUAAAACCCAUUUAUUUUUGCAUGAAUUAAUUCUGUAAAUUCCAUCACUCGGAAUUAUAGAAUUUAAUUCAUGCUUAUUUUAAAACAUUUAAAAAACAGAGGAGAUGUGAGUAUUGCUCAUCAGAAAAGAAGAUGGCAACAAAGUUUUAUUAAAAAUGGGAUUUUUGGUACCUAAAACUCUAAGGAUGAAAAUUUUGGAGUUGAGAUUAUUUAAAAAGUUAGAAUCUGAAAAAUUAUUUUUAAAAAAAGAUUUAGAAAGUUAUUUUCAAAACCAAAAGGGAGAAAUAGGAGGUGGCAUGUGGCCCAAAGGUGGCCAUGCGGAGGUGGCCAUGCAAAAACAUUUUCUUCUGGGCCAAGGGAGAGACUGCGCUAUAGGGAUCAAUGGUAUUGUUGGGCUUGUCAUAACUCUAACCAGGAUAGGAUCCCAGCCACAUAUAGCUGUAACUAGGUUGCUACAUUGAAAGAGUACCAAGAGAGGCACCCUAGCUUAACGGAGGUCAGGCCUGGUAGCCUUGCGGAGGAUAUCUCUAACCAUUGCCAGAUUUCUGAUAUGAUUCUCACUGAUGACUUCGUUGACCAACUGUUCAGCAAACUCAAUCUGUUCACUGGUACUGCCUAUGUGUGCAAUUCUCUCCAUUGAUAUGUCACCAGAAAGGAAAUGCAAAAGUAUAAACUAGAUACGAGCUCCUGUCUUGGCUUGCAUAUUUCUAAUGAUCUCACCGCCCUUACCAACUAUCAGACCAACCUUGUUGUUUGGUACUUUCAUCACGAGCUGUCCAAACCCAGUCCAACCAAUUAACCUUCAAGAAAUUAUGCCAAACCUCUUUGCUUAUAUCUGUUGUGUCAUUCCAUAAGAAUUGAACGCACCCAUAUGUAAGCACCCGUGAUGUGUCGUCACACUCCAACUGCAAAUUAAAUCGAACAAGACCUUUCAUGGAAGCAUCUCUGACAUCUAAAUGAGACCCUGUCAAACCUUGAAUUAUCUGGAGUUCAUCAAGUGCAUCAUCAAAUGCUCUUCAUUCAGAGUGUCCAACUUAGCAAUAGCUUCAUCAAAAACCUAUUUAUCCAGAUUACAAGCAUGAUCCAGGGGAUUCAGAAUCUUAUAGUAAAAGACGGAGAAGUUAAGUGCAAGCCUCAAGCAGAUAAGACGGGUUGAAGCCAAUUCCACAGCUGCAAUAUCCUACGCUGAUUUUAUAAGCUACGAGAGUGCUCUCCGUCGCCUCUCUCAUCUCGGCUCCGGUCUUGAAUGCUGAUAGAUAACAACGAUAAUCGCUCUUCAUCUUUAAACAAAGCGACUUUGGGUCACUAGCCAUAGCCGAAUGAAUAAGCUACGAAUCCAGCAGACGAAGAGUAUCGUCACAGAUGGAGGAUUGUUGAAACAUAACACGCAUAUAAUGGAAACAGACUCGUGUUGGCUCCUGCCCGCUCCCAAUGGGUAUGGCCCUCAUGCUCAUUGACAUGUUCGAAGACGUCAACAAGCGCACCAUAGACCUUCUGUAGGCAGAGGAUUGGGUUUAAUGGGUUUAGAAAGAAUUUGUGGCAUGUAUGGGUAUGGAAAUAGGUGUGAAUGAUAGCCUUGCAUGCAUGAGGAGUGGUGAAUAGGUUGAAGAGAGUGGGUUUAGAGGAUAGAAAUAUGGGUAUAGUUGUGGGUUUAGAAAAUGGGUACAGUAUUAGUGGGACGGGUAGUGGAAAAAUGGAUUGGAAGGCAUUGGAAAAUGAGGUCUCUAUGGUGGCCAUGCAUGCGUCAAAAAAUAGAAAGGAGUGCAUGGAGGUUAAAUGGAAGGAUGAAUGAUGGAAGUAGCAGCUUGGGUAGGUGUAAGCUUUGGAUUUGGGUAGGUAAAAAAAAUGAGAGAUAGGUAUGAGAUAGCCAAUGAGAGAUCUGCACCAUUUGGCAUUGUGAUCGCUCGGUUUUUGUCGUUUAUUGGAUCAAAACAAAAUUUAUAACCUAAUUCACUAUUCUAUAGCAAUUUGUACUCGAUCAAAAAAUGGUUUUAGUACAAACUACUAUAGUAUAGUGGUAUUUAGGUAUCGUCCACAAGGAUGGAUUAUUCUCGGUAAUUAAGGCUUGAAUGAGAUGAUAAGAAAUGAUUGUGAUCAAGUGAAAUUGACUUGAAAUUGCAUGAUAAAAUUCCAAAAUAACAAUGUAUUCAAAUUGAGAGAAAAAUGAAGUGUAAAAGAGAAGAAAAUUAAUAAGAGGUGAGAUUCUCGGAGUUAGGAUUUUCUAGAAAGCAAUUUCCAUGGCGAAUAAGUGUUGAGAUCUAAUUUUCAUCAAGUUAAAUUGAAAACCUAAAUUUUCAUCUAAACCGAUUUUUGAUUUAGCUUUAGGUCUAGAUAUAAUUUCUCUUCAAAUUAGGUAAUCUAAUCCAAGAGAUCAAUUUGAAUCAUAUAUUCAAUUCAUCUUAAAUUAUCUCCUUAUGAUUCACACGAUGCAACUAUUCAAUCUCAUUAAAUUUAGCAUUAAGAAUUUAAUGAAUCUACCUAGCUUGCAUUGUAGUAAUCAUCCAAGACAAUUUAAAGAGAAGAAUCCCCAAAUUUCAAUUAAUCAAUCAAUUGGAUCAAAUUACCUUUGCAAUUCAAGCUCAAUUCUCUCAUUCACCAUAGAUCUUGUCUCUAGAUUCUCCCUCCUCUGAGAAAAACAAGAUUUAGCCACUCAUGCUUGGAGAUUUGAUCUCAUAAGACAUGUUUGGCUACCAAGAAAAUGAGAGAAAAUGAAGGAAAGUAGAGAAUUAUAUAGAGAAAAGAAAUCUGAAAAGUUCUACAAUUAGAAAAUGUAUCAAAAGUCUUUAAAUGAGUCAAUCACAUUUUUAUUUAUAGGCCAAGGUCAAGAUGACACUUGGCAACAUCUAAGAGGUCUUUCGGAUGCUUCUUCAUCAAGGAAUUUGGAGAAAAUACAUUUUCGCACGAGCCUUAGCAAUUUCGCAUGAUGGUGCGAAGUGGAAAACCAUCAGCUUCAUUUUUGUCUUUCUGGAGCGUUUCGCAUGACUGUACAAAAUUUUCGCAUGGUUGUGCGAAAUUGCUUUUCACUUUUCCCUUAGUAUGCUACAGCCAAACCUAUUCUGUUUCAUUUCACAUGGUCAUGCGAAAUUGAAAAACAUGUUUUUUCGACUCCUCUUUGCAAUUCUUUCCAUUUCUUCAUUUUUAAUCCACCUCUACCACUUUCAAUUCAACUCCAAAUCCCAAUCCAAACCGAUUGCAUUGCUUAUUUCAUUAUGCAUUUGGAUCAUCAUCAACUUUAUUUGUUUUCUUCAAUUUGGUUCAUCUCUUUUGUCACCAAUUUAUCAAAAUCAUACCUUAAAAUGACUUUAAAACUUCAUAAAACUUGUUAGUAACUAUUGCAAGGGCAAAAACAUGUUAAUUGAGUGUUUUAGGCAUAAUUACUACUCAAAAGAUGUGAAAAUCAUGAGAAUUAUUAUCUAAAAUAUGCUCUUUUUGAGUAGUAAUCAUUCCCCCCAACCAACACAUUGCUAGUCCCUUAGCAAUUGUAUGACAAAAAGAAAGAAAAAUAAGGCCAAAGAAAAGAAAUCAUAACUCACAUAAGCAAAUCAUUUGAAAAAAAAAAUGUUUGAAAUUUCCAUAGCAUAAAUGGUUGAUAAACAAGCACACCCUACUAUCCAUAGGUAUCAACAAAAUCCCAACUUAUUUACUAUCUCUAAUAGAAAUAAUAUCAUGCUAAUCAAGGUAUCAAAAACAUAUCCAUCUUCAUUUCCCAAACAAUCUUUGUAAACAAGUCUUGAGUGUAAUUAAGCUAGCUCCCGAAUAUAGUACUCAAAACUAAUCCUCCCCCCAACCUAGCUCAAUUUAUCUCAAACAACAAAAAUCACUCUCUCAUAGGUUAAGAACACACCUAUCUUUAUUUUAUUAUUAUUUUUUUUACAAAUGACUUAUUGUAGGAGUGCAAUGCUAAAGGUAUCUCCAAGUAUAUGGUCCAUGUAGCGGGGAUUCAUCGAUGACUCCCAAUCAUAAGGCAUAGGGCACCAAGUUUAUAGGACUAUUUAACUAGCCACUAACUCCUCAGACUUCACCCCGGACUCCUCAAAUUAGGAUCCAAUACAUUAACACCUACAAUUGAGUUCAUACCCCACCUAUCCACCCAUGUAACAAGCAUUGAGGUCGGUGGCUCCCAACCAAAAUGGCUUAGGGCACCAGGCUUUAAAGACCUUUGGGCCAUAUACCCCUCGGACCUUGCUCAGGUUUCAAGGCAAGCAUAACUCAACAUUUUUAUUCAUCAACUCUUUUUUUUUUUUUUUUUUCAAUUGGGCACAUUGGCCUCUUUUUAAGGUGUCUCAACUCAGUUCAAGAGUAAUCAAUGUUACAAGAUAAUUAAGUCUAAGUCUUAAGGUUAGAAUAGUUUUUCAUCUUAUAUCUGGGGUCUAGAGUGCAUAGUAUGUGUCAAGACUCAAAUAGAAAUGACAAUUUGGAAAAUGAAGACUUUAAAGUCAAAUCAACUUUAAUUCACAUAACCAAUCUUCUAAGAUCAAGCAAAUAAGCUAGUAUUCUAAAUCAACUUUUUUUAAGUUAGGUUUGCUCAUUCAUCAAUCACAAAUGCUAUAGUCAUCUCAAAAAAAUCUCACCAAAUAAGUCACAAAUGUGAUUUAUGAAAAAAAAAAAUUAUAGAAAAACUAAUAACAUAUUUCCUUCUCUUCAUUUUUAACCCUCCCCCAACCUAACUUGUACAUUGUCCUCAAUGUGUAAUGAAAAUAUACAAAGAAAGGAAGGAAAGAUACCUCAAUCUCUCAUGAAUUUCAGUUUCAAUAGCUAAAACAAAAAUAAGAUCACACAUGAGAAUUGUUGGAUAUGAAUGACAUAAGAGAAGAAAAUAUGAAAACAAAUCUAUUAAAAACCAAAAAAAAAAAACUAUGUUAGAGACACAAUGUAUGGAGUAAAAUCAAGGUAUAGAUGAUGACAAUGUCCAAAGAAAACAUGAUUUCAAUGAUAAGUCAAUGAUUCUCAUGGAGUUUUUGAAAAUUUCAGACAAGUGUGCAAACUAGACAAGAAGGUGGUGUGUGUUGCAACCACUUUUUCUUUUGAAAUAAUUUGGCACAAUCAUGCGGAAAUUCGCAUGUACAUGCGAAUUGGUCAAGAGAGCUUUAUCUUAUUAUAGUCUUCAGCAUAAUUUUCGCAUAGUCAUGUGAAAAUUCGCAUGUUGAUGCGAAAUGGAUCUGAGGCUUAAAACUGUUGUAGUCAUCCACAUUAGUUUCGCACAGUCAUGCGAAAACUUCACAUGAGUGUGUGAAGUGGUCCAGAUGGCUCAUUUUACUACAGUCUUUAAGAUGGAUUUCGCAUAGUCAUGCGAAAUGCUCUAGAGGGUUCAUUUUUACAACUAUCAUUUUCAGUUUUGCACAGUCAUGCGAAAAUUUUGCAUGACCAUGCGAAUUGUGACAAAGACUCAUUUUGUACAUUUCCGAAGAUAUGAAAACUCCCCUAUUUUGGCAUGACUGUGUUAUUUUGGCAUGACCUCCCUGUUUUGGCAUGACUAUGCAAAAUGGUGAUGGGCCAUUAAAACUCUUUUUUCCUUUGCUUCAUGCAUUCCAUCCAUCCAGAAAGUCCUUCAAAACACAAGUCAAAGAAUUGAGAUGGAUUUAUUUAAUGGAAACUAAAAAAAAAAUCAAAAUCCAAAGGAAAUGAUAAACCAUUGGGCUAGCUAGCCAUUGACAUGACUAAGCCCAUUAACCUUUGCAUCAAUACUCAAUUUGGAUAUGGCUUGCAAACAAUGAAUGGACCAACUCCUUGGUACUUAAGCUUUCCCAGAAAAAUAUGUGGCUUGAAAUAACCUUCUUUGAACUUGUUCUUUUGAAUAAGUUGGUCAUGCCAUUCCUUGAGUUUCUUUUUCAUGGUCUUUGGAUUAUUUUUCAUACCAUGCUUCAUUUUUUUCACUUUCUUGAAGCUGAAAGACCAUUUCAUUAACUUCAAAGGUUGAAUUUCUUUAUUGAUCCUCCAAACUUCAAUCCGUUCAUUGGAAAUUGCUUCACUAAGUUUUGAAAAAUUAUCUUCAACCUUUUCUUUCACUAGCACUUUCAUAGGCAAUUCAAUCAAAUAAGCCUCCUUAAGUUCCUCCUCCUCCUUGGUACCAUGCUUCUUAUAUGAAUGAAAAAUGUUUAGCUCAAUUGUCAUGUUACCAAAGGUAAGUUGCAUCACCCCACUUCGACAAUUAAUUAAUGCAUUUGCUGUGGCAAGGAAAGGUCGGCCAAGUAUAAUAGGAACAUGGUUGAGUCCACUAGUUCCUUGUUUCAUAUCAAGCACCACAAAAUCAACCGGAUAAUAGAAGAUAUCGAUUUGGAUCAACAUAUCCUCAAUAAUUCCUCUUGGAAACUUAACCGAUCUAUCCGCCAAUGAAAGUGUGAUGGAAGUAGACUUUAGUUCUCCAAACCCCAAUUGCUUAUAUACCGAGUAGGGAAGAAGAUUCACACUUGCCCCCAAGUCUAAAAGUGCUCUUUUCACAAAAGUGUUGUCAAUCUUCACCGAGAUAGUUGGACAUCCCGGAUCCUUAUACUUGAUUGGGGUUUUACAUUGGAUGAUUGCACUAACUUGUUCAGUCAAGAAAGUUUUCUUUUUCAAAUGCAUCCCUCUCUUUAUGGUACACAAAUCCUUAAGAAACUUGGCAUAGGUUGGAAGUCUUAUCAUGUCAAGGAGUGGUAUAUUGACUUUGACUUGCUUGAGAACUUCAAAAAUUUCUAGAGCAUUAUUUACCACUUUCUUGGAUUGAAGAGCCAUAGGAAAAGGUGGAGCUAAGAGCAUAUCUUUCUUCUUAACCUCUUCUUUAACAAUCUCAUCUUCCUUUGAUCUAUCAUCCUCAUUCACCUCUUUCCAUUUUUCUUGUUCUUUCACAUUUUCCUUUUGUUCCCCUCUUUUAUUCUCUUUUGGUUUUGGCAUAGGUUGAUCAACUUGCUUACCACCUCUUAAGGUAAUGACUGCUUUGACUUCAUCCUUCUCAAUAGAACUUUCACUUGUCUCUCCAAUUUCAUGGACUCCACUUGGAUUUUGUUGGGGUUAUGAAGAGAAUUUUCCUUUUUCUUACACUGUAUGCAUGCUUGUGAGUUUAGAAAUAGCAAGCUGCAUAUUAUCAAUCUUUUGUGUGAGAUUGGUUUGCAAGCUAUCAAAUUUCUGAUUGAAAGAUGUCUCCACAUGAUCUAUUCUUUGGUUUACUUGAAUAUUGAUAUUCUUUUGAUCACCAAUAAAAUCACCCAAAAUUUUACUCAAGCUUACAAUAGCUUGCUCAACCAAAGAAAUUUGUUGUGGAGAGUCUUCCAUGACUUGUUGGCUUUGUGAGUAUUGACUUGAAGAAAAUUGUUCUUGUCCACAAUUCCAUGACAUGUUUAGAUGAUUCUCAACAAGUCUUUCCCCCAUAGCUAGUAUUGUAGGACAAUCACUCACUUCAUGUUCUAUAGAUUGACAAUUAGAACAUUGCUCCUUGUAAAUUGGAUUAUCAUAUAUUGCAUUCACCACAUGAAAUCCCUUAGCUUCAAGUUCCUCUAGCCUUUUUGUCAAAGCUACCAUUUUAGCUUGUAGAUCAACAUCUUCAUUCAACAUAUACAUUCCUCCAUUUGAAUUGCUUUGAGACUUGGACUUGUGUAAAUCCCUUUCAUGUGGCUCAUUCCAUGACCUUAAUAUUUUAGCCACAUAAUUCAAGAAUUCAAAAGCUUCAUCGGGACUUUUGCUCAUAAAGCCACCUCCACACAUGGUUUCUAGCAAUUGCUUCAUAGUUGGCGACAUGCCCUCAAGAAGUAACUCACCAACAUCCAUGUGUCAAAACCAUGAUGAGGACAAACAUUGAUUACUUCCAUAUAUCUUUCCCAACAAGCAUAAAAUUUUUCAUUGUCCAAUGCCACAAAGUUGGUAAUUUGCCUCUUCAAGCCACUUGUGCGAUGUAUGGGGAAAAUUUUCUUUAAGAAGGUUGUUUGUAGUUCCAACCAUGACCUUAUGGUUUGGGGCCCCAAUGAGUUGAACCACAACUUAGCCUUAUCCUUCAAUGUGAAUGGAAAAAGCUUCAAUCUCAUAAGCUCAAUGGAUGUGUUUCCCUCAUGAAAUGUAUGAAAAACCUCUUCAAAAUCCUUGAUGUGAGUAUAAAGAUUCUCAUUCUCCAUUCCAUGAAAUUGAGGUAGAAGGGGUACCAAGUGAGUUUUUAUCACAAUAGCCUCAUUAGGAAGAACUAUACAUGAUCCCAUGCCUAUCCUUUGAGGAUGCAUAUAUUCUCUCAUUGAUCUAGACAUGUGAGAAUUGCCAUUGUUUGGUCCUUGUUGAGUUUGUUGAUUUUCCCCUUGAUUUUCCAUUUCCUCAACAAUUGGAUCACAAAACAAAGAUGAUUAGCAAUAUAAGUUUUUUUUCAAUCUCUCCCUUGAAUUUUAUUCUCAAUGUAGUAUGCAAUGGAGAGCCUACAAAACAAGCUUAGAAAAACCAAAACAAACCAAGAAGAACAAAAAGAGAAAUAAAAGAUAAAAAUGGAAAAAAAAAUAAUAAUAAGAAAAAUGGAGAAUCGAUAAAGAGAACUUCACCAAUCUUGUGAUGUGGAUCACAAGGGCUAAUCCUCACCAAAAAAAAAAAUGCCUCAAUCACCUAGGCACCAUCCCCGGCAACAGUGCCAUUUUUGAUUGCUCGGUUUUUGUCGUUUAUUAGAUCAAAACAAAAUUUAUAACCUAAUUCACUAUUCUAUAGAAAUUUGUACCCAAUCAAAAAAUGGUUUUAGUACAAACUACUGUAGUAUAGUGGUAUUUAGGUAUCAUCCACAAGGAUGAAUAUUCUUGGUAAUUAAGGAUUGAAUGAGAUGAUAAGAAAUGAUUGUGAUCAAGUGAAAUUGACUUGAAAUUGCAUGAUAAAAUUCCAAAAUAACAAUGUAUUCAAAUUGAGAGAAAAAUAAAGUGUAAAAGAGAAGAAAAUUAAUAAGAGGUGAGAUUCUCGAAGUUAGGAUUUUCUAGAAAGCAAUUUCCAUGGUGAAUAGGUGUUGAGAUAUAAUUUUCAUCAAGUUAGAUUGAAAACCUAAAUUUUCAUCUAAACCGAUUUUUUAUUUAGCUUUAGGUCUAGAUCUAAUUUCUCUUCAAAUUAGGUAAUCUAAUCUAAGAGAUCAAUUUGAAUCAUAUAUUCAAUUCAUCUUAAAUUAUCUUCCUAUUAUUCACAUGACGCAACUAUUCAAUCUCAUUAAAUCUAGCAUUAAGAAUUUAAUGAAUCUACCUAGCUUGCAUUGUAGUAAUCAUCCAAGACAAUUUGAAGAGAAAAAUCCCCAAAUUUCAAUUAAUCAAUCAAUUGGAUCAAAUUACAUUUGCAAUUCAAGCUCAAUUCUCUCAUUCACCAUAGAUCUUGUCUCUAGAUUCUCCCUUCUCCGAGAAAAACGAGAUUUAGCCACUCAUUCUUGGAGAUUUGAUCUCACAAGACAUGUUUGGCUACCGAGAAAAUGAGGGAAAAUGAAGGAAAUUAGAGAAUUAUAUGAGAAAAGAAAUCUGAAAAGUUCUACAAUUAGAAAAUGUAUCAAAAGUCUUUAAAUGAGUCAAUCACGUUUCUAUUUAUAGGCCAAGGUCAAGAUGACACUUGGCAACAUCUAAGAGGUCUUCCGAAUGCUUCUUCAUUAAGGAAUCUGGAGAAAAUACAUUUUCGCACGAGCCUUAGCAAUUUCGCAUGAUGGUGCGAAGUGGAAAAUCCAUCAGCUUAUUUUUUGUCUUUCUGGAGCGUUUUGCAUGACUGUGCGAAAUUUUUGCAUGGUCAUACAAAAUUGCUUUUUACUUUUCCCUUAGUAUGCUGCAGCCAAGCCUAUUCUAUUUCAUUUCGCAUGACUAUGCGAAAUUGAAAAACAUGUUUUUUCGACUCCUCUUUGCAAUUCUUCCCAUUUCUUCAUUUUUAAUCCACCUCUACCACCUUCAAUUUAGCUCCAAAUCCCAAUCCAAACUAAUUGCAUUGCUUCUUUCAUUAUGCAUUUGGAUCAUCAUUAACUUUAUUUGUUUUCUUCAAUUUGAUUCAUCUCUUUUGUCACCAAUUUAUCAAAAUCAUACCUUAAAAUGACUCCAAAACUUCAUAAAACUUGUUAGUAACUAUUGCAAGGGCAAAAACAUGUUAAUUGAGUGUUUUAGGCAUAAUUACUACUCAAAAGAUGUGAAACUCAUGAGAAUUAUUAUCUAAAAUAUGCUCUUUUUGAGUAGUAAUCACAUUGCAACACCCUUAUUUUGUUAUACCCAUUUGUAUGCUUAUCCUUUACAUAAGGAGCUUGUCUGACACCUUUAUAGAAGCGGACAAAAAGCAUGGCUUGCUUGUAGAUCCAGUGCAACUUUCAGUAACACCCAACCCCUAUCAUUUUGACCCAAAAGGAUCUAUACCUAUGAUCAUUGAACUCAUUCCAUUUUGAGAACAAUCUUCAUGAACUCAUAAACGAAAUAACUUAUUGAAACUGAAGGUAGCACCUGUGGUAAGCCGAUUUCAAUAUAUCAUGCACACCAUAGAAAAUUGCACCUGAAGGUGCCAUACUUAUAGUGGAAGGCACCAAACCCUUGUAAAUGGAGAAGAAUCCUUCAGUUCGGAUCAUAUGGAGGAAAUGCCAAUAACACUACCCAAGGCUUUACCACCCGGUGCCACCAUCUUGGUCUGGAUUUAACAUGGUACCCAAUAGUAAGCGGAGUAUGGUAGUAGUAAUUCUAGCUGCAUCACCAGCAAUUGUCUUAAUUAGCUCAAAUAUAUGCUUCUGUUCACCAUGAACUAUAUAUUCCAGCUUUAGUCUCCUUUGAUUGCAUAUCAUUUCCUCCACAAAACUUUCGUUUACUAUCAUCAAACUGCCAUCCUAUACCACAAUGGUCCCAUCAACCCUACUGACCAUCCAAAUGUCAUUAAAUGAGCUAGAAGCUGGGGACUCUCAACAGCAAGAGCACCUUGAGGUUGAAUGAAUUUAGAAUAACCCACUGAAAACUCUUAUAUAGCUUCUUUAGGUGGAGAUGAGGAAGGAGAAUAGCCAAAAUAGAGCACAACAGAGUGAGCAAAGCAUUAAGUGGGAUCCCCCUUUCAUAUUGAAAUCAAGGGGUUCCAGCCAGUGGUGCAACAGGAGAGUUUAAAACAAAGAUCCAAAUGAGAGCAUCAAUAAACUCCCACCAUGGGAGUGAGCCAUAUUCAAAAAAACAAAUAUAAGAGAAAAGUAAUGCAUCAUCACAUACCCAGACAAUCGUCCAAUGCUUAGAAAAAAAAAAAAACCAAAACAACCAGAGAAGAUGGAAGAUAAAGAAAACAGAGUGAUGAGUGAAAAUAAUCCAAAAAGCUAUAUCAAAUGUACCUAGAAAUGCUCUUUCCAAUUUUCUUUUCUUCCCAACUACCUUCAGCAAACUAGAUUUGCUUUCUCUCCUCUGCUCCUAAUCAAACUACACCCUCAAGCAAUCUGAAAAAUGCAAUCCUCUCUCUCACAACCUCAGCGCACCAACCAUCUCUACUUCUCUCAUUGUUGCUCCAACUCCUUACAAAAAUAUCCCCUCUUUGUCUCUCCUCCCAAGCUCUUUCUCUCUCUCUCUCUCUCACUUCUCCUCAGCUAUGCUCUCUCAAUCCCUCUAAAAAAAAACAUCCUUCUCUCGCUCCUCUGUAACCUCAAACUUUUCUCUCAAGCUAAAGGAAACUUCUCCCCCCGAUAUCUCCUCUCCUCCCUAGCAACCAAAAAUACCCCUCCUCUGCCAGAAUGCCUCACCUUCUCUCUCCUACGCUCCUCCAUAACGGCCUGAAGAUUCUUAUGCCAUGCAUCAGCCGCUGAUUGCCUUCAGAAAAGAUCACUGCCUAUCCAUCCUCUCAUGCACAUGUUGCCAAAAAUAAAAAAAGGUGGUAAAGAAUGCUCCCUAAAAUGCCCUUACCUAUAAACCAAAACGAGGGUUUUACAGGCGCACAAUAUUUGUGGAAAAAUAUUCUUUGCUGAAGAAUAUUUUUUAAAGAUCAAUUGAAAGCCUAAAGCAGCUUGUUCCCAAAUGAAUUUAUUGAAUGGUGAAAAACACGUGUGUUGCGAUUUUUUGGAUUUGUAGGGGGUAUUUUAUAAAGCUUUUUUCUCUUUGUGAAACUCCUUUUCAUAUGUGAAAUUGUUUUAUUUUUAUUUUAUCAUUUUCAUUGAAGGAAGUUGCAAAUAUUUAUAGAUAAAAUUUUAAAAAAUAAAUUUAGAAUUUCUAAGAUUUGAUUACUUAAUUAAAAAAAAAAAUUGGUUUCUUGAUUUUAGCAACUUGUCUUCUUCAUUAAGGAAGUUUGCUAACAAGAGAAUAUUUACUUCUCAUUUUAUUUUGACUUCAAUUGGAAGACUUGUUUCAUUUGUUUACAAAAUUUUCCAACAAGAAAAUAUUUAUUUCUAAUUCUCUUUUGAUUUCAAUUGUUUGAUUUGAUUUGAUUUUGCAAGACUUUAUUUUAUAGCCUUCCAAAUUUCACUACGUGUCAUUUUUUGAAUUGAAUGCCACAUGCUCAAUAUAUAUGACUCAUCACUUAUUAAGCCUGAGUUUUGUUGAGCUAAAGAGUUACAAUUUUGAAGACUAAUUUGGUAGUAUUUUAAUCCACUAAAAUUUUUUGUCUACAAAUGCCCCCUCUUCAAAAUAGAUCACACACAUGCAUUGUAAUGUAUAAGAGGUGAGUCUUGAAGUUAGCCUUUUGAAUCUUCAAUAUCCUUCUUUGAUUUUUUUUUUCGAAGAAAUAUUUUAAUAGGAAUUUCCUAUUCAAAAUACUUUUCUUCAACUUUUUUCGAACAUUGCUUUAUUUAUUUAUUUUUUUUCUACCUCGUAUCAAAGAAAAACCUUGUGUUAAUGGGAAAGCUUCUUAUUUGAACAUCUAUUGUCUUUUCUCAUGGUAUUUCACUUCCAAUUUGUCAACCUAGAAGAAGUCCUUCACCCUAGCUUGUUCAAUUGCAUCUUAGACUUGGUCACAUGCCUUUAACUUGCAAUUCUUCCUCCACUUUGUCUUUUUCUUUUUUAUUUGUUUAAAAAAUAGUACAAAAUAUUUGAGCAAGACCAUAAGCAAGAGAAGAGAGGUGGUGAAUGGAGCACCAACUAACCUUAGGUCAAGAUCUUGAGCAAGAGAAGUAAGGUGGAGCGUAGAGCACAAACUUCUCUAGAGCAUGGUAGGCAUACCAUCAUGGAGUUGUCUUCUGCAUGGAGCAUGGUAGGGCAUUAUAUAUAUGAUAGGGUGGGCCAUUAUGUAACAAUGAAGAACAAAAAUCCAUGGUGUACAAUUGGGAACAACAAUUCAUGCUAUCAAGCUUCAACCUUUUUUUUUUUGUUUUUUUUUUAAUCCCUAUCUCCACCCCCCGACCCAAUAUUUUUUCAAGUUUCCAGAUUCCUUUUGAUUCUUUCUCAUUUUAUUUUUUUCAACUCUUUUUUUUCCUCCCUUUUUAACCAUUGUUUUUAAGGAAGAAAUAGAUUCACCAUCCCUUACCACAAGGUCAAUCUCCAUUGCUUGCAAAGACAAAUUUGCUUUUUGGUGUUUUUUUUCUUCAAAAAUUAUCUUAACAUUUUAAGAUAUAUAUAUAUAGAUAUAGAUAUUUAAAAAACUUAAAUAUCCAUAAUAAAAAUAAAUAUUUAAGGCUCUUGACUUGUUUAAAUUGGCUUGACUUGGAUACUUAGCGGGACCAUACUUAACACCCAUGUAGAUGAGCUAUAAUCUUGAUGGUAGGUUGUGUUGUAUUUUUUGACAUUUAAUGUGGCUUAAGAGUUAAAGUCUUCACUCAUGCAAAUUAGCUUGGUUUGGAUGCACAAUGGUCUCUAACUUCUUAAUGCUUAAUUAAACUUGGAACCAUAUUUAACACCCAUGUAGACAAGUCAUAAUCAUGACAUGGAGCACUAUUUUAUUUUAACUCUUAAUGCAACUUAAAUAUUAAAGUCUUCACUCAUACAAAUUAACUUGGGUUAGAUGCACAAUGGUGUUCAACUUGGUAAAAUUAAUUAAAAUUGAAACAUUUAACACCCAUGUAAACAAGUCAUAACUUUCACAUGGAACAGUGUUGUAUUUUUAGCUUAAUGUCGCUUAAGUGUUAAAGUCUUCACUGAUGUAAAUUAGCUUGGCUUAGAUGCAUAGUAGCAUUCAACUUUUUAACACUUAAUUUAAAUUCAUACCAUAUUGAAAACCCAUGUGGACAAGACAUAAUGAGAAAAUAAAUGGCUAAUCUAAAUAGAUAAAAAUACCUAACAAGGAAGGAGGGGGGUGAAUUGGAGUUUAAAAAAAAAAUAUAUUUUUAAACACAAUAAAAUUAAGUACAAGAAGCACAAAUAUAAAGAGAUAAGUUAUAGAAAUCAAACUCAGAUUUAUAGUGGUUCGACACUUCCUUGCCUACAUCCACUCUCCUCAAACUCCUAACCGAGUGAGGGUUCCACAUAUACUUGAAGCUUCAACCAAGCUUCUAAUCACUUUUUACACUUGGAUUUUAGCUCCAAUGGGCUCUUACACAUUCUCUUCAAGUCUCUACUCACUUGAAGAUUUUAACACACAAUUAACAGUUUGAAACUCUCAACCUAGCUCAACAAUGGCUCAAAUACAACUCAAGGCUAGGAUGAAUCACAAAGGUGCAUUAAAUAAUAUGCAAAUGAAGAUUUAAUGCACUGAGAAAAGAAUGAGAGCUUUUAUGGCAAGAACAAGUAGGUAAACAAAUCAAUGGAGGUGUUCUCUUACUCAUAAAUGAAGUGGAACUCUCAAUUUAUAGGUUUCUAAUCUCGGAAGCUAAAAAACCAAAAAGUAACCUCGAUUGGUCGAGUUAGGGGUCGACAGGUUCACUAGUCGUUAGAGCAUUAAAUGCGUGGCAGGUGAUCGUUACCCUCGACCGGACCUUGACUGGGAAGGCAAAUCUCUCAACUGGGAAAGAAAGGCUAUUGGAAGAGAGAAGGCUUUUUGCAUCUUUUGACUAGACCUCAACCGAGAAGGAGCAACUGAUCGACCAGUACCCUAGCCGGUUGAGCCGGUUGGCCAGUGCCUCAACCAAUUCACCAUUUUUUGGCCCUAAAACCUAUCUUUUUGUGGUCUUUUUUGCUUCUAACACUUAAACAAGGUCUUUAGGUAAAAUAAUAUGUCAAUUUUGAAACGCUUUGCCUAAGGUUCAUUUGAUAGAACUCGGAUUUUGAUGGAAAUGUGACUUUAAUGCGUAAACCGAGUUUUAAAAGAUGUAUGAAAUGAUAUGAAAAUUCUAAGUACACUCAUGCAUUCAUUUUACAUAGUUUUCUAUAAUUAAAAAGUCUUUCAAAAGUCUUGAUCUUGCAUCCAUUAGAUCAUUUGAUUAAUUUCCAAAUUAAUAUUUGAAAUUCUUUAUAAUUCAAACCAAUUAGUAACUUAACCAUGGUUUGUUAUCAUCAAAACAUGAUUAGGAGAACCCUUGGGCUAACACAUAACAUUGUAGCAAUGUUAUAUUUUUUACACUUAAUGCAGUUUAAGUUCUAAAAUCUUCAUUUCUAUGAAUUGGUUCACCUUGGAUGCAUAGUGGUGUCUAAAUUAUAAUACUUAAUUAAAAUUGAAACCAUAUUUAACACCCAUGUAGACAAGUCAUAACUUUGACAUGGAGUGGCAUUGCAUUUUUGACACUUAAUGCAACUUAGGUGCUAAACUUUUCACUCAUGAGAAUUGGUAUGGGUUGGAUGCAUGUGGUGUCGAACUUUUUAACACUUAAUUAAAAUUGGAACCAUAUUUAACACUAUCUAGAUAAGUCAUAACCUUGAUGUGAAGCGACAUUGUAUUUUCAACACUUAAAGCAACUUAGGUGCUAAAGUCUUCACCCAUGCAAAUUAGUUCAUCUUGGAUGUACAAUGGUGUCCCAUUUUUUAACAUAUAAUUAAAAUUGGAACCAUAUUUGACACUCAUGUAGACAAGUCUAGCCAUGAUGUAAAGUAGUGUUGUAUUUUUAAAACUUAAUGCAGCUUCAAUGGUAAAGUUUUUACUCAUGUGAAUUGGCUUGAUUUGGAUGCACAAUGAUGCCUAACUUUUUAACAUUUUAUUAAAUUUGGUAUCAUAUUUAACACCUAUGUAGACAAGUCAUAACCUUAAUGUAGAGGUGCUGUAAUAUUUUUGGUACUUAAUGCCGCUCAAGUGCUAAAGUCUUCACUCAUGUGAAUUUUUUUGGUUGAGAUGGACGUCUCUAACAUUUUAACAUUUAAUUAAAAUCAGAAUCAUAUUUAACACUCAUGUAAAAAAGUCAUAACCUUGACACAUAGUAAUAUGCAAUGUUUUAACAUUUAAUAUGACUUAAGUGCUAAAGUUUUCACUCAUGUGAAUUGGCUUGGCUUGGAUGCAUAAUGGUGUCUAACAUUUUAACACUGAAAUUAAAAUUAGAGUUAUAUUUAAUAAUCAUGUAGACAAGUCAUAACCUUGACGAGAAGCAAUAUUGUCAUUUUGACACUUAAUAUUGCUUAAAUGCUAAAGGCUUCACUCAUGCAUAUUGACUUAGCUUGGAUGAACAAUGGUAGCUAACUUUUUAACACUUCAUUAAAUUUGGAUUAUGGUUAACAUCCAUGUAGAAGAGUGAUAAACUUGAUGCAAAGUGAUGUUAUAUUUUUGGUACUUAAUAUAGCUUAAAUACGAAAAUCUUCACUUCUAAUAAUUAACUUGGCUUGGAUGCAUAGUGGUGUCCUACUUUUUAACUCUUAAUUGAAAGUGAAAUCAUAUUUAACAUCCAUUUUAUGCUAGUCAUAAACUUGAUAUAGAGCAAUGUGCAACUUUUUAACAUUUAAUGCAACUUAGGUGCUAAAGUCUUUACUCAUAUGAAUUAACUAAACUUAGAUGCAUAUUCGUUUCCAACUUUUUUAAUACCUAAUUAAAAUUAAAACCAUAUUUAAAAACCAUGUAGACAAAGGCAUAAUCUUAACAUGGAGCAGUGUAUAACUUUUAGCACUUAAUUAAAAUUGGGAUUAUACUUCACAACCACAUAUUCCUCCUCCUAUUUUUCAAUUUUUUCUUGUGGUGAUGAUUGAACUCAACUAGUUUGUCCAAGUUACCUGCAUACCUUAACAGAGAGGGGAUCAAGUCAAACUUAGUUCAAAGUAUUUUUUUAAUAUCUAACUUUUGCCAAGGCUAAUGAUUUUAAUCUUGAAAGCUUGUCUUAACUUUUGACUAUAUAUGUAGUGUUUUCAAGUUUCAAUUUAGCGACCUAUGAAUUGUACAAAUUGAAAAUGACUUCACUCAUGUGUAAAAAUAAAAGAUAUUCAUUCAUAGUUUUAGGGCAACGAAAAGUAAUCGACCCUUUUUUGCAUUAUUAUUAUUAUUGUUGUUGUUAUUAUUAUAAUUAUUAUAUUACCUUAAAAAAAAGACCUUCUCCAAAAAAUUUAAUCUACAAGUACUUGGAUUCUAUUUGAAUAUAAAAAGAGCCACUCAUAUGCAUGAAUUAAAUAUAUGUCCCAUGGAUAAGUUGUACUUAGCCACGGCUGAAGCUUUCCAUUAUGACUUGAAGGGAAAAAAAAAGAGAGGAGAAUAAUGUCAUUAAAAAACUGAUUGCCAUGUGCCUAUGCCUGCCAGUAGAUGGCUGAAAACUAGUUCUAUUCUUUUGUUUUUGCCUCUACUAAUGAACCAUAAUUGAGAGAUUCAUUGGCAACUAUCGUAUAAACAAUGGUUCAUAAAUUACUUUUAAAUUUUGAUAGCAAAGACUCAAAAUGUAAAACCAUAAAAAAUUUGUUCUAUUCCCAAAUUUUUUUAAAUAAUAAAUUAAUGCACAUGACUGUUUUCACAUCUUAUUCUCAUUUCUAUCAAUGCAAUAAUUGUAAUCAUCUUAUCUAUUAACAUGGCCUAGAGCCAUAGAGCUUCCUUUUCUUUAGUCCUAGAGCCAUUUCAGCUAAGAGUAGUCUUUCCUUAGCAUUUCCGGUCCAAAGCUUCCAUUUCUUUAGGCCUAGAGGCAUUUUCAGUCCAGAGCUGCUGUUUCUUUCGGCCUACAACCAUUUUCAGCCUGAAGCUGCCUUUCUUUAGCAUUUUCAGCCCAGAGCUACCUUUCCUUGGCAUAUCAGCCCAAAGCUUCUAUUUCUUUAGGCCUGGAGCCAUUUCAACAUACAACAUUGGUUUCUUUGGCCGGGCCUUGAGCCCUUUUCAACCCAGAACUGUCAUUUCUUCUAAAUAACUUCUCUUUUAAAAAACUUCAAUUUGUCUUUCCAAUAAAAAAAUUUAAGGCUUUGUUCUAGGUUUCAAGAAGCUGGCAUAGAAAAAAAAAAGGAAAAAAAAAAUUCUUGAUGGCAUAAAGUAGGACAUGGCCGGGAUAGUUUGAAAUACAUAAUUUUCCCCAUUCAAAUGCAAAACAUAUUAAAAGAACAUUUGGCAUGAUUUUAUGAAGUGAUUCUAUCUUUUCUAAUACUUCAAAGUUAUGAAGUGAUUCUAUCUUUUCUAAUACUUCAAAGAUAAAUUUUUUUGAAGUAUUAGAAAAAUUAGAAACAUUUCUUAAAAUCACUACCCUUAACUAUAUUUAGAUACUUUAACCAUUUCAAAUGCUACAUGUUGUUUCCUUCUACAUUUCCUCUUUAUUUUGUUUUUCUCUUACAUUUUUCCUCAAAUUUUCUAAAAACCAAACAUAACCUAAAAGAAAAGAUAAUUUGACUUAUUUUGAAAGUUCUUUAUAUAUAUAGUUUAUAUGGAAAAUUGUUUCAUGUUAAUUUAAUAAAGCAUUUAUAAUAUUGAGAUCGCUCUUUCAUAAUCAUAAAUUAACCUUUAGUUUCAACUUCUACAAGAGGCUAAAUGAAAAAAGCUAUCACAGAGGAGGCCUCAGCCAAUGAGUAAGAUGCACUGUUGUACCAAACAAUAGGUGGAAAAUACAAUUUUAUUAAGACUCUGAGACAAAAAAAAAAAAAAAAAGGAUGAUUUUACACUCAAAACAAGGAUUUAUUUAUAAUGAAGUGCAGUCUCCAUAUGCACAUGUGACUGCAUUUACAGCAUAAAGAAAGACAAGGAAAUUAACAAAUGUUGGACUCAUUGGAAAAUCAUACAAAUUAUUGAAGGAGGACCUUAGCUAAGCUAACUGUCUCCUAAAUUGCCCAUCUUUUAUAUAUAUUUGCAUUCAUCCGUCUCAUCAUCGUCUUUGAUUUUAGAUGGUGAGGAUGUGAAAGUAACAGGAAGCAGUGGACGAUUGUUCACUGUGAGGCUUAGCACAUCAGCUCUCGAAUAAUGUCCUACCACAUCGAACUGGAACUUUGCUUUAGGAAUCUCUCCACGAACAUCUGCAUAUCAAGUGAUCAUCAAAAUAUUUGAUCAGCCCUUUUAAAUAUCAGAGAGUAUCAAGUCUUCCAUAAAACCGUGUUUGCAGUCCUUUUAAACCUAAAGAAUUCACUCAUUUGCCUUAUCUGCAUACUGAAAUAUUUGGAUAUACAAUUGGAGAAGUUAGGGCCAUACCAAGAUCAGCUGUGAAGAGGCCUUCUCCUUCAUAAUUCGGUCCUGCUAGAAUUUCGCCAUGGGGCGAAAUGAUGACACUACCUCCUGCCCAAACAAUGGAAUCUGGAGUGACAUCUUCUUCUGUAGGACUGUAAAGAUACUCAGGUGGAGGUGGGUAAUCUUUCCUCCGACAGAACUGGAUGGGUGAAAGAACAUAGCAUCCACCCUCAAUAGCAACGUGUCUCAUUGUAGCUACCCAUGUAUCCCCGGAAUCGGCAGUAGGAGCACAAUAUAUCUCAAUACCUAUAGAGAUGUACAUUCGUAUUUUGUGAUCAAUCAAUCCCAUAUCAAAGCCAUAAUGUAUUUCAAGCCUAUUUAUAGGCUAAAACCCUAACAACUUAAAAAAGAGUACUGAAGUAUUUCAAGCCAAACCAUAUUAGUUAGUGAAGAAAAAGACAUACCUUUGCCAUACAUUGCUGUCCUUAGAAGCGGCAUUCUAUUUUCCCAACAAAUGACCGAACCAAGUUUUCCAUAUGGAGUGUCAUAAACUGGAGUUGUCGAGCAAUCUCCGAAACCCCAGACGAGCCGCUCCCAAUAUGUUGGCAUGAGUUUCCUAUGUUUUCCAAGGUAAUUACCUUUAGGAUCAAAGAAGAGAACAGUGCAAUACAAUGUGUAUCCCUCUCUCUCAAUAACACCUGUCACUAAGUAGACUCUGUAUUUCGCAGCCAUUGAUGCCAAUCUAUCAACUUCAGGUCCUGAAAAUACAUUAAUUUGAGAUUAAAGAUGAAACAUGUCAGCUGAAGGUUCAUCACAAAGCAGCAUAAGUAGAUUUUGUUUCAACAACUUAUUAAGUGGCUCAGUUCUUUAGCUAUUUAAGGGAGAAAAAGAGAGGUAAUUGACCCGGAACAUUAAUGGCAGAAGCAUGGUACUUGCGGAAACUUUCUUUCCCUCUUGGCGACCGGUCAGCGAAGUUAUAUCCUCGGGGAUACCCACCGAUAAAUGCUUCAGGAAACACAACCAGUUGGGAUCCCAGUGCAGCUGCUUCUUUCAAAAACCUCUCAGCCUUAUCUGCUCUCAAAAUCACAUUGCAAGAAGUAAAUUAAUUGGUUGAAUGGAGAGAAUGAAAAUUAACUUUUAAGAGAUCCCGAAUGACUUUUUGGUUGCUGAGAAAACUCAAGGAAAAACAGACCUAGAUGAAACUUGAAACUCUCAUAUUUUCAGCUGUUUUGUAACUAAGAAAAGAGAAACCACCUCAACUCAACUCAUCAAAAUAAUUGUAAAAGCAGUAAUUCCUUGAUUGGCAGCUGAAAAUAUGAUCAGGGUUCAAUCAUCCUUUUCUUUUUUUCAGUCUCUGAGAAACCAAUUAGAUCACAUAUUCCAUUACACAAGUUGCACAAUUGAAAGAAAUGGUACGUUACCUAGAGUGGCAGGAGUAUCAUAAAAGAUACUAGAAGCUUGAACAACGGUGGCUCUAACAGUUGAAGACAUUGCAGAAAAUUGUAUGUUUUUUCGUUUCCCCUUUGUUUGAGGAUUCCUCACACUGCGUUCAGUAUAUAUAUUGCCCAUGACAUUGUGGACCAGCCACUUGACUUAUACAAAUUGAAAAUGACUGAGUCAUCUGUGAAAAGCAAUUUAAGAUAACAUUCAAAAUUAAUAAGCUUUAAUUUUUAUUUAUAUAUAUAUAUACAUAAUCUACAAGUUGUUAUCAUUAUAUUUGAAUAAAAAGAGGGACCCGCCCACAUGCAUGGAUUCCAUCCAUCUAGCACACAGAUAAAUUGUCUUUAGUGGCGGCUGAGGCUUUCUAUGACUUAUACCAUAUAUCUAUACACCCCAGUAUAUAGCUAAAAACUGGGUAAUGUAUUGGCCCCUACCUAAAAUUAUUGAUUGAUUCAAUGACAGCUAUCUGAGAAAAAUAAAAAAGGGAGAACUAUUCUUACGCUUGCCUUGAUUUAAGCAAAUAUACUUUUAAUUAGGAAUUCUAAUUUUCAUAUUUUACCCCAAACAGAUAAUCAAUAAAAUUAUUCUCCAAAUAUGUAUUUUAAUAGCAACAAAAAUGAGAAUUCCAUAAUUAUCCCUUUUAAAAUCUUUAAUAUGACAAGUCGUAAUUUAAUGUGUUUGGUAGCUCUCCUUUUUCUUUUUUUCUCCUCUACAUCACUUUCUCCAUAUAAUGUCUUUGAUAUCCUCUCCAUAUCAUGUUGUUGAUAUCCUACCUUUGACAUUUUUUUUUAUCUAUGUGUUGAAGUGACUACACUUUUAGAUUUCUUUUCACUCUUUUAAUAUUUUCAUAUAUAUUUAUUAACUUUAAUAAAUUUUUGAAAACAUUAAACAUAAAAUUAUAAUAUAUGAUAAAUAAUUAAUGAUAACAAAUUAAAUAUAAAUAUAAGUAUGAAAUGGACAAAAAAUAAAAAAUUUAUCCUACAAAUAAUAGACUAUAUAGUUUAAAAUAUUAGUUAUAAUAAUAUAUUUGAUACUUUAGAGUUUAGAUUAAAAAAUUAUGUUUUAUUUUUUAGAGGUUAGCAUAUAAUAUUUCCAUUAAACAAAGAUUUUUUUAUAUGAAUCCUAAAUAAAAUGUUUAUUUAUUUUGCAAAUUCUUAUCAUAUGCGAUAUAUAUAUAUAUAUAUAUCAUGUUAUUUAUAAUUUUUAUUAUUUUGUGUCAAAAUCACAGUCAAUGAUGAUAAUUUUAGUUAGUAUAGAGCUCUUAAAAGGAUGAUAUGAUGUAACAAAUAUGAAGUUAUUAAUUAUUUACUGAUAUUCUGGUUUUACUUUUAUUAAUCCUUAUUCCAUACAUUAUAUUUUAUGAGCAUCCUAGUUUGACAUUUCUUAUACUAUACAUGGCUUAGGUGCAUUAGAAGUUGCACGGAAGAUCCAAGUUAUAGAUUCCUUUUUUAAUUCAAUAUUUUAAAAAAAAAAUUAUACUUUCAGUCAAUGUCUCAUAUUUCAAACACGUACACACUCUAGAAUUUCUCGAAUUGUAGUCUAGAAUGUCAACUUAGUGUUUGAUGAAAAAAGGUAUAAACAAAUAUAUGAAAAAAGUAAUCAACAAGCAUAGGAUUCUAUUUGAAUAAAAAAGAGCCACUUACAUGCAUUGAUAAAGGAAACUCCAACUCAGCUAGCAUACAAUCCAUGCCAAAGCAGAAUCUUUACGUAAGAAGUUGAUAAUGCAAUUUGCCAGGAAGGAAAACUACUCUCCAUAUUUGUAAUGUGGAAAAUCAAGGUUGGAAGGAAAUUUUCACUUACUUAUUCUGUAUAAUAUUCCCUUUUUUUUUUUUUUUUGUAAAGAAAGUAUGUAUUGUUUAUUUAUUUUUUAGAAAACAAUUAGUAAAGUGUGGUGCGAAUUCAACCUUUCAAAAAUAGUUUCUAUUCUUCAUGGUAUCGGAGCUAGUUAAUCUAAAACAAUCCAAAGCUUCCAUGGAAACCCCAGAAAAUGUUCUUAGCAUUCAGGCUUUUCAUCAAUGCUCGAGCCUCAUCUCCAUCAAACUGAAUAUGUCCAAUCUCCUUUUGUGGCACUCACAAGUUCUUCCUCUUGUGCGAAGCCUUGGAUUAGUCCAUCAUCUCUCUGAAAAUAGACACGCAUAAGAGGGGAUAAUGGAUAGUGAAACAAAGGAGACCUAUGAUUAGUCAAUAGAGACAUGGUCUCACAAUGAUGAUCUACUUACCUCCUGGCUUCUUGGACCCAUGACAGAAGAAGUGAUUCUUUUAUUGGAUGGAACAGAGAUUGCCUAUGAUGUUUGGAACUCUCUGGAAGAAAAACUCCUUCCAAUGACCAAAGAGAAGGAUAUGCAAUUGACCAAUAGACUCCGAGGGCUGAAGAAAGGCACAAGGUCCCUUGAUGAAUAUCUAAGGGAGUUCAAAGAAAUUUUUGAUGCAUUAGCUACAGUUAGAAAACCAGUAAGUGACCUAGACAAAGUUUUUCAACUAGCUCAAGGUCUCAUAACUAAAUACAUGGAUUUUCGGGUGGCCAUGUUAUCAAAGCCACCAUAUCCCUCUUACAAUCAAUUUGUUCUGGCUCUACAAGGGCAUGAACAAAUGAUUAUGAUAGAAAAUGAAGAGAACAAAGAGUCAAUAAACCAUGAACAAGCCUAUUUUACCCAAUGAGGAAGACGAAGAAAUCAAGGAGGAAGAUUUCUUUCUAGAGGUCAUGACUUCAUUCUAGCAAGACGAUUCAAUCACAAUGCUACCAAUGACCAAAGGCAGAAUGUUCAUCCCAACACCAGAAAUCCAAGAAAUAGCUUCAACAACCAGCUUCCACCAGAACAAAAACUCCAAAAAUCUAAAGGUACUCUUAUUUACCAAAUUUUUAAUAAAGCUAACCAUUCAGCUUUGGAUUGCUAGAACAGAUUCAACUAUUUGUAUCAAUCAGAAGAGAUUCCUCAAGCUUUGGCUGCUAUGGCUCUAAAUGAAGAAGAUAAGGAUCCUAAUUUUUAUGUGGACUCGAGAGCAAAAACCCAUAUAACAAAUGACCUAGGUAAGAUUACCCAAGUAAUUCCAUAUAAAGGGCAUGAUGCAAUUUUUGUUGGAAAUAGAGAAGCUGUAAGAAUCUCACAAAUUGGUGAAGCUAGACUAAAAACUAAACAUAUAGAUCUAAAGCUUAAAAAAUUAUUGGUUAUUCCAAAAAUUAAGAAAAAAUUGUUAUCCAUUGGACAACGUACCUCUGAUAACCCAUGCUCCAUAGAAUUCUCAUCAACUAGUUUUGUCAUUAAGGAUCAACUUCAACAAGUGCUAGCUAGAGGAACUAAGAAGAGAGGUCUCUAUGCAUUGGAGGAAAAUGUGAUUCAAGCCAUGAUAGUUACUAGGUCUAGCAAGGCACCAUAAGAAGUGUGGCAUCAACGCAUGGGGAAUCUGCAAACAAAAUCUAUAAAGCUUCUACAAGAUAAGAAUUUCAUUGAAGUAUCUAGUUGGAUGAAAUCAACAAUAGUUUGUGUUAGUUUUCAAUUAGGAAAAAGUUGUAAAGUUUCUUUUGGCUUAAAAAAUAAAAUUUCCAGCAAUCUUCUUGAAAAAAUUCAUUGUGACUUAUGGGGACUUGCACCAAAUAAUUCAACUCAAGGAUACAAGUAUUAUGUUGUCUUUAUUGAUGAUCAUACUCACUAUACAUGGCUUUAUCCCUUGAGAAGAAAAUCAAAUUUCUAUGAAUGUUUUUUGAAGUUUCAAAAUCUGGUUGAGAAUCAACUUGAAAGAUAGAUAAAAAUCUUCCAAAGUGAUGGUGGAGGUGAGUUUCAAUCAAUUAAAUUUCAAAAUCACCUAAGCAAGUGUGGAAUUUUGCAACGAGUCUCAUGCCCAUGAACUCCAGAACAAAAUGGGGUUGUAGAGAGAAAGCAUAAACACAUUGUUGAAAUGGGUUUAACAAUGCUUUUCAAUGCCAAAUUACCAUUGAGUCUAUGGGUAGAUGCAUUCCAUACUGUCGUAUACCUUAUUAAUCGACUGCCUUCCAUGGUGUUGAAAAUGUAGAGUCCAUUCUUUAUGUUUUUCAAACAAUAUCCAGAAUAUAGGAGCUUGAGAAUUUUUUGUUGUCGAUGUUUUCCAUACCUUUGAGACUACGGGAAGAAUAAAUUCUCACCUAAGAUAUCUCCAUGUGUUUUUAUUGGAUAUAGCUCUCUACACAAGGGUUAUAGAUGCUUGCAUCCUUCAACUAAAAGAGUUUACAUAUCUCAUCAUGUCAUCUUCAAUGAAAAUUGCUUUCCUUAUGCUAACUCUCUUGUUAAGAAAAAUCAUUUACAGAUUCCUAUAGAAAUGGUAUCAUUCUCAACUUCAGAUGUUUUUUGUGAGACUUAAAAAAUGGAUCACCAAACUAAGUCUUGGAAGGAGAACACUGCUAACCAAUCAAGCAACUCCAAGAAGUUCAACCAUUGGUCAUGCACUACUAGGUAAAGAAACUGGUUUAGUGUUGACGGAAGAAUUUCUACUAGUUGUAUUACUAACCAAAAUACAAAAGCAUCAUGUGUUAAUCCGACUGGAACUCCCACUACUAUUACUGUUGAAAUUUCCACUAUUGUUACUAGUAAAAAUGACCAUAAUACCGUCAUUACUACUGAAACUCCCACUGAUGUUGCUCUUGGUUCUAGUGGCCACAAUUUCAACACUGCAACUACUAUUGGAACACUCUCCUAGAUUGAGUCUACUAGUAGCUACAAGCCUGCCAAUGUUAGUAAUUUUCCUUAUAUCAGUAAGCACCUAGUAGUUGAUCUCUCUUUCCCUUAAAAAUGGCAGAAAAAUGAGCAUGUUGGUUCAUCUCCGCAAAACAAAUCCACCAGUCACAGUGUUGAUGAUGAAGUUCCUGAUAUUAGCAAGCAAAUUGUUGUUGACAUCUCUUCUCCUCAGGGCUAACACAUAGAUAACAAAGAAACUCAUAUGAUCACCAGAAGUAAACUCAAGAAUGAUCCCAGUUUAAAGUCUCAAAUGGUUACUUUUGUUGCCAUAAGAAGUAAUAUUAGUGAGCCAAAAACAUAUUGUACAACAUUGAAAAUUCCCUAUUGGUUCAAACAAUGCAAGAGGAAAUUAAGGAUUUAAUCCAAAAUCGAACAUGGGAUUUGGUUCCUAGGCCUCCAACUGCAAAUAUUGUGGGUUCUAAAUGGGUGUUUAAAACAAAGCUAAAGGAAGAUGGAACCAUAGAUAGAUACAAAGCACAAUUAGUUGCUAGAGAUUUUUCUCAAAUACCGGGUUUGGACUUUGGAGAGACCUUCAGCCUAGUUAUAAAGCAUACUAUAAUCAGAUUGAUCCUUUCAUUAUCAGUAACCUUGGGGUGGACAAUGAGGCAAUCAGAUGUUAAGAAUGCCUUCAUACAUGGGUUUCUAAAGGAAAAAGUACUCAUGGAACAACCUCCAGGAUUUAUAAACAAGGACUUUCUGAAUCAUGUCUACAAAUUGAAUUGUUCUCUUUAUAGCCUUAAGCAAGCUCCAAGGGCCUAGUUAAAUAAACUAUUUCAAUGUCUUCUUCAUCUGGGGUUUUACUGUGGUAAAAUAGACUCGUCUUUAUUUAUUCUUCGCAAAGGUCAGUCUAUUGUUUUGCUACUUAUCUAUGUUGAUGAUAUUAUAGUCACAGGCAAUGAUAACAACAUCAUUAGUGACCUCAUCAGCACCCUGAGUAGUGAAUUUUCUCUCAAGGACUUAGGAUUUUUGCAUUAUUUUUUGGGAUUGGAGGUUAAAUAUCUUCUUAAUGGGUUGUUUCUUUCUCAAACAAAGUACACUAGAGAUCUCCUAGAGCACACAAAAAUGAUGGAGUGUACUCAUAUCAACACAUCCAUGGCUCUUAAGUCCAUCAUCACACCUUCUGAUGAACAACCUAUUGAUCCUACAUGAUAUAGGUAACUUGUUGGAUUCCCCUAAUAUUUAACCUUCACAAGGCUUGAUUUUGUGCAUGCAGUAAACAAGGCCUACCAACAUUUCCAAGCACCCACUAAAGUUGACUUGCAAGCUGUCAAACGCAUCCUUAGAUAUUUGAAGGAAACAAUGGAGCAUGGAAUCAGGUUUUUCAAGCAAAGUUCGCUUCGUCUCACUGGUUUUUGUGAUGCUGAUUGGGCAGGAUGCACAAACACAAGAAGAAGCACAUCUAGGUAUUAUAUUUUUCUAGGAGCCAAUUGUAUCUCAUGGUCCUCAAAGCGACAACCUACAAUUUCUAGAUCAAGCACCGAGGCCAAAUAUCGAUCCCUUGCGUCCAGUGCUGCAGAAAUAACUCGGCUUACUUUCCUUCUCCAUGAUAUUGGCAUUCAACUAUGUGAACCUUCUCAAUUUCUAUGCGAUAACCUCAGUGCCCUUCACAUGACAGUACAUCUCGUCUUCCAUGCAUGGUCCAAGCAUAUUGAGUUGGACUAUCAUUUUAUUCGGAAAAAAAGUUGCAAGUGGAGUUUUGAUUACUUGUUUCCUUCCAUCGUCCUUACAAGUAGCUGAUAUAUUCACAAAGACACUCCCUAAGACUUCAUUCCAAGUCUUUCGAUUCAAGCUAGGAGUGCACAAGUUACCACUCACUAGCUUGCAGGGGGCUAAUAAAGGAAAGUCAAACUCAACUAGCAUACAAUCCAUGCCAAAGCAAUCUUUACGUGAGAAGUUAGUAAUGCAAUCUGCUAGGUAGGAAAACUACUCUCAAUAUUUGUAAUGUGGAAAAUCAAGGCUGGAAGGAAAUCUUCACUUACCUGUUCUGUAUAAUAUUCCCUUUUCUAUGCAAAUAAAGUAUGUAUUGUUUAUUUAUUUUUUAGAAAAAAUCAGUAAAGCGUGGUACAAAUUCAAUCUUUCAAAAAUAGUUUAUGUUCUUCAUGCAUGGAUAAUAAAUCCCAUGGAUAAAUUGUAUUUAGCAGCGGCUGAAGCUUUCUAUAUGACUAAAGAGAAAAAAAGUCAUUAAAAAACUAAUUGCCAUGUGACUACGUCUACCAGUAGAUAGUUGAGAACAAGGUCUAACUCUUAACCUUUUGUACUACCUUUACAAAGGAACACAAAAUUGAGAGAUUCAAAGGCAACUAUAGUAUAAAUAUUGUUUCAUAAAUUACUUUUCAAAUUUAAUUUGAUAACAAAAAUUUAGAAUACAAAAGUAUGAAAAAUUUGUUCCAUUCCCAAAAUUUUUGCAAAUAAAAUUUUAAAGUAAUAAAUUAACACCAUGACUCUUUUCACAUCUUAUUCUCCUUUCUAUCAAAGAAAUGAUAGUAAUAAUCUUAUCUAUAAAUUUUAAAUGAGGCAAGAUCAUUGAAUUUUUAUUUUCUUUUAUUUUCUUGUUAUGUAAUUAUCAAACACAUUUUUUUUUUAAGACAAAAAAAAAUUAGACUGAAGAAAUAUAUUUUUGCCCUGAUUUAGUCACUUGGAUUGCAAUUCGAAGGAUGGAAAUAAAAGUGUAUUCUUGGAGUUAAAGAUCAAUUGAAAGCUUAAAGCGGCUUGUUCUCGAAUGAAUUUAAUGAAUGACGAAGAAUACAUGUGUUGUAAUUUUUUGGAUUUGUAGGGGAAUUUUAUGAAGCUCUUUUCUCUUUGUCAGGCUUCUUUUUUUGUAUGAUUUUUUUUCUUCAUCAUUUUCAUUCAAGGAAGUCGCAUAUAUUUAGAGAUGAAAUUAAAAAAUUAAAUUUAGAAUUCCUAAGAUUUGAUUACUUAAUUAAAAAAAAUUGGUUUCUUGAUUUUAGCAACUUGUCUCCUCUAUUAAGGAAGUUUGCUAAUAAGAGAAUAUUUAAUUAUCAUUUUCUUUUGACUUCAAUUAGAAGAUUUGAUUCGUUUGUUCAUAAAAUUUGAAAACAAAAAAAAAAAUUAUUUCUAUUUUUUUAUUUCAAUUGUUUAAUUUAAUUUGAUUUUGGAAGACUUUAUUUUAUAGUUUUCCAAAUUUUGUUACAUGUCAUUUUUUGAAUUGCAUGUUACAUAUUCAAUAUACAUGACCCAUCACUUAUUAAGCAUAAAUUUCGUUGAGCUAAGGAGUUACAAUUUUGAAGACUAAUUUGAUAGUAUUUUAAUCCACUAAAAUUUUUUAUGUCUACAAAUGCCCCGUCUUCAAGACAAACACACACAUGCAUUGUCAUGUAUAAAAGAUGAGUCUUGAAGUUAGCAUUUUGAAUCUUUAAUAUCCUUCUUUGAUAUUUUUUUUUUCAAAGAAAUAUUUUAAUAGGAAAUUUCCUAUUUCAAAAUACCUUUCUUCAACUUUUUCCAAAAACGACUUUAUUUUCUUCCUUUUUUUCUACCUGGUAUCAAGGAAAGACUUUGUGUUAAUGGGAAAGUUUCUUAUUUGAACAUAUAUUUGCUUUUCUCAUGGUAUUUUCACUUCCAAUUUAUCAUCCUACAAGAAGUCCUUCACCCUUGGUCGAUUGUAUCUUAGACUUGAUCACAUGCCUUUAACUUGUAAUUCUUGCUCCACUUUAUUUAUUUUAUUUUAUUUUAUUUUAUUUUUAAAAAAGAAUACAAUGUAUAUGAGCAAGACCUUGAGCAAGAGGAGCAAGGUGGAGGGUGGAGCAUGAGCUAGCCUUAGGGUAAGACCUUGAGCAAGAGAAGUAAUGUGGAGUGUAGAUCACAAACUUCUCUGGAGCAUGGUAGGCAUACCGUCACAGAAUUGUCUUCCACAUGGAGCAUGGUAGGGUUUAUACAUAUGAUAGGGUGUGCCAUCAUGUAACAAUGAAGAACAACAAUCCAUGGUGUACAAUUGGGAACAACAAUUCAUGCUAUCAAGCUUCAACAUUUUUUUUUACCCCCAUCUCCAUUUUUUCAACUUCUUUUUUUUUUUUUUGUCCUUUUUUUUUCCCUUUUUUUAAGCAUUGUUUUUAAGGAAGAAAUAGGUUUGCCAUCCCUUACUAUGAGGUCAAUAUCCAUCACUUGCAAAGACAAAUUUGCUUUUUGAUAUUUUUUCUUCUUCAAUAAUUAACUUAACAUUUUAAUAUAUAUAUAUAUAUUUUAACAAACUUGAAUAUUCAUAAUAAAAUAAAUAUUUAAUGUCUUUACUCAUCCAAAUUAGCUUGACUUGAAUACUUAGUAGAUCCAUACUUAACACCCAUGUAGACGAGCUGUAACCUUGAUGGCAGGUUGUGUUGUAUUUUCGACACUUAAUGUGCCUUAAGAGUUAAAGUCUUCUCUCAUACAAAUUAGCUUGGUUUGGAUGCACAAUGGUGUGUAACUUUUUAACACUUUAUUAAACUUGGAACCAUAUUUAACACCCACGUAGACAAGUCAUAAUCAUGACAUGGAUCACUGUUUUAUUUUUAGCUCUUAAUGUGGCUUAAAUAUUAAAUUCUUCACUCAUACAAAUUAAAUUGGGUUAGAUGCACAAUGGUGUUCAACUUGUUAACAGUUAAUUAAAAUUAGAACCAUAUUUAACACCCAUACAAACAAGUCAUAACUUUGACGUGGAGCAGUGUUGUAUCUUUGGCUUAAUGCCGCUUAAGUGUUAAAGUCUUCACUCAUAUGAAUUAGCUUCACUUAGAUGCAUAGUUGUAUUAUACUUUUUAACACUUAAUUUAAAUUUGGACCAUAUUGAAAACCCAUGUGAACAAGACAUAACCUUGUAGUGGUGUUAUAUUUUUGACACUUAAUGUAGCUUAAAUGCUAAAGUCUUCACUUCUAUGAAUUGGUUCACCUUGGAUGAAUAGUGAUGUCUAAAUUGUAAUAAUUAAAAUUGAAACCAUAUUUAACACUCAUGUAGAUAAUCAUAACUUUGACGUAAUGGCAUUGUAUUUUUGACACUUAAUGCAGCUUAGGUGCUAAAGUUUUCACUCAUGAGAAUUGGUAUGAGUUAGAUGCAUUGUGGUGUCCAACUUUUUAACACUCAAUUAAAAUUGGAACCAUAUUUAACACCAAUGUAGAUAAGUCAUAACCUUGACGUGAAGCGAUAUUGUAUUUUUGACACUAAAUGCAACUUAGGUGCUAAAGUCUUCACCCACGCAAAUUGGUUCAUCUUGGAUGCACAAUGGUGUCGAAUUUUUUUAACAUAUAAUUAAAAUUUGAACCAUAUUUGACACUCAUGUAGACAAGUCAUAACCAUGAUGUAGAGUAGUGUUGUAUUUUUAACACUUAAUAUGACUUUACUGGUAAAUUCUUUACUCAUGUGAAUUGCCUUGAUUUGGAUGCACAACUAACUUUUUAACAUUUUAUUAAAUUGGGUAUCAUAUGUGUUGUUUUUUUAACACUUAAUACGACUUUAGUGGUAAAUUCUUUACUCAUGUGAAUUGUCUUGAUUUGGAUGCACAAUGAUGCCUAACUUUUUAACAUUUUAUUAAAUUGGUAUCAUAUUUAACACCAAUGUAGACAAGUCAUAACUUUAAUGUAGAUGCGGUGUAGUAUUUUUGGCACUUAAUAUUGUUUAAGUGCUAAAGUCUUCACUCAUGUGAAUUUUCUUGGUUGAGAUGCACAAUGGUGUGUAACAUUUUAACAUUUAAUUAAAAUUGGAACCAUAUUUAACACUCGUGUAGAGAAGUCAUAACCUUGACAUGGAGUAAUAUGCAAUUUUUUUAUAUUUAAUAUGACUUAAGUGCUAAAGUUUUCACUCAUGCGAAUUGACUUGACUUGGAUGCAUAGUGAUGUCUAACAUUUUAACACUUAAUUAAAAUUAGAGCUAUAUUUAAUAAUCAUGUGGACAAGAAAUAACUUUGACGUGAAACAAUAUUGUAAUUUUGACACUUAAUGUUGCUUAAAUGCCAAAGUCUUCACUCAUACAUAUUGACUUAGCUUGGAUGAAAAGUGGUAUCCAACUUUUUGACACUUUCUUAAAUUUGGAAUUAUGUUUAACAUCAAUAUAGACAAGUAAUAACCUUGACGCAGAGUGAUGUUAUAUUUUUAGCACUUAAUAUAGCUUAAGUGCUAAAAUAUCCACUUCUAAGAAUUGACUUGGCUUGGAUGCAUAAUGGUGUCCUACUUUUUAACACUUAAUUGAAAGUGAAAUCAUAUUUAACACCCAUUGUAUGCUAGUCGUAAACUUGAUAUAGAGCAUUGUGCAACUUUUUAACACUUAAUGCGACUUAAAGUGCUAAAGCCUUUACUCAUAUGAAUUAAUUGAACUUAGAUGCACAUUUGUUUCCAACUUUUUAAUACAUAAUUAAAAUUAAAACCAUAUUUAAAAACCAUGUAGACAAAGACAUAAUCUUAACAUGGAGCUAUGUAUAACUCUUAACACUUAAUUAAAAUUGAGAUUACACUUAACAACCACAUAUUCCUCCUAUUUUUCAAUUUUUUCUUGUGGUGAUGAUUGAACUUAACUAGUUUGUCCAAGUUGCCUAUAUACCCUUAACAGAGAGGGAAUCAAGUCAAACUUAGUUCAAAGUAUUUCUUUUAAUCUCUAACUUUUGCCAAGGCUAAUGAUUUUAAUCUUACAAGCUUGUCUUAACUUUUGACCAUAUAUGUAGUCUUUUUAGGUUUCAAUUUAACGGCCUAUAUAUGACUUGUACAAAUUGAAAAUGACUUCAAUCAUGUGUAAAAAAUAAUAAAAGAUAUUCAUUCCUAGUUUUAGGGCAACGAAAAAUAGUUGAUCCUUUUUUAUAUUAUUAUUAUUGUUGUUGUUAUUAUAAUUAUUAUUUCACCUUACAAAAAGACCUUCUGCAAUUAAUAUUUUAUACAUAUAUAUAUAUAUAUAUUUUAUCUUUUAUAUAUUUAGUUUUCAUAGUAUUUUUUAAUUCAAUAUAUAUAUUUUUUAAAUAUCUAUACUUUCGGUCAAUGUCUCAAAUUUAAAGCACGUGCAUGCUCUAGAAAUUCUCAAGUUGUAGGCUUGUGGCCUACAAUGUCAACUUAGAGUUUGAUGAAAAAGCGCAUAAACAAAGACAAAAAAAUUAAUCUACAAGUACUUGGAUUCUAUUUGAAUAAAAAAGAGCCACCCACAUGCAUGGAAUAAAUAUAUAUCCCAUGGAUUAGUUGUAUUUAGCCACGGCUGAAGCUUUCCACUAUGACUUAAAAAAAAAAAAAAAGAGGAUAAUGCCAUUAAAAAACUGAUUGCUACGUGGGUAUGCCUGCCAGUAGAUGGCUGAAAACUAAGUUCUAUUCUUUUCAAUAGUUGAGAGAUUCAAUGGCAACUAUCGUAUAAACAAUGUUUCAUAAAUUACUUUUAAAUUUUGACAGCAAAGACUAAAAAUGUAAAACCAUAAAAAAUUUGUUCCAUUCCCAAAUUUUUAAAAAUAAAAUUGAAAAUAAUAUAUUAACGCCCAUGACUGUUUUCACAUCUUAUUCUCAUUUCUAUCAAUGCAAUCAUCGUAAGCAUCUUAUCUAGAAAUAUGGCCUAGAGCCAUAGAGCUGCCUUUUCUUUAGUCCUAGAGCCAUUUCAUGAGCUAAUAGUAGUCUUUCCUUAGCAUUUCCAGCCCAAAGCUCCCAUUUCCUUAGGCCUAGAGACGUUUUCAGCCCAGAGCCGCUGUUUCUUUCGGCCUAUAACCAUUUUCAGCCUGAAGCUGCCUUUCUCUAGCAUUUUCAGCCCAAAGCUUCCUUUCCUUGGCAUAUUAGCCCGAAGCUUCUAUUUCUUUAGGCCUGGAGCCAUUUCAACCCAGAACUGUCAUUUCUUCUAAAUAGCUUCUCUUUUAAAAGACUUCAGUUUGUCUUUCUAGUCACAAAAUUUAAGGCUUUGUUCCAGGUUUGAAGAAGCUGGUAAAAAUCUGGCUGUUGACUAAGCUCAACUAAAAAACAGUAAAGCUUGCUGACCUGGGUAAUAAAUAACAGCUAUCUUGGCAGUAUUGUUAGUUAGUUAGAGGUUUUUUUUUUACUAUUAUAAAAGGUGCAGACUUGGGAAAACUGAAAUAAGGUAUUCAAUUGUACAGAAUAGAGAGCAAGAAAAGCAGAGAGCUUUGAAAUCCAUAACCACAGGUCUGUUUCGGUUUUCCUAUAGAGAAAAGAAAGAAACAGAGGUGAGGAGGGUUCUUGGGGAAAGCCUAUAAGUUCUUUGUUUUUUAUUCUUGUGUAAAUUCUGGUUGGUACAAUUUAAUAAAGGCUUCAGGAAAUCAGUGUGAAUGUAGAUCAAGUUGAUCGAACCACGAUAAUUCUCUUGUGUUCUUGAUCUUGGUUGAUUGUCUACAAGCUGUUUGAUUUUAUUCCUAAGAGAAGUUCUUGCAAACUGGUUGUCUUUUUCUGGUUUAGUUUCUGCUCUAAUAGUCCCUAAUUCAAGACUGGCUUUUCUCAACAGCAUGGUUUGAAACACAUAAUUUUCACCAUUCAAAUGCAAAACAAUUAACUAAUUUCAAAUGCUAUGUGUUGUUUCCUUCUAAUUUCCCCUUUAUUUUUUUUUCUCUCCUAUUUUCCUUCAAAUUUUUGGAAAACCAAACAGAGCCUAAAAGAAAAGAUAAUUUUACUUAUUUUGAAAGUUGUUUCAUGUUAAUUUAAUGAAGCAUUUAUAAUAUUAAGAUCGCCCUUUCAUAAUCAUGAGGUAACCUUAGUUUCAACUUCUACAAGAGGCUAAAUGAAAAAAGCUAUCACAGAGAAGAAGGCCUCAGCCAAUGAGUGGAAAAUACAAUUUUAUUAAUACUUGAUAUCAAAAAAAAGAAAAAAAAAAAAAAGGAUGAUUUUACUUUCAAACCAAGGAUUUAUUUAUGUUGAAGUGCAGUCUCCAUAUGCACAUGUGACUGCAUUUACAGGAUAAAGAAAGACAAGGAAAUUAACAAUGUUGGACUUACUGGAAAAUCAUACAAAUUAUUGAAGGAGGACCUUAGCUAGGCUAACUGUCUCCUAAAUUGCCCAUCUUUUAUAUAUCUUUGCAAUCAUCCAUCUCAUCAUCAGCUUUGAUUUUAGAUGGUGAGGAUGUGAAAGUAACAGGAAGCAGUGGACGAUUGUUCACAGUGAGGCUUAGCACAUCAGCUCUCGAAUAAUGUCCUACCACAUCGAACUGGAACUUUGCUUUAGGAAUCUCUCCACGAACAUCUGCAUAUCAAGUGAUCAUCAAAAUAUUUGAUCAGCCCGUGAUAAAUAUCAUAGAGUAUCAAGUCUUCCAUGAAACCAUGUUUGCAGUCCUUUUAAACCUAAAGAAUUGACUCAUUUGCCUUAUCUGCAUACUGAAAUAUUUGGAUAUACAAUUGGAGAAGUUAGGGCCAUACCAAGAUCAGCUGUGAAGAGGCCUUCUCCUUCAUAAUUUGGUCCUGCUAGAAUUUCGCCAUGGGGCGAAAUGAUGACACUACCUCCAGCCCAAACAAUAGAAUCUGGAGUGACAUCUUCUUCUGUAGGACUGUAAAGAUACUCAGGUGGAGGUGGGUAAUCUUUCCUCCGACAGAACUGGAUGGGUGAAAGAACAUAGCAUCCACCCUCAAUAGCGAUGUGUCUCAUUGUGGCUACCCAUUUAUCCCCGGAAUCGGCAGUAGGAGCACAAUAUAUCUCAAUACCUAUAUAUAUGAACAUUGGUAUUCUGUGAUCAAUCAAUCCCAUAUCAAAGCCACAAUGUAUUUCAAGACUGCUUAGAUUAAAACCCUAAUAAUGUAAAAGGGUGCUGGAGGUCCUAUUUGGUAAUUGUCUUCGGAACAGUUUUGAGAAAUAGUUUUUGAAAGUUGUUCUUUAAUAGUUUAUAAAACAUAAGAAUAUUUGAAACCUAAAAUAUAUUCAACUUAUUAAAAAUAAUUUUUAUAUUUAAUACUUUAUUUUUAAAUAUUCUUCAUAUUUAUAUAAUUAUUUUUUAAAACAACCUUAAAAACAAAUGAAAACAAUGAAGAAAAAAGUUUAAAAAAUAUUAUCUGAAAACAUUUUGUUUUAUGUUUCUAAGAAAAAACAAAAAGCGGUAUUCUAAUUGUCAAUUGUGUUUUCCUAAAUUUUUUUUGGAUAACAAAAGAUUCCUCUAAAAUAUAAUUGUGAAACAAAGCCAAACUAUUUCAAGCCAAACCAUACUAGUUAAUGAAGAAAAAAAAAUGGUAAAAGAUGUACCUUUGCCAUACAUUGAUGUCCUGAAAAGAGGCAUUCUAUUUUCCCAACAAAUGACCGAACCAAGUUUUCCAUAUGGAGUGUCAUAAAUUGGAGUUGUCGAGCAAUCUCCGAAACCCCAGAAGAGCCGCUCCCAAUAUGUUGGCAUGAGUUUCCUAUGUUUUCCAAGGUAAUUGCCUUCAGGAUCAAAGAAGAGAACAGUGCAAUACAAUGUGUAUCCAUCUCUCUCAACAACACCUGUCACUAAGUAGACUUUGUAUUUCGCAGCCAUUGAUGCCAAUCUAUCAACUUCAGGUCCUGAAAAUACAUUAAUAUGAGAUCAAAGAUGAGACAUGUAAGCUGAUGGUUCAUCACAAAGCAGCAUAAGUAGAUUUUGUUUCAAUAACUUAUUUAAGUGGUUCAGUCCUCUAGCUAUUUAAGGGAGAAAGAGAGGGGUAACUGACCCGGCACAUUAAUGGCAGAAGCAUGGUACUUGCGGAAGCUUUCUUUCCCUCUAGGAGACUGGUCCGCGAAGUUGUACCCACGGGGAUACCCACCGAUAAAUGCCUCAGGAAACACAACCAGUUGGGAUCCCAAUGCAGCUGCCUCUUUCAGAAACCUCUCAGCCUUAUCUGCUCCCAAAAUCACAUUGCAAGAAUUAACAAUUCAUGACUUAGGAAGUAAAUUAAUUGGUUGAAUAGAGAAUGAAAAUUCACCUCAAGAUAUCCCAAAUGACUUUUUGGUUGCUGAGAAAACUUAAGGAAAAGGAGACCUAAAUAAAACUCGAAACUCACAUAUUUUCAGCUGUUUUGUAACUAAGAAAAAAGAAACCACCUCAACCAACUCAUCCAAAUAAUUAUUGUACAAGCAGUAAUUCCUUGAUUGGCAGCUGAAAAUAUGAUCAGGGUUCAAUCAUCCCUUUCUUUCUUUCAGUUUCCCAGCAACCAAUCAGCUCACUGAUUCUCUUACAGAAGUUGCAGAAUUGAGAGAAAUGGCACGUUACCUAGAGUGGCAGGAGUAUCAUAAAAGAUACUAGAAGCUUGAACAACGGUGGCUCUAACAGUUGAAGACAUUGCAGAAAUCGUAUGUUUUUUCGUUUCCCCUUUGUUUGAGGAUUCCUCACACUGCGUUCAGUAUAUAUAUAUCGCCCAUGAACAAGAGGUUCCUCUGCCAUUACUUGAACAAGACGGAAAGGCUUUGAAAAGUCUGACUUGGUUUUCUAUACUCAUGGUGAGGUUUUAUCCUCAUCACAAAUUUUUAAGUUAUCCGCAGACAUAGUGGACCAGCCACAUGACUUGUACAAAUUGAAAAUGACUGUCACAUGGGAUUUUUUGUAAUUUUUAAAAAUAAUUCCCAAAUGUAGUGGAAAAAAUAAUUCUAAAUCUAACAUAGUUUUUGCAAGAUAGAAAAGAAAAAAAUAAAAAUCUUUAUUUCCUUUAAAAAAAAAUUAUAAUGAAAGAAUCGUCUUUUGAAAAGACAAUUUCUCAAAUUUUUUUUUAAAAAAUAAAAUCUAUCGGUUAGAAAUUGUCUCUUGAAAAUCGUCAGAGAUGAUUUUCAAAAAUUCAUUUUUUCAUUUUCUCUUUUUUUUUUUCAAUAAUAUUUUACUAAAUAAUAUAUUUAUACAAUUAUGAUUUUUUUCCUUUUAAAAAAUUAUAAUGAAAAAUUCUCUUUGGAAAAGAUGAUUUCUUAAAUUUCUAAAAAAUAAAAAUAAAAAUCUAUAGGCUAGAAAUCAUCUCUUGAAAAGACGAUUUUCGGAAAAAAAAAAAAAUUAGGGAGAAAUUGUCUCUUUCUCCAUUGAUUAAAAAAACUGGAGAAAUCUUCUCAAGAUGAUUUCUUAAAAAUAAAAAGAAACAUAGAAAAAAAAGUCAGUCAAUUUUCAAAAAUUUUGUUUUCUAUUAGGAAAUAUAUAUUUUACCAAAUAAUAUAUUUAUACAAUAAUAUAUAUAUAUAUAUAUAUAUAAAUUGAUUAAUUUUAUUUACUAAAUUUAAUAUGUAAAAAUAAUUAUAAUUAUUGAUAUAUUUAUCAACAAUAAUAUUUAUAAAAAUAUAAAUUAUGUUUAGCAUCCGAUAUUUAAAAAUAUUAUUUUAUAUUAAGUUAGACAUUAAUUUUAAAAAUAUUUUGUUCUUUAUCUUCAGUUUUAUCUUUAAAUUAAUUCCAUUAAUUGUAACUAAUAAAUUAAUUUAGUUUUAUAUUUUUAUUAUUUAUAAUAUAAAUAAUAUUUUAUCUCAUUCUCUUUUUUACUAUCUCACCUUUCUCUCACCUAUUUAUUAAUGGAAUCAAAUUGAAUAAUUUUUCAAUCAUUUUUCUCCAACAAAUUGAACAUGAGAGAUAAAUGAUUAAAAAUUAUUAAUGUCAAAUGCAUUUUUAAAGUAAAUAAUUUUUAAAUACCUCAUCAAAUAUUAUUCUUUUAUUAAAACUUACAUAAUAUAUAAUAAAUAUUUUUUAAAUACCUUGGAAACUUACAUAAUAUAUAAUAAAUAUUAUUCUUUAUUUCAAACUUAUGUUAUUUAUCAUAUAUAUUAAACAAUUUUUAAACACCUUAUAAAAUAUUAGUAUUCUUUAUUUGUUCUAACUUGCAAAUUAGACAUAAUCAAAUAUUAUAUAUUUUUUUUCAAACUUAAGAAUAUAUAAUAAAUAUUUUUUAAAUACAUUGGCAAAUAUUUUUUUUUCUUACUUACAAAAUUAAAAAUAUGUUGUACAUUAUUUCUUAUAGGUCUUAACGACAUAGUUUGGUUAAAAAAAAAAAAAAAAACUAUCAAUAAUCGUCCUAAUGUCAAGCUCAAGUUGUUUAAAAAUCGCACAAAACCUAUUAGGAGCCUUGUACACCCUUGUAUACUUGACACAUUUCUCUUGUAUAAUUAGUGUAACAUUGUACAAUGGUGCAAAUUUCAUAUCCCUCCUAAGUUGUGUCUAUAUAGGUGUGUUAACCAUGUUUCCAAUGGUUUGGUUGAGAAAAAAAUGACUUAUGGUCAAAUUUUUUUCUCCAAACAUCAUUAUUGGGAAAAUCAUUGGAAUUUCCAUGUGGAAGUUAAAUAAAGUGCAUGACAUGGGUAUACAAUCCUUGGGUGACAAGGAAAAUAAAAAAGUGGUUUAGAAUCAAUUGAAAUCUUUCACAAAUGGUAGUCUUGUAUACCCUUGUACACUUAGUAUAUUUCCCAUCUUUAAUACCUUUGUAUAGUGGCACAAAUUUCAUAUCCCUCCUAAGUUAUGUUCACAUAAGUGUGUUAGCCAUGUUUCCAAUUAUUUGGUUGAGAAAAUGUUGGAUGAAUUAGGGUCAAUUUUUUUUUCCCUAAACAUCAUUAUUGGGGAAAAUAUUGGAAGUUCCAUGUGAGAGUUAAAUAAAGUGUAUGACAUGAAUGUAUAAUCUGUGGGUAACAAGGCAAAAAAAAAAAGAAAAAAAAAGGGGUUCAUAAUUGAUUGAAAUCUUUCACAAAUGGUAGCCUUAUACACUCUUUUGCACUUAGUACAUUUCUCUUGUACAAUUAGUGUAAUACUUUUGUACAAUGGCACAAAUUUCAUCUCCUUCAUAAAUAAUGUAUCCACAUAGGUAUGUUAACCAUUUUCUCAAUGGUUUGGUUGAUAAAAUGUUGGAUGACUUAGGGUUAAAUUUUUUUCCCUAACAUCAUUGUUAGGGAAAACAUUGGAAUUUUCAUAUGAGAGUUAAAUAAAGUGUAUGACAUGAGUGUACGAUCCGUGGGUGACAAGGAAAAUAAAAAGAAGUGGUUCAAAAUUGAUUAAAAUCUAUCACAAAGGGUAGUCUUGUACACCGUUAUACACCCUUGUACACUUAGUACAUUUCCCUUGUACAGUUAAUGUAAUACCCUUAUAUAGUGGCAUAAAUUAUAUAUCCCUCCUAACUUAUGUAUUCACAUAGAUGUGUUAACUAUGUUUCCAAUGGUUUAGUUGAGAAAAUGGUGGAUGACUUAGGGUCAAAUUUUUUUCGCCAAACAUCAUUACUGUGGAAAGUAUUAAAAUUUUCAUGUAGGAGUUACAUAAAGUGUAUGACUUAGGGUCAAACUCUUUUAAAUAUUUUUAUUAUUUUCAUAUAAAAAAAUAGUACUAAACAAGGUUUUCAAUUUUCAUUUUUAAAAAUAUUUUUCAUUUUUAAUUAAAUGUAUUUUUAAAAAGAGACAAUAUAGAAAAUAAAAAUUAUUUUAAGAAAUAAAAAAAUAGAAAUAAAAACUAGAAAAAUAUUUUUAAACCAGACUUAAACAUAAUCUAUUUAAUUUUUAACUACUUGUUUUCAUCUAAAAUGAGUAAAUAUACUUUUCAACCCUUUUAUAUAAUAAAAAUUCAAUCUUUACUAUGUAUUGAUAUAAUCCACUUCCAAAAUUAAGUCAUAUGAAAACAUUUUAAUUGGAUAUUUAAAAUAAAAACUCUCCAUCCAUCCUUUUUUUUUUUUUUUCUUAUUUUGAUAAAUUUUUAAUUAAUACAAAUCAUAAAAAAAAAAAAAAAUACUUAGUAAACAAAUUUGCAACAUUUUAUAUCACUUAUUAUUAAAAGUCAUGUUCAAAUAGUUAUUAAAAUAAGGAAGGAAGAAGAUUAAAAAAAAAAUUGAACUUUUUAUUUUAUAAUAGUAAAAAAAAAAAAAAAAACUUUAAAAUACUUUUUAGUAUAAAAAAAAGAAAAGAAAAAAGAAAAUAGUGAAUAGAUUUAUUUUAAAUAGCGUUUUAAUCAUUAAAUGAUUUACUUCUAAAAAGUAAAGGAUAAUUUUUAUUUAUUUAAAUUAACAGUUUUAGAAAGUAUUUUCCAUAAUAGUUUUUGAAUUAUUAAUAUAAUUUUUGUUUAUUUAUAAUUUAAAAAUAGAAAAUAAUGUUGAUUUUUCAAUUAUUUAUAAAAGAGUUUUAAAAAACAAUGAAAAAUCCAAAAAUGGUUAAGUAAGAAAGAAUUUGUUGGUAGUGGCAUGUUAAUAGUGGUAGAAUAAUAAUAAAAAAAAAGAGUCAAAUGAUUAUUUUUGUCCAUUACUAUCUCAUAUCCUUGUAAUCAAUUAUGGGUGACAGGAGGACCUUAGCUCAAUUAUCAAGUAGAGCUAGGUCGGAAACACAAUUCUCCCAAUAAUUUCCGGGCAUGAUAAUCAUAUUUAAAUAAAAAAGAGGGAGCUGCCUACAUGCAUGGAUUCCAUUGUCUUUAGUGGUGAGUAAGGCUUUCCAAGAUCAAUACACACACACACACACACACACACACACACACACACACACACACACACACACAUAUAUAUAUAUAUAUAUAUAUAUAUAUAUAUAUAUAGAGAGAGAGAGAGGUAAAAACUAAGUCUAACCCAGGGAGGAAAAUAUCGAGUAUCGGUGGACCUUGACAUGAUAUAUGAGGGAGAAAUAUCGGUCCCUUGAUUUUUUGACAAUUUAUCGUGAAUCUUGCUGACUUUUUGGAAUUUAUCAACAUUUUACCUAUUUAUCACGAUAUUUUGGACCGGUCAAUGCGACCUCUACAGUCAAAUAAAUUCAUUUAUUUGAAUACCAAAAAUAUAAAAAUUAUCAUGAUAAUUUUCUUCAUAGUAUUUUUAAUAUCAUUAAUAUAUUAAUUAAGUAUAAAAAAUUAUACAUAUAUUAUCAUUUAUUUUAUAUCAUUUAAUACAAUGAAAUUAAAUGAAUUAUAAUUUUAAUAUUAAAUAUAUUUUUAAGUUGGACAUAUUAUAAUCAAAUAUCACAAUGUUAUUAUCAAAUAAUAUUUGAUAUAAUUUAAUAAUAAAUGUAUACUUAUGAAAUUCAUAUUUUUUAUUAGCAUAUACAAUAUUAUUAUCAAAUAUAAUAAAUUAUAUUAUAUAUAUCAAUUACAAUUCUAUUAUACUUUUAAUUUUAUUUUUAAGAGUUUUUUCUUACAUUUUUAUAAUUUCUGAUCAAUUUUAGGUUCAUCGAUAUUUUAUGUCAAAAUAUCCGUCGAUGUAUCUGUAAAAUGAAAGUACCGAUAUAUCCGUAAUUACCGAUAUUUUCAUCCUUGGUCUAACCUUGUGUAUUGGCCCUUCCAAAAUUUGAGUGAUUCAAUGGCAGCUCUAGUAAAACAUAAAAAGGAAGAACUAUGUUUACCCUCAUGUUCAUUCAAACAAAUAUAUUGUAUAGGAAUUCUAAUUUUCAUAUUUGAUCACCCCAAACACACAACCAAUAAAAUUAUUCUUUAAAUAUGUAUUUUAAUAGAAACUAAAAUGAGAAUUCUAUAAUUACCCCUUUUUAAAAUCUUUAAUAUGAAAAGUCAUAAUUUAAUGUAUUUGAUGGCUCUCACAUCUGUUUUUUUUUUUUUUUUUUUCUCCUCUACGUCACUUUCUCCAUAUAAUGUCUUUGAUAUCCUCUCCAUAUCAUGUCUUUGAUAUCCUACCUUUGGCAUUUUUAUUUAUUUAUAUAUGUUGAAGUGACAACACUUUCUCUUCCCAACCUCUUUACUUUCAUAUUUCUUUUUACUCGUUUAAUAUUUAUUAACUUUAUUUAAUUUUUUGGAAUAAAUAAAUAAUGAGAAUAAAUUAAAUAUAAAUAUAAGUAUGCAAGCAACAUAAAAUGAAAAUUUAUCCUAAAAAUCAUACACUUGAUACUUUAAAAUAUUAAUUAUAAUAUAUUUGAUAAUUUAGGAUUUCGAUUUAAAAAUUAUGUUUUAUUUUUUAGAGGCUGGGAUAUAAGAUUUCCAUUAACCAAAGAUUUUUUAUAUGAAUCCUAAAUAAUAUGUUUAUUUUGCAAAUUCUUAUCAUAUAUAAAUAAAAUAAAUAUAUUUUUAUCAUAUUAUUUUUAAUUUUUAAUAUUUUGUAUCAAAAUCACAAUUAAUGAUAGUGAUUUUGGUUAAGAUAGAGCCCUUAAAAACAUAACAUGUUGUAAAAAAUAUAGAGUUUAUUAUUUAUUUAAUGAUAUUUCAAUUUCACUUUUAUCUAUCCUUAUUUUAUGCAUUAUACCUUAUGAGCAUUCUAACUUGACAUUUUUUGCAUUGUUCAUGACUUGGGUGAAUUAAGAUUUACAUGGAACAUCCAAGUCAUGGGUUCUUAUAAGUGGAUGAUUUGUUCAUAGUCGCUUUAUGGACUUAAGCAAUCCAUUUGAUGUUGUAGUGCAUUACCUCUUAAUUUAAGGGAUGACUAGUUUUGACCAACAAGAUGGGACCCUCAUAGUGAGUGCACUAAUGUAUAUGAUUGCAUUUUAGAUAAAACCUAUGGUGAGUCAUGAUGUAAGAAUAUCAGGUACUCAUGACUUCACCAAGUUGCUAUAUCGCAUUUUCUAUCAACCUUGAAAGAAUAUUGGGUUUGUGCCAAAGUUUGUAGUGACUUUGACAUAUGGGUGAAAUCCAAAAGUGAUAAUAUAUUCCUUAUGGAUUAGGUCACUAUAAAUAGAAUUAAGUAGCAAUAAGUAUUCUCAAUAGAGGAAUCAGAAUAUCUCAUGGAGUUUGAGACAUUAUGUCCCUUUGGAUGAUCCUAAGGACACAUGAUCAUGAAAUCUAUAGUCGUAGUAAUUCCUUGAGUGGAAUUUGAAAUAUGCUCUUAUGGGUUGGAGUAUGUCAAUUGAUCACAUAAUAGGAGGAUAUGUAACUGAAGAAUGAUAGAAGUAACCUUGAAAGGCAAAUAGUAUUCACCUUAUUAGAUUAUGAACAAUACUUCAUAAAGAGACUAUAUACAAUGGAUAGUAGGUUAGGAACCCAAGUAGUGCAAUCGACUCUCUAUGGUAGGAUGUUGAGUCAACUUUAGAAUUGGAUUAUGAGGGAGCCAAUACUAUUCUAUGGGUCAUAGUGGUACCGACUCAAGUUCAUAUAUCUUAAUGGCAUAACUUAUGAGGGUUGGAUUAGUUAAUGAUUCAAUUAUGUGCAUAAGGGCAUUUUGGUAAAUAUGCAUGGCUGAAUAGGAGUUUGUUGGGACAAAGCCCUAUAAAGCAUGAUAUGAUGUAAUAGAUUAAGUUUCAUUAAUAAAUUUAUUUAUUUAUUAUUCUAGUCCCCUUGUGUUAUCCCAUUUGCAUGAAUUGGUUAUUUGAGCAUUUACGUUCAUAUCACUUGCAUUGUACAUGACUUAGGAGUAUUAAGAGUUGAAUAAAAGAUCCAAGUUAUGGAUUCUUUACAAUAUGAUAAGUGAUUAGAAGUCUAUUCAUGGAUUUAGCAAAUCUAGUAUAAACUAUAGUGUACUACUACCUACUAAUUAGAGGGAUGCCUUGUGAUGGUCAUCGGGAUAACUUUCUCAUGGUAAAUGUGUACAAUUACAUAUUAAAUAUGACCUACGAUGAAUCAUGAUAUUAGUUGUUGGAUAGUCAUUAUUACCCAAGGUUUUAUACUACAUAAAUUCUUAAGCUUAAAAGGAUAUUAAGUCUAUACUAAAAUCAAUAUGAAGUUUUGACCUCUGGUUGAGAUCCUAAUGUGGUCACAUAUUCCACAUAGAUUGGGUUAUUGAAGGAGACCGGUAACAAUAGGCAUUUUUAAUAAAGGAACCAUAAUAUCUCAUGGGAUUAAACUUCAUGGGUGAUCUUAAGGGCAUGUGAUCAGGAUAAAUGUUACUAUAGCAAUUCCUUUAGUAAAAUUUGAUAUAUGCUCUUUGUGGGAUGGAGUAUGUCAGAUGAUCACUUAAUAGGAGGAUCUAUAACUCAAGGAUUAGAAAGGUAAUCUUGAAAGGUUGAUAUCACUACCUUGUUAGAUUAUGAAUAUCAAUUCAUGGGAAGUCUACAUUGUUAGGAUAGAGCCCUUAAGAGCAUGACCUGAUUUAAUAAACUUUUGAAUUUAAUUAUUCCUUAAAAAUUUUCAAUUCACUUUUAUCUAUUCUCAUUCCAUGUAUUCUAUCUUGUAAGCAUUUUGACUUACAUCUUUUUCAUUGUACAUGACUAGAGUACAUAAGGUUAUCAAGUUGUUAUGACUUCACCAAGCUACUUCAAUAUGUUUCCUUUAGAGAAUAUUGAGUUGGUGCUAAAGUUAGUAGUGACAUUGACCUACAAGUGAGAUCAUUAGUUGAUUAUAUAUUCCUUAUGGAUUAGGUCAUUGUUUAUCGAUGCCAAUUACAAUAGGUAUUUUCAAUAGAGGCACCAUAAUAUCUCAUGGGAUUAAGACAAGUGUCCUAUUGGGUGAUCCUAAGGAGGUGUGUUUAUGUAAACUAUGGUCAUAAUAGUUUCUUAAGUGGAACUUAACAUAAACUCUUGGAGAGUUAAGAUAUGCUAGUUGAGCACAUAGUAAGAGGAUUUAUAACUCAUAGAUAGUAGAGGUAGUCUUGAGAAGAUGAUAGCUUUCACCUUGUUAGACUUUGGACACCACACUACAAGAAAAAAGGUCAUUAUUGACAUAUAUCAUCUUGACUUAAGAUAAUAUAUGUGAAGAUUGUCUAUUUAAAUGAACAAUUAUGACAUAUACAACUUAGUUUAAACCAAUAAUGACAUGUAUAAUAGUUAUUGCAUUUUUCCAUGACUUAUGAUGAUGCAACCUUGACAAAUAAUUUAUAAGUCAAUCUAUAAUUAAUAUGUUCAUAUGUCAAGGUACCGAAAUGAAAGCAAUAAUGACAUAUAUAUAUAUAUUUGCUAAAUUUUCCUUGGUUUAAUGAUAUGCAAUCUUGACUCAAAAUUUAUUAGUCAAAGUAUAGUUAAUCUUUUCUACCUAAAUAAAAGUAAUAAUGACAUAUAUGCAUUUGCUAAGUUUUUAUAUGGUUUAUAAUGAUACAACCUUAAUAGAAAUUUAUAAGUUAAUAAAAAUUCAAUAAAUUAAUAUGUUAAGAUUAGAAUCUUUGGUUGCGCCACUUUAACAUAUAAUUUGUAAGUGAAAAUAAGCCUAUUUUAUUUUAAUUUAUUAAGGUUGAGUUAUUGAAAAAGAAAAUCCUAAUUUAAGGCAAUUUUAUCAAAUUUUGGUAGUUUUUACAAGUAUAUUUAUUAUUAUUUUGAAUAGAAACUUGUGAUUAAAAAGGAUAAGAUAAUGUUUCCAUUUAAAAAAUAAUAUCAAUGUAUUGAAAACUAUAUCUAUAAUCUUAUUUUAAUAUUUUGGAUAAGAUACUAAGUUAUGUCUCUAUAUUUCUAAUUAUUGGAAUUAAAAUAUAUUGCCACUAACUUGUGUUAGGGUCUCACAAGUAUUAGGUAAUUAAAUUAUUAUUUAUGUAUUUAAUUAGACAUUAAAUCUACUAAGAAUAACUUAAUUAGUAUUUAGGCAUUCAUUAUAACUAAUUGCAGGCCCACAAAAUCAAUCCAUAGACCCAUUUCUUUUAAAAUGUUUUAAGCCCAUUUUAUUUAGUUUGGGUCCAUUACAUUUAUACUUUUUCUUGAGCCAUAAAAAAAACUCAAUAUAUAAAUUUUUUUCCUCUCUAUUCCAUUUACAGUCGCCCCAUCUACCCCAUCUACCCCAUCUUCCCUUUUUCUCUUCUUUUCUUACUUUUUUUUUUAAUUCUUUUUUCUUCUUCUUUCUUCUUUCUUUUUUCAUCCUCUCAUCCUCAUAUUCAUGGUAGACCCUACACCGCCACCUCCAUCUCCUGUGUUGUUACGAUCCAUGAGUCCUACACCCACCAUGGCACCAUCUUUCUUAUCACCAUUGUCGUUCCCAUGUUCGCUACAACUCAGACAUGCUUCCUGAUGUUUUGCCACAAUCUCGACGUGGUUGUUGUUGUUUCGCUUUAGCUCGGACGCUAUUCUUGAUGUUCCGUCUCCAUCAUAGCCACCAUUGUUGCAGCCCAUAGCCUUGGUACCUCCUGCACUACCCAUUGACUUUUGUUGGAUCACCAUCAGCACCAUCUCCAUGGUUGCCACUUCCUUCUUCAUCUUAGAGCUUCAAGAGACGUAGGUAAGUUUCCUUGGAUAUCUACAGUACUUGUUGUGGUAGUUUUAAUUUAAUUUUUAUAUGGGCUUGGGUCUCAUUUGCUUUAUAAUUGGGCUUCAAAUUAUUUGGUACAUAGGCUUGAUGUUAUAAUAUUUUAUUACUUGGGCCUUGUGUUUCACUUGGUUGAGCCCAAUAAUAAGAGUAUCAGGCACACAUAAGCAGGUUGGUUCUUUGAGAACCAUUGAGUUUUGUUGAACCUUAGGAUUUUUAAGGCCAUGCUUCACCAUUGAUUGGGCUUCAAGUAAGAGAUAAGUAUGGAAGUUGCAGUUACUGACCUUAGUGUCUCUACUCCUGCCCAUGGUUUCAACAUGUGGGUCAAUUGAGGGGUUUGGUGAAGCUCUCCAUAUCUUCAAGACCUCUCUGGUUGAAGAAUAGUCCAACGGCCAAGUGACUAUGGAAAAAACCACAUGUUUGGAGUUAAGUUAAUGUUGGAUAAGUAUUAAUGUACACACAAAAUAAUGAAAAAUCGACGUGGUUGGGGCUGAAGAGCCACAACAUCAUAUAUAUUUGGUUCUGAUGGAGGAGUUAAUUAAUUGAUAUUACCAUGAAGGAAUUUCUAGUAGUUUUAAUCUAUUUAAUCAUACCAUCUAAUUGAAAAGAUGUUUUUGUCCUUUUCUUUUUAUUUUUAAUAUUCUAGAUGAUAUUCUUUGUUAAAAAAUUUAGAAAUAAUACAUCUUUGUAAUUGAGCUAGCUACUACAAAAUUAUAAGUGCUCAUUUCAUUCAUCAUCUCAAAAUUAUGUCUAGUGGCCUCAACUUUGAGUCAGUCAUUGAGGGGCUUAAUUUUAGGAGGAGAAUUAAAAUGUUCUCUUUUUUUUUCUUCUUCUAUUUUUUUUUCUUGAAUAUCCACUGUGUUUUACAUUGAAUCUAGAAUCACAAAGUCAAUUCAAUUACAAUUGAUGAUAUUAAAGGUCAAUAGGUGUAUUCAUUUUAUCUUUGUGAUAUCUAAAGUUAGUAUAUUUAUUGUCCUAUGAAAAAAAAAUCUUUUAAUUUUUUGGUAUUUGUUACUUACUUUUCUAUUAAUUCUAUGUUUAUUCUACUAGGUAUCUAAGAAAUACAUCAAGAAGAAGACAAUGAUGUAGAAACAAAGAUCACCUCUUAUGAAGAUGAUGUUGUACUUUUCAAUUUAAGUUUGUAUAUUAUUUUAAUUGAAUGUUUUUAGCUAGAUUUUGUUUGUAUAUAGAAAAUAGAGAGUAACUUGAACAAGAUUUAUGGAAUUGUGUUCUUAAUAUUUAAUGUAUAUGUAAUAAUUUUUUUUCCUUAAAUAGUAAUUUAUUUAAAUUAUUUUAAAGACUUGAUUGUAAUUAUCAUAAUUAAAAAUAUACCAAAUUUAAUUUCAAGAUAGGUUUCAUAUGGUAUAUAACAUGUUCAUUUUCCAUUAAAAACUAAAAAUUAUAAUAAAAUAAUAUUAAAUUUUUCAUAAGUUAUAUUGACAUAUGGCUCAUGCUCAAUAUUGACAUGUGUAGUAGCAACUAUGACAUAUGCGAUACCAAACAUUGACAUAUAUAAAGCAAUUAUGAUAUAUAUAAAAUCUAACCUUGACAUAUAUAUUUAGAAAUCUUGACAUAUGUGGGAUUAAUCAUGACAUAUAUGACGUCUGACCUUGACACUUGUUGGAGUAACCUUAACAAAAGAGUAAGUUGACCUUGACAUAAGAUCAAGUAAUCUUGUCAUAUGUUAAAUUCAACAUUGACAUAAGUAAAUGAAACAUUGAUAGAUAUCAUACUAUUAAGAUUUCAUCAUUAGUGGAAAUAAAGAAAUCUUGACAUAUGGAUAUGUCAAGGUAGCUUUAGACUUUUCUUGACACUGGCAUAGAUGACAUAUACGAAUAGUAACCUAUCUUGACAGAUAUACCUUAUCUUAACGGUGAAAAACUGUCAACAAGGGCCUUUUUUCUUGUAGUGCCAGUUCAUAAGGAGACCAAAUGCAAUGGAUAGUAGGUCAUGGACUUGAGUACUUUGUAGUGGAGUGAAGUUGAUUCUAUGUAGUAAGAUGUUAAAUCAAUUUUAGAAUUGAAUUAUGAGGGAGUCAAUACUAUCCUAUUGGUCCCAAUGGUCCCUACUUGAGCUCAUAUGUCUUAUUGGUAUGGUUUAUGAGAAUUGGAUUGACUCAUGGUUCACUUUUAUGAGUAAAGGCUUUUUGGUAACUAUGCUAGGUUGCAUAGGGGUUAGUGAACAAAGUUUCUAGAUUGGGCUAAUUGAUUAAUUAAAAGACUUUGUGGGUUAGUUAAUUAAUUAUAAUCUAUUUUAGCUAGAUUAGGUGACCCAAGCCCUUAGUAGGCUCAAGUCACUUAAACCAAUUAGGGAACCUUAUAAAUACUCUUUUAGGGGUGAAGUAGUUGUCUUCUAUAAUGUAGAGAGAAUAAAGAGCCACAACUUCCUCCCUCACAACCUUCUCACUAGUUAAAUGCCAAAAUCAAGGUAUAGUCAAUGCAAUAGAAGAUCUUAGGUUUUUAAGACCUUCAACUACUUUGUUCAGAUACUUCACUGCAUGGAUUUGAUUUGGGAACAUCCAAAUCAAGGUAAAAGUUUUCUAUCUUGAUAUCUAAAUCCUAUUAUUCAUUUAAAAUGCAUGUUUCCCUUUGUGCUUAGGAUUUAAAGAAAACUUAGGAAGAUUUGCAUGUAUCUAACAUGAUCUAGGUAUAGGAAACAAAAAUAUCUAGGAUUCUUUACAAAAAUCCAGUGGAUAGUAGGUUAUAGGCCUAAACUUUAACUUAUUAUAAUUAUAUAAGAUAUUAGAGUGUAGUUGAUUCUCUUUAAUGGAGUGUUGAGUCAACGUCAAAAUUGGAUUUUAAGAGCCAAUAUUUUCCUAUGGGUUCCAGUAGUCUCCACCCGAACUCCCAUUUCAUGGUGGCACAUUUGUUUGAGGAAUUUUGUGUUUGUAGUUCACUAAUGUGCAUAAGUGGCAUUUUGGUAAAAGUAAAAAGUUGCACUAGAUCUUGUGUGCAGUAGGACUAAUUAAAUUAAUUAGAACGGAAGUGAGAUGAAGUAAGUGACCUAAGGCCAAUUUGGACUCAAGUCACUUAAGCCCAUAGGGAAGUCUAUAAAUACCACCUUAGGGGUGAGAGCUUCAAACUUUUGUCAUUUUUCUUUUAGAAAGAGAAAGCAAACCCUAACCACCUUUAAGUGAGAGAAAAAGAGAGAAGCUUUCCCUUCUCUUACGCGAAGGUUUGUUGUGAAAGAAAAGAUCGGGUGCAAGAUUAUUAGGUAAAUGACUUCUAUGACACAUUCUAGGGAUUGGAUUGAAUAUGGGAACAUCCAAAUCAUAGGAAUGAAUUCUAAUAUCUAAAUCUAGUAUAUUUUAUGGAUUUUAUAACUAUAUUUUUCCAUUGCAUUAGAUCUAGAGAAGCCUAGAGAUAGUUAGAUGGACUUUAUAUGAUCCAAGGUUAAGGAACAGAUUAAUUCGAAGUUCCCAUCGAAGUUAGUGAACAAUAUUUCUAGAUUAUUAGGUUGAUUAAUUAAUUUAAGCCCCCAAUUAGAAACCUUUUUAGUUUAAAUUAAAUGGCUCAAGUCUAAGGUAUGCUCAAGUAACUUAAGCCUAAUGGGAAGCCUUUAAAUACCUCUUGAGGGGUUAGGGUGUAGACCCACAUUUUUCACGUGCGUUCCCACUUGAUCGGCGAGACUCGCUUUUUAUUUGGUGAAAAAUUAAUUUUGGAAAAUUCGGAAUCGCCAUUUAUUUUAUUUUAUUUUAAAAGGGAAAAUAAAACAAGAAAUAAAACCCUAAAAAAUGACUUCAUAGUUUUUGGAAAAGCGUGUCUUUAAAAAACCCGAGUCUAGGUCUGAGGAUCAGGUUACUUAUUGAGAAGGUAUCUCUAGGAGGUAACACCCCUCUAAGCCCUAUAAAAGUCUCUACUGACUAAGUUAAGGGAAAUGUGACAAUUAAUUGAUUAAUUAUAGAUACCUAGGUAGGCUAGGUGAUUUCGAAAAAUAGCAUGCUAAACAAGAAAACCGAUCACAAAUCAUAAAGAAGAUUUAGGGUGCGUACCUGGACCACUUCUUAAGUGCUAUCACAAAACAUCAAAGGUUACUUUAAAUAGUAUAUCACCCAACAUGCACUUUAUCAUAAAUGAUCGAACAAUGUAACAAAAUCAAGACACCUAAGCACUAUCAAACAUAGGCAUAAUUCAUAAUGACAAUCAUAUUUAUAGAAUUUAGAAAGUGGGUGUUAGGGAGCGUACUUAGAUAGCAUAGAUAACUCAUAAUACGCUUCCUCGAGACAUGGAGGGUUAGAUAAUAAAUAAUAAAAUAAGAAAUUCUAGCAUGCUUGUUAUUUAAUUAGCAUGACAAAAAAAAUGAUCAAAGUAUACUAAAUCAUCAAUUAUCACACACAUCUUGUAUACAAUUCUUAAAAAAAAAAGAUAGAUAUGAUUACAACAAAUAGCAAGAGUGGUAGCAAAAAUAAGUUUUGAAAAGAUUUUCUUAUAUAGGGGUUUCACCAAUUCCCCAAUCGAUAUACACGAAUUUAGCCUAGAAUUAUCCAAUUUAUUUGGGACCACAAGCUUUGAUUCGUGUUUUGUUCAAAACCAAAUUUUUUAUUGAAAACUGAGAAAGAUGCGAACCGAUUAAAAAAAUGGUUGCAUAUUAUUUUAAGAGAAUGAGAUUUUGAUUCUAAAGACUCUAAAUGUACUUUUUUUUAAAUAGAUUUUCAAAGGGGUCUUUUGAGAAAAGUGUUUUGUUUUAAAAUAAAAGAAAUUAAUUUCGAAAACAACAAAACAUAGAAAACAAAAUACCAACAAAAAAAAAGGAAACAAAAAUCACAAAAUAAAGAUUUAGACAAUCAUGCCAAUUAAAGUAGUGAGAGUAGGGCCAACCUUCAUGGGUUUCCAGUGGCCUUCAAAAAAAGGAUUUGACCAACAAUCACUAAGGCAACAAAAUUAUGACUUCCUAAUCAAACAAACUAAUAAAAAUAUUAUCCAAGACUAACAUUUAGAUUUCAAAAAACACAUGAAUUAAGAUAAAAAAAAAAAAUCCAAUCAAGGAUUAAAGUCAACAAACUUAGCAUAUGGAGAUAAUAAUGUGGGAUUGAUUAAGGUAAAUUAACAUUCUAACAAAAUAUGAUAAAUCAAAAACCAAAAUUUAGCAAUCUUGAAAAUAUGAAAACAAUAACAUGCAAUUAACUAGAUUGAUUAUCUAAAAUUCCUAAAAACUCGAACUAAAUAUUAAUAGAUCAAAACCAAAAUAUGCCAUGCUCAAAAUAUGAAAAAUAAUAACACGUGAUUAACUAAAUUAAUUAGCUAAAAUUAUAAUAGUCAACUACAAAAUUGGAUAUAAAUGGAUUAAAAUCAAAAUUAACGAAAUAAAAAACGCACAAACACAUUCAAACUAAAAAUAAUUAAUACUAGAUUAAAUUAGAAUUAAAAACAUCAACAUCAUCUAAUAAGAUUGGCUAAACUAUUAAAUUGAAAUUGCAAAUACAUUUAAACUAAAGCAAAUAAAUAAAUUAGCAAAUUAAAACUAAACUACAAUCGGAAUUAAGACAAAAAAACAUGAAAUUUGUCUAAGAGGUUUGGUCAAACAAUUGAAUUAAAAUCAUGAACGCUUUCAAAUUAUAGAAUAAAUUAAAACUAAACUAGAUUGAGAUUAAACUCUAUCUAAGAAAAUUAGUUAAUUAAACUAAUAAAAUCAAAAUCAACAAUCAAAACUAAACUAAAGAAUAAAUUAAGACAAAACUAAUUGGAUUAAAAUCACAAACACAUUUAAACUAUCAUAUAGAUUAAAAUAAAUUAGCAUGGAACUAAUGAACUACAAUCACAAAAGAAGAAAAAAAAAGUCUAUUCUAAAAAAAAUGCGCAAAUUGAGAUUUAAAAGAAUUGAGCACAAAGAAUUAAUUAAAUCAAUGAACUAACAUCUAAAUUAAAAAAAAAAAAAUCUGUCAAAAACUGACCUGUGUUGUGAAAGAAAAAAUCCUCUCUUUGUGCGUCAAAGUGGCAACCCGAUCUUUGUCUGAAGUCUUCUGCUGCUCCCCAAAAACUCUUGUGCGUGUCCUUUCUGAAAAAAAAAAAAUUCCCCCUUGAUCUGUUCUCCUCCUCUUAUUUAUAUGGCAGCCCACUCCUAUGGAAUAUUUUAUUUCCUUUUUGGAGAUAUAUUUCCAACCUUAAAGGAGAUCCAAAUUUCCAAACUUCUGAUGGCACUUUCUAUUUCAAUACCCAUUGUCUCUCAAUGUUGUAGUCCCCAAUCUCCCUUCUAAAAAUGUUGUCAAAAUCUUCCCUGCCUCAUCUCUUGUCGAACCCUUGGAUCCUAUUGGCUAUUGUUGAAUCUGAGUGCAAUGUCAUUUGCAGAUGUCAUGAACAACUCAUCUAGCAAGCCUCUGCUGCCCCCUAUUGACCCUACGCCAACAAACUCAACUUCUCACAUCAUAUGUCAUUUUGUACGUGGGACUCACUGGAUNNNNNNNNNNNNNNNNNNNNNNNNNNNNNNNNNNNNNNNNNNNNNNNNNNNNNNNNNNNNNNNNNNNNNNNNNNNNNNNNNNNNNNNNNNNNNNNNNNNNCCCCCAUGGCAUUUCUUAUUCAUUCCAUCAUCAAUUCUCUCCACUUCUUAUCCUUUCUUCCAAGUGCUUGGUAUUCAAGACCGUUCAAGUCAUCAAGUGAUUUGUUGUUUCUUGUGAUUUGAAGUGCUACUAUCACAAGAAAGUGAUCGUUGUAUCCUGGGAGACGAUUGUCAACAAACCAUAAGCACCAGUGUGGGGCAAAUUUAUCUUAAGGACAUAGAGUCAAACUUUAGCCUCGAUCAACCAUUUGUACGAUUCAAUAUUUACUUACCUUCUCAUUUAUUUAUUAUAUGUAAUUAUUUGACCAUACAUUUGUGAUAAUUCCAGAAUAACAAUCUUAAGACGAAUUUCUUUUUAAUCUUUUGCUUCUGUCUAUGUUUUUAAUUCAGUUAAUAACAUGACCUUUACAAAUAUUAUUGAUACCCCUGUUGUUACACCUACUACUACCCAUGGUGAGAAACCAGAGAAAUUCACUAGGUUGGACUUCAAGCAGUGGCAACAAAAGCUGUUGUUUUAUCUCACAACACUUAACUUGGCUAAAGUGUUGCAUGAAGAUGCACCUACCUUAAAGGAGGAAGAGACUAACAAGCAAAUUGUGGCAGCAGUUGAAGCAUAGAAACAUUCAGAUUUUCUAUGCAAAAAUUACAUCCUCAAUGGACUUGACAACACGAUGUAUAAUGUGUAUAGUCAAGUGAAGACAACUAAGGAGCUGUGGGAGACUUUGGAGAAGAAAUACAAGACUGAAAAUGCUAGCAUGAAAAAAUUCAUAGUUGGUAGAUUUCUAGAUUACAAAAUGGUUGACUCCAAGACAGUGAUAAGCCAAGUCCAAGAGCUUCAAAUAAUUUUGCAUGAAUUACAUGCUGAGAAGAUGGAAUUAAGUGAGUCCUUUCAAGUUGCAGCGAUUGUUGAAAAGUUACCACCAUCUUGGAAGGACUUCAAGAAUUAUCUGAAACACAAGCGCAAGAAAAUGGGGCUUGAGGACUUGAUUGUGAGACUGAAAAUUGAGGAAGAUAUUCGUGUUUUUUAGAAGAAAGUGGGAAAACAUCCCAUGGAGUCCAAGGCAAACUUGGUGGAACCAAAGGCUAAUAAAAAGAGAAAGCACUUUGGUGAAGGUCCAAGUCAAGGAAAGAAUAAAUACAAGAAGUUUGUUGGGAAGUGUUACAUUUGUAAUAAGCAAGGCCAUAGGGCCAAGGAUUGCCGCUUGAAAGGACAAAGUAAUGAAAAUAAAACACAAGUGACUGAGGAAGAGGAGUUGGCAAACAUGCUUUCCGCAUUGGUACUGUUUGAAGCUAACAUGGUAGAUAACCCAAACGAAUGGUGGGUUGACACAAGUGCCACCCGUCAUGUUUGUGGAGAAAGAAACAUGUUCUCCACAUAUGUACCAGUCAAUGGUAGAAAUUUGAUCAUGGGAAAUUUUGCCACAUCUAGGGUUGUGGGAAUUGGAAAAGUGGUGCUAAAGAUUACUUCUAGAAAAGAACUUGUUCUCAUAUAUGUGCUACAUGUGCCUGAUAUUUGCAAGAAUCUUAUUUCUAGUUCUAUGCUUAGCGAAAAUGGGUUCAAGUUAGUUUUCGAGUCUGACAAAUUUGUAUUCAUGAAAAAUGGGAUGUAUGUGGGUAAGGGGUAUAUGACCAAUGGCCUGUUUAAGAUGAAUGUAAUGAUUGUUAAGCGUGAUUUCAAUAAUAAUAAAGCAAGUACUGCUGUUUACUUGAUUGAGUCUUUUACUUUGUGGCAUGAUAGGUUAGGACAUGUUAACAAUAAAACUUUAAAAAGGUUGAUUAACAUGAAUUUGUUGCCUUUUUUUAGCAUUGAUUUUAAACAUAAAUGUGAAGUGUGUGUGGAAGCCAAGAUGGCUAAGCCACCGUUUCAUUCAAUUCAAAGGAACACAGAACCUCUGGAUUUAAUUCAUAGUGACAUCUGUGACUUAAAGUUUAUACAAACAAGAGGAGGGAAAAGAUAUUUUAUUACCUUUAUAGAUGAUUAUACAAGAUACUUUUAUGUGUAUUUGCUAAGAAGCAAAGAUGAGGCCUUAGAUGUGUUUAAACACUACAAGAAUGAGGUUGAAAAUCAACUUAGCAGAAAGAUUAAGGCAAUAAGAAGUGAUAGAGGUGGAGAGUAUGAAGCUCCUUUUGGAGAAUUUUGUUCAGAACAUGGAAUAAUCCACCAAACUACUACUCCUUAUUCACCUCAAUCGAACGGUGUUGUUAGCGCAAGAACCGUACAUUAAAGGAAAUGAUGGAUGCUAUGUUGAUAAGUUCGGGUCCACCCCAAAACUUAUGGGGAGAAGCAAUUCUUUCUGCAAACCACAUUCUUAACAAGAUACCACAUAAGAAUAAGGAUGUAACUUCAUAUGAGUUAUAGAAGGGUCACAAACCCUCUUACAAAUAUUUGAAAGUGUGGGGGUGUUUGGCUAAAGUAGGAGUGCCUAAACCUAAACAAGUUAAGAUUGGGCCUAAAACUAUUGAUUGUGUAUUUAUUGGAUAUGCAAACAAUAGUUGUGCAUAUCGUUUUCUUGUACAUAAGUCUGACAUUCCUAAUAUACAUAAAGAUACAAUUAUUGAGUCUAAGAAUGCGUCAUUUUUUUAGAAUAUUUUUCCUUGUAAAGAAAAGCAAGAAGUAAGUUCAAAUAAGAGAACUUAUGAUACUGUAAAUGGUAAUCAUCAAAAUGAGGAAGAAAUAAGAUGCAGUUAGAGAGCCAAGAAGACAAAGUCUUUUGGCUUGGAUUAUCUAACUUACAUGUUAGAUAACGAACCCAAGACAUUCAAAGAAGCAAUGUCAACACCAGAAGCCCCAUUUUGGAAAGAGGCUAUCAAUAGUGAAAUUGAAUCCAUCAUGCAUAACCACACAUGGAAAUUGGUGGAUUUACCACCAGGAAAUAAACCUUUGGGUUGCAAAUGGAUCUUCAAGAAAAAGAUGAAGCCUGAUGGAACAAUAGAUAAGUACAAGGCUAGAUUGGAGCCAAAGGAUUUAAAUAAAAGGAAGGCCUUGAUUUCUUUGAUACAUAUUCACCAGUUACGAGAAUAACAUCUAUUAGAGUGUUAAUUGCAAUCGCAGCAUUGCAUAAUUUGGAAAUUCAUCAAAUGGAUGUUAAGACAAUCUUUUUAAAUGGGGAGUUAGAAGAAGAAAUAUAUAUGGAACAACCUGAAGGGUUUGUUGCUCCUGGACUAGAAAAAAAGGUGUGUAAGUUGAUAAAGUCCCUAUAUGGGCUAAAACAAGCACCAAAACAAUGACAUUAGAAAUUUGACAAAGUAAUGUUGUCAAAUGAUUUUAAAAUUAAUGGAUGUGAUAAAUGUGCAUAUACAAAGAAUACACAAAGUGAGUAUGUCAUUGUGUGCUUGUACGUGGAUGAUAUGUUAAUUAUUGGUAGCAAUAAUGAUGUCAUUAAAGCUACUAAGAAAAUGCUGACCAAUUAUUUUGAUAUGAAAGACAUGGGUGUCGUAGACGUGAUCUUAGGUAUAAAAAUGGCCAAGACAUCUAGUGGACUAAUAUUAUCUCAAUGUCAUUACAUUGAGAAAAUUCUUAAACGGUUUAACUAAUAUGAUGAUAGUCCAAUUAAGACACCAGUAGAUUUAAAUCUAUAUUUAGCUAAAAAUAAUGGUCGAGUAAUUGACCAGUUGGAAUAUUCUUGUAUCAUUGGUAGUUUAAUGUAUGUCAUAAACUGCACGCGUCCAGACAUAGCCUACGCAGUUAAUAAACUAAGUAGGUUCACUAAUAAUCCGGGAAAAGACCAUUGGAAGGCGUUGAUUAGGGUUCUUAGAUAUCUAAGAUACACCCUAAACUAUGGACAUCAUUAUUUAAGGUAUCCAGCCAUACUAGAAGGAUAUAGUGAUGCAAAUUAGAUAUCUGAUACAAAGGACUCAAAGUCCACAAGUGGAUAUGUAUUCACAAUUGGUGGUGGUGCGAUAUCAUGGAAGUCAUCUAAACAAACAUGUAUUGCAAGAUCAAUGAUGGAAUCUAAAUUUAUUGCUUUAGAUAAAGUAGGGGAAGAAGCAGAAUGGCUUCAUAAUUUUCUAGAAGACAUUCCAUGUUGGCCAAAACCAAUGCCUGCAAUAUGUAUACAUUGUGAUAGUCAAUCAGCGAUUGGAAGAGCACAAAGUAGCAUGUACAAUGGUAAGUCUCGACACAUCCGUCACAUACAUAAUAUUGUAAGGCAGUUACUUGUAAAUGGAAUUAUUUCCAUUGAUUAUGUUAAGUCAAAGGACAACUUGGUGGAUCCACUAACUAAAGGAUUGUCUAGAGAUCAAGUAAACUGCUCAUCGAGGGGAAUGGGAUUAAGGCUUAUCACUAAAGAGUUUCAUAAUGGAAACCUAACCUAGCUGACUAGAGAUCCCAAGACCUAGCUAGGUUCAAUGAGGAACUAAAUUAUGAAAUACUCUGUGAAGAGCACUAGGGAAAAAUAAAUUCCUACCCAUUCCUAUGGUGAAGUAGUGCUAUACAAGAUGUGUUUAGGAUAAGCUAUGCUUUUAAUGAUUCUAAUAAUUUGAAAGAGUUCAAGUGGAGUAUGGUAGAAUAUUCGCACUUGUAACGGCUAAAAUGAACACAACCGUGAGAAUCAAUGGUGAUCUGGAAAGGAAUUGUGUGAAUACUAUUGUCUUGAUUUACAUCAAUAGCUGAAUAGUUCAAGACAUCACAUUCACUGAUUAGCUAGUAAAUCCGAUAGUAUUUCACUAAGGUUCAGAGCCAUAAACUACCUAUCCUGAUGCGAUCACUUUCCAAUUUUGUAUUCUCUUGAUUGUUUAGUUUUCCAUUUGCCUUUUUUAAGUCAAUUUCCAUUCAUGUGGGGGAUUGUUGGGAUAUUUAUAGGUGAAUGGAAAUUAAGACAUACUGUUUCAAUUAGACACAACUCUUCGUAAUGGACACAACUUGUGUCAAAGGAUAUGUCAAGUAUUUAAGACACAUCUCUUCUAAGAGUCACUAGAAAACCUAUAAAUAGGGGGGCCCCAUGGCAUUUCUAAUUCAUUCCAUCAUCAAUUCUCUCCACUUCUUCUCCUUUCUUCCAGGUGCUUGGUAUUCAAGAGAGUUCAAGUCAUCAAAUGAUUCACUGUUUCUUGUGAUUUGGAGUGCUACUAUCACAAGAUAGUGAUCGUUGUAUCCUGGGAGACGAUUGUCAACAAACCGUAUGCACCAAUGCAGGGCAAAUUCGUAUUAAGGACAUAGAGUCAAACUCUAACCUCGAUCAACCGUUUGUAAGAUUCAAUAUUUACUUACCUUCUCGCUUAUUUAUUAUACAUAAUUAUUUGACCAUACAUUUGUGAUAAUUCCAAAAUAACAGUUGAAUCCUCGGCCACAGCCUUUGCGGCAGCUAGAAACAAUUCCAGAAGGAUUCGUGGAAGGACAGUUGUUGAUGUAGAUUUGGAAGUACACACAACAAGACCUCUUAAUAACCGCAACAAGCGUGGAAGAGCUCCAGAACAAUCUUGGCAUGUUCCGCUUCUGCCACCCAAGGAGCCCACCUUCAACUGUAGGAAAAGGGUCACCAUGAAAGAUACCAUCAGAAUUUAACUUCCUGCAGCCAGCUGAGUAUGAUGCCUGGGCCAAUCAUGUAAUUAUGCAUAGGCUUAAAGAUUUUCAGCGUACAAGAAGGUGGGUUAUAAAGACUGGCUUUUGGAGGAUAGAAAGAGAAAUGAAAGAUGGCUCUUGGCAUGUUAUCAGACUCUUUUAUUUUUGCCCUCACAGACGGUGAUCCUCGUCUGCACGCUCUUGAACUCCGAUAUCCGACAUCGUAUGGUGAUGCCACCUGGGCGCUGAAAUGUAUACUCCUCCUCGGAUUCUCUCAGAAACUCACCAAACAAUGGGUGAUCGAAGUAUAUCACCGACACAAGGACUCGUGGAAGUCACCGUCUUUUUGAUCCACGUACACCGCCAGAUGGCCUUUCGGAACCGUCACCGCUAGCAUCUCCUCACCCACCAGAAGGUAACCAGAGAAACGAGCCGGAUCCGAGUUCAACAAACAUGUCUUUUUGGCCUUGGUUUUGAGACGUUGACCCCAGUUGCAGAGUCGAGAAAUUGUCUUGGUCUUGCCAGUCGGUAGCCAGAGACGGUGGUACCCAAAUGGGUUUCGGUGGAAAAAACCAUCCGUAGAACUUGACGACCUGUUUUCCUAGUUUGAAGCCCCUGAUCUUUCUCAUGGUGUAAGUGUUUGGUGCGAGAGAAAAAUUCAGAAGCUAUAAAUUACCAGAAUUUUCAAAAGAAAGAAAACGGUAAGAUUUGGCUCAGGAGAAAGGUCAUGGAGCUUUUUGUCUUAAACCCUUUCUCUUCGUCAACACUUAACGGUGGCAGUGGAGAUGUGGAGGAGGAUGGGUUUUCUAUUCUGAAAACAGAUGGAUAUGGUGCGGCGGACUACUCCAGAAGUGAUGAAGUCUAUAGGCGACCCAUUGAGUUUCAAUGGCGGUGCACUACACCAACAGUUAUGAAUUUGCCUUUUUCAAUACAGAAUUUGCUUCUUCAAGAGAACGUCCAAGAAGUCUCGCUAUCGGUGUGGUGGCUCCUUUUUAUACCAGCAUCAGAAGUCACUGGAACUCCAGCUGUCACUCAUUCUCAGGCAUGGUGUGCAUGUCCUCAUGUUCACGUGUUCUUCACACCGGAUCAUUCUCUCUAGAGACUUCCAGAGAGCCUCCAAAAAAUGCCUGACCUCUAAUGCCAUGCCACCUCACGUGACAGCUCUCACCAACUUCAUCUUUUUGUUUUCACAGGAGCCUCCCAUUCCUAAAUAUGCAAUCGUCUCCUCAUGCAAAACAGAAUAAAAUAAAAUAAAAAAAAAUAAAAAAAAAGAGAAGAAACUAAUGAAAAUCAUGAGAUUGGUAAUAAAAUAAAACAUGAUUUAAAAGAAAAAAAAGAGAGACCAGAUUAUAUAAUUCCAUCAUUCAAUAAGGGGGUCGUAUGUAUAUUUAAAGUCUAAACAAUUCAAGCAAUUUUCUAUUAAGUAAAUAAAAAAUAAAAAUAAAUAAUAAAAGUAAAAAUAAAAAUGAAUAUAAUUAUCAAAUGCAUGCAAUAAUAAUAAAAAGAUUAUACAUAAAAAAGUUAAGCCUCAAUGAAGUGUCUAAGUGGGCCUAAGUGGGUGCCUAAUGAGCCAAGUGCGUCUAAGUGAACUUAAGGUGUCUAAACGAGCCUAGGGUGAGACUAGGUGGGUCUAAUUAAGUCUAACCUAAAGUGCACCUAAGUAAAACCUAAUCAAAAUCAAGACUAUCAAGGAUCAUAAUAAGGGGUCAAAUAAUCCCUCAACCAGAGUUUCCGAGGUGGCUCUAAAAAAAUGGGCUACACGAGAAGUAAUGGGCCACCAAGGAAUUGUUGUAAAGUACGGAACAAAUACCUAAUAAGACAUGUGCUAGAAUGAUAAAAUGGAGGGUCUACAUAGGGCUUCAGACUCUUAGACUUUUACUUCUUCCAUUCUCUUUUACAUGUCUAGAGAGAGAGAACCUAGCCCCUCCACUUUUCUCAAUCUCUACCAUCUAAGUAUCUAGCUUCAAGGAGAGUCAUUGAGGAGAAAACCAAUGGUUUCAUGAGAUUUUCAAUGACUACUAUGCGUUUGAGAACCUUCUUCACCACAAGGCUGUUUUGCUUCAUUGGUGGGGGAUAAGCUUAGGAAAGCAUGUAUGCACCUAACAAGAUCUAGGGAUAUAAAAUGGAGUGAUCUAUUUUUUCCUACAAUUUUAGCUUUCUUACUUGUAGUUUUAAUUGACCAUAUGUAUAGCUUUUCUUGGUUAAAAUUUUAAUUUUUUUGAAUGAUGUACAAUGCACUUAUUUUGUUUUUGAAAAGAAUGUUUUUAUUUUUCUUAAUAACGUACUUUUUUUUUUGAAGGAUAUACUUAAUUUUUUAAGAAAUGUAUUUAAUUUUUCUAAAGAAUUCACUUAUUUUUCUAAGGAAUCUAGUUAUUUUUCUUAGAGAUAUACUUAUUUUUUAACAACGUACUUGUUUUUUUUCAUAUUGUACUUCUUUUAAAAAUGUACUUAUUUAUACUAUCACAAAUAAUUGAAAUUAAUUAGCAAAUUAUACUAAAACAUUAAUGUAUAUGAUUCAUAUACAAUGUACUUAUUUUCUUAGGAAAGCAUUUUCUAAAGAAUGUUCUUAGUUUUUUUUAGGGAUGUACUUAUAUUAUUUAAGGAUAAACUUAUUUAUAUUGAUAGAAAUAAGUGAAAGUUGGUGAGAAAUUUAUGAUAAAACAUUAGUAAAUAUAAUUAAUGAUAUUCGAUAAUAAUAUACAUAAUUUAAGAAUUUAAAAUAUAUUUAAUAUUCAACAUAUAAAAGAACUUAUGAUAUAUAUAUAUUAUUUUGAUGAUUUGUAUAAUUUGAAUAAUUUUUAAAUGGAAUAUGAAAAUGAAAUAAUUAAAAUGUACAAACGUAGUCCUGUAAGCCAUUGAUUAAUGUGCUUAUCGUGAUCAAAGAUUCAGAUAAUGUAUAUUAAUUGAAAAUUUAUUAGCAAAUAAUAGUCAAACGUUAAUGUAUAUAAUUUAUAUACAAUGAACUUUUUUUUGAGGAAUGCAUUUUCUAAAGGAUAUUCUUACUUUUUGGAGGCAUGUGCUUAUUUUUUUAAGGCUAAACUUAUUUAGAUUGGAGCAAAUAAGUGAAAGUCCAUGAGAAAUUCAUGAUAAAACAUUAAUGCACAUAAUUUAUAUAUUAUGUACUCAUUUUUUAUUUUUUUAGAAAUGUACAAAUAAUGGAAAGUUCAUUAGCAAUUUAUAGUAAAAUAUUAAUGUACAUAUUUUUUUGAAGGAUGUAUAAUAUACGUAUUUUUUAAAGGAAUGUAUAUAUUUUUUUUCAAGAUAUAGUUAUUACAUACCUAAGACUACAUUUAUGUUCAUAUUGAAAUUAAAGAGCUUUCAUAAGAGAAAGUGUAGCCACUUGAUCAUAUAAAAAAAUAAAAGAAAAGAAAAACAGAAAUAAAAGGGUAUAUAUCAAACACUUUCAAUUAUGAUUUAUCAUAUCAAAGAUUUGAAAAAGGGACAAUUCAUUUAGUAGUUAUUUAAAUGCGUAUUUUAGAAAUAAUUUUAUCCAUUGUGUGUUUGGGAUGAAAUGUGAAAGUUGGAAUCCUAAAAAAUAUACUUAUAUAUUUUUUAAUUAAUGUAUGUAACCAUAGUUCUCCCAAAAUAUGGCCAGGCUUCAUCAUACUUCUGUUUUGAAAUGUUAAAAUUUAAAAAUAAUUUUUCAUGAAUCACUUUUAAAUGUUUUUUAUAGAAAAAAAUUAAAAUAUAAAGUAUGAUGUAUUUUUUCAACUUUGAAAAAUUCUCUAAACAUAUUUUUAAGUCAUAAAUUAACACCAACUUUUGUCACUUCUUAUUCUUCUAUAUCAAAAGACUAACAAUAAUCAUGUUAUUUAUACGCAUAAAAUUAAUUAAAAUCAUUUAAGAUCAUGAUUUUUUUUAAAAUUUUUGUUAUUUAAUUAUAAAAAAAUUAAUUUUUUUAAUGAGAAGAAAAAAAACAAGGCUUAAUAACCAUAUUUAACAUUUUUAAAAUAAAUAAAUAAAAGCAAAGGUAUAUCCAAAUAAUACCUCAUUUGCUCAAUUCAAUUAUCGCAUGCCCUAAGUAUCAAAGUAGUUGACUAAGAGUGAGUUUGAUAGUAACUUUAGAAAGAUUAAAACACUUCUUCGAAUUACCACCAAAUAUAUUUUAAGGCACGCAAGGAAAAGUAAUCUCUUCUAUUAUUAUUAUUAUUAUUAUAAUUAUCAUACUGCCUUAUAGAAAGGACUUCUAUAAUUCAAAAUAAUCACAUGGUAAAAAUAGAUUUUAUUUGUUUGUAUCUUAUAAUGAUCUUAUUAUAUAUAUAUAUAUAUCUUAUCCUUUAUACAUGCAUUUUUUUUUUCAGUUUUGGUCGUAUAUUUUUAAUUUAAUAUUAAAAAAAAAAUUUACGCUUUUUGUCAAUGUCUCAAAUUUCAAAUAUGUUCAUGCUCUAGAAAUUCUCAAGUUGUAGUCUUGUAGCCUAGAAUGUGAAGUGAGAGUUUGAUGAAAAACGAAAAAAACAAAGAUAUAAAAUAUAAUUUGUGAGUAAGGAUGAAAAUAUCAGUUUUGACAGAUAUAUUAGUAACUCGAUUUUAUAGAUAUCAGGGUAUAUUAGAAAAUAUUGGUAAAUAUUUUGACACAAAAUAUCAAUGAUAAAAAAUUGAUCAAAACUCAUGGAAAUUAAAAAAAAAAAAACUCUUAAACAUGAUAAAAUAAACAAUAAUAUAUUUAUUAAAGUUUUUUUUUAUUAUUGUAAAACUUAAAACACAAAAUUAUCAACAAAUAUCAAUGAAAAAUUUGAAAAAAAAAAUCAAAAUUAAUAAAAACUCAUAAAAUAUUAGUAAAAACUAAAUAUAUAUAUAUAUAUAUAUAUAUAUAUAUAUAUAUAUAUAAGAAGCAAUAAUACACAUAAUGAAGUUAUUUAUUAAAAAAAUUGAUAUAAUUUAAUAUAAUUAAUGAUAUUUGAUAACAAUAUAUCUAAUUUAAGAAUUGAAAAUAUAUUUAAUAUUCAAAAUAUAAAAGAAGUUAAUAUAUAUAUAUAUAUAUAUAUAUAUAUAUAGAUAUUAUGAUGAUGAUUCGUAUAAUUUGAAUAUUUUUUAAAUGGAAUAUGAAAAUGAAAUAAUUAAAAUUAAUUUACUUAUUAUUAUUUUAUUUUAUCAGUCUAGGAAUGCAACUAUUUUUAAUUUAUGUGUGUUGCAUAUUUAAAAAAUGUUGAACUAGCUUAGUUGGCCAAAGCCCCAUCCAUGCGCACCCGAGACCCAGGUUAAAGCCUUAGUGUUGUUUCCAUUAAAAAAUUUCAAACGUUGACCCAAUAAUUUCAAUAUUGACAUUUUCAUCCUUGUCUACAAGUACUUGUGUUGGGAUCCAUGCAAUAAUUAAUGGCGGAAAAAUAGAAAAACGAGAAAGAAGAACACAAAGAUUUAACGUGGUUCAACUAAUUACCUACGUCCACGGGAAUAGGGAAAGAUGAUUUUCACUAUGUUAAAAUUAAGGUUACAUAAAAGGGUAUUUAUACUAACCCUUAGGAAUGAAAAUUCAAAAAACACCCCUGAACCCUACACCCCUCAACCUAUCGUUCACCUCACAACAAAAGAAAUACAAGCCUGAAUGACAAAUUCCGUCGCUAUGCUGCCAUUCCACUCCACUUCGCUCCCGCAUUUUGCCCAUUUUUCUCCAUAUGUCUUUUCGAUCAAAUAUGAGCCACAUACUACAACAAUCUCCACCUUGGCAAAUAUUCACUCCCCCCUUAGGAGACAAGAAACAUUGCUUAUAACUCCACCUGGGACAAUAGGUUGGGGUAUCUCCCAUCUAGCAACUAGAGACAUUAAUCAAGUUCAAGCAAUGCUUGAACUUUUCUGUGGUAACAGGCUUUGUCAACAUGUUUGCUGUGUUCUUAGAGGUGUGGACCUUCACAAGUAACAGUUCACUAGAAGAAACCAAUUCCCUGAUCUUAUGAAACCUCACAUCUAUGUGUUUGGUCCUUGCAUGAUACACCUGGUUCUUUUCCAAAUAAAUGGCACUCUGACUGUCACAAUAUAAUUGAACUCCACCUUGUUGAAUACCCAACUCCUUAAACAAACCUGUAAGCCAUAAUGAUUCCUUUGCAACCUCAACUAUUGCCAUAUAUUCUGACUUAGUAGUAGAUAGUGCAACUAAAGACUGUAUCAUAGACUUCCAACAAAUAGGUCCCCACCAAGGGUGAAUACAUAACUUGUGGUAGACCUCCUGUCAUCUAAGUCACCUGCAUAGUCUGCAUUAACAUAUCCUCUAACUGAAGAAUCACUUUGUUGUUUGAUGAACACGAUGCCAUAGUAUAGACCCGCAUUUUUCAUGUGCGCCCCCACUCGAUCGGCGAGACUCGCUUUUUAUUGGUGAAAAAUUAAUUUUGGAAAAAAAGUCGGAGUCACCACUUAUUUUAUUUUUAUUUUAAAGGGAAAAUAAAACAAGAAAGAAAAACCCUAAAAUGUGACUCCAUAAUUUUUGGAAAAAGCAUGUCUUUGAAACACCCGAGUCUAGGUCCGGGGAUCAGGUUACUUAUUGGGAAGGUACCUCUAGGAGGUAGCACCCCUCUAAGCCCUAAAGAGGUCUCUACUGACUAAAUUGGGGGAGAUGUGGCAAUUAAUUGAUUAAUUGGGGAUACCUAGAUAGACUAAGGUGAUUUAAAAAAAUAACAUGUGAUUACUACCAAAAAGUGCUAUUUUGUAGACCUAAUUAUAAUGGUUUUAAGCACCUUUGAGUAGUAAUCAUAUUCAUUUAACCCAAUUAAUUCAUUAAGGUCCUUAGUAAUUGGUUUUAACCUUUUUGUGGCAAGUUGACAUGUUUUUAUCAGCUUAUGAAUCGAUUCAAGCAUGCCAAUUGAUGGAGGAGCUAUUUGGGUGAGUUAAGCAAGGAUUUUGUACGUUUAUAGGCUUGAAUUUCAAGUGGAAACACGAGCACAAGCAAUGGAGAAGAGGAAAACAGAGUGAAGAAAACAGCUGCAGUCUUCCUUUGAACUUUUGAAGCACUUUCCGAAGUCUAUUUUUUGUAUGCUAUAUACCAUUUGAAAGCUUAGGAAGUCAAGAAUCCAACGCUUCAAACCGUGUAUGAUUUGGAGCUGAAAUGAGGAAGAUAUGGCCUUCGGAAGGCAACUGCAUCAUGUCAAAUGACCAAUUUCGCAAGGUGAAUUUCACAUUGCGAAAAUUUCGCAAGGAGAUUUUCUUCAUGGUGCGAAAUUUUGCCACUUCGCACCAUGAAGAAACACCUUGCGAAAAUUUCGCAAGGUGGAUUUAGGCACAUUGCAAAAUUCCUUUGAAUCCCCUGUUUUGAGACGUUGUUGAUGUUAUUCCACUACCGGUUCUCCAAGAUAUUUUGCUUGAUUUUUAGCUUUGUAAAUACCUAUUUUACCCUUGUAAUCAACCAAUGAAUAGGUUGCUUUUGUAAUAGCUCUUGUAAUUUAGCUUGUUAUUGUCUUUAAAUAGAGGUGAAGAGCCUCAGACACGCAUCAUCUAAUCUUGUAACCUGUAACUUUAUAAGUUAUAAGAGCACUUUUGUUCAGAAGCUUCUUUUCUCUUUUCUUUCUCAUUUUCUUAGUAGCCAAACACCCUUGGAGGAUGAAAUCCCCAAGGAUGAGAGGCUAAAACCUUUUAGUUUCUUGAAGUAAUGGAUGCCAUGUGAAGCUCCCGUGUCAGGAUGGAGAUUUCCAAGCCAUGAAUGUAAGUAGCUGAGCGUCAUAAAUGUUUUCAUUCAAAGUAAAGCUUUUAAUCCCUCUGACUUGCUUUGAAUGGCCAAUACUUGAUAACCUUUUGGUCUCAGUGGAUUCUUAUUGUUAAAUCCACUGACGUUCAUUAGUUAUCUCCUACGAGCCAUUGUAUUGCAAGUCGAGGAGAUGACCUAUAUCAUUAAAAGGGCAUUUAUGAGGUUCAGCUACCCUUUUUGUAAGUUUUCAAGGACUAAAACUCAGUUGUUAAACUCAUACCGGUUCGGGAAGUAAGCAUCACCUUAGUUGCUUCCCCAACUCGAGGUGAAAAGUCCCAAAAUCUCCAUUUUUACACAGUGAGUUAAGCAUGACUAUCCAAAGCUUUGAGAAACUUCUUUCUCCAUCUUUUAACCUAUUUUCAAGUUAGUUUAGUUUACAACACCUUUAUCUUUUUAUGUUUUCAUCUUAACCUAAUUUUUAUUAAGAAAAGUUCACUCCAUCCUCCGAACUUCACCAGUUAAAGUAAAAACCCUUCCCAGUGUUCGAUCCUAGAGCCACUAUGCUAUAGUAGCUUUGCUACUUUAGUGUAAGGACCUUAGGUUAUAAAUUUUGUUGAUACCUUACAUGCAAGCUACCAAGAGGCGGGUUAUCAAAUGGCGCCGUUGCCGGGGAAGGUGCUACUUCACUGUGAAUAUAUCAGCCGGAGGUAACUUGUGAGACUUCUCAUGAGUAAGGUGAAUUCUAUCUCCUUUUUCAUUUACUAACUUUUUAUUUUAGUUUUAGAACAUUUUUAACUUAGUUUAGAUAAGUUUCUUUUAGCUUUUAACUUUCAUUUUUAGUUUAUUUUUCAUACUCUGUUUUUCCUUCCGCAUGCUCUGUUUUUUUUUUUUCUUUUUCUUUGUUUUGUUUGUUUGCUUUGUUCCAGCUGAAUCCGUGCAUGCCCUAUUGGAUUAGAGACCAAGAGGGAAGGUUAGUGCGGAUAGAGACUCCACGAGCUAUUGAAUUAGAGAUUAUUUUAGAAGUCAUGGAGAAUCAGCCAGAGGAUCAACAUUCACAACACGGGCAGGGGAAUGAUCCGAACUUGUAUAGGUCCAUGAGGGACAGGAUGCACCCUCCGAGGAUGAGUGCACCAUCUUGCAUCAUUCCUCCUACAGAGCAAUUGAUUAUCAGGCCACACAUCGUGCCUCUGCUUCCUACUUUCCAUGGGAUGGAAAGUGAAAAUCCAUAUGCGCACAUAAAGGAAUUCGAAGAUGUGUGCAAUACUUUUCAAGAAGGGAGAACAGCUAUUGAGCUUAUGAGGUUGAAGCUCUUUCCAUUCACAUUAAAGGACAAAGCCAAGAUAUGGCUCAAUUCCUUGAGGAUGGGAAGCAUAAGAACAUGGACAGAACUUCAAGCUGAUUUUUUGAAGAAGUUUUUCCCUACUCACAGAACAAAUGGAUUGAAGAGACAAAUCUCCAACUUCUCAGCACGUGAGAAUGAAAAAUUUUAUGAAUGCUGGGAGAGGUAUAUGGAGGCCAUCAAUGCAUGUCCUCACCACGGCUUUGAUACAUGGCUUUUGGUGAGCUAUUUUUAUGAUGGCAUGUCAUCUUCAAUGAAGCAGAUAUUGGAGACAAUGUGUGGGGGUGAUUUCAUGAGCAAGAACCCUGAGGAGGCUAUGGACUUCCUAAGUUAUGUCUCAGAGGUUUCCCGUGGAUGGGAUGAGCCCAAUAGUAGAGAAAUGGGGAAGAGGCCAGUUCAGCAAAUGUCAAGAGGGGGGAUGUACAGUCUGAGUGAAGACAUGGAGAUGAAAGCCAAGGUAGCUGCCAAUGGCUAGAAAAAUAGAGGAAAUGGAGUUGAGAAAAGUUCAUGAAGUCCAAGCUAUUUCAGAACCUCAACAACAAGCCAAUCCUUGCUCCAUCUGUCAGUCAUUUGAACAUAUGGUGGAAGAAUGUCCCACCAUUCCGGCAGCAAGAGAAAUGUUCGGGGAACAAGCUAACCUGAUUGGCCAAUGGAAGCCAAAUUCAAAUGCUCCCUAUGGCAACACGUACAACUCUAGCUGGAGGAACCACCCAAACUUUGCAUGGAAGCCAAGGCCAAACCCAUAUCAGUCACCAGCCCAAUCAAGCCAACAGAGUCAAGGUCAAUCCUCAGUUGAGCAAGCACUCGUAAGCCUUAGCAAGGUUAUGGGUGACUUUGUGAGUGAGCAAAAAUCCAUCAACUCUCAACUAAAUCAGAAGAUUGACAACGUAGAGAGUACAUUGAACAAGAAGAUAGAUGGGAUGCAUAAUGAGUUGUCUCAGAAAAUUGACAACAUCCAAUAUUCCAUCUCAAGGCUCACAAAUUUGAACACUGUCAAUGAGAAAGGGAAGUUUCCCUCUCAGCCUCACCAAAAUCCUAAGGGGAUACAUGAAGUGGAAUCCAAAGAUGAGGAUUCUUCAAAGGUGAGGGACGUGCAAGCUAUUAUCACUUUGAGAAGUGGUAAGGAAGUGCAUCAGCCGGAGCAUGAUCAGAGGAAAGCCAAAGAAGAUAAGGCUGAUAGAAAAGAAGAAAAGAAGAAUGAACAAAAGGGAAAGGAAGUUCAGAUGAAAGAAAGCAUCAUUCCUAGCAUGGAUGAGGAACCUCAAAUUCUUUUAAAGGAAGGCAUGAUGAAGAAGUACAUGCCUCCUCCAUUUCCUCAAGCCUUACGUGGGAAGAAACCGAUCAAGAAUGCUUCUGAGAUUCUUGAUGUGUUAAGACAAGUGAAGGUGAAUAUUCCUUUACUUGAUAUGAUCAAGCAAGUACCCACAUAUGCAAAGUUUUUGAAGGACUUGUGCAUUGUGAAAAGAGGACUCAAUGUUACAAAGCAAGCCUUCCUAACCGAGCAAGUGAGUGCUAUAAUCCAAUGCAAGUCUCCAAUCAAAUACAAAGAUCCGGGGUGUCCUACAAUCUCAGUCAAUAUUGGAGGAACCCAAGUGGAGAAAGCAUUGCUUGAUUUGGGGGCAAGUGUUAACUUACUUCCAUACUCUGUAUACAAGGAGCUGGGGUUGGGAGAACUCAAGCCAACAUCAAUCACCCUAUCCUUAGCUGACCGAUCAGUGAAAAUCCCCAGGGGGGUAAUAGAGGAUGUAUUGGUUCAAGUUGACAAAUUCUACUAUCCAGUAGAUUUUGUGGUGCUUGAUACGGAUCCCAUUGUCAAAGGGAUCAACUAUGUUCCAAUCAUCCUUGGAAGACCAUUCCUUGCAACAUCCAAUGCAAUCAUCAAUUGUAGGAAUGAGGUCAUGCAACUCACUUUUGGGAAUAUGACAUUGGAACUCAACAUCUUCCAUCUAUGUCAAAAGCACAUCCAUCCUGAAGAAGAUGAGGGCCCGGAAAAAGUGUGUAUGAUAGAUACCCUGGUGGAGGAGCAUUGUAAUCAGAGUAUCCUUGAUCAGUUUGAAGAGAAUUCAGAUGAAAGCCAUGAAGAUCUUGAUGAUGGGUUAGCUGAACCCAUGGGAAUGAAUGCCGUUAUGUCAAACUGGAGACAAAAGCCAGUGAUCCUCCCUUUGUUCAAGGAUGAGGAAGAGAUGAAAGAAGCUAAGGAUGCAAUCCUUAAGCUUGAAUUAAAGACCCUUCCUGCCGAGUUGAAGUAUGCUUACUUGGAGGAAGGCAAUAAAGCCCCGGUGGUAAUUUCUUCUUCUUUAACCGUUUCACAAGAGGGCAAUCUUCUGAGAAUCCUUAGAAAGCACAAGAAGGCCAUCGGAUGGCAAAUUUCUGAUUUGAAGGGGAUAAGCCCAUUGAUUUGCACGCACCAUAUUUAUAUGGAGGAGGGAGCUAAGCCAACUCGUCAGCCACAGAGAGAUUGAAUCCUCAUAUGCAAGAGGUAGUAAGGGCUGAAGUGUUGAAGCUUCUUCAAGCGGGCAUCAUUUACCCCAUUUCNAUAGCACUUGGGUGNNNNNNNNNNNNNNNNNNNNNNNNNNNNNNNNNNNNNNNNNNNNNNNNNNNNNNNNNNNNNNNNNNNNNNNNNNNNNNNNNNNNNNNNNNNNNNNNNNNNAAGCUUGAAUUAAAGACCCUUCCUGCCGAGUUGAAGUAUGCUUACUUGGAGGAAGGCAAUAAAGCCCCGGUGGUAAUUUCUUCUUCUUUAACCGUUUCACAAGAGGGCAAUCUUCUGAGAAUCCUUAGAAAGCACAAGAAGGCCAUCGGAUGGCAAAUUUCUGAUUUGAAGGGGAUAAGCCCAUUGAUUUGCACGCACCAUAUUUAUAUGGAGGAGGGAGCUAAGCCAACUCGUCAGCCACAGAGGAGAUUGAAUCCUCAUAUGCAAGAGGUAGUAAGGGCUGAAGUGUUGAAGCUUCUUCAAGCGGGCAUCAUUUACCCCAUUUCGGAUAGCACUUGGGUGAGUCCAACCCAAGUUGUUCCAAAGAAGUCCGGGAUAACCAUAGUCAAGGGAGAAAAUGGAGAUGAAGUGUCCACACGCCUCACAACUGGUUGGAGGGUGUGCAUUGACUACAGGAAGCUGAACGCAGUAACGAGAAAGGAUCACUUCCCUUUACCUUUCAUGGAUCAAGUCCUUGAGAGAGUAUCUGGGCAUCCUUUUUAUUGCUUCUUGGAUGGGUAUUCCGGGUAUUUUCAAAUAGAGAUUGAUGUGGAGGACCAGGAGAAGACUACCUUCACUUGUCCAUUCGGCACCUAUGCUUAUAGGCGGAUGCCUUUUGGAUUAUGCAACGCUCCUGCUACCUUCCAAAGAUGCAUGCUUAGCAUCUUCAGUGACAUGGUUGAACGAAUCAUGGAAGUCUUCAUGGAUGACAUAACUGUGUAUGGGACUUCUUUUGAGGAUUGUUUGUCACAUCUUAAAGAUGUUUUGAAAAGAUGCAUAGAGAAAGACCUUGUACUCAAUUGGGAGAAGUGCCAUUUUAUGGUAAAUCAAGGUAUUGUUCUUGGGCACGUAAUCUCAAAGAAGGGUAUAGAGGUAGAUAGAGCUAAGGUAGAACUAAUUGUGAAGUUGCCACCUCCCACCAAUGUAAAAGGAAUAAGGCAAUUCCUUGGGCAUGCCGGGUUCUAUAGGAGGUUUAUAAAGGAUUUUUCCAAGAUUGCCAAACCUCUUUGUGAAUUAUUGGUGAAGGAUGCCAAGUUUGAGUGGGAUGAUAAAUGUCAAAGGAGUUUUGAGCUUCUUAAGCAAUUCUUGACAUCAGCGCCCAUUGUGAGAGCACCAAAUUGGGAGUUGCCAUUUGAAGUGAUGUGUGACUCAAGUGAUUAUGCUAUUGGGGCUGUUUUGGGACAAAGAGAAGAUGGCAAACCUUAUGUGAUCUACUAUGCAAGCAAGUCUUUGAAUGAUGCUCAAAAGAAUUACACCACCACUGAGAAUGAAUUACUUGUUGUGGUGUAUGCUUUGGAUAAGUUCAGAGCUUAUUUGAUAGGGUCUUCCAUUGUGGUAUUCACGGAUCAUUCAGCUUUGAAGUAUUUGCUAACCAAGCAAGACGCCAAGGCUAGGUUGAUUAGGUGGAUACUUUUGCUUCAAGAGUUCAACCUCCAGAUCAGAGAUAAGAAAGGUGUUGAGAAUGUGGUAGCUGACCACUUGUCAAGGCUCAACAUUGCUCAUGACACCCAUGGACUUCCCAUAAAUGAUGAUUUCCCUGAGGAAUCCUUGAUGCUUGUGGAGGAAGUGCCAUGGUUUGCACACAUUGCCAAUUACUUGGUCUCGGGAGAAAUACCAAGUGAAUGGAGCUCUCAGGACAAGAAGAAUUUCUUUGCCAAGGUCCAUGCAUAUUAUUGGGAGGAGCCUUUUCUCUUCAAAUAUUGUGCGGACCAAAUUAUAAGGAAGUGUGUGCCUGAACAAGAGAAGCAUGGGAUCCUAUCUCAUUGCCAUGGGAAUGCAUGUGGAGGCCACUUUGCCUCUCAAAAGACGGCAAUGAGAGUUCUUCAAUCGGGCUUUUGGUGGCCCUCACUUUUUAAGGAUGCCCAUGAGGUAAGUAAAGGAUGUGAUAAGUGCCAAAGACUAGGCAAGCUUUCAAGGAGAAACAUGAUGCCUUUGAACCCCAUCUUGAUAGUGGAUCUUUUUUAUGUUUGGGGCAUAGACUUCAUGGGACCUUUCCCUAUGUCUUUUGGCCACUCCUACAUCUUGGUAGGAGUUGAUUAUGUUUCAAAGUGGGUUGAAGCUAUACCCUGUAGAACCAAUGAUCACAAAGUGGUUCUCAAAUUCCUAAAAGAAAACAUCUUCUCGAGGUUUGGAGUGCCUAAAGCAAUCAUCAGUGAUGGAGGCACUCACUUUUGCAACAAGCCCUUUGAAGCUCUUUUGGCCAAGUACGGAGUUAAGCAUAAGGUAGCUACACCUUAUCAUCCUCAGACGAGUGGCCAAGUAGAGCUAGCCAACCGGGAAAUUAAGAACAUCUUGAUGAAGGUGGUGAACACCAAUAGGAAAGAUUGGUCUGUUAGGCUCCUUGAUUCCCUAUGGGCGUAUAGGACGGCUUAUAAGACUAUCCUUGGGAUGUCACCAUACCGUCUUGUUUAUGGCAAAGCUUGCCAUCUUCCUGUUGAGAUUGAGUUCAAGGCAUGGUGGGCCAUUAAAAAGCUCAACAUGGAUUUAACUAAGGCUGGGCUAAAGAGGAGUUUGGAUUUGAAUGAGCUUGAGGAAUUAAGAAAUGAUGCCUAUCUCAACUCAAAAAUAGCUAAGGAAAAGCUAAAGAGAUGGCAUGAUCAGUUGGUGACCAAGAAAGAAUUUUUCAAGGGACAAAGAGUCUUGCUAUAUGACUCUAAGCUUCACCUAUUUCCGGGAAAGCUCAAAUCAAGGUGGGUAGGGCCUUUUGUCAUCCACCAAGUACACUCACAUGGAGUAAUUGAGUUACUCAACUCAAAUAGUGCAAAGACCUUCAAGGUAAAUGGGCAAAGACUCAAGCCCUACAUCGAGCCAUUUUCCCGUGACAAGGAGGUACUCAUCCUCCAUGACCCAUCACAUCCUUGAGAAAGUGUGGUAAGUUGAUGAGCUUAGCAUGAAAAGCUAAGUGCUCAUCUCUUUUUGUUUUAGUUUUAGUAUUACAUUCUUGUUUACUUUGCAUUUUUAAUACUUUUGCACAUAUUUUGUUUAGGUUUCUUGGUUUUGAUUUUGAUUUUUUUAUGUUUUUAAUGGAGCUUUGAUGUCCAAUAGCAGGUACGAAAGCUCACAAGCUCACAAAUGUGGAGAGAAAGGUGAAAUAGGGGAGAAAUAUAUCUAAGUCCAAGCUUAAAAGCCCAUUUCGCAACUCAAAAAGUGAGUUGCGAAAAUUUUGCAAGGUGAAUUUCACCUUGCGAAAUGCACAUUUUGGCAAGAUGCAAAAUGCAACCUCUCGAGAUUGCACUUUCGCAAGGAGUAACCAGUGCGAAAAUUUUCGCAAGUCAUUUUUCACCUUGCGAAAUUGUUUUCAAAGCAAAUAUCAAAGUGCAACCUCUCGGGAUUGGUUUUUAAGGGGAGUAGCCAGUGCGAAAAUUUGGCAAGGUGAAUUUUCACCUUGCGAAAUUUUUUCUUCAUGCUUACCAAGGUUUUGAUUCUUUUUAAAUUCAUUUUCACAGCUAUCCUGGACCAGCACUCCGCCAUGCUAUCUCAGAUCCACCAUCACCUGGGCAUAUCACCUCCUCCACCUCAGGAGCCACAUCCAUGAUUGGAUAUUUCUAUCUCCAUUUUGUAUUUGUUUUUUGUAGAUGUACAUGUUUUAUAUUCUGAGAUUGUAUGUACCUCAUGCUUCUAUCUUGUACUCAACUCUCUCAGUUUAUAUAAGCAUCAUUUUUUGUAUAUUAUUUCCUCUCUCACGUUUCUUAUGGUUUUUGAAUCAUGUGGAUGCACUCACACGCCUUGAAUACCACAUCACCAUAAGGUAUAUCAUUCCUUCCUUGUAUUUUUCGAUAGAAACAUUGGGGACAAUGUUCAUCUCGGUUGGGGGGAGAGUUGAGGAAGUAAGUAUUUCCUAUUCUAGUUAGUUAUUUUGUUGAUUUAGUAGUUGUUGCCCUUUUUCAAAAUUUUUUUGUUUCAUUCUCUAUGGUUGUUAAAGAUAAUUUCUCAAAAUAAAAUAGGAUAAGUCGAGUUUUAACUUAAUUACUUAAGUCUUAGAGUUUGUUUUAUGCUUUCAAAGUUGAUAAUCUAUUGAAGCCCUCUUUGAUUUCGAACUUAUUUCUUCCAUUUCAAGCUUUACACACACCAUGCACAUUAGAUCCCGGAUUUAUGAUGUAAAACUUUCUCACCCUCUAAGCUUAGGAAAAUUUUGACUUGGUUUAUUACUUAACCUCUUUUUAAUAAUGUUGGGACACCUCAAAAAGACCAAUGAGUCUUAGAAAAAGAAAAAGAGAAAAAGAAAAAAGAAAAGAGAAAAAGAAAAAGAAAAAGAGAAUAAGCUUCUAUUCUUUCCUUGAAACCUAAGCAUGAUCCGAAGGGGUGGCGAAAGCCUUUAAAACCCGAUGCCCUAAACCUUGAUUGGUUGGGAGUCAUCGAUCCUCUGCUUGCUACAUAGGUGAAUUGGUUAAGUUUAGUGAGUAAAAAGAAUUGUGAAUAAGAAGGUGCGUUCCUAACCUAUUAAGAGUUGGUUAAUUUUGCCAAUGUCCGAGAAAAGCUUAGGUUAGGGGGAGAGGAUAGUUGUGCAUACUAUAUCCGGAAGCUAAUCUCAUUAACACUUAGCUCAUUAUGGAAGAGUUUGAUCCGGAACCUUGAGAGUAGAGAUUCUUUUGAUACUUAAUUGCAUAAUCUCCACUCUUUGUACUUUUUGUUUAAGUUUUAGCUUUGACAACUCCUAUUGCAUUUUGAAUCUUCGUAUCUUUAGUUCACCAUGUGAGAUGUGUUUUGAUUUCAGUCAUGCCACUCAAUUAUUUUUUGGAGUGAUUUGCAUGAUCCCUUUUAUGUAUAUUAUUAUAGUUUACUUAGUUUUUAUCUCCUCCAUUGCUAAGGGACUAGCAAUGAGUCGGUUGGGGGGUGUGAUUACUACCAAAAAGUGCUAUUUUGUAGACCUAAUUAUAAUGGUUUUAAGCACCUUUGAGUAGUAAUCAUAUUCAUUUAACCCAAUUAAUUCAUUAAGGUCCUUAGUAAUUGGUUUUAACCUUUUUGUGGCAAGUUGACAUGUUUUUAUCAGCUUAUGAAUCGAUUCAAGCAUGCCAAUUGAUGGAGGAGCUAUUUGGGUGAGUUAAGCAAGGAUUUUGUACGUUUAUAGGCUUGAAUUUCAAGUGGAAACACGAGCACAAGCAAUGGAGAAGAGGAAAACAGAGUGAAGAAAACAGCUGCAGUCUUCCUUUGAACUUUUGAAGCACUUUCCGAAGUCCAUUUUUUGCAUGCUAUAUACCAUUUGAAAGCUUAGGAAGUCAAGAAUCCAACGCUUCAAACCGUGUAUGAUUUGGAGCUGAAAUGAGGAAGAUAUGGCCUUAGGAAGGAAACUGCAUCAUGUCAAAUGACCAAUUUCGCAAGGUGAAUUUCACAUUGCGAAAAUUUCGCAAGGAGAUUUUCUUCAUGGUGCGAAAUUUUGCCACUUCGCACCAUGAAGAAACACCUUGCGAAAAUUUCGCAAGGUGGAUUUAGGCACAUUGCGAAAUUCCUUUGAAUCCCCUGUUUUGAGACGUUGUUGAUGUUAUUCCACUACCGGUUCUCCAAGAUAUUUUGCUUGAUUUUUAGCUUUGUAAAUACCUAUUUUACCCUUGUAAUCAACCAAUGAAUAGGUUGCUUUUGUAAUAGCUCUUGUAAUUUAGCUUGUUAUUGUCUUUAAAUAGAGGUGAAGAGCCUCAGACACGCAUCAUCUAAUCUUGUAACCUGUAACUUUAUAAGUUAUAAGAGCACUUUUGUUCAGAAGCUUCUUUUCUCUUUUCUUUCUCAUUUUCUUAGUAGCCAAACACCCUUGGAGGAUGAAAUCCCCAAGGAUGAGAGGCUAAAACCUUUUAGUUUCUUGAAGUAAUGGAUGCCAUGUGAAGCUCCCGUGUCAGGAUGGAGAUUUCCAAGCCAUGAAUGUAAGUAGCUGAGCGUCAUAAAUGUUUUCAUUCAAAGUAAAGCUUUUAAUCCCUCUGACUUGCUUUGAAUGGCCAAUACUUGAUAACCUUUUGGUCUCAGUGGAUUCUUAUUGUUAGAUCCACUGACGUUCAUUAGUUAUCUCCUACGAGCCAUUGUAUUGCAAGUCGAGGAGAUGACCUAUAUCAUUAAAAGGGCAUUUAUGAGGUUCAGCUACCCUUUUUGUAAGUUUUCAAGGACUAAAACUCAGUUGUUAAACUCAUACCGGUUCGGGAAGUAAGCAUCACCUUAGUUGCUUCCCCAACUCGAGGUGAAAAGUCCCAAAAUCUCCAUUUUUACACAGUGAGUUAAGCAUGGCUAUCCAAAGCUUUGAGAAACUUCUUUCUCCAUCUUUUAACCUAUUUUCAAGUUAGUUUAGUUUACAACACCUUUAUCUUUUUAUGUUUUCAUCUUAACCUAAUUUUUAUUAAGAAAAGUUCACUCCAUCCUCCGAACUUCACCAGUUAAAGUAAAAACCCUUCCCAGUGUUCGAUCCUAGAGCCACUAUGCUAUAGUAGCUUUGUUACUUUAGUGUAAGGACCUUAGGUAUAAAUUUUGUUGAUACCCUUACAUGCCAAGCUACCAAGAGGCGGGUUAUCAACAUGCCAAAUAGGAUCAAAUUACAAUAAAGGAGAGUUAGGGUGCAUACCUGGAUGGCUUCUCAAAUGCUAUCAUGAAACAUAAAAGUUAGUAUAGAGAUACAUCACACAACAUGUGCUUUUGUCAAAGAUAAUCAAGCAAGCAUCAAAUAUAUAUCAAGGCAAUAAAACAGGAUGGCAAGCAUGGGCAUAGUACGCAAUGACAAUCAUAUUCAUAGGGUUUAGAAAGUGGGUAUUAGGGAACGUACCUGGAUAGCAUAGAUAACUUGUAACGUGCUUCCAUAAAACAGGAGAGGUUAGAUAGCAAACAAUAAAAUAAGAAGUCCUAGCAUGCUUGUUAUCUAAUUAGCAUAGAAAAAAAAAAAAUUAUCACAGUAUACAAAACCAUCAAUUAUCACUAAUAUCUUCUAUAUAAUUUCUAAAAAAUAAAUAGACAUGAGUUCAUCAAAUAACAAAGGGGGCAACAAAGAUGAGUUUUGAAAAUUUUCCUUAUGUAGGGGUUUCACCAAUUCCCCGAUUGAUAUACACGAAUUUAGCCCAGAAUUAUCCCAUUUAUGUGGGACCACAAGCUUUGAUUCAUGUUUGAUUUCAAACCAAAAUUUUCGUUAAAAAUCGAGAAAGAUGCAAAUCGAUCAAAAAAAUGGUUGCAUAUUAUUUUAAGAAAAUGGGGUUUUUGAUUCUAAGGACUCUAAAUGAAUUUUUAAAAUAGGUUUUUAUAAGGAAAAUUUUGAGAAAAGUAUUUUAUUUUAAAAUAAGAGAAAUUAAUUUGAGAACAAUAAAACAUAUGAGAAACAUUGUACCAAGCAAAACAAAUAGAAACAAAAUCAUAAAGUAAAAUUUUUGGCAACCAAGCAAACUGAAAUGGUGUGAAUGGAGGCCAAUCUUCACAAUUUUCCAAUGGCCUCCAUGAAUCAAAUAUAAACGAACAAAUGUCAAAGAAAAUAACUAAACAGCCUUAGAUCAAAUAAAGUCAACCAGAUAUCAAUCAAGAACUAACAAAGAUUAGUCAAGCCCAUAAAUUGAGGAUAUAAUCAAUAAUUAAAUUAGAUUAGUCAAACACACAAACCUAUGAUUAAGGUAAUGUUAAAUAUAGUACCAUAAGAACUUACAAUUCUAAAACACUUGAAUUGAGUAAGGAUCAAUCAGGAACUAGAGCUUAACACACUUAAAACAUGGAUAUAAUGACAAGGGGUCAGAUAAAUUAAAUAAUUAAAAUUCUAAAGACUCAUAAAACAAAUAUGAUGAAUCAAAAAUAAUAAUAAUAAUAAAAAUAAAAAAUAACUGAAAUUAAUAAACAUAGUGAUAAUGAUAUAGAACCAAAUGAAUUAAUCACCUAAAAACCUAAAGCAUCACAUGAAUCAACUAAGAUGAAAAUAAAAAAAAAAAGAAUAAAAUAACAUGAUGAUAAUGACAUAGAAUCAAAUAAAUUAAUCCAUUAAAAUUUUAAAGCAUCACACGAAUUAAUUAGGAUGAACCCAUGAACUAAAAUUAAAUAAAACAAGAUGAUGAUGACAUAAAACCAAAUAAAUUAAUCGACUAAAACUUGAGAGACUCGAAAACUUAAUAGAGUAAAAAAUUAGCAAACAAAGCCCUAACUUUCAAUCUAAAAAAAAAACUAAUAAACUAAUGGAUAAAAAAAAAAGAAAUCAAAAACUCAAGAACAAGGAAACUCACUUACCUUUGGAAGAUGCAGCCUACUCGCUUUGGGGAUCAAUGGCGUUCAUGGUUCUCUUGAAGAUACCAUGAAGAUCUUUAUGGAAAUUGAGGCAUGGACCCCUUAAAAUGCAACCUGCUGCCACUUUUCCUUCAAAAAAUCUCACCAUCUAAAAGUGCAACUUGCUUCCAUUUUUCUUUCAAAAAAAUCUCACCCCCUCAAAAUGCAACUUGCUGCCACUUUUUUUUUUAAACAAAUCUCACCCUAAAGUGGCAAUCUGCUGCCACUUUUCUUUUAAAAAAUCUCACCCUAAAGUAGCAGUCUGCUGCCACUUUCCUUUCAAAAAAAAUUCACCCUAAAGUGGCAGCCUACUGCCACUUUCCUUUCAAAAAAAAAACUCACCUUAAAGUAGCAGCCUGCUGCCACUUUUCUUUCAAAAAAAACUUCACCCUAAAGUGGCAGCCUUGGAGAAUCCCCACUGUACGGUUGUGUUCCAAAAAAAUUGAAUGCUGCCACUUUUCUUUUCAUCAAACUCAUAGUGCGCCCCAUGGAGAUUAAUAGAAAUCCCUUUUCCUCAUUUUGGAUGGUCACGCCCUCUCUCCUAUAGUGCAUGUGCAGAUCCAAGGAUGCAGCCCGUGAAGUGAUGUAACGAUUCCUAUUGAGUCUGUUAGUGUUGCCAAACCAGAAAGUACCCAAUUAUGAAUGUCCAGAAGAUGCUGAGGACAUGCAUGUCUUCCGACAAUGAUGUCAGUUCAGGACAGCGAUAAAUUUGAAGACGUUAGUAAAGGGAGGCUGUCCAUUGAGUGUGAUAAUGUUAUCAAAUUUAGGGCAGCAAUUUGAAUCCCUGAAUAGAGAUAGCUUCCAAGGCUUCAAGUGGGGUGAGAUGUUGAAUCACUUGUGAUAGAGAGAUUAAGCUACUAGCACAUCACUGAGAGAAUAUUAAUCUAUGACAAUUCCCACUUUCGAGUUGCUUUAGAGAAGUAAGGCGUCACAACUACAUUACCAUCUAGUAUUUUGCUUUGACUUGGCAACACUUACAUCUUUUUCAAUCAUGCACGGGGCUGUUUUGAAGUCCAAAAGUGCAAGUCGUUUUUGGAUGGCGGCUGGUUCUUGUUUGCUGUUCCUUGAGAUCAGUUUUAUUGCCAAUCAGAAUGAUGAGAAUGGUCUUAUCAGCGUGACCACGUGACUCUUCCAACCAUCGGGGUAUGUGGUCAAAACUUUGGCGUUUAGUUAUGUCGUAAACCAGCAUUGCGUCAACAGCACUCCUGUAAUACGCACUUGUAACGGCUCCGUGUCGUUCUUGGCCAGUAGUGUCCCAGAUCUGAGCCUUGACACUCUUGCGUCGGAUGACGAGGGUUCGAGUCUGGGACUCAACCCCGGUUGUAGCCUUGGAAUCCAAACUGAACUCGUUCCUAGCGAACCGAGUUUACGACUUGCCCACUUCGGUGUCUCCGAUCAUAACCACUUUGAAAACGUAGUUGAUCUUUUGGCUCGAAUUGCCAUAGCUUCCACCACUCGCCAUCACCGCACCACUCCGUUCUCUCUCUCUUGAACACUCUCUGUCUGGAUUCAAGAUCAGUCACAGCCUUCCUUUUCCCAUCCUCAAUUCUGUCCGCUGGGAAACCGAAUUGCCACCAUCAAACAGUUGGUUCCUUGCAGCCGCUGAAGCUUGUCAGCAUCACCAAGAGACCAACCAAUUGGGUUGUAGGAGAAGUCAAUCUGUUUCCAUGUAAUCUGAUCCCAAACUCCAAUCCCAUACACGUGGCUUCAAUCUUUACCGCUAGCAAUAAUCCUAUAAUCUGAAUUAAAACCCAGAGCUCCGACAAUUUCCUUUCUUUAUGGCAGCCAGAUUUGGAUCCGAUCUCGACUCUCCUUUGAGAUUAAGCAAUUUAUCAAUGUAUAAUCAGGCCGCUGUGGACAAAUCCAUGCUUGGUAGUCAUGCUUAUUGAUGAUAGUCUAGAGAUGUGGAAAUCAAACAAUUCUGAUGAACCCUCUCCCAUGCGUGAUGAGGCCGAUGAUGUGUUAUUCCAGAUUCAUCUCCGGAGAUCCCUCUAAUUAGAACGUUCAGAAUCCCCCAGAAACGAGAGCUCUCCUUGCGGUCUCCUUCUCCAGCAGCGUUCAUCCCUCCCCCCCUUUUUUUUUAUAUGCUUCACGAACUUCAUCACAUGAAUUACCACAAUCAUCAUCCGUCACUUCUGCUCCAUAGCAUGAACCACAAUAUUUUCCAUUGCGUUCAAGCCUGCCACCAUGUCCUUGUAAUAGCUUCUCAAUCCGGGGCCACCAAUUCCAUCUUGCCUAACUGCUACCACAUUACCAUGGGCGUCAAUGGAGAGAGAGUUUUGACCAGCAUGGGCGCUCGUACCAUUGGAGAUGCAGCCUUGAAGAUUCCCCCAGUGUGACCUGCUGCUGGUGCGUGUCUUCUAUGGAAUCUGUGCUGCGUGCUGGUCCUCUUGAUGGUGAGGAAUACGGCUGUGUGCUUGUCGUCUCCCUCCUAGUGGCAGCCCCCCACUUUGAGAGAAUUUGUGGCCGCUCCUUCCUAGAGAAUCCCUUAGAUGUUUCGUUUCAUCAUUUUAGCCGGAUCCAUUGCAAGCAAGGAAAUUCAUUGAUGAUUUGCUCCCCUUUUUAGGAAAGAAAGCUCAGAAUUCUGAUGCAUGUGUAGAAGCUUUGCAACUUAUUCGAGAUAUUAUACCAGUUUCAGUGAGUGAAACUUCUCCAAAAAUCUUGAAUGUCGUUUCUUCUCUGCUAAUUUCUGCUGGACUGGAUAUACGUUUGGUUAUUUGUGGCCUUCUUGGUGAUCUUGCUGAAACUGACCCUUAGGUACUCUCUGUGGCAAAUCCCAUAAAUGAAUUGGAUGUGACCUCUGUUACGGAAACGAGUGGCCUGGAUUAUGACACCAUAGUUUAUGCUUAUGAAAAGAUUAGCAUGGAGUUCUUUAAUAAUAUCUCAAAGAAUCAGGCACUGGUCAUUUUGUCGCGUUGUAUAUAUGAUAUGUCAUCCAAUGAACUGAUCUUAAGGCAUAAUGCAUAUAGGUUAUUGGUCUCUUCUGCUGAACUCUCCGUCCAAAUUCCUAAACUUGAAGUGAAGAGUGACCAUGAAACGCCCGAAGCAAUAAUAACAUUCAUAGCUGAUGGUUGUUGGAUUUAAGCAUGUAUUCAGCGCAUGAUAAACAAAUUCCUUUUGAAGCAUAUGGCAGAUGUAAUGGGCAAGGAAAAUUUUGUUCAGAAGGAAUGGGUUGAUUUACUGAGAGAAAUGGUGCUGAAGCUUCUAGAGGUGCUAAAUCUUCACUCAUUCAGGAUCUUGUAUUGUCUGAAUGUGUUAAUAAAAUUGGACCAAUGGAAGAUGCUGUGAAGGCUCUAUUUGCCUAUGGGCUCCAUCUAACUAGUCGGUAUAGGUUUUCUGAAUGAGAUGACCAUGGGAAUGGCCAAAUUUGGGAUUUCCGUAAGGUAAGAUUACAGUUAUUGCAGUUUAGAGACAGGCUGAAGACAUUUCUUGGGAUAAAUAUGGGUAGGUUCUCCGUGAAGGAAUACAACAAAUUUCGCAUUAUGCUUAUCAAUGAAGCUGCUGCUGCACUUGCUGAGAGUGGAAAAAUUGGGGCCUUAAACCUCCUUUUCAAGCGUCAUCCUUAUACACUCACUCCUUCCAUGUUGGAAAUUUUAGCUGCUGUCCCUGAAAUAAUUCAAGUUCAAACAUAUGGGCAACUCCCUCCUGGGAGGUCUCCUCCUACCAGUUUUGCUCUGAGGGAAAAAGAUUGGGUUGAAUGUGAAAGGAUGGUAGGCUUUAUCAACAGAUUACCCGAGGAUAAAGAGGGCAGCAUUCGCAUCAAAACUGAACCCAUUGCGAGGCAGAUCUUGGGAUUCUCUUGGCCAUAAGCUGAUGAAUUUUCUAGUUGAUACAAGUGCUGAAAUUUUUAUUGGUCAGACCGUUGACCUCAAAGAGCAGCAAAAUGCUCUUGGAAUCAGUCAGGAACACAUUGAAAGCGCUGCAUCACUGGAGGAUUAUGCUACCAUGAAUCCAGCCAAUUAUUUCACCUUUGUCUCCCAUAGUGCUAGAAGGUACUCUACCAAGAGGUUCUGGAACGCUCAAAUAUUUUAAGUGGAGGAUUCUAAUGCUUCAAUAGCACUCACCCUAUGACGAAUACUCAGUUUAUGAUGAAAGAGUGGAGUUUCUGGCAUCCACCUAUGCACCGAAUGCAGAAUCAAUAUUUGCUCCUCUCAUAGGAACAAACGGUUUUCACAACAAAGCAAGUGAUCAAGAUGAUGCAGGCUGCAAGAAUUUCCCGAAAGAAUUGCAAAUGGCCAGACUAGACGAUGAAGCUGUUCUCCAAAAACUGAGGCAAAUGCCAUUGGAAGUGGGAAAAUUGAAACAGAAUUUAUAAUGCUCUCCUUCCCUCAUGUUCAAAGGCUGAUCUGAACAAUACUGGAGUCGCCUAUGCAGCCAUGCUAGACAUUAGAAGCUUUAUGAGGUUACAAUAAAACCAUUAACUGUACACAUAAGUUCAUUUGCAAGAAUUGGGAACCAAUUUAGAAGGUCAAGUAUAUUCGCUGUCAACAAGAAUGAUGCCCUCCGAUUUAAGAUCUCUACUGAGGAGGAACCCAGUUUGAUCAAAAUUCUAGGAUCAAACAACAGAGUCAAAGUCAAAUCAAGAGCAACGUUCCAACUUGUCAUGAAGACCAAGAAUAGUAAUUGCUUUUGAGCAAGCAGUGAAAUUAUUUGCAAUCAGACAAUCAUCUUCUUCUUCAAGAAAUGCUGUAAUGAAAUUCUUACCAGUUGUGUCUGAUUCUUCAAAACAUGAAGUUAGCAAACAGAUUGUUCAUAUAUAAUGUCAGUUGGCAUAAAUGUAGUGUUCAAUCACCAAGCCACAAAGAUGAUACAACCGAACAGUUGCAGCAGGAAAACUUGGUUGUUUAUUCAAAAUCAAGUAAAUCUCUAGGUCCCUCAUACCACGAUUGCUCCCAAUCUUUAGGUCUUGGCGUAGACAAUUCCUUCCUUGUCUAUGUGGACAGAACAAUGCUUGCUGUUCUAGUUGUUGUCUUUCACCAUGGUCUGUAGAAAAAAUGUCCAGAAAAACAACUAAUGAUCAGUAGAAGUGUAAAAGGGAAGAAAGAAAACUACUGCUAGAUUGGAUCAGUCAUCUUCUUCAUUAGAUCAUUACAAACAGUUGGCUUUGAAAAAUUUGAAGUUAAUCAACUACAAUCAUGACAGAUAUUUAUUUUUCCUAAAAGAAUGUAAAUGUAUGGUUGCUCUUUGAGUACAGCUCUCUACAGCACAAAAAUAAACAAAUACUGUGGUCAAAGCUGUCAAUCAAAAUCCCCCUAUCCAGAAUGCAUGGCAAUGGCUGAUCCAAAUGGCCAUGUACUAGUACACUUACUAAGAUUUCCUUCAAGAAUCAUGUACAAGUGACCACCACUGUUCUCGGUGUCCAGAGGCAGUUUUCCAUACUCAUCUCCUUCUCCAUGAGGCUCAUGUAGUUAUUGGAAGGAUUCAAUAAAUAAUCUCGAAACCCAUGAGCGUUUUUGGCCCAAAGAAAUUCAGCAUAUGACAUAAUUUCGUGUAUAUAUAUAUAUGGAGAGAGAGAGAGAGAGAGGAAAAGUUUAUGAAAUAACCAUGAUUACUAGACGGGAAAAGUGUGUUUUCAUCUUUUGAUAUGACUAUAUCAGUAAAUGAGUACCAACUUUUCCAUCUCAUAGUUUGUGAAUGGAUCAUAGACUGAAAAUGAAUUAUAUGUAAUCUACUUAAUUUACCAAAGGUAAUGAAAUCUAAUUUACAAUCAAAUUAAUUAAGACACUAGGAUACCAAUCACUACUAUACGUACAUAAAUCAUAUUACAUUUCUGUAACAUUACUUUUCUUCAAUACUUCCCCUGAUCAAGUUACAUAUCAAGAACUGAAAAAAUUAUAAGGCAAUCAAAUGAAACAAACCAAGAAAACAACAAUAUUAAAAGAGUUAUGAAAUAUCACCAGAUGAGAUCCAACAGUAAAUUAAGAAACUUUAUACAAUCUUGCUUACCUUAGGGCCAUGUCUGGAGGAGUUCCAAUUGUAGGCCUAGGGCCAAUGUUGAUAGGCACAUGCCCAGAUCUUAAAAACCCUCAAGAUGAACAGUAGCAGCUACUCUAGGCGCUCCUACUGCACAGGCAAAAAACAAGUUAGUCAAUGUUUCUUGGCUAUUGGCUUUGGCUUGGACCUUGGUGGUUAUGUCAAUUUUAGAUAAAUAUGUUAAUAAUCCAAUGACUAUAUUCCAAGAUUGAUGAUAUAUAUGCAAUAUAUCAAUUUGGAAAUGCUGAUAUAAACAUUUAAGGAAUUUAAAUUAGUCAAUUUUCAACAAUCUAGCAUUCAAAAGUGUACAAAAUGAUUAUAACUUGAAAGUUUGAAUAUAAACUGAGGUACAAUAUUCCUAGAGGCUCAAGUCUCCCUAGAACAAGGCAUCACAUCACAUAUUGAUGUGGCCUUAUGUUUGAGGUAAGCACCUUAUCUACUGGCGAGUUCAUCCUUAAUAAGCUUUUUGCAAGAAAAUGGAGACCUAAAAUUACUCUAAUACUUCUUUUCUUGAAUAUUAAAUUUUCUUAAAAGUGUUAUCGAUUAUCAAACAUUUAUAUCAAUGGUGGAAACUAGUUUGCUACCAAAGUGAAGGUCAAAGUCCUAAUUAUCAUUUUGCUAAACAAUGUAAUAUAGUAUUAUACAAUUAUUGCUUUUAAAAGAAAAUUUACAAGCCACCCAGCAAAAUUUAUGAUUAUACCUUUUUCCAACUUCACUCACGCCAUUGAGCUUUAUAAUUUGAUGAAACAAGCCUAAAUCAAAAAACUAUACAAAAAAAAUAAAGAAUCGGAGAAAACAAACCUGUAAGCACUAAAUUUUGUACUUUAAAAGAGGAAAUAGGAUGCCAAUUGUAGGUUUAAUUUAAAGAAACCUUAAAAAAUAUUUUUAAAAUUAUAGGAAAACCCCCGUAGCUUAGAAAAGAUUGGGGCGAACAGUCUACCUUUUGGCGAUGUUCACAUCUUGAGAGGAAUGACUUCUUUCUUAGUAGAUCUGAUGAUGGUGUUGAUCUUUAGGAAGAGAUGAUUAGAAGGCUACGUCGAAUUUUAGUGAGUGAGAGAUAAAGGAACACCCAAAACCUUAAAGCAAAAAAGGAAUUAAUAACUCAAAUAGAUUCCAUUUUUUCCUUAUGACGUGCUUACCUUAGUAAGGUUUUUAUGGCAGUGAUACCAUUUGGAUAAUUAAGUCAUUGAUUUUGAUGGAUCUUUUCCAUUUGAAUUUUUAAUAUAUAAACUUAAUCUUUUUACUUGGGGUAAUAUAUUUGGUAUUUUAGGAUUUACUUUUUAAUAAUAUGCUUUUAGUAGAUGGUUUAACUAUGUCCUAGUGUAAUAAGUAGUCUUGCAUUACAUUAUCUACUAUGGAGUAGGAGUGUGUUGCUUGUUCAAGGGAUGUAUGGGAAGUUGUUUAUUUGAUGAUAUACUUUCAACACUUAGAGUCACGACUUGAGCUAAUAAGUUUAUCAAGAUCUAAGCAUUGAUGGUGUUGCUACUCUAUUGUAUGCAAGGAUUCAAUUAGUCACAUUGUAGGACAAAACACUUAUAGACAAUUGAUUCUACUACAUUCAAGAUAUUGUUGCUUAAGGGGAGGUAGAGUCAAAACAAGUAGACAAUUGAUACAACUACACACACAACAUAGAGACAAAACACAUGAAUAAUACUAUGGUUGAAUAAAUUAAUUGGAUGAUGAGAUGAUAAUUAUUUUGUCAUCAACAUAGUGAACAACAUAAAUUAAAAUCUUGAAAUGUCACCUUAGCCAACCUAGUAGAAAUGAUUCAUCAAAAUAUUUGAAUGUGAGAUCUUAAAUUGGUGUUUGACCAAUAAAUAUGGUAAUAAACAUAUAUUAAGUAUAUAUGAAGUGACCAAGCUAAGAUUUGUAUCAUGUUAUUGUAGGGAAUCCCGAAUCUCUUUGUUCCUUAUCCUAUGAUUAGGCUAGGUACAUGCGAAUCUUUCUAAGUUUUUCUAAAUCGUAUGAACAAUGGGAAAAUUAUGUUUUAAAAUAAUAACAAGAUUUAGAAUUUGCAUUAGAAAACAUUACCUUAGAUUUGGAUGUUCCCAAAUCUAAUUCACGUAGUAAAGGAGAAGAUCGAAGUUUUCAGAGGUCUUGAACACCCAAGAUCUUCCACCAGAUGACUUUUCCUUGAUUUUAGAUCUUAAUUGGUGAGAAGGAAGGAAGACUAAAAAGGCUAUGGUUCUCUCUCUCUUUGAAUAGUGAAAGAUGGCUCACUUCAAAAAAGUAAUGAAAACCUUAUCAUUUAAGGGGUAUUUAUAGGGUUCCCUAAUUGGGUGUAAGUGACUUAAGCAUACUAAAGGCUUGAAUCAUUUAAUUUCACUCAAAAUGAGUCUUAAUUGAUUAAUUAACCUAACGUAGUUAUCUAAUUAAUUAAUUAGCUAAAUCUGGAGACUUUGUUCACUUACCCCUAUGCAACCUUGCAUAGUUACCAAAACACCUUUAUACGCAAAAGUGAACCAAGAGUUGUGUCAUCAAGGUAUAUGAGCUUAGGUGGAGACCAUUGAGACCUAUAGGACAGUACUAGCUACCCCAAAAUCUAAUUUUGAAGUUGAUUUAACGUUCCACUAUAGAGAAUCAAUUGCACUAUAAUACCUUAUGUAAAUAACAAUGAGAUGCUAAGUGGUCGAGCCCAUGACUUAUUAUCCAUUGCAUUCAAUCUCCCUAUGAACUGGUGUUUGUAGUCUAAUAAGGUCAAAACUAUCAACCUUUCAAGACUACCUCUACUAUCUUUGAAUUACAAAUCCUCUUAUUAUGUAUUUAAUUGAUAUAUCUUAACUCUCCAAGAGUCUAUGUCAAGUUCCAUUUAAGAAACUACUAUGACCAUAGUUUACAUGAACAUACCUCCUUAGGAUCACUUAAGGGGACACUCUAUCUCAAUCCUCUUAGAUUUCAUGGUACUUCUAUUACAAAUACUCAUUGUUAUAGACUUGCAUCAAUAGUGAACCAAUCCAUAAGGAACAUAUGAUUAGCUUACGAUUUCAUUAGUAGGUCAAAGUCACUACUAACUUUAACACAAAUUCUAUAUUCUCUCAAGGUUAAGAGAUAAAACAAUGAAGCAACUUGGUGAAAUCAUGACUAUUUGAUAGCUUUAUGUCAUAAUUCACCAUAAGUCUUGUCUGAUGUGUAACCAUACACAUUAGUAUACUCACCAUGGAAAACCCAUCCUGAUAACCAAGACCAACCAUUCCUCUAAUUAUGAAGUAGCGUACUAUAACCUCUAAUGGGUUACUUAGGCCUAUGAAUCGGUUGUGAACAAGUCAUCUACUUACAAUGAAUCCAUUUCUUGAAUUUUUUUUUGCAACUCUUAAUGCACUCAAGUCCUGUACAAUACAAGAUAUGUAUAUCAAAAUGCUUACAAGGUAUAAUGUAUAGGAUUAGGAUAAAUAAAAGUGAACUAAAAAUUUAUUAAUAAAUAAUAAAAUUUUAAAUUUAUUACAUCAUAUCAUGCUUUUAUGAAACCUUUAAAAUACUAAGAGCACCCUUUCAUAAUCAUGAAUUUAACUUUAGUUUCAACUUCUAUCAAAGGCUAAAUGAGAAAAGCUAUCAUAGAGGAGGCCUCAGCCAAUGGGUAAGAUGCACUGUUAUACCAAACAAUAAGUGGAAAAUGAAAUUUUAUUAAUACUUGAGACAAAGGAAGAUUUUACACUCAAACCAAGCAUUUAUUUAUAAUGAAGUGCAGUCUCCAUACGCACAUGUGGACUUAUUGGAAAAUCAUACAAAUUAUUGAAGGACGACCUUAGCUAGGCUAACAGUCUCCUAAAUAGGCCAUCUUUUAUAUGUCUUUGCAUUCAUCCAUCUCCUCAUUGUCUUUGAUUUUAGAUGGUGAGGAUGUGAAAGUAACAGGAAGCGGUGGACGAUUGUUCACAGUGAGGCUUAGCACAUCAGCUCUCGAAUAAUGUCCUACCACAUCGAACUGGAACUUUGCUUUAGGAAUCUCUCCACGAACAUCUACAUAUCAAGUGAUCAUAAAAAUAUUUCAUCAGUCUAUGAUAAAUAUCAUAGAAUAUCAAGUCUUCGAGAAAACUAAGUUUGCAGUCCUCUUAAACCUAAAGAAUCGACUCAUUUGUCUUAUUUGCAUACUGAAAUAUUUGGAUAUAUAACUGGAGAAGUUAGGGCCAUACCAAGAUCAGCUGUGAAGAGGCCUUCUCCUUCAUAAUUCGGUCCUGUUAGAAUUUCCCCAUGGGUCGAAAUGAUGACACUACCUCCAGCCCAAACAAUAGAAUCUGGAGUGACAUCUUCUUCUGUAGGACUGUAAAGAUACUCAGGUGGAGGUGGGUAAUCUUUCCUUUUCCAUUUUUAAAAAUAAUAAAAGCAAAGGUGUUUCAAAACAAUACCUCAUUUGCUCAAUUAAUUAUCACAUUUCCUAAGUACAAAAGUAGGCAAGUGAAUUUUUGCUCAAGUUACAAUAAUGCUCCAAAUCCUUAUCCAAGACUUUGAUCCUAUUUCACAAUUGUUUUUUAAAACAGUUUUUUUCUUGGGAGAAUUACCCAAAGGGGUGGGUUAGAAAAAAUAAUGACUAUGAAGGCUCACUCUUUUAGAAGACAAUUUUACCCUUUAAUAUGUUUUUUAUAUUAUUUAUAAAUAAAUUGAGAUUGUCAAUGAUGUGGGGCUCAUACAUAAUGAUAAGUACAAGUUGAUAAAUGAUGUGGGACUCAUACAUGAUGAUAAGUACAUGUUGAUAGGCAAUCAACGGUACAUUUUUCAACUUGAAAAAAUUGUUAUCACUUUUGAACAAUUAACUAUUUAAAAAUUUGUUAUUUUUUUUUAAAUUGAGAUUUUUUAAAGAACCUUAUAAAAAAAAUAAUUUUUAAUAUCUCAUAAAUAAAAACCAUAUCCUAAAGUUAUUAUAUCAUUUUAUAUAUAAAACAUACAAUUAAAAACUUUGUUAUCAUAAUAUAAUAAAUAAUUAUUUUUUACGAGCACUCAUCAAUUGAAUAAUAUAUAAAUAUUCAAUUGACUAACACACACCUAUUAAAUGGAAUAACUCACAAUUAUUCAUUGGGUAAUAUAGCACGUGAAAAAAUUAAAUAAAAAUAAAUUACAUUAUGUUAUAAUAUAUUGUAAUGAUAGUGUAUUUAUAUUGUAAGUAUAAUGCAUUUAUGUCGUACCUAUAUUUUAUUAUAAAAGUAAUAAUUUUAAAAAUGUUUAUUCAUACCCUAUUGGUAUUAACACAUCGUAUUAAUAUAUUAACAACAUUUAUUUAGUGUUUUGAAAUUAUUUAAUAAUUUUUGUAUAUAUAUAUAUAUAAACUACGUGAAUUCAAAUUAGUAUUUCAUUUGAUUUCAGAAAUUAUUUAUGAUAUAGGUAUGUUGUGAAAUAUGGUAUGAUCAUACAAAGUUACCAUUUUCAUAAAAAAAUUCAUAAAUUUCUUAAUUAGGUUUUAUUGUAAUGUAUUGUAAUGUAAGUGUAUUUAUAUUGUAAUUAUAACAUAUUUUUGUUGUACUUGUAUUGUAUAAUAAAAGUAAUAAUCUUAAGGAUCACCUUUUAUACCUUAUUAAUAUUCAACAUAUCAAAUAUAUUAACAUCAUCCACUCGAUACAUUGAGAAAAAAAAUUUAUAUAAAAAUUUAAAUAAAAAAAAACACUAUGCAAAGGAAAAAAAAUCAUAUAAAUUUUUUUAAAUUAUUUUAUUAUAAAAAUAAAAAAUGAUUAAACAUUUUCUAUCAUUUUCUUAUUAUUUUUAGAGAAUUUGAAUGAAAAAUUAAACAUUUUAUCUUCCUUAAAUUUAAUACAAAAACAUAAUUUAUCAAUUUAAACUUAUAAUAUAUAUAUAUAUAUAUAUGAAAAAAUCAUCAUUUUUAUUAUAUAAUUAUAAAACUUAUUUUUUUCUUCAUAAAAUUAAAAAUUAGAAUAAAAAUAAAAAAAGGUAAAAAAACAAUAAAUGAUAUUUUGAAAAUAUUUUUUAAAAGUAUUUUUGUUUUAAAUAGUAAAUUUAAAUAACAAAUUAUAUAUAAUUGUAAGGGUUAAACCCAAAAUUUUGAUUUAAAAUUUAAAUAUCAAUAAUUACAAUAAAUGUGGGACCCAUGUACCAUAAAUGUAUUAACAAAUAAAGUGAAGUGCUUUAAAUGUUUUGAAUUUUAAAAGUUUUAGUUAAAGGACAGUUUUGGUAUAUUAAGCUUACUAAAGUCCUCCCCAAUAAUUAUUAAAAGAUACCACCCUUUCUAGUAAUUGUUUUGCCCAGCCUACCCUUUUGGAUAAUUCUCCCUUUUUUCUUCUCUACAACAAAAAAAAAAAAUGUGUUUGAGAAUUGGAAAAUAAGGUGUUUUAAAAAAAACAUAUGUUAGUUGUUUUUAGUUUUUCUUCAUUAGCUUUUUUGACGGUUGUUUAAAAAAAAUAAUUAUAUAAAUAUGAAGAAUUAUUAAAAAUAUAAUAUUAUAGACAAAAGUUAUUUUAAAAUUAUAUGCACGAGUUUUGGAAAGUCUUGCAAAAUAAGCAAAACUAUAGGAAAAAUAUGCAAAUAAAAAAUUGUAUUAAAAUCAUCAAGGGCGCACAAUAUUUGUGGAAAAAUAUUCUUUGCCGAAGAAUAUUUUUUAAAGAUCAAUUGAAAGCCUAAAGCAGCUUUUUCCCAAUUGAAUUUAUUGAAUGGUGAAGAACACGUGUGUUGCAAUUUUUUGGAUUUGUAGAGCGUAUUUUAUAAAGCUUUUUUCUCUUUGUGAACCUUCUUUUCAUAUGUGAAAUUGUUUUAUUUUUUUUUAUCAUUUUCAUUGAAGGAAGUUGCUGAUAUUUACAGAUAAAAUUAAAAAAAUUAAUUUUAGAAUUUCUAAGAUUUGAUUACUUAAUUAAAAAAAAAAAAUUGGUUUCUUGAUUUUAGCAACUUGUCUUCUUCAUUUAAGGAAGUUUGCUAACAAGAGCAUAUUUACUUCUCAUUUUCUUUUGACUUCAAUUGGAAGACUUGUUUCAUUUGUUUACAAAAUUUGCCAACAAGAAAAUAUUUAUUUCUAAUUCUCUUUUGAUUUCAAUUGUUUGAUUUGAUUUGAUUUUGCAAGACUUUAUUUUAUAGCCUUCCAAAUUUCGCUACAUGUCAUUUUUUGAAUUGAAUGCCACGUGUUCAAUAUAUAUGACUCGUCACUUAUUAAGCCCAAAUUUUGUUGAUCUAAGGAGUUACAAUUUUGAAGACUAAUUUGGUAGUAUUUUAAUCCACUAAAAUUUUUUAUGUCUACAAAUGCCCCCUCUUCAAAACAGAUCACACACAUGCAUUAUCAUGUAUAAGAAGUGAGUCUUGAAGUUAGCCUUUUGAAUCUUCAAUAUCCUUCUUUGAUUUUUUUUUUUCGAAGAAAUAUUUAAAUAGGAAAUUUCCUAUUCAAAAUACUUUUCUUCAACUUUUUUCGAACACUGUUUUAUUUAUUUAUUUAUUUUUCUACCUUGUAUCAAAGAAAAACCUUGUGUUAAUGGGAAAGCUUCUUAUUUGAACAUCUAUUUUCUUUUCUCAUGGUAUUUUCACUUCCAAUUUGUCAUCCUACAAGAAGUCCUUCACCCUAGCUGGUUCAAUUGCAUCUUAGACUUGGUCACAUGCCUUUAACUUGUAAUUCUUCCUCCACUUUCUUUUUUUUUGUUUAAAAAAUAGUACAAUAUAUUUGAGCAAGACCAUAAGCAAGAGAAUAGAGGUGGUGAAUGGAGCACCAACUAACCUUAGGGCAAGAUCUUGAGCAAGAGAAGUAAGGUGGAGAGUAGAGCACAAACUUCUCUAAAGCAUGGUAGGCAUACCGUCAUGGAGUUGUCUUCUGCAUGGAGCAUGGUAGGGUAUUAUAUAUAUGAUAGGGUGGGCCAUCAUGUAACAAUGAAGAACAACAAUCCAUGGUGUACAAUUGGGAACAACAAUUCAUGCUAUCAAGCUUCAACCUUUUGUUAUUUUUUGUUUUUUUUUUAAUCCCUAUCUCUACCCCCGACUCCAAUUUUUUUUUCAAGUUUCUAGAUUCCUUUUUAUUCUUUCUCAUUUUAUUUUUUUCAACUCCUUUUUUUUUCCUCCCUUUUUAACCAUUGUUUUUAAGGAAGAAAUAGAUUCACCAUCCCUUACCACGAGGUCAAUCUCCAUCGCUUGCAAAGACAAAUUUGCUUUUUGGUGUUUUUUUUUCUUCAAAAAUUAUCUUAACAUUUUAAGAUAUAUAUAUAUAUUUAUAUAUUUAACAAACUUAAAUAUCCAUAAUAAAAUAAAUAUUUAAGGCUCUUGACUUAUUUAAAUUGGCUUGACUUGGAUACUUAGUGGAACCAUACUUAACACCCAUGUAGAUGAGCUAUAAUCUUGAUGGCAUGUUGUGUUAUAUUUUCGACACUUAAUGUGGCUUAAGAGUUAAAGUCUUCACUCAUGAAAAUUAGCUUGGUUUGGAUGCACAAUGGUCUCUAACUUCUUAAUGCUUAAUUAAACUUGGAACCAUAUUUAACACCCAUGUAGACAAGUCAUAAUCAUGACAUAGAGCACUAUUUUAUUUUAACUCUUAAUAUGACUUAAAUAUUAAAGUCUUCACUCAUACAAAUUAACUUGGGUUAGAUGCACAAUGGUGUUCAACUUGGUAAUAGUUAAUUAAAAUUGAAACAUUUAACACCCAUGUAAACAAGUCAUAACUUUGACAUGGAACAAUGUCGUAUUUUUAGCUUAAUGUCGCUUAAGUAUUAAAGUCUUCACUGAUGUAAAUUAGCUUGUCUCAGAUGCAUAAUAGCAUUCAACUUUUUAACACUUAAUUUAAAUUCAGACCAUAUUGAAAACCCAUGUGGACAAGACAUAAUGAGAAAAUAAAGGGCUAAUCUAAAUAGAUAAAAAUACCCAACAGGGAAGGAGGGGGGUGAAAUGGAGUUUAAAAAAAAAAAAAUUAAACACAAUAAAAUUAAGUACAAGAAGCACAAAUAUAAAGAGAUAAGUUAUAGAAAGCAAACUCAGAUUUAUGGUGGUUUGACACUUCCUUGCCUACAUCCACUCUCCUCAAGCUCCUAACCGAGUGAGGGUUCCACAUAUACUUAAAGCUUCAACCAAACUUCUAAUCACUUUUUACACUUAGAUUUUGGCUCCAAUGGGCUCUUACACAUUCGCUUCAAGUCUCUACUCACUUGAAGGUUUUAACACUCAAUUAACAAGUUUGAAACUUUCAACCUAGCUCAACAAUGGCUCAAAUACAACUCAAGGCUAGGAUGAAUCACAAAGGUGCAUUAAAGAAUAUUCAAAUGAAGAUUUAAUGCACUAAGAAAAGAAUGAGAGCUUUUAUGGCAAGAACAAGUAGGUAAACAAAUCAAUGUAGGUGUUCUCUUACUCAUAAAUGAAGUGAAAUUCUCAAUUUAUAGGUUUCUAAUCUCAGAAGCCAAAAAACCAAAAAGUAACCUCAAUCGAUUGAGUUGGGGGUUGACCGGUUCACUAGCCGUUAGAGCAUUAAAUGUGUGGCAGGUGAUCGUUACCCUCGACCGGACCUCGACUGGGAAGGCAAAUCUCUCGACUAGGAAAGAAAGGUUAUUGGAAGAGAAAGAAGGUUUUUUGCAUCUUUUGACCAGACCUCAACCGGGAAGGAGCAAUCGAUCAACCAGUACCCUAGCCAGUUGAGCUGGUUGGCUAGUGCCUCUACCGAUUCACCAUUUUUUACUCGAAAACCUAUCUUUUUCUGGUCUUUUUUUGCUUCUAACACUUAAACAAGGUCUUUAGGUAAAAUAAUAUGUCAAUUUUGAAACGUUUUGCCUAAGGUUCAUUUGAUAGAACUCGGAUUUUGAUGGAAAUGUGACUUGAAUGCAUAAACUGAGUUUUCAAAGAUGCAUGAAAUGAUAUGAAAAUCCUAAGUACACCCAUGCAUUCAUUUUACAUAGUUUUCUAUGAUUAAAAAGUAUUUCAAAAGUCUUGAUCUUGCAUCCAUUAGGUCAUUUGAUGAAUUUCCAAAUUAAUAUAUGAAAUUCUUUAUAAUUCAAACCAUUUAGUAACUUAACCAUGGUUUGUUAUCAUCAAAACAUGAUUAGGAGAACCCUUGGGCUAACACAUAACAUUGUAGCAAUGUUAUAUUUUUGACACUUAAUGCAGUUUAAGUUCUGAAAUCUUCAUUUCUAUGAAUUGGUUCGCCUUGGAUGCAUAGUGGUGUCUAAAUUAUAAUACUUAAUUAAAAUUGAAACCAUAUUUAACACUCAUGUAGACAAGUCAUAACUUUGACAUGGAGUGGCAUUGCAUUUUCGACACUUAAUGCGACUUAGGUGCUAAAGUUUUCACUCAUGAGAGUUGGUAUGGGUUGGAUGCAUUGUGGUGUCCAACUUUUUAACACUUAAUUAAAAUUGGAACCAUAUUUAACACUAUCUAGAUAAGUCAUAACCUUGACGUGAAGCGAUAUUGUAUUUUCAACACUUAAUGCAACUUAGGUGCUAAAGUCUUCACCCAUGCAAAUUAGUUCAUCUUGAAUGUACAAUGGUGUCCCAUUUUUUAACAUAUAAUUAAAAUUGGAACCAAAUUUGACACUUAUGUAGACUAGUCUAGCCAUGAUGUAAAGUAGUGUUCUAUUUUUAAAACUUAAUGCAGCUUCAAUGGUAAAGUUUUUACUCAUGUGAAUUGGCUUGAUUUGGAUGCACAAUGAUGCCUAACUUUUUAACAUUUUAUUAAAUUUGGUAUCAUAUUUAACACCUAUGUAGACAAGUCAUAACCUUAAUGUAGAGGUGCAGUAAUAUUUUUGGUACUUAAUGUCGCUUAAGUGCUAAAGUCUUCACUCAUUUGAAUUUUUUGGUUGGGACGAACAAAGGUCUCUAACAUUUGAGCAUUUAAUUAAAAUCAGAAUCAUAUUUAACACUCAUGUAAAAAAGUCAUAACCUUGACACAUAGUAAUAUGCAAUGUUUUAACAUUUAAUACAACUUAAGUGCUAAAGUUUUCACUCAUGUGAAUUGGCUUGGCUUGGAUGCAUAAUGGUGUCUAACAUUUUAACACUUAAAUUAAAAUUAGAGUUAUAUUUAAUAAUCAUGUAGACAAGUCAUAACCUUGACGAGAAGCAGUAUUGUAAUUUUGACACUUCAUGUUGCUUAAAUGCUAAAGGCUUCACUCAUGCAUAUUGACUUAGCUUGGAUGAACAAUGGUAGCUAACUUUUUAACACUUUAUCAAAUUUGGAAUUAUGGUUAGCAUCCAUGUAGAAGAGUAAUAAACUUGAUGCAGAGUGAUGUUAUAUUUUUGGUACUUAAUAUAGCUUAAAUACUAAAAUCUUCACUUCUAAGAAUUAACUUGGCUUGGAUGCAUAGUGGUGUCCUACUUUUUAACACUUAAUUGAAAGUGAAAUCAUAUUUAACAUCCAUUGUAUACUAGUCAUAAACUUGAUAUAGAGCAGUGUGCAAUUUUUUAAUAUUUAAUGCAACUUAGGUGUUAAAGUCUUUACUCAUAUGAAUUAACUAAACUUAGAUGCACAUUCGUUUCCAACUUUUUAAUACCUAAUUAAAAUUAAAACCAUAUUUAAAAACCAUGUAGACAAAGACAUAAUCUUAACAUGGAGCAGUGUAUAACUCUUAGCACUUAAUUAAAAUUGGGAUUACACUUCAUAACCACAUAUUCCUCCUCCUAUUUUUCAAUUUUUUCUUGUGGUGAUGAUUGAACUCAACUAGUUUGUCCAAGUUACCCACAUACCCUUAACAGAGAAGAGAUCAAGUCAAACCUAGUUCAAAGUAUUUUUUUUUAAUAUCUAACUUUUGCCAAGGCUAAUGAUUUUAAUCUUGAAAGCUUGUCUUAACUUUUGACUAUAUAUGUAGUGUUUUCAAGUUUCAAUUUAGCGGCCUAUGAAUUGUACAAAUUGAAAAUGACUUCACUUAUGUGUAAAAAAUAAUAAAAGAUAUUCAUUCAUAGUUUUAGGGCAAUGAAAAGUAAUCGAUCCUUUUUUGCAUUAUUAUUAUUAUUGUUGUUGUUGUUGUUAUAAUUAUUAUAUUACCUUAGAAAAAGACCUUUUCCAAUUAAUCUUUUAUAUAUAUAUAUAAUCUUUUAUACAUGAUUUUUCUUAGUUUUCAUAGUAUUUUUAAAUUUAAUAAUUUUUUUUUUUAUAAAAAAAUAUCUAUACUUUCGGUCAAUGUCUCAAAUGUCUCAAAUUUUAUUACGUACGUGCUCCAGGAAGUCUCAAGUUGUAGGCUUGUUGCCUACAACUUGAGUUUGAUGAAAAAGCGCAUAAACAAAGACAAAAAAUUUAAUCUACAAGUACUUGGAUUCUAUUUGAAUAUAAAAAGAGCCACUCAUAUGCAUGGAUUAAAUAUAUGCCCCAUGGAUAAGUUGUACUUAGCCAUGGCUGAAGCUUUCCACUAUGACUUAAAGGGAAAAAAAAGAGAGGAGAAUAAUGUCAUUAAAAAACUGAUUGCCGUGUGGCUAUGCCUGCCAGUAGAUGGCUGAAAACUAGUUCUAUUCUUUUGUUUUGGCCUCUACUAAUUAACCAUAAUUGAGAGAUUCAAUGGCAACUAUCGUAUAAACAAUGUUUCAUAAAUUACUUUUAAAUUUUGACAGCAAAGACUCAAAAUGUAAAACCAUAAAAAAUUUGUUCUAUUCCCAAAUUUUUUAAAAUAAAUUUUAAAAUAAUAAAUUAAUGCCCAUGACUGUUUUCACAUCUUAUUCUCAUUUCUAUCAAUGCAAUAAUUGUAAUCAUCUUAUCUAUUAACAUGGCCUAGAGCCAUUUCAGCUAAGAGUAGUCUUUCCUUAGCAUUUCCGGUCCAAAGCUUCCAUUUCUUUAGGCCUAGAGGCAUUUUCAGUCCAGAGCUGCUGUUUCUUUCGGCCUAUAACCAUUUUCAGCCUGAAGCUGCCUUUCUUUAGCAUUUUCAGCCCAGAGCUACCUUUCCUUGGCAUAUCAGCCAAAAGCUUCUAUUUCUUUAGGCCUGGAGCCAUUUCAACACAACAUUGGUUUCUUUGGCCGGGCCUUGAGCCCUUUUCAACCCAGAACUGUCAUUUCUUCUAAAUAACUUCUCUUUUGAAAAACUUCAAUUUGCCCUUUUCAAGAAGCUGGUAAAAAUCUUCUAUUUAGCAUUUCGACAGUGAAUCGAAUUCACAUAGAAAAUAAAAAGGAAAAAAAAAGUCUUGAUGGCAUAAACUAGGACAUGACCGGGAUAGUUUGAAAUACAUAAUUUUCUCCAUUCAAAUGCAAAACAUAUUAAAAGAACAUUUGGCACGAUUUUAUGAAGCGAUUCUAUCUUUUCUAAUACUUCAAAGAUAAAUUUUUUUGAAGUAUUAGAAAAAUUAGAAAUAUUUCUUAAAAUCACUACCCUUAAUUAUAUUUAGAUACUUUAACCAUUUCAAAUGCUACAUGUUUCCUUCUACAUUUCCUCUUUAUUUUGUUUUUCUUUUACAUUUUUCCUCAAAUUUUUUAAAAACCAAACAUAGCCUAAAAGAAAAGAUAAUUUUACUUAUUUUGAAAGUUCUUUAUAUAUAUAGUUUAUAUGGAAACUUGUUUCAUGUUAAUUUAAUAAAGCAUUUAUAAUAUUGAGAUCGCUCUUUCAUAAUCAUAAAUUAACCUUUAGUUUCAACUUCUACAAGAGGCUAAAUGAAAAAAGCUAUCACAGAGGAGGCCUCAGCCAAUGAGUCAGAUGCACUGUUGUACCAAACAAUAGGUGGAAAAUACAAUUUUAUUAAGACUCUGAGACAACAAAAAUAAAAAUAAAUAAAGGAUGAUUUUACACUCAAAACAAGGAUUUAUUUAUAAUGAAGUAGAGUCUCCAUAUGCACAUAUGACUGCAUUUACAGCAUAAACAAAGACAAGGAAAUUAACAAAUGUUGAACUUAUUGGAAAAUCAUACAAAUUAUUGAAGGAGGACCUUAGCUAAGCUAACUGUCUCCUAAAUUGCCCAUCUUUUAUAUAUCUUUGCAUUCAUCCGUCUCAUCAUCGUCUUUGAUUUUAGAUGGUGAGGAUGUGAAAGUAACAGGAAGCAGUGGACGAUUGUUCACAGUGAGGCUUAGCACAUCAGCUCUCGAAUAAUGUCCUACCACAUCAAACUGGAACUUUGCUUUAGGAAUCUCUCCACGAACAUCUGCAUAUCAAGUGAUCAUAAAAAUAUUUCAUCAGUCCAUGAUAAAUAUCAUAGAAUAUCAAGUCUUCAAUAAAACUAAGUUUGCAGUCCUCUUAAACCUAAAGAAUUGACUCAUUUGCCUUAUCUCCAUACUGAAAUAUUUGGAUAUACAAUUGGAGAAGUUAGAGCCAUACCAAGAUCAGCUGUGAAGAGGCCUUCUCCUUCAUAAUUCGGUCCUGCUAGAAUUUCGCCAUGGGGCGAAAUGAUGACACUACCUCCAGCCCAAACAAUAGAAUCUGGAGUGACAUCUUCUUCUGUAGGACUGUAAAGAUACUCAGGUGGAGGUGGGUAAUCUUUCCUCCGACAGAACUGGAUGGGUGAAAGAACAUAGCAUCCACCCUCCAUAGCGAUGUGUCUCAUUGUAGCUACCCAUGUAUCCCCGGAAUCGGCAGUAGGAGCACAAUAUAUCUCAAUUCCUAUAUAGAAUCGGUGUUUUGUGAUCAAUCAAUCCCAUAUCAGAGCCAUAAUGUAUUUCAAGCCUAUUUAGGCUAAAACCCUAAUAACUUAAAAAAGAGUACUGAAGUAUUUCAAGCCAAACCAUACUAGUUAGUGAAGAGAAAGAAAUGGUAAAAUAUAUACCUUUGCCAUACAUUGCUGUCCUCAGAAGCGGCAUUCUAUUUUCCCAACAAAUGACUGAACCAAGUUUCCAUAUGGAGUGUCAUAAACUGGAGUUGUCGAGCAAUCUCCGAAACCCCAGACGAGCCGCUCCCAAUAUGUUGGCAUGAGUUUCCUAUGUUUUCCAAGGUAAUUACCUUCAGGAUCAAAGAAGAGAACAGUGCAAUACAAUGUGUAUCCAUCUCUCUCAACAACACCUAUCACCAAGUAGACUUUGUAUUUCGCAGCCAUUGAUGCCAAUCUAUCAACUUCAGGUCCUGAAAAGAUAUUAAGUGGUUGAUUCAUCAAACGUGUCUUGUUUCGAUAAUUUAUUAAGUGGUUCAGUUCUUUAGCUAUUUAAGGGAGAGAGGUAACUGACCCGGCACAUUGAUGGCAGAAGCAUGGUACUUGCGGAAACUUUCUUUCCCUCUUGGCGACUGGUGGGCGAAGUUGUAUCCACGGGGAUACCCACCGAUAAAUGAUUCAGGAAACACAACCAGUUGGGAUCCCAGUGCAGCUGCUUCUUUCAAAAACCUCUCAGCCUUAUCUGCUCCCAAAAUCACAUUGCAAGAAUUAAUAAUUCACGACUUAGAAAGUAAAUUAAUUGGUUGAAUAGAGAGAAUCAAAGUUAACCUCCAGAUAUCCCAAAUGACUUUUUGGUUGCUGAGAAAACUCAUGGAAAAAGAGACCUAGAUAAAACUCGGAACUUUCAUAUUUUCAGCUGUUUUGUAACUAAGAAAAGAGAAACCACCUCAACCCAACUCAUCCAAGUAAUUAUUGUACAAGCAGUAAUUCCUUGAUUGGCAGCUGAAAAUAUGUUCAAGCUUCAAUCAUCCUUUUCUUUCCUUCAGUUUCUCAGCAACCAAUCAACUCACAGAUUCUCUUACAGAAGUUGCAGAAUUGAGAGAAAUGGUACGUUACCUAGAGUGGCAGGAGUAUCAUAAAAGAUACUAGAAGCUUGAACAACGGUGGCUCUAACAGUUGAAGACAUUGCAGAAAUCGUAUGCUUUUUCGUUGCCCUUCUGUUUGAGGAUUCCUCACACAGCGUUCAGUAUAUAUAUAUAGCCCAAAAGGUUCUUCUGCCAUUACUUGAACAAGACGAAAAGGCUGCGAAAAGUCUGCCUUGGUUUUCCAUAUUGAUUUAAGUUAUCCGCAGACAUUGUGGACCAGCCACAUGACUUAAAACAAAGGGUUGUUCUACGGUACCCACUCUUCAUUUUGGGGGUACCUACCCACAUUUGACCCCAAUAAAAAUAUGACUUGUGUAAAGUACAUAUCAUUAAAAAAUUUAUAAAAACUUAUCAAACCGGUAAAGAUGACUUGUUGGUGAGAAAUAAUCACAUGCAUUUCAUAUAUAUCUAUAUAUUACAAUUUUUUAUAAUUUAUUAUUAAAUAUCAAAUAUAAUUUGUUAUUUAAUGCAUUACCUAACUCUAUCUAAAAAACGAAAAUCUUACCUACUGCUCUUAUACUCUCUCAUUUCAAGAUCAAGUUCAAAACUUUUUUAGAGAGAAAAUUUAAAAUUUGUAUUAUAUGAAGAAGAUGAAGGAUUUCAAGUGAUUACAAGUGUCUAAGGUAAUAUUUGAUAUUUUUUUUAUCCAAAUAUAAUUGUUGUAGGAAGAAAUGUGAUGUUAAAUAACGAUUUUAGAAUUUUUUAUGAGUUUAUUAUAAAAUUUUGUUAUCAAAUUGUUAUUAAUAUUUUUAUAUAAUUUUUUUUUUUUGUUCAUAGAUUAAAUUUGAAGAUGAAGCUUUAUAUGUCUUGAAGGAUGUCAAGUGAUUACAAGUGUUAAAAGGUAACAUUUGAUUUAUUUUUUUCCAUUUACAUAUAACUAUUGUAGGUAGAAAUGUCAUGUUAAAUGACAUUUAAAUAUGUAAUGAUUUAUAAUAUCUAGAUUUUUUAAUUUUUUUUUGAGUUAUUUUUAAUCAAAUUGAGAGCAUUUAGUAAUUUGUUAUGAAAUUGUCAUCAAUAUUUUGUAAGAGAGGGUACGAACUUUGUAAGAGAGGGUACGAACUUUGUAAGAGAGGCUACGAACUUUAUAAGAGAUGGUACGAACUUUCUAAGAGAGGGUACGAACUUACUAAGAUCGGGUACGAACUUUCUAAGAUCGGGUACGAACUUUCUAAGGGAGGGUACGAACUUUCUAAGAGAGGGUACGAACUUUCUAAGAGAGGGUACCAACUUUCUAAGAGAUGGUACGAACUUUCUAAGAGAGGGUACGAACUUUCUAAGGGAGGGUACGAACUUUCUAAGGGAGGGUAUGAACUUUCUAAGGGAGGGUACGAACUUUCUAAGGGUGGGUACGAACUUUCUAAGAGAGGGUACGAACUUUCUAAGAGUGGGUACGAACUUUCUAAAAGAGGGUACGAACUUUCUAAGAGAUGGUACAAAAUUUCUAAGAGAGAGUACGAAAUUUCUAAGAGAGGGUACGAACUUUCUAUAAAAAAAAAAAAAAAAUACGAACUUUCUAAGAGAGGGUACGAACUUUCUAUGAGUGGGUAUGAACUUUCUAUGAGUGGGUACAAACUUUCUAAGACAUGGUACAAACUUUCUAAGACAGGGUACGAACUUUCUAAGAGAUGGUAUGAACUUUCUAAGGGAGGGUACGAACUUUCUAAGGGAGGGUACGAACUUUCUAAGGGUGGAUACAAACUUUCUAAGAUAGGGUACGGACUUUCUAAGAGAUGAUACGAACUUUCUAAGAGAGGGUACGAACUUUCUAAGAGAGGGUACGAACUUUCUAAGAGAGGGUACGAACUUUCUAAGAUAGAGGGUACGAACUUUCCAAGAGAUGGUACGAACUUUCUAAGAGAGGGUACGAACUUUCUAAGAGUGGGUACGAACUUUCUAAGAGUGGGUACGAACUUUCUAAGAGAGGGUACAGACUUUCUAAGACCGGGUACGAAAUUUCUAAGAGAGGGUACGAACUUUCUAAGAGUGGGUACGAACUUUCUAAGAGUAGGUACGAACUUUCUAAGAGAGGGUAUGAACUUUCUAAGAAUGGGUACGAACUAGAUAAUGUAAUUUUCUAACUACUCUAUCUUUUAUAUUUCAGUUUCUUCAUAGAUACGAUGGACAAAGGAAAAGGAAAGGAAUUUAUCAUUGAUUUGAACGAUGAAGACUUUGAUUACCAAUAUGAUAGCAUUGUUAAAACUGAGUCCGAUGAAGAGGCCAUUCUAGUUUCGGACAAGAUUUUUAAUGAUUUAACUGUUGAAGAUGUAUGGAAUAUGGAGUUUAGCUUAGUAGAGGAGGCAGAAGAAUUUUAUAAUUUAUUUGCUAAAGUUACCGGAUUCAGUGUUAGAAAGGAUGAUGUGAAACGAGAUAAAAAUCAAAAUAUAGUAUCUCGUAAGUGGGUUUGUUCGAAAGAAGGAUAUCGACAUAGAGUGUGUUUAGAGAAUGAAAAUCGAAAACGAGAACCUAAGGCAGUAACUCGAGUUGGUUGUGAGGCAACAUUUUGGAUUGUGUUUAACAAACAAAUGAACAAGUGGGUUGUGAAAGAGUUUAUGGCUGAUCAUAAUCAUCCUUUGGUGGGACAAAAAAAUGUCCAAUUCCUUUGAUCCCAUAGGGUCAUUAAAAAUGCAGAUAAAGCUCAAUUGAAUGCAAUGCGAGGUGUUGGCAUGGGAACUAGCCAAAUUAUGGAUUACAUGGUGCAACAAUCAGGUGGAUAUAACAAUGUUGGCUUCACAAAAAAAGAUCUAUAUAACCAUGUUGAUGCUGAUCGUAGAGUUCAUCUAAGAGAUGGUGAUGCAGAGGGUGCUUUGGCUUAUUUGUGUGGAAAGUCUGAAAUGGAUCCAUCAUUUUAUUACAAGUACAAUGUUAAUGAAGACAACCAUCUAGCAAACCUGUUUUGGGCAAAUUCUACUAGUAAAUUGGAUUACGGUUGUUUUGGAGAUGUGUUAGCAUUUGAUACAACUUAUCGGACUAAUGCUUAUAAAAAACCGUUGGUCAUACUAGUUGGCAUUAACCAUCACCAUCAAACUAUAGUGUUUGGAUGUGCAUUAUUGGUAGAUGAGAGUGUUAGCACUUAUACUUGGGUCUUGGAGACUUUUUUUGGAUGCAAUGAAUAACAAGAAGCCUCUUUCUGUUAUUACUGAUGGGGAUAAAGCAAUGCGUAAAGCCAUUAAGAGGAUAUUUCCAGACUCUUGUCAUCGAUUAUGUGCUUGGCAUAUUCAACGCAAUGCAUUCACUAAUGUCCAUGUCAAAGAUUUUACUAAUCAUUUUUCUAAGUGCAUGUUCAUGGAAGGCACCGUUGAAGAAUUUGAAUGUGCAUGGAAUGACAUGUUGGAAAUGUUUAAUCUUCAUGGACAUAAGUGGGUGACAGAUAUAUAUGCUAAGCGUUCUAGAUGGGUAGAGGCUUAUUUAAGGGGGCAUUUCUUUGCUACUAUGAAAAACACACAAAGGUGUGAGAGCAUGAAUGCAUACUUGAAUCGUUUCCUUAAAACUCAUUUGAAGCUGUUUGAGUUUGUCAAGCAUUUUGAUAGAGCACUCUCACGUAUUCGUCAUAAUGAGGCAAAGGCAAAGUUUGAGACACACCAUUCUUCAGCUGUUCUAACAACCAAACUCUAUGCACUUGAGAAAUAUGCAGGGAUUGUUUUCACAAGGCAAUCUUUUCUAAAAUUUAGGGAUGAGAUGAAGAAUGCAGAAUUGUUUUUCCCUGUCAGUACAGAAAAUCAUGGAGGUUAUCGUGUCCAUACAUUGACCAAGUUUAGAAGCCCUGACAAGAUUUGGAAAGUAUGUUAUGGUAAUAGUGAUCGGUCUAUGAAAUGUACUUGUAUGAUGUUUGAGUCAGUUGGUUUUCCAUGUCCCCACAUGAUUGUUGUAAUGAAGAUAGAACACCUUGAAGAAAUACCUGAGACUUGUAUUAUGAAAAGGUAGUCUAAGUUAGCAAAGGAAACGGUCCAAGUUCAUCAUGACAAUGAAAGUCAAGGUGAUGCGACUAACAUCAUACGAUAUGGUGCACUCAGCUCUAUGUGCUCACGGAUGUCUUAUUUUGCAUCUCAAUUGGAAAAAGCUUUUAAAGAGGCUAGAUGUGAAAUACAAAGACUCACUUUUCAAAUGGAAGAACUUUGUAAAAAUUCAGCGGAAGAAAGUGAACGAGAAGAUUUGAAAGCUACAAAACACCAUGUUCGAGAUCCUAUCAUUGUGAAGACGAAAGGUAAUCCGGGUAACUUAAAAGACAAAUUUAAGAAACCAAGACAUUGUGGGAAAUGUAAGAAAGUAGGACACAUUGUUCGAAAAUGCCCAGAGUUCGUCAACACUCACAAUGCAUUUAUCAACAUUGAAGAUUCAAUUGAAGAUAUGGUAUGUUCAAACACACAUUCACUAAAUUCAUUAAUUAUUCACUUUAUAGUUAUUUUUAUUUGGUUAAAUUUGUUGAAAUAAAAAAUUAAAUUCUUUAUAUUAAUACAAGGGGACAUGCCUUCAUUACUAAAUCACAACAUGGAAGGUGGAUCAAGACACGAGACAAAUGAAUUUUCUCAAAAUGUAAGUUUAACAUUUUUUAAGUAAUUUUUAUUAUGAUGUGAAAAAUAUUACUUAUUAGAGUAAUUGAAAAAUUAAAUCAUAUUACAGACAACACUUGGCACAUUUCAGAAUGGUCUAGAAACAAGCUUAAAUGAUUCAUAGCUCGGGUUACAUCCACCAAAUUACUUCACAAACCAAGUAAGAGUCAUAGAAUAACUUAUAUACACCACAUAUCAUAUAUCUAUAUAUUGACAGAAGUUCCUAAACAUUUAGUAUUUAAUCAUAUGGAUUUUCUUUCAAAAUAUUAUGUAUAACUGUAAAUAUUUUCAAUGUAGGUCACCAUGAACCACUUUACAUCCGGAAUUUCGGGAGCAAGUUCUACAUAUCAUAACCAAUGAGUUGUACUACAAUGCAAAAAAUUAUGUACAAAAAAAAAUCAACUCUUAAUUGUAUUCUAUACUCUUCUUCUCUUUAUUUUUGCAUGAUUCUGAACUUUAUCUAAUAUUAUAGCUUUCUCACUAUUUUCAUCAUCAAGAAGUAAUUCGAUUGCCAAUUUGUGUCUUAUAGUUGUAGAGUUCCAAUGGGAAGGGGUUGAACUUGAGUCCAUGAAAUCAGAUCUUUGCAUAUGAUUAAUGACAUGGACUCCACAAUCCCACCUAACAAAUAAAAUAAGUAAACAUUUAUCUAGUUAGUACAUAGAAAUAUUAUCUUGAACACAUUAUAUUUGAAGAAACAAUUAUGCUUGCUUACCCAUUGGCUUGCACCUCUACCCAUGUAGGUCUUUCAAUGGGAACACUUGAUAAAUUCUUUAGAUGCCCAUUGAGAUUAAAAAAAUGUGCACACUCUUCAACCUAAUAUUCAUAUCGUUAUAUCUUUUAGCAAAAUAAAACAUGCUAUUUAACAACUAACAUUAAAAAGUAACAAAAUUCAUUAAAAUAUAAGACAUACCACAGUUCUCACAGAUGAAGUUCGCAUGUCAUCCCUUUCUAUUGAUGGUAAUGAAUCCAAUAUAUGAAUAUUAUGUUGAUGAAGAUUUAUAACACACAAAUACCAAUGAUCCGGACAUGUAUCGUGCAUCGGGAUGUAUAUCUAAACAAAACACACAUUUUAGCAUUGAUAAUUAUUUACAACUAUGAUAUGAAUACAACUUCAAAUAUGUACCUUAUUGCAAUCAUUCAUUUCAUCCAUGUGUUUGAUAAUAUGUGUGAACAUCUUGGUAGCAGUUGCCAAUUUUCUACCACCAUGUAAGAUUAUUUGCUAUGCAAAAAAAAAAAAAAAAAAAAAAAAACAUAUAUAUAUCACAAUAUUUAUUAGGUUUAUUUUUUUUCUUUAAUAAGAAAUAUAAUGGAUGAACAUACCGCAAAUGUGGUGGGUAAGUAGCAUCUUGUAGACCGUAUUCCUUUGAAUUUGUUCUCAAAACUAUUAAGUUUGCAUGCAAAUACAUUUAUGAUCUAAAAAUGAAACACAAAAAAGUUAACAAUGUUAAUUAUGUAAUAGAAUUAAUAAGAAUUGGGUUUAUCCUUGUAUUACUCACCACAUCGAGUAAUUCUUGUCUAGGCCCUAAAGUCAAGAAGUCUGCUCGAUUUGCAUGCUCAUAUUGAAAAUUAACAAGAAGUUCACUGCAAAAUAUAAGAUAUUUAAUAAGUAUAACUUUUAAAACAUGACAUACAUAAAGUAUAGUCAAAAUAAUAGGUUUACACACCUUUUGUCCAAUGAAACAUCAAACACAUAAGCAACAACUAGAGACUCAAGUGUACUCAAGGAAUGUGAAUCCUCCACGUUUGGCAAAAUGGACAUGGGGAUUAUCUAUAUUGAAAACAUCUCUAACAAACAUUACUUAUCGUUCACUAUAUUAUUAAGUAUUUAAAAAAUACUACAUCAAUGAAGUAACAUAUUACCUCUAAUAUCUUUUGUGAUCCAACAACUAUGCUUGGGAAUCUCUUAGGCUUUGACAUCUUAUUGGAUUGAUGAAUGUAGGGUGACACCUUGAAUUUACUAGGCUUGCGUUCCAUUGUUGAUCAUGUUUUCUUCAAUUGACAUGGGAGCACCACCAAUGAACUUAGUUGUUCUUCUUGUUUUUCAACAUAUGGAACAUCAACAUUAACCUAUCAUGUAUUUGAACAUUAGUAUAUAUAUAUAUAUAUAUAUAUAGAACUUUGUAAAAAACUAGGUCUUCAUAAUAUGCAAAUACCUUUUCAUCUUGACAUUGAUUGUUGACAAUGGGAGAAACAUGUAACUCCAUGUGACCACAUGAGUCAUUCUCACUCAAUCUCUCUUCUACGACAACAUUGCUCAUAGGAAAAAACAAACGUUUCAAUUCCAUAUAUUUUUCUUCAAAUUCUCUAAAAGUUGAUUCUUUACAACUUUCAUCCAUAUCAGAAACAUUUGUUUGUAGCACAAAUUUUUUCAACUUCUCAAAAGCUUCCUCCAUACCCAUCAAACUUUUUUCUUCAACCUAGUAACAAAUAAAAAUUUCCAAUAUCAUGAAAAAUAAAGUUUGAGAUGAAUAAACUAAUGUAUAUAAAUAUAGUAUAAAAAAGUACCUUAUGCCCUUCUUCUUGUUGUUCAUGAACUUUUGCAUCUUGUUUAUCACCAUCUUCUACAUUUCUCAUAUCAUUAUCUUUAUGAUCACUUGUUCUCUCAUCUUUCUCAACCACCUUCAUUUUUUCAUCAUUUUCAUUUUCCGCACCAUUAUUUUGCUCCAUAUCCACACUUUGCCCAAUUUUUAUAAUCCAUAUCGUGACCUAUAAUUUAUCCAUAAACUUUAUUAUAAUUGCAACAUCACAUAAACAAAUAAGCUUUUCAGUUAGUAAAUGUAUCUUACCUUUGGAUCAUCAUAACCUCCAAGUGUUUUGAUUUUACGUUUCAUCCUAGAGACCUCAUCAUCUCCCCAUUCAUUUAUACGAGGGCUAUAUGCAUUAAAACGUAAGUUCAUACCCUUCUUUGUGGAAAUGUGGUCUAUGUAGAAAAUCUGCAAGAAAUAAAUUCCAAAAUAAUUAUAGAGUUGAAUAUAUCACAAACUCUAUUAUUGUUAAAAAUAUCAUAAUAUAUCAACUUUGUUAAAAAUGUAUUACCAUUAGAAAAAAUAAACAUCCUAAAAUCCCACUGCUUUGUUUCUUGGAUUUAAAGUCGUUUAUGCCUCGUACAAGGAAGAAGAAUACUAUUUGAGCCCAAUUUAUCUUCUUUAUUGAUGCAGUGUCUUGAAGGAGAUGGAGGAAGGAAGGCUUGACACUAACUUUCAUCGUUGGACAUAACAAGGCACCCAAAACAAAUAAUACAAAACGAAUUUUAAAUUCAUCCCCACAUUCCUUUUCUUGCCGUAUUUGGUUUUCUAACAUCAACAAUGGCAAUUUUCUCUUCCCAUCACAAUACAUGUUGUAUAAAUCAUUCCGUUUACUUGUGCAUCUCUCUAUAUCUACCUCCACUCCCUUAGCCUUCAAGCCCAAAAUUAACUCAACAUCCAUUGGGGAUAAUUUAAUGGAAGUGUUAUGCACACUUAAUGUGCAUGAAAGAGUGUCAAAAUUCUCUACCAACCAAUGACAUAAACUAUGAUCAAGUUUAGUACAUUGCAAUCCUAAAAUACCUCCAAACCCUAUUUCUUGUAUGACGGCCUUUUGAAUAGGUUGCAAGUGUUGAAGUAGUUUAUACACCCGAUCAGGCGAACAACGCGUGUGAAGAUACGACUAGAAGUCAUAAAUAUACAUAAGCAUAUAUAUUUUAAAUUGAAAGAAAAUAUUAUCAUAAUUUAAAAACAUAAAUUUCGAAUUUCUUACCUUUGAUGCAUUUUUUGAGUUUUGACCAUUUUGUUUUAUAUAUUCAUGAGGCCAUUUUUUAGACUUCUCUAAGAACUCUUUUUUUUCUCCAUUUGAAAGGGAUUGCCACUUUUUCCCAAUCUCUUUUCGCAACUGUAAUAUUAAAUUAGUUAGGUAUCAUAUAGAGUAUAAAAGUUGACUAAAAAACAUAUUAUGCAAAUAUUCAUGUCUUUUCUUACAUCAUGAUUUAUUAUCAAUUCCUUGUUAUCUUCUUUUCUUGCGAGUACUUGUUCUUGACUGCAAAAAACAUCACAUAAAAAUGAUUAUAUUUUCAACAUGUGAAUAAAUAUCCAAAAUGAAUUAACUAUAUAUGUAUAUAUAUUCUUACAAAUAAUAAAGCCAUGAACCCAUAGGAAGUUUUGGGUUUGAAGGGGGAUCAUUCUCCUCAAAUGAUUGUUUGCUCCUAUUUAAAACACAACAUUAUGAAUGUAAUUUACAACUAAUUAAAACUAUGUACUAUAUUCAAAUAAUUAAGUUACAAAUAUAAAAUCUUACAUAUUUGGCUUUCUAAGUCAAGAUGUAGUAAGACUGCUCAAAAUAAGAUAAACUCCUCUUAUAUUAAGCAACUGUGUAGCCUGCAACAUAGUGAGCAUACCGAUAAGAAUUAAGUUUUGAAUUUGACAACAAGAAUUAAGUUUAAAAAAAAGUCAUUAGUGAGCAUAUGUCCAAAUGUUUUAAGCUCUUUUAUCAUUCUUUUCAUCUCCUUAAGAUCUUGUUUCAUUGUAUGGUUUAGUCGUAUUUUGUAAUUUCCAAAUUACAUUACAAGUCCUCUAAGCUUCGUAGCUGAAAGUACACCAUACUUUUCUUUUAACGCUUCCCACAUUUCAUGAGAAGUUUGAUAUACCUCAUACUCAAUCAUGAGAUCAUCUUGCAUACAACUUAACAACGUUAUGCGAGCUAAAGAAUUUUUUUGUGAGAGAGGCCACAUCAACAAGAUAAAUAUACAUGUCAUGUCUGGCAUAUCAAAUUAUUUACAUGUUAUGUACAAAACAUAAAAGAAAAUGUAAUAAAUAGAAGGAAAACUAAUCUUCUCCCUUGAAACUAAAAGAAACAAUGUUAGGAUUAUACACAGUGUCUUCUAUAACUCUAGAAGUUGUUUUCAAUAACCAUAACCCUCUAAGAUUUUUAUGCCUACUAGAAUUUGAAAAUCUUGCAUUUUGCAAGUUAGGAGAAAUAGAAAGCAUUGUUGUUCGUCUGAUAGCAUUCUUCACGAAGCAUGUUUCCCAGUGUUCCUUGAAAAUAGCUACUAGGUCAUCAAAAGAACUAUUUGUGAAACCAUGAGGCCCUUCUUGAAUGGAUUCCCAUAUAUUUUCAAGAAAUUUUUUCUCAGGUUCUGUUAAUGACAUUUGUAGAAUAUGCAUUUUACGGUUUGACUCUAAGAUAUAUUCCUUUUCGAAACGUUUGAACAUAUUAGCCACAUGAUCCACAUGUUCAUUUGUAGAAUGGCUAGGGUCCCUCUUGUAGUUCAAGAUUGUAUCCAAACACGGCCAAGGUCCACUACCCCUUAGUACUUUCCUAGUUCUCCUCAAUCGUACCAUUUUGCACCUGACCAAAAGAAUUUAAUUUAAUUUUAAUGAGUAACAUAUACUCAUACUUUAAUUAAAUAUUUGAACAAAUGAAAUUUUAAUUAGAAACACACAAUUAUAAAAAAAAAAAAAUGGUUUUUUAUUGUCCCUCAAAUUUUUAUUAUUAUUUUAUACACAAGUCAACAUUCAUAAUUUCAAAUAAACAAUAUAACACUAAUAAAUGGUAUUUUAUAUCAUAUCAAGGUACUUUAUUUGAGAUUUAGGUUCGAAUCCAUGUUGCAUUAUUAUUUCUAACACUAAAAGGUUCAGAAGUCUAGAAUUUUAUUACAUUUUAAAUGAAAAAUAAAAUUAAUUUAUAUAAAAUAUUUUAUUUGAGAUUUAGGUUCAAAUCCAUGUUGCAUUAUUAUUUCUAACACUAAAAGGUUCAAAAGUCUAGAAUUUUAUUACAUUUUAAAUGAAAAAUAAAAUUAAUUUAUAUAAAAUAUUUUAUUUGAGAUUUAAUUUCUAAAAUUUUAUUAAAAAUAUGUGAUAACAAUUUUUUCUAUUAACAUUAAUGUAUUUAAAUAAUUAAAAUUAUAAUAAUUUAUCUUAUCAAAUUAAUAUUAAUUCAUAAAAUAUCGGUAAUAAAAUUCGAAAGUUCAAUUUAUAUAAAAUAUUUUAUUUGAGAUUUAGGUUCAAAUCCAUGUUGCAUUAUUAUUUCUAACACUCAAAAGUCUAGAAUUUUAUUAUAUUUUAAAUGAAAAAUAAAAUUAAUUUAUAUAAAAUAUUUUAUUUGAUAUUUAAUUUCUAAAAUUUUAUUAAAAAUAUGUGAUAACAAUUUUUUCUAUUAACAUUAAUGUAUUGAAAUAAUUAAAAUUAUUAAUAAUUUAUCUUAUCAAAUUAAUUUAAAUUCAUAAAAUAUCGGUAAUAAAAUUCGAAAGUUCAAUGGUAAAUAUUUAAUCAAAAUAUAAAUGGAUAAUUACUAAUGGUAAAGAUUUAAUCAAAAUAAUUACUAAUGGAUAAUUAUUUAUAUACAAAGAGAAAUUCCUAAAAGGCCCUACUACCUCUCACACUCGGGGCUGGGGCAUCAAGAAGCCCUUUUCUCCCUCUAGACCGAGAAUCCCUAAAAAGGCUCCAGCUCCAGUUUACUCUGCCACUCUCAAUCCUCGCAGGUACUAAUCUAAUCAUGUUAUCCUUUUUUUUUCAAUACCCGUUUGAUUCUUAACAAAAUCCAUCCCCCAUUCGAUUUGUUGGAUCUGUUUUAGGGGUCUUUUUGCUUUUGUGCCAUUCGAUUUAAAUUUCAUGAACCCUAAAUCCACGAUUUUUUAGCCAGGUUGAAAUACACAACCUUUGUCUGCAAAUCAUGACCAUAUUACCAAAUAGUAUCUUUUGUUUUUUUAAAAAAAACUGGUCAGAUUUUGCAUCCUUGUGUGUGGCCUGGACUGGUAGGAAAUAUAGGGAAAUUUCCCAAAAAAAAUUCGGUAAAAAUACCAAAAUUUUACUGAUAUUUUUUAAUCGGUCAAAAUAUCAUGUUUGUGCGUGGUCUGGACUGGUAGGAAAGAUCGGGAAAUUUUCCAAAAAAUCAGUAAAAAUAUUGUCUUUCUUAGAAAUAUCGCCGAAAUUUUCGACAUUUCAAUCACUACCAUAUGACAUAAGAUGAGUGAAGUACCUGUUCUGGGAUAGUAGGUAGAGUUGCCUGUAGGGGAGAUUGGUUGCGGAUCCACCAAAGCCCCCUGAUUAUUUUCUUGCUGAUUUCUCCUCUCUCUGAUUUCUCCUUCAAAAUCCCCACUCAGCUCACUCUCUCUGUAAAUAUUCAUUUCACUCGAAAAUUCCAUCUCCACACCCUCAAAUUUCUGAAGCUUAACUCUCUAAAACUCGGGAAAAGUUGUAAUGCCCAUCAAACUAAUAGCUCACCUUUCCGAAAAUAGGCAUCAAGUGUAAUACCCAUCAGACAAAUUUUUGUCUUUGGACAAGAUUAAGCAAGAUAGAAGUGGGAAAUCAGGUGACCAGCAACCUGCUUUUAUUUUUUAUAUAUUUUUAAAUUUUUAAAAAAUAUAUAAACCAAUUGGAUGGUCCGGAUUGAACAUCUUCAUCCAAUGGUCAAAAUUGUUUUUUGGGUAGGUACCGAAGUGGUACUGUAGAAUUUUCCUAAAACAAAUUGAAAAUAAGUAAGUCAUCUGUGAAAUAUAUAUAUAUAGAUUUCAUCUUUUAUACUUGAAUCAUCUCCCCCCUCUUUUUUUUUCCUAGUUUUGGCCUUAUUUUUUUAAAAUAUAAUAUUUAUUUUACUUUUAAUCAAUGGCUCAUAUUUCGAACAAGUGCACCAGAUUUUCUGAAGUUGUAUAUAUAAUAAUCUACAAGUUACAAUAGUGAUUAUAUUUGAAUAAAAAGAGGGACCCGCCCACUUGCAUGGAUUCUAUAUAGGACACAAACAAAUUGUCUUUAGUGGCGACUGAGGAGGCUUUCUAUGACUUGAAAAAAAAAUAAAACAAAAAUAGUCAUUAAGAAAUCAGUGCCAUGUAGUUAGUGUCCGCCACUAUCUACACUUUCUUUAAAAGAACAAAAUUGUCAUUUUCUUUUAUCUCAAAAAUCACUGAAUCGUACAAAAUAAUAUAAGAUAAGAUUCAAUUCAGUCUUUUUUGGCCUCAUAAGAAAACCUUAGCCAACUCAAGGUGACCACUACAGAAUCAAAAUAGGUUUUCUUUUUCUUCAUAGAUAUAUAGCUAACCAUUCAGCUUUGGAUUGCUGGAAUAGAUUCGACUAUUUGUAUCAAUCAGAAGAGAUUCCUCAAGCUUUGGCUGCUAUGGCUCUAAAUGAAGAAGAUAAGGAUCCUAAUUUUUAUGUGGACUCGAGAGCAACAACCCAUAUAACAAAUGACCUAGGUAAGAUUACCCAAGUAAUUCCAUAUAAAUACAAAUGACCUAGGUAAGAUUACCCAAGUAAUUCCAUAUAAAGGGCAUGAUGUAAUUUUUGUUGGAAAUGGAGAAGCUUUAAGAAUCUCACAUAUUGGUGAAGCUAGACUAAAAACUAAACAUAGAGAUCUAAAGCUUAAAAAAUUAUUGGUUAUUCCAAAAAUUAAGAAAAAUUUGUUAUCCAUUGGACAACGUACCUCAGAUAACCCAUGCUCCAUAGAAUUCUCAUCAACUAGUUUUGUCAUUAAGGAUCAACUUCAACAAGUGCUAGCCAGAGGAACUAAGAAGAGAGGUCUCUAUGCAUUGGAGGAAAAUGUGAUUCAAGCCAUGAUAGUUACUAGGUCUAGCAAGGCACCAUAAGAAGUGUGGCAUCAACACAUGAGGCAUCUACAAACAAAAUCUAUAAAGCUUUUGCAAGAUAAGGAUUUCAUUGAAGUAUCUAGUUGGAUGAAAUCAGCAAUAGUAUGUGUUAGAUUUCAAUUAGGAAAAAGUUGUAAAGUUUCUUUUGGCUUAAGAAAUAAAAUUUCCAGCAAUCCUCUUGAAAAAAUUCAUUGUGACUUAUGGGGACUUGCACCAAAUAAUUCGACUCAAGGAUACAAGUAUUAUGUUGUCUUUAUUAAUGAUCAUACUCGCUAUACAUGGCUUUAUCCCUUGAGAAGAAAAUCAAAUUUCUUUGAAUGUUUUUUGAAGUUUCAAAAUCUAGUUGAGAAUCAACUUGAAAGACAAAUAAAAAUCUUCCAAAGUGAUGGUGGAGGUGAGUUUCAAUCAAUUAAAUUUCAAAAUCACCUGAGCAAGUGUGGAAUUUUGCAACAAGUCUCAUGCCCAGGAACUCCAGAACAAAAUGGGGUUGUAGAGAGAAAGCAUAAACACAUUGUUGAAAUGAGUUUAACAAUGAUUUUCAAUGCCAAACUACCAUUGAGUCUAUGGGUAGACGCAUUCCAUACUAUCGUAUACCUCAUUAAUCAGCUGCCUUCCAUGGUGUUGAAAAUGGAGAGUCCAUUCUUUAUGCUCUUCAAACAAUAUCCAGAAUAUAGGAGCUUGAGAAUUUUUGGUUGUCAAUGUUUUCCAUACCUUUGAGACUAUGGGAAGAAUAAAUUCUCACCUAAGACAUCUCCAUGUGUUUUUAUUGGAUAUAGCUCUCUACACAAGGGUUAUAGAUGCUUGCAUCCUUCAACUAAAAGAGUUUACAUAUCUCAUCAUGUCAUCUUCAAUGAAAAUUGCUUUCCUUAUGAUAACUCUCUUGUUAAGAAAAGUCAUUUAUAGUUUCUUAUAGAAAUGGUAUCAUUCUCAACUUCAGAUGUUUCUUGUGAGACAUCAAAAAUAGAUCACCAAACUAAGUCUUGGAAGGAGAACACUGCCAACCAAUCAAGCAACUCCAAGAAGUGCAACCAUUAGCCAUGCACUACUGGGCAAAGAAACCAGUUUAGUGUUGACGGAAGAAUUUCUACUAGUUGCAUUACUAACCAAAAUACAGAAGCAUCAUGUGCAAAACCGAUUGGAACUCCCACUGCUAUCACUGUUGAAAUUUCCACUGUUGCUGCUAGUAAAAAUGACCAUAAUACCGUCAUUACUAUUGAAACUCCCACUGAUGUUGCUCUUGGUUCUAGUGGCCACAAUUUCAACACUGCUACUACUACUGGAACACUCUCCUAGAUUGAGUCUACUAGUAGCUACAAGCUUGCUAAUGUUAGUAAUUUUCCUGAUAUCAGUAAGCACCUAGUAGUUGAUCUCUCUUUUCCUUAAAAAUGGCAGAAAAAUGAGCAUGUUGGUUCAUCUCCGCAAAACAAAUCCACCAGUCACAAUGUUGAUGAUAAAGUUCUUGAUAUUAGCAAGCAAAUUGUUGUUGACAUCUUUUCUCCUCAGGGCCAACACACAGAUAACAAAGAAGCUCAUAUGAUCACCAGAAGUAAACUCAAAAAUGAUCCUAGUUUAAAGUCUUAAAUGGUUACUUUUGCUGCCACAAGAAGUAAUAUUAGUGAGCCAAAAACAUAUCAUACAACAUUGAAAAUUCCCCAUUGGUCCAAACAAUGCAAGAGGAAAUUAAGGUUUUAAUCCAAAAUUGAACAUGGGAUUUGGUUCCUAGGCCUCCAACUACAAAUAUUGUGGGUUUUAAAUGGAUGUUUAAAACAAAGCUAAAGGAAAAUGGAACCAUAGAUAGAUACAAAGCACAAUUAGUUGCUUGAGGUUUUUCUCAAAUAUCAGCUUUGGACUUUGGAGAGACCUUCAGCCUAGUUAUAAAGCAUACUACAAUAAGAUUGAUCCUUUCAUUAGCAGUAACCUUAGGGUGGACAAUGAAGCAAUCGGAUGUUAAGAAUGCCUUCCUACAUGGGUUUCUAAAGGAAAAAGUAUUCAUGGAACAACCUCUAGGAUUUAUAAACAAGGACCUUCCGAAUCAUGUAUGCAAAUUGAAUUGUUCUCUUUAUGGCCUUAAGCAAGCUCCAAGGGCCUGGUUAAAUAAACUAUUUCAAUGUCUUCUUCAUCUGGGGUUUUACUAUGGUAAAAUAGACUCGUCUCUAUUUAUUCUUCCCAAAGGUCAGUCUAUUGUUUUGCUACUUAUCUAUGUUGAUUAUAUUAUAGUCAUAAGCUAUGAUAACAACAUCAUUAGUGACCUCAUCAGCACCCUGAGUAGUGAAUUUUCUCUCAAGGACUUAGGAUCUUUGCAUUAUUUUUUGGGAUUGGAGGUGAAAUAUCUUCUUAAUGGGUUGUUUCUUUCUCAAGAAAAGUACACUAGAGAUCUCUUAGAGCACACAAAAAUAAUGGAGUGUACUCAUAUCAACGCACCCAUAGCUCUUAAGUCCAUCAUCACACCUUCUGAUGAACAACCUAUUGAUCCUACAUGAUAUAGGCAACUUGUUGGAUUCCCCCAAUAUUUAACCUUCACAAGGCUUAAUAUUGUGCAUGUAGUAAACAAGGCCUACCAACAUUUCCAAGCACCCACUAAAGCUGACUUGCAAGCUAUCAAACGCAUCCUUAGAUAUUUGAAGGGAACAAUGGAGCAUGGAAUCAGGUUUUUCAACCAAAGUUCGCUUCGUCUCACUGGUUUUUGUGAUGUUGAUUAGGCGGGAUGCACAAACACAAGAAGAAGCACAUCUAGGUAUUAUAUUUUUCUGGGAGCCAAUUGUAUCUCAUGGUCCUCAAAGCGACAACCUAAUAUUUCUAGAUCAAGCACCAAGGCCAAAUAUCGAUCCCUUGCGUCCAGUGCUGCAGAAAUAACUUGGCUUACUUUCCUUCUCCGUGACAUUGGCAUUCAACUACGUGAACCUUCUCAAUUGCUAUGCGAUAACCUCAGUGCCCUUCACAUGACAGUAAAUCUCGUCUUCCAUGCAUGUUCUAAGCAUAUUUAGUUGGACUAUCAUUUUAUUCGGAAAGAAGUUGCAAGUGGAGUUUUGAUUACUUGUUUCCUUCCAUCGUCUUUACAAGUAGCUGAUAUAUUCACAAAGGCACUCCCUAAGACUUCAUUCCAAGUCUUUCGAUUCAAGCUAGAGUGCACAAGUUACCACUCACUAGCUUGCAGGGGGCUGAUAAAGGAAAGCCAAACUCAGCCAGCAUACAAUCCAUGCCAAAGCAAUCUUUACGUGAGAAGUUAGUAAUGCAAUCUAUCAGGAAGGAAAACUACUCUCAAUAUUUGUAAUGUGGAAAAUCAAGGCUGGAAGGAAAUAUUCACUUACCUGUUCUAUAUAAUAUUCCCUUUUCUAUGCAAAGAAAGUAUGUAUUGUUUAUUUAUUUUUUAGAAAAAAUCAGUAAAGCAUGGUAAAAAUUCAAUCUUUCAAAAAUAGUUUAUGUUCUUCAUGCAUGGAUAAUAAAUCGCAUGGAUAAAUUGUAUUUAGCAGCGGCUGAAGCUUUCUAUAUGACUAAAGAGAAAAAAAGUCAUUAAAAAACUAAUUGCCAUGUGACUACGUCUACCAGUAGAUAGCUGAGAACAAGGUCUAACUUUUAACCUUUUUUACUACCUUUACAAAGGAACACAAAAUUGAGAGAUUCAAAGACAACUAUAGUAUAAAUAUUGUUUCAUAAAUUACUUUUCAAAUUUAAUUUGAUAGCAAAAAUUUAAAAUACAAAAGUAUGAAAAAUUUGUUCCAUUCCCAAAAUUUUUGCAAAUAAAAUUUUAAAGUAAUAAAUUAACACCAUGACUCUUUUCACAUCUUAUUCUCCUUUCUAUCAAAGCAAUGAUAGUAAUAAUCUUAUCUAUAAAUUUUAAAUGAGGGAAGAUCAUUGAAUUUUUAUUUUCUUUUAAUUUCUUGUUAUGUAAUUAUCAAACACAUUUUUUUUUAAGACAAGAAAAAAAUUAGACUGAAGAAAUAUACUUUUGCUUUGAUUUAGUCACUUGGAUUGCAAUUUGAAGGAUGACAAUAAAAGUGUAUUAUUGGAGUUAAAGAUCAAUUGAAAGCUUGAAGUGGCUUGUUCUUGAAUGAAUUUAAUGAAUGGCGAAGAAUACGUGUGUUGUAAUUUUUUGGAUUUGUAGGGGAAUUUUAUGAAGCUCUUUUCUCUUUGUGAAGCUUCUUUUUUUGUGUGAUUUUUUUUCUUCAUCAUUUUUAUUCAAGGAAGUUGCAUAUAUUUAUAGAUGAAAUUAAAAAAUUAAAUUUAGAAUUCCUAAGAUUUGAUUACUUAAUUAAAAAAAAUUGGUUUCUUGAUUUUAGCAACUUGUCUCCUCUAUUAAGAAAGUUUUCUAAUAAGAGAAUAUUUAAUUAUCAUUUUCUUUUGACUUCAAUUAGAAGAUUUGAUUCGUUUGUUCAUAAAAUUUGAAAACAAAAAAAAAUUAUUUCUAUUUUUUUUAUUUCAAUUGUUUAAUUUAAUUUGAUUUUGCAAGACUUUAUUUUAUAGGCUACAUGUCAUUUUUUGAAUUGCAUGUUACAUAUUCAAUAUACAUGACCCAUCACUUAUUAAGCAUAAAUUUCGUUGGCUAAGGAGUUACAAUUUUGAAGACUAAUUUGAUAGUAUUUUGAUCCACUAAAAUUUUUUAUGUCUAGAAAUGCCCCAUCUUCAAGACCAACACACACAUGCAUUGUUAUGUAUAAAAGGUGAGUCUUGAAGUUAGCAUUUUGAAUCUUUAAUAUCCUUCUUUGAUAUUUUUUUUUUCAAAGAAAUAUUUUAAUAGGAAAUUUCCUAUUUCAAAAUACCUUUCUUAAACUGCUUUAUUUUCUUCCUUUUUUUCUACCUGGUAUCAAGGAAAGACUUUGUGUUAAUGGGAAAGUUUCUUAUUUGAACAUGUAUUUGCUUUUCUCAUGGUAUUUUCACUUCCAAUUUAUCAUCCUACAUGAAGUCUUUCACCCUUGGUCGAUUGUAUCUUAGACUUGAUCACAUGCCUUUAACUUGUAAUUCUUGCUCCACUUUAUUUAUUUUAUUUUAUUUUAUUUUUAAAAAAGAAUACAAUAUAUAUGAGCAAGACCUUGAGCAAGAGGAGCAAGGUGGAGGAUGGAGCAUGAGCUAGCCUUAGGGUAAGACCUUGAGGAAGAGAAGUAAUGUGGAGUGUAGAGCACAAACUUCUCUGGAGCAUGGUAGGUAUACCAUCACAGAAUUGUCUUCCACAUGGAGCAUGGUAGGGCUUAUAUAUAUGAUAGGGUGUGCCAUCAUGUAACAAUGAAGAACAACAAUCCAUGGUGUACAAUUGGGAACAACAAUUCAUGCUAUCAAGCUUCAACUUUUUUUUUUACCCCCAUCUCCAUUUUUUCAACUUCUUUUUUUUUUCCUUUUCUUUUUCCUUUUUUUUUUAACCAUUGUUUUUAAGGAAGAAAUAGGUUUUCCAUCCCUUACUACGAGGUCAAUCUCCAUCACUUGCAAAGACAAAUUUGCUUUUUGAUAUUUUUUUCUUCAAUAAUUAACUUAACAUUUUAAUAUAUAUUUUUUUUAACAAACUUAAAUAUUCAUAAUAAAAUAAAUAUUUAAUGUCUUUAUUCAUUCAAAUUAGCUUGACUUGAAUACUUAGUAGAUCCAUACUUAACACCCAUGUAGACGAGUUGUAACCUUGAUGGCAGGUUGUGUUGUAUUUUCGACACUUAAUGUGGCUUAAGAGUUAAAGUCUUCUCUCAUACAAAUUACCUUGGUUUGGAUGCACAAUGGUGUCUAACUUUUUAACACUUUAUUAAACUUGGAACCAUAUUUAACACCCACGUAGACAAGUCAUAAUCAUGACGUGGAUCACUGCUUUAUUUUUAGCUCUUAAUGUGGCUUAAAUAUUAAAUUCUCCACUCAUACAAAUUAACUUGGGUUAGAUGCACAAUGGUGUUCAACUUGUUAAUAGUUAAUUAAAAUUAGAACCAUAUUUAACACCUAUACAAACAAGUCAUAACUUUGACGUGGAGCAGUGUUGUAUCUUCGGCUUAAUGCCGCUUAAGUGUUAAAGUCGUCACUCAUAUGAAUUAGCUUGACUUAGAUGCAUAGUUAUAUUAUACUUUUUAACACUUAAUUUAAAUUUGGACCAUAUUGAAAACCCAUGUGAACAAGAGAUAACCUUGCAGUGAUGUUAUAUUUUUGACACUUAAUGUAGCUUAAAUGCUAAAGUCUUCACUUCAAUGAAUUGGUUCACCUUGGAUGAAUAGUGAUGUCUAAAGUGUAAUAAUUAAAAUUGAAACCAUAUUUAACACUCAUGUAGACAAAUCAUAACUUUGACGUAAUGGCAUUGUAUUUUUUACACUUAAUGCAGCUUAGGUGCUAAAGUUUUCACUCAUGAGAAUUGGUAUGAGUUAGAUGCAUUGUGGUGUCCAACUUUUUAACACUCAAUUAAAAUUGGAACCAUAUUUAAUACCUAUGUAGAUAAGUCAUAACCUUGAUGCAAAGUGAUAUUGUAUUUUUGACACUAAAUGCAACUUAGGUGCUAAGUCUUCACCCACACAAAUUGGUUCAUCUUGGAUGCACAAUGGUGUUGAAUUUUUUUAACAUAUAAUUAAAAUUUGAACCAUAUUUGACACUCAUGUAGACAAGUCAUAACCAUGAUGUAGAGUAGUGUUGUAUUUUUAACACUUAAUAUGACUUUACUGGUAAAUUCUUUACUCAUGUGAAUUGGCUUGAUUUGGAUGCACAACUAACUUUUUAACAUUUUAUUAAAUUGGGUAUCAUAUGUGUUGUUUUUUUAACACUUAAUACGACUUUAGUGGUAAAUUCUUUACUCAUGUGAAUUGUGUUGAUUUGGAUGCACAAUGAUACCUAACUUUUUAACAUUUUAUUAAAUUGGGUAUCAUAUUUAACACCUAUGUAGACAAGUCAUAACUUUAAUGUAGAGGCAGUGUAAUAUUUUUGGCACUUAAUACUGCUUAAGUGCUAGAGUCUUCACUCAUGUGAAUUUUCUUAGUUGGGAUGCACAAUGGUGUCUUAACAUUUUAACAUUUAAUUAAAAUCAGAACCAUAUUUAACACUCGUGUAGAGAAGUCAUAACCUUGACAUGGAGUAUUAUGCAAUGUUUUGAUAUUUAAUAUGACUUAAGUGCUAAAGUUUUCACUCAUGCGAAUUGACUUGACUUGGAUGCAUAGUGAUGUCUAACAUUUUAACACUUAAUUAAAAUUAGAGCUAUAUUUAAUAAUCAUGUAGACAAGAAAUAACUUUGACAUGAAACAGUAUUGUAAUUUUGACACUUAAUGUUGCUUAAAUGCCAAAGUCUUCACUCAUACAUAUUGACUUAGCUUGGAUGAAAAGUGGUAUCCAACUUUUUGACACUUUCUUAAAUUUGGAAUUAUGUUUAACAUCAAUAUAGGCAAGUAAUAACCUUGACGCAAAGUGAUGUUAUAUUUUUAGCACUUAAUAUAGCUUUAGUGCUAAAAUAUUCACUUCUAAGAAUUGACUUGGCUUGGAUGCAUAAUGGUGUCCUACUUUUUAACACUUACUUGAAAGUGAAAUCAUAUUUAACACCCAUUGUAUGCUAGUCGUAAACUUGAUAUAGAGCAUUGUGCAACUUUUUAACACUUAAUGCGAUUUAAGUGCUAAAGUCUUUACUCAUAUGAAUUAACUGAACUUAGAUGCACCUUUGUUUCCAACUUUUUAAUACCUAAUUAAAAUUAAAACCAUAUUUAAAAACCAUGUAGACAAAGACAUAAUCUUAACAUGGAGCUAUGUAUAACUCUUAACACUUAAUUAAAAUUGAGAUUACACUUAACAGCCACAUAUUCCUCCUAUUUUUCAAUUUUUUCUUGUGGUGAUGAUUGGACUUAACUAGUUUGUCCAAGUUGCCUAUAUACCCUUAACAGAGAGGGAAUCAAGUCAAACUUAGUUCAAAGUAUUUCUUUUAAUCUCUAACUUUUGCCAAGGCUAAUGAUUUUAAUCUUACAAGCUUGUCUUAACUUUUGACCAUAUAUGUAGUCUUUUUAGGUUUCAAUUUAGUGGCCUAUGACUUGUAAAAAUUGAAAAUGACUUCAAUCAUGUGUAAAAAAUAAUAAAAGAUAUUCAUUCAUAGUUUUAGGGCAACAAAAAAUAAUUGAUCCUUUUUUAUAUUAUUAUUAUUGUUGUUGUUGUUAUAAUUAUUAUUUCACCUUACAAAAAAACCUUCUGCAAUUAAUAUUAUAUAUAUAUAUAUAUAUUAUCUUUUAUAUAUUUAGUUUUUAUAGUAUUUUUUAAUUUAAUAUAUAUAUUUUUUAAAUAUCGAUACUUUCGGUCAAUGUCUCAAAUUUAAUAAUAUUUUAGAAAGUGUUUAUAAUAUUUUUAACACUUGAAUGAUAAAAAAUUUUAAAUAUUAAAAAUGUUAAAGACACUUUCUUAAAUUACUACCAAACGGGUUCUAACUUCAAAACUAUUUUUCAAAUUCUAAGUUUAGCUUAGUGGUGAAUGCAUUUAGGAUCACCAAGGAGGCCAUCAAGGGACUUCAGAAGAGAAGAUCCCAUAAUUCUAGUUUUGUAUUUGAUUGCAUACAUCCUACCAUAUGGAGAAGGUUCCUUAGGAUGCUUAUUUAUCCGCUUAUGUGAAUUAUGUACAAAAUUGCAUUUAAUAUGCACAUAAAAUUAAUUGAAUUAUGUGGCUUUUUUUUUUUCCUUUUUCUUUUACGCAUAAUAUAACAUAUACAAUUGGAAGAGAUCCCGAGAUUCUGAUUUUAUAUCUGGCUUUAGGGAUCAUAUUGGGGCCUCAAAAUUCAAUAUCACUGUCAGGUUGUGGACAGUCCACCCAGCUGGAGCAGAUCCCCUGGCUUGUGGAUAUGUCAACAAUUGAAAAAGUCUGCACCCAUUUUCAAUGUUCUUAGGUUUCGAAGUUAUCAGCAAACAUUCAUUGUGGACUAGGUACAUGGCUUGUACAAAUUGAAAAUGACUUCAAAUAAUAAAAGAUAUUUAUUCAUAGUUUUAAGGCACGCAACGAAAAUAGAUUUUAUUUGUUUGUAUCUUAGAAUAAUCUUAUUAUAUUUGUAUAUAUAUAUAUAUAUAUAUAUAUAUAUAUAUCUUAUCUUUUAUACAUGCAUAUUUUUUUUUUCAGUUUUGGUCGUAUAUUUUUAAUUUAAUAAUUAUUUUAAGAAAAAAGAUUUAGAGGCCAUUUGGUAGUGUUUUUUAAAAACACUUCUGGACUAAAAAAAAAUGCUUUUGUUAAAAAAUUAAGAGCAUGUUUGAUAGUGAUUUUAGGAAACGUUUUUAAUAUUUCUAAUAUUUGAAAAUUUUUGUCAUGCAAGUGUUAAAGGGCGUUUGGCAAUGCUUUUAGAAAGUGUUUCUAAUAUUUCUAAUACUUGAAAAAUAAAAUUUCUUAAGUAUUAGAAAUGAUAGAAACUCUUUCUAAAAUCACUAUCAAACACAUUCUUACACUUUCCAUCAAUGUCUCAAAUUUCAAAUAUGUACAUGCUCUAGAAAUUCUGAAGGUGUAGGCUUGUAGCCUAGAAUGUGAAGUGAGAGUUUGAUGAAAAACGAAAUAAACAAAGAUAUAAAAUAUAAUUUGUGAAAAAUUAUGAAAAUAUUGAUUUUGAUAGAUAUAUUAAUAACUCAAUUUUACAGAUAUAUCAGGGUAUAUCCAAAAAUAUUGGUGAAUAUUUUGACACCAAAUAUCAGUAGGAAAAAAUUGAUCAAAACUCAUGAAAAUAUUGGGAAAAAAAACUCUUAAACAUGAUAAAAUAAACAAUAAUAUACUUAUUAAAGUUGGUUUUAUUGUAAAACUUAAAAACACAAAAUUAUCAAUAGAUAUCAAUGAAAUUUUUUUUUAAAAAAAUCAAAAUUAAUAAAAACUCGUAAAAUAUUAGUAAAAACUAAAAUAUAUAUAUAUAUAAGAAGCAAUAAUACACAUAACGAAGUUAUUUAUUAAAAAAAAUGAUAUAGAUUUAAUACAAUUAAUGAUAUUUGAUAAUAAUAUACAUAAUUUAAAAUUUUAAAAUAUAUCUACUAGUAACAUCAUGAUUAUUUAAUAUUCAAAAUAUAAAAGAAAUUAUGAUAUGUAAAUAUAUAUAUAAAUUACUAUGAUGAUUUUUAUAAUUUGAACAAUUUUCAAAUAUAAUAUGAAAAUAAAAUAAUUAAAAUUAAUUUAUUUAUUAUUAUUUUAUUUUAUAAGUCUAGGAGUACAAAUAUAUUUUAUUUAUAUGUGUUGCAUAUUUAAAAAUGCUAAACUAGCUUGUGGCCUACAAUGUCAACUUAGAGUUUGAUGAAAAAGUGCAUAAACAAAGACAAAAAAAUUAAUCUACAAGUACUUGGAUUCUAUUUGAAUAAAAAAGAGCCACCCACAUGCAUGGAUUAAAUAUAUAUCCCAUGGAUUAGUUGUAUUUAGCCACGGCUGAAGCUUUCCACUAUGACUUAACACUACUACAAAAAUAAUUUAUGAUGUCACUAUUUAUGGUGUCGCAUUUAAAAUAAUGACACCAUUGAACUUAAAAUUUAUAAAGGUGACACAUCAUAUAAAAAAUCUUCAAUUAGGAUAGUUAGAUGAUGCUAAUUUCAAAUUUACGGUGUCUUUUUUUGGAAGUGACACCAUAUGAAAUAAAAAGUUUUAAAUUUUAUAACUCAAUGGGCCCUUUUUCAAAAUAGUGAGUAGGAACAAUUUAUGAAAAGUCUAUUGUUUCCAUAUAUACAUUAACUAAUAUAAAAGAUCUUAUUGCUUAACCCUAACCAUCGUUUUCUUCUCCUUCUUCUCACACCCAUGGUCGGCACACCCAUAAUUGAUAUUCUUUGCUUCAUAAAAUCUCGGGUAAGUCAAAAUCCCUUAUCUAUCAUCUUCAUUUUUUUUAUUAAUGCAAAAAACUUUGUUAGUAUAAUUGUUUUAUAUCUCUUGAUUUAGUAUAUCUAUGAUGUGGGUUUUGUAAAUGGUGUUUUUUAUCGAGUUCCAUGGAAGUAAAAACUAGGUUUAACAUUCUAACAUAUUUUUUGUUUCAUUGCUAAUAAGCCCCAAAACAAAUGAAAACAAGAAAAAUGAAUUAUUUUUAAAAAUUUUGUCUAAUUGAGAAUGAGAGAUACACUAGUUUGUAGUAAUUUUUCGCAUGAAAUAAUAUUUUAUUGAAGACUUGACUAUAUAGUGUAUUGGUUGUAAUUUUUCACAUGUGAAAAUAUUUUAUUGAAGACUUGACUAUAUUUGAUACUUUUUUCCACCGUGCUAGGAGCUUUUUGGUGAAGUCUAACAAUAGAGAUUGACAUCUACUACAAGAUGAUGCUCAAUUAAUCCAAAAGCACUUAAGUUAUUUAGGGUUUUCUUCAGUUAACCUAAGAAAACAUUCCCACUUUCUUUGUAUUGAGUCACCUAAAUAGAAUAGAAUAUUGGGUAUUAGAGUGGUAAAGGGUAUUAUAAAUAUGACUUUUUUUUUUAGAGUCACCUACAUGGAAUGAAUUAUUGGUAGGUGAACAAAAUAUUGGGGUGAUUGUAAUAGUUGAAUUAGUAAAUGGAAGAUAAGUGUAUGUUGCUUUGUUUAUUCUAUAAAAACAAUAAUUUUAGUAGUUGAAAUUUACAUGCUUUGUUGUUUUAUAAAAACAAUAAUUUUAAUAUUUGAAAUUUUAAAAUGUGAAUGAAAUGCCUGAAAAUAUGUUUUGAAAAAUAGGAUAGUAAUAAAUGUUUAUAGCUCAUUUCCUAAAAAUAUUUUGAUAAAUUAAAAUAAUAUGUGGUUAAAAUAUAUUUUUGUGAAAGUAUUUAAAAAUGAAUCAAAAUAUUAAUAAUUGUUAUUUUGUUUGAAAAUAAUUUAGGAAUAUAAAAUAAUAUUGGGGAUAAUUUUUGAGUUUAAAUUGGGUUAUAAACGGUUAAUUUUUUUAGGAUUGUCUUUUUUGAAAAUAAUCCAAUGAUAAUUUUUUUAAAUAAGAAUGUUGAAAAUAAUUUUAAAAAUAAAAUUUUGUUGGCAAUGAUUUUUCUAAAAGUAUUUUAGGCAUAAAUGGAAAUUUCUUGUAUGAAAAUAAGAGAAUUUAUAUAUAUAUAAUAGACAUAAAAAUAGACUUCUUUGAUAUUUAAUAAACAAGUGAAUUUUUCUCCAAAAAAGGAAUAAAAUAAGAAUUUCUCUAUUUAAUAAAAUAAUUUAUAUAUGAGAUAGUUUUCAAUAAGAAAGUUUUGAAAAUAAAUUUGGGAUAAAAUAUUUUUUAGUAAGUUUUGUUUAGAUAAUUCAAGAAAAAAGUGGUUUAUUAACUUUUCUUAAAAAAUAACAUUCUUCUUUCUUUUUUGAAUUGAUCAUUUUUUUUAGAAAUAAAAUUGUUAGAUUCUAUUUUUUGUAAAUGUUUAAGAAAUUCUAAAAAAUUCUUUAAAAAUAAAAUGACCUUUCUACCACAUUCCUUGUAAUAAAUAACUGUUUUUUUAUACAUAUUGUAAAGUAAAAAAAGAAGUCUUUGUUUAGUUAACCUAAGAAGACAUUCCUACUUUUCUUUGUGUUGAGAGUCACCUAAAUGGAAUAAAAUAUUCAAUAUCAUAGGAGAGUAAAAAGUAUUAUAGAAAUGAUUUUGUUGAGAGAGUUAUCUAAAUGGAAUGAGAUAUUGGUAGGUGAAUAAAAUAUUAUGGUGAUUGUAAUAGUUGACUUAGUGAGGGGAGGAGAAGUGUAUGCUUCUUUGUUUAUUCUAUAAAAACAAUAAUUUUAGUAGUUGAAAACGUGUAUGAAAUGACUGAAAAUAUUUUCUGAAAAAUAAGAAAAUAAUAAAUGGAUAAUAGCUCAUUUCCUAAAAAUCUUUGAUAAAUUAAAAUAACUUGUAGUUAAAAUAUAUUCUUGUGAAAGUAUUUAAAAAUGAACCAAUAUAUUAAUAAUUGUUAUUUUGUUUAAAAAUAAUUUAAGAGUAAAAAAAUAAUACUGAGUUCAAAUAUGACUACUUUGUUAUGAGAUUCAUUAAAUAAAUAAUUGUUGAUUUUACAGUUAUUGCAUCAAAGGUUUUACUCGUUUAAUGAAUUGUACAUAAUUUCAUACUUUCAAUUAUUGUGAUAUUAAUGUUAUUCUCAUUUGAUUUCAGUUUGAUGACAAAUAAAACAUAUUCUCAAGUAGAAUUUGAUGAAAUUAGAGAAGAAUAGAUUACUUUUGUGUUAUAACUAAUCAUGAAUCAUAUUGAUGUAUCGUGAUCAUUCAUGGUAAGUCCCUUAGUUGUUAUAUGAUUGAAUUUUCCAUUGGUAUUGUAUAACAUUACUUAUUCUUUACGGACUAUUUUUAUACCAAAAUGAGAAAAAGGAAAAAGAAAAAAAAACAUUAGUACUUAGAUUUGUUUAUUGUUUAUAACAUCACAUUUUUAUUUUCAAUAAGAACUCUAAAACUCAUUAAACUAUGAAAUGCAGGUAUACACUCUUGGGAGGACAAUAUGAAGAAUAAAAAGAAAGGAGAAAGAGGCAACAAGAUUUAGGUUUUUAGAUAUGACUCUUAUGUCAUACAUUAUAGGACAUAAACAUUACUUUAUUUGGAAUUGAGAAUUUUGGGUUUUUGGAUGCAACUCUUGUGUCAUUUUAUGGUUAGCCGGUUUUAUGCAUAUGAAAUGCAAGUAUACAUGAAUGUUGGGAAGCUUAACAUUUCUAAAUCAUGUUUUAAUGUGUAUUCACUUUUCUUUUUUAGUUUUGGUGGGUUUGAUGUGUUUGAUGUACUAUCAUUUUGUGAACAUUUGAUAUAUAAAUAUUAUUGGAUGAUGUAAUAUGUUACAAAUUAAUUCAUAGGCACUAUGAAAAUAUAAGUUAAAUGUAAUAUGAUUAUCAUAUUUAUGGACAAUUUACACAGGUUGGUCUUAUUUAUUAAUAAGCAUUACAAAAAUCUACAAACUAAUCAACAAAAAACAACCAUAUCUUCCAUAAUCAUUUACAAUGAUGCGACACCAUAAAUUAAAGGUGAUACAUUUAACGUGACACCAUAACUCAAAGAUGAUGCAUUUAAUAUGACAUCUUAUAUAUCUCAUACAACUCUAUAUCAAAUUAAGCAUCACUAAAAAUAUAUGGUGUCUCUUCUGAAUGUGUCACCAUUUAUCUGCUUUGGUGUUGCUUCCAAAUACGUCACCAAUUGAUACCCUCUAUGGUGUCAGUGGAUAAGGUGACGCUAUGUUGUAGUGACACCCUAUGUUUAUAGUGACUUAUUAUAAAUGUCACCAUAUAUCUUUUUCCUUGUAGUGUAAAAAAAGAGAGGAUAAUGUCAUUAAAAAACUGAUUGCUAUGUGGCUAUGCCUGCCAGUAGAUGGCUGAAAACUAAGUUCUAUUCUUUUCGAUAGUUGAGAGAUUCAAUGGCAACUAUCGUCGUAUAAACAAUGUUUCAUAAAUUACUUUUAAAUUUUGACAGCAAAGACUAAAAUUGUAAAACCAUAAAAAAUUUAUUCCAUUCCCAAAUUUUUUAAAAUAAAAUUGAAAAUAAUAAAUUAACGCCCAUGACUGUUUUCACAUCUUAUUCUCAUUUCUAUCAAUGGAAUCAUCGUAAGCAUCUUAUCUGUAAAUAUGGCCUAGAGCCAUAAAGCUGCCUUUUCUUUAGUCCUAGAGCCAUUUCAUGAGCUAAUAGUAGUCUUUCCUUAGCAUUUCCAGCCCAAAGCUCCCAUUUCCUUAGGCCUAGAGACGUUUUCAGCCCAGAGCUGCUGUUUCUUUCGGCCUAUAACCAUUUUCAGCCCAAAGCUUCCUUUCCUUGGCAUAUUAGCCCGAAGCUUCUAUUUCUUUAGGCCUGGAACCAUUUCAACCUAGAACAUUUGUUUCUUUGGGCCUUGAGCCCCUUUCAACCCAGAACUGUCAUUUCUUCUAAAUAACUUCUCUUUUAAAAGACUUCAAUUUGUUUUUCAAGUCACAAAUUUUGAGGCUUUGUUCCAGGUUUGAAGAAGCUGGUAAAAAUCUUCUAUUUAACAUUUCAACAGUGAAUCGAAUUAAAUAAAUAAAUAAAUAAAUCUUGACGACAUAAAGUAGGACAUGGCAUAGUUUGAAACACAUAAUUUUCACCAUUCAAAUGCAAAACAUAUUAACUAAUUUCAAAUGCUAUGUGUUGUUUCCUUCUACAUUUUCUCUUUAUUUUUUUUUCGUAUUUUUCUUCAAAUUUUUUGAAAACCAAACAGAGCCUAAAAGAAAAGAUAAUUUUACUUAUUUUGAAAUUUCCUUAUAUAUAGCUUAUAUGGAAAGUUGUUUCGUGUUAACUUAAUGAAGCAUUUAUAAUAUUAAGAUCGCCCUUUCAUAAUCAUGAGUUAACCUUAGUUUCAACUUCUACAAGAGGCUAAAUGAAAAAAGCUAUCACAGAGAAGGCCUCAGCCAAUGAGUGGAAAAUACAAUUUUAUUAAUACUUGAUACCAAAAAAAAAAAAAAAAGGGAUGAUUUUACAUUCAAACCGAUGAUUUAUUUCUGUUGAAGUGCAGUCUCCAUAUGCACAUGUGACUGCAUUUACAGGAUAAAGAAAGACAAGGAAAUUAACAAUGUUGGACUUACUGGAAAAUCAUACAAAUUAUUGAAGGAGGACCUUAGCUAGGCUGACUGUCUCCUAAAUUGCCCAUCUUUUAUAUAUCUUUGCAAUCAUGCAUCUCAUCAUCAGCUUUGAUUUUAGAUGGUGAGGAUGUGAAAGUAACAGGAAGCAGUGGACGAUUGUUCACAGUGAGGCUUAGCACAUCAGCUCUCGAAUAAUGUCCUACCACAUCGAACUGAAACUUUGCUUUAGGAAUCUCUCCACGAACAUCUGCAUAUCAAGUGAUCAUCAAAAUAUUUGAGCAGCCCGUGAUAAAUAUCAUAGAGUAUCAAGUCUUCC
Molecule: long non-coding RNA, 293833 nt
Filed under: Vitis vinifera (wine grape)
Lineage: Eukaryota; Viridiplantae; Streptophyta; Magnoliopsida; Vitales; Vitaceae
Description: long non-coding RNA (VVIN_LNC000544)
Source: RNAcentral